Molecule: long non-coding RNA, 178646 nt
Filed under: Vitis vinifera (wine grape)
Lineage: Eukaryota; Viridiplantae; Streptophyta; Magnoliopsida; Vitales; Vitaceae
Description: long non-coding RNA (VVIN_LNC004440)
Rfam family: Plant small nucleolar RNA R71 (bases 135019-135125)
Source: RNAcentral
CUACAUCCACAAUUACUACGAAAAGAAACAUUAAUAUUUUGUCUGUAACCUGAAAAACAACAUAAAGUCUAGCUAAGGAGGGUUCUCUUCCUCUUAUGCCUCCAUUUUUCUGGAAACAAAAUCAACCCAGGAGGUAAGACUUAAGUUUAAAAAAAUUAAUUUCUUAGUUAUCUCAGCAACCAAUUGGAGGGUAACUAAUAUUAUUGAUUUCUGCAAAGAACCCAAUAGAUCUAGUAAAGCCAGAAUCCCAAUUAGGAUAUCCCCACCAAAUGAUAGUACAGAGACCAAGAUUCAAUUUGUGGUCACCCAAUGGGACUUUACUGAGAAAUCUGCAGAACUUACAUAAGCCCAGAAGAACAAACACGAGAUUUGGUCCAACAAUUCAACUCAAAUGAGGAUGGGCAUGGAUAGAUUCAAAUAUGUAUCAGAAAUACAAACUUCAACCCUCAAAACCCUAGAAAAUUGUCUCAUUUUACUCCAUUAUCCAGAAAUUGCUUACAGCAUUGGGUUCAACUGUAGCAAUUGUAGCAGCAAGAAGCAAGAAGACCAGAAUAACUUCAGAGAACACCCAACCCAUCACUCCACCCACCAGUUGUUACAAAAACAUAGCUUUAAAUUAAGAACCCAUUACCCAAUCUGAUAUUCCUGGACCAAUCAAACAACCCAAAAACAAUCAACAAACACCUAAAAAAAAAAGGAAAAAAAGAAAGAAAGAAAAGGCACACAAGUUCAAUAUCAUCACUAAUAGAUAAAUCCUUGACAAAAAAUACUAACAGUCAUUGCAUAUUUGCUUUAUUCUCAAAAAAUCACUAAGUUAAAGGGGGCUCAUAUAUUAGAACUUAGACUUGCUAGUAGAAAAUCAAUUUUACGACCAAUCUGCACUGGCUUUGCUGCAAGAAAUUUCAGAAAAUGUGGCUGUUUUUGCAGGUAUUUGAUGAUAAAAUUUUGAGAAAUGUUUCAGAACAAUGCAUCUCCUUGGUUUAUGGCAACUCUUUCUCUUUAUCCCAAUAGGGGCCAUCCUCAAAGUUCCUGUCAAAUUCAGUUUAUUAUAGACUAAAAAAUCACCCAGAAUCUGAAAGCUUCGAAAAAAGCAACUGCAGCUGCAAGGGAAUUUCAUAUAUAUUUGAGUUAGGUGGGCAUGUGGGUCUGUUGAGUGGAUGAUGAAAUAUCAUCACACUCAUAUGCUUACUGGUGUCUUAUCAUUAUCUUAUUUAAUUAAUUCGAAUAAAGCUUUUCCUUUUUUAAAGAAAACCUUAAAAAUUAAUUAAGAUGAUUAUUCUCAGAAAAUAAUUAUCAUAAUUAAUUUAAAAUAGCAUUAUGAACUUUUUUUUUCUUUUUAAAAUGCUUUCAUUAUCUUAAUGAUAUAUGGAUAUAACAAGAUAAUAAGUAUUAAUAUUAUAUAAACCAUUAAAAACCAGAAUAUGAAUUUAUUAUUAAUUUAUUUAUUAUAUAAAAUAUAUGGACAUGAAUUUAUUUAUUAUUCAUAAUUUAUUAAUAUUAAGAGGUACUUGUGAUAACUUUUUUAUUUAAAAUUUUUUCUUUAUUAAAUAUUAGAAAAUUAUAUUUUACAUAUAAAUUUAUUAUAAAAAUAUAUAAAUAUGAAUUUAUUAUUAUUUUUAUAUCAAAUAAAUAUUAAUAUUACAUAAAUAAAUAUAGUAUGAUAGUAAGUAUUAAUAUUAUGUAAAAAAAUAAAUAUCAUAAAUUUAAAACGAAAUAUGUAUUUUUUAACUUUUUAAUAUCUAUGAAAAGCGUUCAAGAUAUAUAAAUAUAAAUUUAUUAUUAGUUUAUUUAUAAACUCUUUUAUUUAAAAUUUUUAUAUUAUUUUUUAUAUAUUUUUUCACUUUUAUUUAAAAUUUUUCCAUUACAUUUUACAAAGUGUUAACAAAUUAAUUUUUAUCACCCCACAUGAAUGCACGUGUUUUUAGACUCAUUAAAUAAAGGGAAUCAUGUUACCGGACACCAACCCAAAAAAAUUUGAGUUUUUGAAUCUUUAUAUUUGACUUUUGAAUUUAAGUGUCAAAUAGAAAAAAAAAAAAGUCCUUUCUAAUCACCGUCCACAUCUCCCUCCUUCCCCACGAAAAUCGACAAACACUACGCCGACGUCAUCAUCGACCACUACUCACACCUCUCUCUGGUCGGCAAUCUCCCCCUCUCUCCUUUUCCCUUCCCUCUUUCUCUCUGUUUCCUUCAUUUUCCACAUCACCACCGUGGCCCACUACCAGCGACCCACAGCUCUUGCUACCUCUCAUCGGCGGCAAGAUCGAGUGGCAGUUGGUCGACGUCAUCAUUGAUCGCAGCUCACAGCUCUCUCUGCCCGACAACCUCCCCAUCUCUCUCUUUAUAUUCCCGCUUUCUUUUUCUUUCCUUCACUCCCCUUUCCACAUCACCACUGCUUUAAUAAAUUUCAAUUUUCUUAAUUUUUUGAUUUUUUAAAUUGUUGAUGACUUGAUUUUUUUUAAAAAAUAAAAUUGAUAAUGACUUGAUUAUAAAUUGUUGAUGACUAGAUAUGAUAUAUGAUGAUUGAUGACUUCAAUAGAUAAAAAAUUUUGUGAAAAAACCUAACAAAUAAAGUAGAUAUUGUCAAAAUUUAGAUAUAUUUUAUUAUUAUUUUUAAAUUUUAAUAAUAUAUAAAAUAUAUAUUUAUGAGGUUAAAUAAAGAAUCAAUAACUUUUUUGAUUUAAUAAUCGAUCCGAUUCUCAAAAUAUUGGUAACAUCAAGGUCUACUGAUACAAAUAAAUGAAUGUUCACCAUUCAUUUACUUAGACCAUUUGUUUUGGGUGAUGUUGAGGAUAGUCAUCGGCAGUAGACUAACACCUUCUUGACCAAUUAACAUACCAACAGUAGUGAUUAGGUAGACCAUUUGUUUUGGGUGAUGUUGAGGAUAGUCAUCGGCAGCAGACUAACACCUUCUUGACCAAUUAACAUACCAACAGUAGUGAUUAGGUAGACCAUUUGUUUUGGGUGAUGUUGAGGGGAUAGUCAUCGGUAGUAGACUGACACCUUCUCGACGAAUUAACAUACCAACAGUACUGAUUAGGCCAAGGUGGUGAACCAAUUCCAUGGAAGAGCAGUAAGAUAGGUCGUAGGAGGAAUGGUGGAGAGAAAGAAAGCAGCCAACCAAGCAGCAAUAGUUUCCAAACUGGCCCCGAGCCUAAGGAGCAUAGGAUUGACAUUGAAAUCAGUCAUAGGGUGAAAAAUCGGAUUCGGUCCGUCCAAAAUGCAAAAGAAAGGACUCGAUCUCAAACUCAAUGGCCAAGGAUACCAAAAGUUCCUCACAUUCAAAGGGGGACCCAGGAUUUCAAGAAAUUCUACAAUCCGAGGGUAGUUUCAAUCGGUCCUUACCACCAUGGCAAGCCCCACCUUCACCAAGUGGAAAUGAUCAAGCCUCUAUGUGCCCAAAACUUCCUGGCUGAUAGUAACCAGUACAUCGAAGCUUUGUACAAAAAAAUUGAAAGUGAUAUCGAGGCAGUGAGGAACUGCUAUGAUAAGAGACCCACGAACAGGUAUGAUAAUGAGGCACUCGCCUGGAUGAUGCUUCUGGAUGGGUGUUUUUUGCUACGGUUCAUCCGCAGCCCAGCCAAUACGGGUAAAUAUCUUGGAGAUCACCAAAUAAAUUUUGUGGAAGAGGACUUGCUCUUGCUGGAGAACCAACUUCCCUUUGGAGUCCUCAAGUUGAUUUUUGAGGGAGCAAAUUUCAAGGUUGGUCUACCAGUGGAAAAGAAGAUGAAAGAAUUCGUCACUGACGCCGAAUGCCCAGAAUGGUCAACAUCAUAAAUAGAGCCGGAAGAGGACGAAGAGCCCUCUCAUCUCCUCGACCUUUUGCGAAGUGCUCUCCUAGGCCAGAGUCAGCCCAAACAAGAGCAGCAACCUGAGAAAAAAGGAAAGAAGUCAUGUCAAGGAGGAGAUUGGGGGUCUUGUUGCCCAUGGAAAAAAUGCAAACGAGGCAAUUGGCAGUCUUUUCGAAACAUCAAGGAGCUUAAAGCUGCCAGGAUCCAUCUCCAACUGAGUGGAACGAGAUCCUUGAGAGACAUUUCUUUCAAUUCCUACGUCUUCUAUGGCUGCCUGAAACUUCCCCGAAUAAUCAUUGAUGACUUCACGAAGCGGAAGUUCUUGAACAUUUUAGCCUAUGAAAUGGGUCCAGAUGCCCCAGAUGACUAUGGGGUCACUUCUUAUAUAUGCCUCCUUGACGACCUCAUUGAUCAUGCAGACGAUGGCAAGGAGCUGAGAUCUAAGCACAUUCUUUACAAUUGUCUUGGCAGGGAUGAAGAUGUGGCCCAACUUUUCAAUGAGAUCGGCAAUGGCUUGGUAGAUCCCGGUGCUUAUAAAGAUGUGAAAGAUCGUAUUCAGGAAUACUUGGAUAGCUCAAGCCCUUCACAACCAUUUCAUUACUGCAUGGACUAUGAUGGCUUUCAUUGCUGCUGUUUUGAUGCUAUUUAUUGCUGGGGUUCAGACCUACUACGCUCUUCCGGGUAAUUAAAUAAUCAAUAUAUAUACAUGGGUUAAUUAUGACUGUGAUGUGUUUUUUUCUUGUUUGGUGCGUUUAUGUUUGAGACAUGUAAGAUUACAUAUUGAUAAGUUGUAUGAUAUUAUUAGUCUUUUCCUCCCCCCAUGAGUUUGCUCUAAUCUAAUAUGUUUGAACUCACAAUUUCCAGCUACCUUCUUUCUAUUCCUUUUCAUAGACCAGGAUCAUACAUAACACCGUAUCCACAUAGAAAAUUUUCAGCCAACAGUAUGUAAAUCCGUGGAUUGGAUGGGAUUGAAAUUGCGCACACACAUUUUUUUUUCAAUUAAUAAGAAAAUUGUGGAUAAAAUCAUAAUUUUGAUAUAUUUAUAAAUUGAAGGAAGAAUCUCAAAUAUGCCCUCCCAUUAUUAUUAUUAUUAUUAUUAUUUUUUUUUUAUUACAGAAGACAAAAAUAUAAUUUUAGGCAAUUUAAUACUUGAUUUUGGGUCAAAAAGAGAUUUCAUAAAUAAAUACUACACUUUUUUAUUUAUUUAUAAAGUCUUCUAAUCUUCAUUGAAAGAAUCUCUACAAUUUCAACUUCUUUAAGAAAUCUUUGAAUAUUUUUCAGCUCUUCAAAAUUUUUUUAUUCCUUUUUGGAAUCUCUUUAAGAGCUCUUGGACCUUUAAGAAACAAACUAUUGUGACACUUUGAAGCAGAAUUUGUUUAACAUCAUGUGUAUGUCAUGCAAUUUAGUUCAAAAAAUUGUUGAAGGAGCUUAAUUUGCCAUAAAAGGAACCAAUAGAGAUUUACAUGGACAACAAAUGAGUGAUUACAUUAUAAAAAUAAAUAAAUAAAUAAAUAAAAAAUAAAAAAUCCAACUUUCCAUCAUUGAAGUAAAUACAUUGAUAUAAGAUAUAAUUUUAUUAGAGAAUAUUAUCAAGAAAAAAGAAUAAUUAAAAUUUGAAAAAUCUCAAAAUCAAAUUAUAGAUAUUUUUAUCAAACCUAUCAAGAUACUAAUCAAGUUUUAGUUUUUAUGUUUGAGUGGUCAAGUUGUAAAAAAUUUCUAUAUUUUACUAUGAGGAAUUUUUAUUUGAUUGAGUUUAAGUAUUUAUAAAUAAAAAUUAUGUAAUAUUUGUGGGAGUGUCCCUUUUCCAACCCGAACAUCUUGACCGUCUAGCAUAGACAUGCAAUUAGUCCGAAUCAUUCUGUCCGAAUUACAACCAAUAACAAGACCCUUUUCCCCUACAGGGCCAGAUGGCAAGGGGAAGCCGGACUCCCAUAACAGAUAGGACUGUCUAGUCAAGUCUUCAAGACCCAUUGAUAUACGUGAUCAUUCACACUUGACAUGUGAACGACUGAUGAGACCUCUUCUAACCCUCAAGUCCAUGUCAAUUAAUUACUGCACAUAACCUUAGACCAUCAUUAGGUUGAGGGGAUAGGCGACUACACAGUCUAAGAUCAUGGUGCGUCAGUUGAUGACACCUGCCAACCAACCAAAUUGUGAUGAUUGCCCAACAGUCUGUAGAACAAUCAUUAUUACAGAAGAAGGUCAAAGUGUCUAGUCAACACUAUAGUGACAUUUUUGUCAGCACUAUAUAUAACCCUCCAAAAAACACAAACAAGGCACGUGCGCACAUACACCUAUUUACUUUCUCUUACUAAGCAGCUUGAGCUACUCUAGUUUAACUUAAGCUUCAGAGAGGCGUGCCAAGACCAUCUGUCCGGACAUCUUUUUGUGUAGAAAAGGAGUUUACCCAGUCUUGCUACCGUUGGGUGGAUUCUCUGAGAGGCACAAAGAAGAGAGGAAGUUCAUCCAACUUCUAUUAAGCUGGACGAAUCUGACUCCGAUUAACUUAAAAUCAACAAUAUUCAAAUAAGAGACCGGUAGAAUAUAAUAAAUUUUUAAUUCUUUCCAUUCUCAGCUUCUGUCAUAUAAUUAUUUGUAUUCCACUUUCAAUCUCAUAACUUGGACACAAAUGGGGACCAAACAGGAGAGAAAUUUUUUGGUAGGAUGAGUUAUUGAAUAUAAUUUGGUGACGUGUCAGCAUCUUGGGGGGUCCAUGCUUUUAAUAUCAUUAUUUACGUUCUUUUUACUAAAGGUAAUGUUUAAACUUCGUACUCACCUUGGCCCACAUGCGUACUAAAAAGUAUUGAAUUAUUCCAUAAAAGCCACGAGGACAGCCUUUCAAUGCAGCUACUCAUCAAUUCAAUUCAUAGAGGGCCAACUUAAUUAUAUAUAUUUUUAAUUAAAUUUAAUUAUAUUUGAUUUUUUAAAUAUUUUUUUCUUACCUUAUUACUUUUUGAAAGUCAAACAUAACAUAAUUUUUAACUGAUUUAAAUUAUAUUUGAUAUUAAAUAUUAAAUUAUGUAAUUAUUAACAUUAAAUAUUUAAUUAUGUAAAUAUUAACAACAAAUAAAAUCUAAAUAAUUGUACUAAUAUUUUAUAUUUUCAUUUCCAAUUUUUACUUUAUUUUAAUAGAGGCUGAACAUGAUUUUUAAGAUCAUCUUAAUUUUUUAAUUAUAAAAAUAAGAAUUGAAAAAAAAUAAAAUUGGAUGGCUAAUAUUGGAAGGCAUUGUAAAUUUGAUUGUGAGGAGAAGAGUAGAGCGAGUGGUGUGAGGAGGGCAUUUUUGCCCAAAUUUGUGUUUUCGGAAUCCAAAGCAUUUCCUUGCCCACUUUUUUCUCCAUGUUCCAAGUAAACAUGAGAAAAUACUUACAAUAAGAAAUCAAUGAAAGAAAAAGGAUCAUACUACUUUUUCUUCAAUGGAGGUCAAGAUGGAUUCAAGAUACAUUUAUAAUUAAAGGCAAUUAUUGUCUAUUGAUGGAAAAUGUCCUUUGAUCAAGGUAACCCUCUCGUAAUUAAUGUACAAUUCAAUUAUUGUCCGUGGAUAGAAAAUGAAAUCUCAAUCAUACAAAAUUAAGUAUGCGUUUACGAGUGAUUCUAUAAAGCGUUUUUAUCAUUUUUAACACUUGAAUGAUAAAAUUUUUAAAGUAUUAGAAAUAUUAAAAACACUUCAUAUAAUCACUAUCAAACAAGUUCUAAAUCAAUAUAAAUUGUAUAAAGUGUUUUUAACUUUUCUAAUACAUAAAAUAUUUUUAUCAAAAAAGUUAUUUUUAAGUAAUAGAAAGGUUAAAAGAGUUUCCAAAAAUCACUAUCAAACAAAUUGUAAGAGUUUGUUUGGUAGAACGUGUUUUUAAUCUUCCUAACAUUUGACAUUUUUUAGUAAAAUAGUUUAAACCUUUCUAAACUUCCAUUUGGUAGGAAUAAGGUUUAAAACUAUAUUUUACCAUAUUUCCAAUUUAAGCUUCUAUUUUUUUCAAAUCUAUCAACUUUAGCUAAUAAGCUAAUUAUCUAAUAAUCCACUAACUACCUAUUAUUUAAUCAUUCAACUUAUAAUAAAGAGAUUCUCAAUCCUUCCAAAUGACAUUAAUUUAACCCACUUUAUUAAUCAAUUAUACCUUAAUUAAAUUGACGUUCAAAAAUUAAAUCUACAUAAUAUUCAUAUUUAAUCAAUUUAUCUUUUUGUAUAAAUUCCUAAAUUUAUAUAAGAUAAUUAAUUUAUUUUUAAUUUCAUUUCCAUUCAAUUUUAUUUCAUGUUUUAUAAUUUUAUAAGGUUGAAUUCCAAUUAUAAAAAUUAAAUUGAUUCAUAUAAAUUAAAUAUCGUUUGAAAAAUUUAUUAUAACCAUUUGUGUAGACCCCGCAUUUUCGCCUCAUGCUUUUCCCACUCGAUGGCAAAGCUCGAUUUUCAUUUUGAAAAAUGAUUUAAUUUGAUUAAGAAAAUGACUUGGAGUCGCCACUUAUUUUUGUUUUAUUUUUAAAAGGGUAAACAAAAUAAGAAAAAAAAACCCUAAAUGUGACUCCUUAAUUUGGAAAAGACGGUAUGCGAAAAACCAGAUCGAGUUCGGGGGUCAGGUUACUCAUCGGGAAGGUACGGUAAAGACCGUAGCACCCCUCUAAGCCCCUAAAGUCGGGUCUCUACCAAUAAAGUGAAACUGACGUGGCAAUCGAAUAAGUCAAUGGAUACUCACAUCAAUCAUGCAUAUAUGAGAAUCAGAAUAUGUGUAGCGAAUGAUCAGAAUGAGUGAAUGCGUACCUGGGUAGCAAACAGCAACGCGCUGUCAAGAAACGAGAUUAGUGCAUAAUUAAUGAAUACCAAAUAUAGCCCAUGCAUAUCGGAGUGCAAAACGAAGCUCAAGCAAAAAUACCGUAAGCACGAUGAUUGCCAGUCAAAAGGGGUCAAACAUAGGGCCCCCAACAAAGUCCAAUUCAUCAUUCAUGGACUAGUCUCACAAAUUCCGUGUUUCGGGAUCAUGAAGAAUUCAUCAUUGCUUAUGUAAAAUAAAGAAAAUCAUAAGAUUAUUUAGGAGCUGAAAUGGAAUUAAAACUAUUUGAGUGAAAACUGGAUUCUUGGAGUUUGUUUGAAAAUCGGGGGUCUUGGGAAUUAAAUUUAAGAGUUGGAAUUCUGGAGAUUAAAUUAGAAAGAAAUUAGAAUUUCGGAAAUUGGAAAUUAAGUUCGGAAAUUGGAAUUUUAAAGAAUUGUUUAAAAAUGGAAUUUUGAAAUAAACAAAUGGACUAAUAAUAAUAAGGACGAAAAUAAUGAUUAAAUAAAUGAAUGGGAAUGCUGGAAUUUUUGAAAUUGGAAAUUAGAUUUAGAAGUCAGAAAGUUUAAAGAAUUGUUUAAAAUAGAAUUUUAAGAUAAAUAAACAAACUAUUAGUGAUUAAAUUAAUGUGAAUAUGGGAAUUUUCAAGAUUCGGAAUUUAAUUUGUAAAUCUGAAGUUUUAAAGAAUUGAUUUAAAAUGGAGAUAAAAUACUAAUGAUUAAAUAAAUUAAUGAGAACAUGAGAAUUUUUGGGAUUAGGAAUUUAAUUCGGAAAUCAGCGAUUUUAAAGAAUUUGAUUUAAAAUGGAGUUUUGAAAUAAAUAAUCAAAAUAAUAAUAAUUAAAUAGAUUAAAGUGAGUAUGGGAAUUUUCGGAAAUUGGAAUUGAGUUUUAAAGAUCGGAAUUUUGAAGUAUUAUUUGAAGGUUGAAUAAUAAUAAGGUUUUGAAAGUUUUGAUUAAUGAUAAUAAUAAUAAUAAUAAUAAUAAUAAGAUUUUGAAAGUUGAGGUAAUAAUAACAAUAAUAAUGAGAUUUUUGAAAGUUUGGAUUAAUAAUGAUAAUAAUAAUGAUAAAUAGAAUAAUGUUUAAACGAACGAACGUGAAUAGUGAAAAAAAUUUUUAGAUCGAAAAUUAAAUUCGGAAGUCAAAUUUUUGAAUAAUUAAACUUUGAUAAUUGAAAAUUUUAAAAUACAUAAAUAAAUAAAUAAAUAUGGAAUAAUAAUAAUACUAACAAAAAAUAAUGUUUAUGAAUAGUGGAAUUUUUGGAAUAUUGGAACUGAAAAUUUGAAUUUUGGGAAAAUUAAAUUUAAGGUUAGAGUUCUAAAAGAAUUAUUUCGAGAAUUGAAUUUUGAAGAAUUAGAUUUAAAAUAUUAGUUUUGGAAAAUUGAAUGUUAGAUAUAUAUAUAUUCUUAAAAAUAAUAAAUAAAUAAAUGGACAAAUAAAAAUUAAAUGAAUAAAAUAGAUAAAGUGAAUGAAUUUGAAACGUUGGGAUUUUAAAAGAAUUAUUUGAUGACGUGAUUUUUAAAAAAAAAAAAUGAAAUUUUUAACAUGAAAAAUGGGAUUAAGAAGAUGGCACGUGGGAUAAAGUGGAAAAAAUAAUAAUAAACCAUCUUGAAACCUGCUGGAACCCUGCUACUAAUGGAAAAUAAAAAAAAAUAAUAAAAAACUCAUGUCUUUGACUUUUAUCCGCCAAUUUGCUUAAACAAUGCCAUCAGUGGGAAACAAAAGGGCUUCGACAUAUCCCUCCUUGAGGCAAACUCCAGCACCUAUUUCCUUAAAAACUUCUCUUCAAGCUUUGACUUCAGCCUGAACCCAGCUACCAUUUGCAUAAACAUAGCUGCCUCUGUUGGACCGACCAUGCUUCCGCUACGUGCAUGCAUGAAAGUAAACGGAGCAAGUGGGCUUUGGCAGUGGGCUUAGGAGGGUGGCCAUGCGAAAUGAAGCCAUGUGGUUGGAUCCGCGCAUGAGUGUGCCCAAGGUGGAUAGGGAAUGAAGAUAUCGCUGUAGAAAAACGAGGAGGAGAUGCGGCAUCUUGGUUUUGCAAGGGCUGCCAGUUAGUGAGUUUUCCACCAGCCAUCAGAAGAGAGGGAAAGCAAAGGAACUUCCAUGGUUGCUUGGCUGCAUGCAUGCCCCGUCCCUGGACCCAGCUAAGUGGAAUUCCCGGGCAGCCUCCCUGCUCUGUUUGAAGUGCCCGAGAGCCAAACGUUAGGCUGGAAGUGCAGCCGCGUGCAUGGGUAUGGCAGCAACGGGUGAUGAUGGAUGGGAAAUAAAUUCGGUAUGUAUGGGGCGUGAUGAGUGGUGCGUGUGAGGGUAUAGUGAGUGGGAGGGGUCAUGCAUGUGUCGGAGAUAGAAACAUAAGAUGAAGCUCGCGAGGGAAGGCAAUGGGAAAAUGAGAGGGAUGGAUGCUGGCUAUGGGUAACUGGUUUGGGAGUGGAUUGAUAUCAGGAGCAUGAAGAGCAAACAGUUGCUGCAUACAUACCUACCAGCGGAUUCCUCUAAUGCAAACCCAAAACCUUUCCCUCUGGCUGAUAUCCAAUCGAUCCAUACCCUAGAUCGAGCGCAUAAAAAGAACAACAAAAAGAAAAAAACAGAGCCCAGAACAGAGGAGAGCCAGGAAAAGCAAACAAAUAACAUAUGAAUGAAGAGAAAAACCGCAUCUGAUGCUUCUACAAUGGGCUUGCAUUGGUGGGAAAGGGUAGCAAGCAGGUUCAGACGAGAAAAUACCAAUUAAUAUAUUCAUACAGAGCAAAAUGAAACAAAGCUUCUCCAGGUUAAAACCAAUACUAAGAGGGAUAACGAAUGAAACGAUCAGCGAGCAUAUGAAGAAACCAGAAACUGACACUACUCAGACAUAACUCCUGUUAUUCCUAACCAAGCAUAAAAGCGGAACCCUGAACAACUAGAGGAGAAAGAGAAAACAGUGGUGGUAAAAAUAAAGCAAAAGAUGCGUAGUGAGCUUACCUGAAUGCUCCCUCGAGCAAAAAUAAUUGGAUCUCACAGAACCUCCACCUCUGUUCCGCCUCCUCCCCGAGAAAAGAAAACCCUCUAGCUUGCGUCUCCGGAAUACCCCUCAGUUUUCUCUGUUUUUCCCUCCGAGCUCUCUCCUUUUUCUCUCUCGAUCCCUCCUCCCUCUGUUUCUCGUCCUUUCUUUUCUUUUCUUUUUCUCUUUUUCUCCGUUUUCAGUCUUCCUCAGCAAGCCAGCCGUUGCUUCCUGCCAUCCGCCGCACUCCUCUGGCCGAGCCAACCUUCCAUCAGCCGCCUGAGAAAAAAGAAAAAAGAAAAAAACAAAGAAACUCCUCCCUGCUUCGCAGCCUCAGGGGGGGUCUACAAUUUGAUAUAACCAUUUAAUUCUUGCAGGCCCCACCUUCACCCAGGGGAAAUGAUCAAGCCUUUAUGGGCCCAAAAAUUCCUGGCUGACAGUAACCAGGACCUCGAAGCUUUGCACAUAAAAAUUGAAAGUAAUAUAAAGGAAGUGAGGAGCUGCUUGUAUAUGAAUAUAAUAAGAUAAUAAACAUUAAUAUUAUAUAAAUCAUUGAAAAGUAUGACUUGUAUAUGAAUUUAUUAUAAAAUUGUAUUAAUAUUAAUUUAUUUAUUACACAAAAUAUAUGGAUAUGAGUUUAUUUAUUAUUCAUAAUUUAUUAAUAUUAAGAAUUACUCAAGGAUAACUUUUUUAUUUAAAUUUUUUUCUUUAUAAGAUAUUAGAAAAUUAUAUUUUACAUAUAAAUUUAUUAAUCUUCUUCAUAUCAAAUAAAUAUUAAUAUUAGGUGAAUAAAUAUAAUAUGAUGGUACGUAUUAAUAUUAUAUAAAGAGAUAAAUAUCAUAAUUUUAAAAUAUAACGUAUAUUUUUUAACUAUUCAAUAUCUAUGAAUAUCAUUCGAGGUAUAUGAAUAUUAAUUUUAUUAUGAAUUUAUUUAUAAACUCUUUUAUUUAAAUUUUUUAUAUACUUUUUCUCUUUUAUUUAAAAAUUUUCCAUUAUAUUUUAUAAAAUGUUAAAAAAUUAUUUUUAUUACCCCACAUGCAAUGCACGUGUUUUUAGGGUGAAAAAUUGGAUUGAGGCUUUCAAAAAUGCAGAAGAAAGGGCUCAAUCUCAAACGCAAUGGCCAAGAAUACCGAAGGUUCCUCACAUUCUGAAGAAAUUGUACGAACCGAGGGUAAUUUCAUUCGGUCCUUACCACCAUGGCAAGUCCCACCUUCGCCCAGGGGAAAUGAUCAAGCCUCCCUGUGCCCUAAACUUCCUGGCUGAUAGUAACCAGAACAUCGAUGGUACACAAAAAUCGAAAGUAAUAUCGAGGCAGUGAGGAAGGGCUAUGAUUGGAGUAGUACAAGCGAGUAACGUUCUUAUAUGUCACCAAAUUUAUUUUGUGGGGCUGGACUUGUUCUUGCUGGAGAACCAACUUCCCUUCGGAGUUGUUAUAUUGAAGCGCAUAAUUGGUUGAAGAUCACGGAGCGUUUCGAAUAAAAACACUCUGUUUAUUAUUUAGAAUUUUUUAUAUUUCUUAUUAUUUGUUGGACCUAUAAGUCAAAUAAAAUGGAUCAUUCCUAUGUUUAUGGGAAGAAUCAAUCAAAGAAUUUCAUUAUAUCUCUUCUAAGACCGUUCUAUUUCAUUUAGUAUCUAAUAGGGAUAAACGAUACACAGAUACAUUAGAGAAUAUAUUUCUUUAUUUGAUGCUCUUAACGAUAAUUGCUAUUAAUAAAAGUAAUUAAAACUACUACUCUAGCCAACCUUCCUGUAAAAGAUAUUUUCUUAACAUCAAGCGUGUACAAUCAAACUUGAACCCAAGCCUUUUGGCGUGGUUCGAAUGAUUCCCCUUUGCAAGCCACUUUAAUUUAAAGUGCUGGACUGACAACCACCUUAAAUUUGAAAUUUGAAACAUGACGGCAUGGGCAGUGUUAAUUUGAAGCGCGGGCAGUGUUGAUCGAUUAUCCGUGGUUGAUUUCGUAUUAGCCAUCCUUGAUAAAUGAUUAUUUAUCGAUAUUUUGGUGAAAAAUCCUGAUUUUUCAAACACCGGUGGUCUUGCACUUCAUAAGGAUUGAACAAUAAAUAAUGGGUACAGAGAGAUGGGUGAAAUACAAAGUAAUAUGAUACUAUAAUGAUAAAAUAAUAAUAAUAAUAAUGUUAAAUGUUAAGCUAAUAAAUGAAAUAAAAUUAUAGUUUUAUUAAAUUAACUAUAUAUUCUUAGAAACAUUAUAAAUUAGAAACUUAUUAAUUUUACUUAAAUAAGGAAUAAAUGAAUUAAAUUAAUAUUAAUAAUUAGGAAAAAUAAUAUUAAUAAAUAAAGUGAUUAGGAUCAUCAAAUCUAUAUAAUUUUAGUUAAUUGUCUAUAGCAAGAAACUUAUUGAUUUUAAUUAAAUAAAAAAUAAAUUAAUUGAAUUAAUAUUGAUAAUUAAGAAUAAUAAUAUUAAUAAAUAAAAUUAUUAAGAUCGUGGAAUCUAUAAUUUUAGUUAAGCUUCUAUUGUUUUUUCAAAUAUAUUAACUUUAGAUAAUAAGCUAUCCACUAACCAUUUAUUAUUUAAUCAUUCAACUUACAAUAAUGAGAUUCUCAAUCCUUCAAAAUGACAUUAAUUUAACCCACUUCCUUAAUCAAUUAUACCUUGAUUAAAUUAAUCUUUCAAAAAUUAAAUCUACUGAAUGAUAAUAUGCAUAUCUAAUCGAUUUACCUUUUUGUAUAAAUUGUUAAAUUCAUAUUUAAUUUCAUUUCGAUUCAAUUUUAUUUCAUAUUUUAUAAUUUUAUAAGGGUUAUAAAAAUUAAAUUGAUUAAUACUGUAACAUUAAAUUAAAUAUCUUUUAAAAAAUUUAUUAUAAUCAUUUGAUAUAAUACAAAUUUCAUCAAGUUUUUUUAAUUAUGGUUUUCUGAUAAUUACCUUAUAAUAAUAAAAUUAAUUCCUGUAAUACAUAUAAUAUUCAAAUUUCAAAAAUCCAAUCUCAAAUAAUUUAAUUGCUAAAUAUAUAUUUAAUUUUUGAAGUUCCUAAUUUCGAAAUGUGACUUGGCGAGAAUUUAAACUAUUGACCUUCCACUAAGUCACUAACUUCUCAAAAGUGUCGCCUAAUUAAAUAAAAUAUCUGACACGUCAAUGUUCACUAACAUCGUUCAUUUAUUUGGACCAUUCAUUUUGGUUGAUUUUGAGGAUAGUCAUCGGCAGUAGACCUACAUCUUCUGGACCAAUCAGCAUACCAACAGUGAUUAGGCUAAGGUGGUGAUCCAAUUCCAUGGAAGGGCAGCAAGAAAGGAUUGGAGAGAUAGAACCAGUUGGCGGCCAACCAAGCAGGAACAGUGGCCAAACUGGCCUCGAGCCUGAGGAGCAUACGAUUGACAUUGUUGAAAUCAGUGAUGAGGAUUGGUUUAACUCUCUCAGAACGGCAGAAGAAAGCACUCAAUGGCCAAGGAUACCAAAGGUUCCUCAGAUGCUGAGGGGGACCCAGGAUUUCAAGAAAUUCUACGAACCGAGGGUAAUUUCAAUCGGUCCUUACCACCAUGGCAAGCCCGACCUUGGCCGAGUGCAAAUGAUCAAGCCUCUAUGUGCCCAAAAAUUCCUGGCUGAUAGUAACCAGAACAUCGAAGCUUUGUGCACAAAAAUUCGAAGUAAUAUCGAGACAGUGAAAAAGUGCUAUGAUUGUAGUAGUAAAAUAAAGUAUAAUGAUGUGGAACUCGCCAGGAUGAUGCUUCUGGAUGGGUGUUUUUUUACUAUAUUUCAUCCGCGGGGGAGAUGUGAAACAGUUUCUUAAAGUUCACGAAAUAGUUUGUGUGGUGCAGGACUUGUUCUUGCUGGAGAACCAACUUCCCUAUGGAGUCCUCAAGUUGAUUUUUGAGGCAGCAAAAUUCCAGGGUGGUCUACCAAUGGAAAAGAAUAUUAUAAUAAAAUUCGUCUCUGACAUCGGAAUGCCAGAAGGGUUGUCAUCAGAAAUACAGCUGAAAGAGGUGAACGAAGAGCCCUCUCAUCUCCUCGACCUUUUGCGAAGUGCUCUCCUAGGCCGGUUCCACAUGAUUAGGAGUCAGCCCGAAAAAGAGCAGCAACCUAAGAAAAAAGGAAAGUCGUCGUGGAAAAAAGGCAAACAACGGGGCAUUUGGCAGUCUUUUCGACACAUCAAGGAGCUUAAAGCUGCCGGGAUCUAUCUCAAACCGAGUAGAACGUGUUUCUUGAGAGACGUUUCUUUCAAAUCCUACUUCUUCUUUGGCCACCUGAAACUUCCCCCAAUAACUAUUGAUGACUUCACGAAGACCAAGUUCUUGAACAUCGUAGCCUAUGAAAUGUGUCCAGGUCCAGGUGCCCCAGAUGACUAUGCGGUCACUUCUUAUAUAUGCUUCCUUGACGACCUCAUUGAUCAUGCAGACGAUGUCAAGGAGCUGAGGUCUAAGCACAUUCUCCACAACCUUCUUGGCAGCGAUGCAGAUGUGGCCGAAAUUUUCAACGAGAUUGGCAAUGGCUUGGUAGAUCCCGGAAUUUAUGAAGAUGUGAAAGCUCGUAUUCAGAAACACUACAAGAAGAGAGUGAAUACUUGGAUAGCUCAAGCCCUUCACAACCAUUUCAGGUCUCCAUGGACUGUCAUGGCUUUCAUUGCUGCUCUUUUGGUACUAUUUCUUACUGCGGUUCAGACCUACUACGUUGUUUGGUGUGUGUGAUUAGAAAAAUAAAGAUUCUUGUUUGGUGUGUGUGAUUAGACAAAUAAAGAUGCUUAUAUUGUUAAGUUGUAUCACUGGAUUUCAUGCAUGCAAUAUUAUGAGUCUUUGAAUACUCUUCAACUCUUUUAGAAAUUUUUAAUCUUCUUGGAAUCUCUUUUAAGAGAUUUAGGGCUUUUCUUUAGUUUUUUUUGUCAAAACCCCAUGCACAGAGAUUGAGUUAGAAAUGAAAAUGGAGAAAAGAAAAGUACUCGAUAGUUUUGCAUAUUACUUGAUAGAACUCGUUAAAAUUGUUUAUGUCUCUGGCACUAAAAUACACCUUGUAGCACUUAGCAAUCAAAGCCUGUUUUUCCUCCUUACUUCCAAUUUAGACAUGGAGAGGUGACACAAACUUUGGGAUAUUCAAUGAUUCAACAAAGCAUUCAUCAAAUAUUAUAUUGUUUGCUUUGAUGGAGGGGCAAAGAUGAUGAUACCAGGAGUUAGUUUCAUGAGGGAUGCGCCUAUCUUUUGAGUGGUUGGAUAUGAUGACGUUGUUGGAAAGUGUCUUAGAAAUUAUUUUUGAGUCAAUUGAAAAAUUAUAGAUAAUCUCCUAAUACAAAAUAUUAUUAUAUUUGAGUUUUCUAUUAUUAUAUAAUGGGAAUAUUAUAUUAUAAGAAUUUUUUUUUUAGGAAAAGACACAUUUGACAAUUAUACAUUUAGUUUUCUAUAUGCAAUCUUCCUAUAUAUGUAAUUAGGAAAAUAUACAUAAGAAGACAUUUAAAAAAAAAAAAUUAUCUAUCAAAUGUUUUUCUAGAAAACAUUAUAGGUGACAAAUAUAUGAAUUUUGGAUGAUCACGAGGGAUAGUCAUCGGCAGUAGACCGAAGUUUAUGAAGAUGUGAAAGCUCCUAUUCAGAAACACUACGACAAGAGACUGAAUGCUCGAGCCCUUCAGGACCAUUUCAUUACAGCUGUUUUGAUACUAUUUCUUAAUGGGGUCAGACCCACUACCGUACUACGCUCUUGACCCACAUCGAAUUAUUGCUGCUACUCAUCCAUUCCUGGAGUGCCAGCUUGCAUCUGGUUACAAAUAUAUCCUGGAAUCCAUCCCCACAUUUCCCCGUGAACUAAUCUGUUUGGUUCCGGAAACCACUAAAAAAAAUAAAAAAGGAAAAUGCUAAAAAUAUAUUUCUUUAUACUUGAUUUUGUUAAAAAAAAAAAAAAAAAUGUCAAAGAAAGUCUGAAUAUAAAUAAAAUUAUUAAAAUUUUUAUAUAUUUUUUUAAUCCUUAUAUAAAAGAGUUAAAUAAUUUAAAAAAGUUUAAGGUACUAUAUACUAUUGAUUUUAAUUUUUGAAAUUUUAAUUUUUAUUAUUUUUCCUUUUAUCUUUUCUUUCUAUUUUCUUUCUUUUAUAAUUUUCUUUAAACUUUUCGGGAACUAAAUAUAACUUAAAUAACCUAUUAAUUUGAGGUUUAUUGUUGUUGUGUUUUUUUUAUUUAAAUCUAAAUAAAAUUUAAUUUAAUUUAAUUCUACAUAUAAUUUAAUACUAUUAAGUUGUUUAUUUUUUAUUAUUUUAUUUUUAUUAAGUAUUAAGUAUGAAUAGGUGGGAGUUGCGUUGAGGUUGUGUUUUAGUUAUUUUAAAAAGCGGUGAUCCAAUUCCAUGGGAGACCUGCAAGAAAGGAGGAACGUUGGAGAGAAAGAAGGCGGUCAACCAAGUAGGAACAAUGGCGAAACUGGCCCCAAGCCUAAGGAGCAUAGGAUUGACAUUGUUGAAAUCAAUCCUACGGUGAAAAAUUGUGGAUAAAAAUUGUGCACAUCACUAAAGAAAGUGUUUUCUAACUUUUUUAAUCCAAUAUGCAUUAAAGGUGUUUCUUGAAGAGACACAUUCCAUAAUUUAACAAAUUUGAAUGUCUCAUGAAUUUGAUUUUAAAGCUAAAGAUGUCUCUUGAAGAGAUAUUUUCUACAAUUCCUAAAAAUUUUAAUUUAUACAAAAGGUGUCACUUGAAGAGACACUUACCAUAGUUCCACAAUUUCACAAAUUCCAAUAUAUAAUAAAGGUGUCUUCUUCAAGAGACACCUUCUACAAUUCCAAAAAAUUGGAUUUAUACUAAAGGUGUCUCUAGAAAAGACAUUUUCCACAAUUCCACAAAAUCCAAUAUGUAUUAAAAAUUGUGUACAUGAUUUUAAAGCUAAAGAUGUCUUUCUUCAACAUAAAUUCGAAAUUUUCUACUGUGUAUGAAAAUUGUGGAAAGUGUUUCUUCAAGAGACACUUUCAGUAUAAACUCAAUUUUUUUUUAAAUUAUGGAAGGUGUCUCUUCAAGAGACACCUUCAGUGUAGUUCCAUUUUUGAGAAUUGUGAAAGGUGUCUCUUGACACCUUCCACAAUUUUAAAAAAAUUGGGUUUAUACUAAAAGUGUCUCUUCAAGAGACACUUUCCACAACUUAACCUCUAUUGAUGGUGACCUUUUAGUAUAAAUCCAAUUUUUUGGAAUUAUAAAAGGUGUACCUUUAGUAUUGUGGACCCGCAUUUUUCACGUGCGUCCCCAUUCGGUCGGCGAGACUCUCUUUUUAUUUGUGAAAAAUUAUUUAGUUUUGGAAAAGUUGGAGCCGUCACUUAUUUUAUUUUUAUUUUAAAGGGAAAAUAAAACAAGAAAGAAAAACCCUAAAAUGUGACUCCAUAAUUUUUGGAAAAAAACAUGUCUUUGAAAAACCUGAGUCUAGGUCCGAGGAUCAGGUUACUUAUUGGGAAGGUACCUCUAGGAGGUAGCACCCUUCUAAGCCCUAAAGAGGUCUUACUAAAUUGGGGAAAUGGGGCAAUUAAUUGAUUAAUUGUAGAUACCUAAGUAAGCUAGGUGAUUUUCAGAAAGUAGCAUGCUAAAUAAGGAGAUCAAUCACAAUAAAGGAGAGUUAGGGUGCGUACCUGAACCACUUCUUAAGCGCUAUCAUAAAAUAUCAAUGGUUAAUUCAGAAAUAUGACACACGACAUGCAUUUUAUCAAGGAUGAUCAAACAAGCAUCGAGACAAUCAAGUAUGGCAUCAAACAAGGGCAAUGACAUGCAUAUUCAUGAAAUUUUGGGAACGUACCUGGAUAGCAUAUAUAACUCCUAAUGUGCUUCCUCAGGAUUAGAUAAUAAAUAAUAAAUAAUAAAUCCUAGCAUGCUUAUCUAAUUAAUUAGCAAAAAUUAUCAGAAUUGGGAAUAAUUAAUUAUCAUACAUAUCUUGUAUACAAUUCCUACAAAGAAAAAAUGUAAAUAUGAUUACGAUAAAUAGCAGGGUGGUAGCAAAAGUAAAUUUUGAAAAAAUUUUCUUAUAUAGGGGUUUCACCAAUUCCCCAAAUUAAUAUACACGAAUUUAGCCUAAAAUUGUCCCAUUUAUUUGGGACCAUAAGCUUUGAUUCGCGUUUUGUUUAAAACCAAAAUUUUUGUUGAAAAUUGAGAAGGAUGCAAACCGAUUAAGAUAUGGUUGCAUAUUAUUUUUUAAAAAGAAAAUAGAUUUUGAUUCUAAAGGCUUUAAAUGAAUAAUAAAAAAAAAUUUUAAAACGAUUUUUUUGAGAAAAAGAGUUUUGUUUUAAAAUAAAAGAAAUUAAUUUUUAAAAUAACAAAAAUAGAAAACAAAAUAUCAAUCAAAACAAAAAACAAAGAUCACGAAAUAAAGAUUUUAGAAAAUCUUGUCAAUUAAAGUGGUGAGAGUAAAGGCCAACCUUCAUGGAUUUCCAGUGGCCCUAAAAAAAAAUUUGACCAACAAUCACUAAGGCAACAAAUUUAUGACUUCCUAAUAAAACAAACUAACAAAAUUAUCAUCCAAAAACUAACAUUUAAAUUUCAAGAAACACAUGAAUAACUAGAAUUAGACUAAUUGAAAUUAAAAAUGUAAACUUUACCUCACAAGAUCGAUUAAACUAAAGAAUUAAGAUCAAUAACACAUUCAAAUUAAAAAUAAACUAGAAUUUAAAAUAAUCGGAAUUAAAAAUAUAAACUUUACCUUACAAAACCAAUUAAACUAAUAGAUUAAGAUCAAUGACUCAUUCGAAUUAAAAAUAAACUAAAAUUAAACUAAUUAGAAUUAAAAAUAUAAAUUUUAUCUCGCAAGAUCAAUUAAACUAAAGAAUUAAGAUCGAUAACACUAUUCAAAUUAAAAAUAAACUAGAAUUAAACUAAUUGAAAUUAAAAAUAUAAAUUUUACCUUACAAGACCAAUUAAACUAAAGAAUUAAGAUUAAUAACAUAUUCAAAUUAAAAAUAAACUAGGAUUAAACUAAUUGAAAUUAAAAAUAUAAAUUUUACCUCACAAGAUCAAUUAAACUAAUAGAUUUAAGAUCAAUAACUCAUUCAAAUUUAAAAAAAACUAGAAUUUAAACUAAUCGGAAUUAAAAAUAUAAACUUUACCUUACAAGUCCAAUUAAACUAAAGAAUUAAGAUCAAUAACAUAUUCAAAUUAACAAUAAACUAGGAUUAAACUAAUUGAAAUUAAAAAUAUAAAUUUUACCUCACAAGAUCAAUUAAACUAAUAGAUUUAAGAUCAAUAACUCAUUCAAAUUAAAAAAAAAACUAGAAUUUAAACUAAUCGGAAUUAAAAAUAUAAACUUUACCUUACAAGUUCAAUUAAACUAAUAGAUUUAAGAUCAAUAACUCAUUCAAAUUAAAAAUAAACUAGAAUUUAAACUAAUCGGAAUUAAAAAUAUAAACUUUACCUUAGAUCAACAACUCAUUCAAAUUAAAAAUUAAACUAGAAUUUAAACUAAUCGGAAUUAAAAAUAUAAACUUUACCUUACAAGUCCAAUUUAACUAAUAGAUUUAAGAUCAAUAACUCAUUCAAAUUAAAAAUUAAAGAUCAAUAACUCAUGCAAAUUAAAAUAAACUAUAAUUUAAACUAAUCGGAAUUAAAAAUAUAAACUUUACCUUACAAGUCCAAUUAAACUAAUAGAUUUAAGAUCAAUAACUCAUUCAAAUUAAAAAUAAACUAGAAUUUAAACUAAUCGGAAUUAAAAAUAUAAACUUUAUUUAAACUUUCAUGUAAAUUAAAAAUGAACUAGCAUAGAACUAAUGAAUUGCAAUCAUAAAAGAGAGACAUUUAAUCUAAGAAAAAUAAAAGAUCGUUCGAAAUUGAGAUUUAAAAGAAUUUAUCACAAACAAUUAAUUAAACCAAACAACUAAAACCCAAAAAAAAAGGAAAUACGGUAUCAAAAAUCGAAAACUAACCUGUAUUGUAUCGGAAAAAAUACUCUCUUGAUGUUUCAAAAUGGCAACCCAAUUAGUCUUUCAGGUCUUCUACCGCUCCCUCCUAAAAAAAUUGCGUGUGUUCCUCUCCUUUAAAAAAGAUUGCUUUUUGUAUGUGAAUUUCUGCUCCCAAAAGAAAAAAAAUCUCCCUGCCAAAGAAAAAGUCCCCCACUUGUCUUCGAUCUCUCUCCUCCAGAAAAACAAUCCCCCCUCUAAAAAUAAAACUUCUCUGAUCCAAAAAAAGGAAACCCACUUUUCUUUCUUAUUUUCUACCCUUUUAUAACCAAUUUUCCCAUGGAAAUAAUAUAUGUGCUAUCAUUCUAAAAACAAAAUCUCCUCUUUUUCAAAAUUCUGUUGAUUCUCCUUCCAAAUAGAUGGCGACCCGUUUCCUCAUGCCCAAAAAGCUAAGAAAUAUGAUUUAGAAAACUAGUAAUAAGAUAAAAUAAAAUAAAAUAAAAAUAAUAAAGAAAUUCAUAUAAGCCACACAAGUCAUGUAGGCCAUGCAAUCAUGCAAGUCAUAUAAAAAGUGGGUUUAAAAAUGCUUAAAUGGGCCUAAGGCGUUCAAGAAAGUGCCUAAGUCUAAAUUAGGGCUGCCAAGGUCAUAAUAAGGGGUUAGGCAAUCCUUCAACCAGAGUCUCCGAGGUGGUUCAAGAAAGGUAAGUAGUGUGAGUAGAUAUGGGCCACCAAUGAGCUAACUGUAAAGUAUCGAACAAGUAUCUAAUAAGACAUGUGCUAGGAGGACAAAAUUGAGGGUUUACAAAUAUGCCCCUCUUCGGUAGAGAUCACGAGUGUAAGGAAUGUGAGUAAAAAUACGAACAAAGAAUGGAACGAAGUGAACUAUAUCGAAGAACUAGAGAAUGACCAGAGAUUUUGUCCUAGCACAUGACGAGAGUAAGAUCGGAACAUGGGUUUGUGACGACAAGAAUGGAACAACUCUACGUAGGGGAAUGAUAGUGAAGAGAGAAAGGUAUGUGAUGAGUAGCACAAGAAUGAGAAAAAAAAAGAUGAAAAUGAUGACCCAAAGUCAUGGAUGAGAUGAAUAACUCUAGGUCAUGGACAAGAUGAACGACUCUGGGUCAGAAAUAAGAUGAACGACUCUGGGUCGGAAAUAGGAUGAACGACUCUGGAUCAUGAGCUCAAGGCUAUAAAUUUUAAGAAUGACUCUAGGUCAAGAUGGAGUGAAUGACUCUAGGUCGUGAGCUCCGGGCUCUAAACGGAAAAGAAACGACUCUGGGUCAUAAAUGAAAAUUGACUCUGGGUUGAGAACUCAGGGCUCUAAAUGGAUAGCCGAUCAGGAUGCUUUCCGACUCAUGGUGCCGGGUCGAGGCCACUCACAAGUGGCUAAAAUGAUGAAACGAAACAUCUCAAGGAUGUGAAGGAUGCAAACGACUCUGGGUCGUAAGCUCAGGGCUCGGGAUGCUAUGAAUGACUCUGGGUCAUGAUGCGAUGAGUAACUCAGGGUUAUGAUGAAUAGCCCAAGGCUAUGGAUGGAAUGAAUGACUCUGGGUCAUGAUGCAAUAAGCAACUCAGAGUUACGAUGAAUAGCUCAGGGCUAUGGAUGACAUGAAUGACUCUGGGUCAUGAUGCAAUGAGUAACUCGGGGUUACAAUGAAUAGCUCAGGGCUAUGAGCUCCAGGCUCUAUGACUGAUCGGCUAGAAGGAGAAUGCGAUACGCAAACUCCUGGUCAAACCACUCAUGGGCGACCAAAUGAUGAAGGCUUAGCUCAGGGUUGGAAAGACUCUGGGUCUAUAGGAAACGAUAGCUCAAGGCUACCAGGCGCAGGACCUAAGGGAAGAAAGAGAGCUCAGGGCUAUAAGACUCAGGGUCUAGAAGGAGUGGAUAGUUCAAGGCUAUGAGGCUCAGGGCCUAGAAGGAACGGAUAAAGAAGACCAACUCGAAAGUGGAUAGGAAGUAAAUGGGCUCAAAGUCGUAUACUCAAAGUGACAAGAGUCGGACUACUGAGCUCAAGAAGGGAAAUAUGACCCAGUAUCCAGGGUGCUCACACUGCUAAAACAACCAAUAAAUCAAUCAUCCGCUGAAAUCAAUAGGUCAGAAACUGAUGCAUCAUGACAAACCUCUGAAAAGUCUAAGCUGAAAGAACUCUCUGUGUCUGAAAAGCUGCCCUAUCGACGGAUCUCAAAAGGUAAAUUUCAAAGUGCAUAAAAUACUGCUCAUUCGGGUAAUCCAAUCUGCAAGGUGACAAUGAUGAAAACAAAUCUAUCCCAUGAACAUCUGGCUAAAGGACCCACCCACGUUCCUCUGGUGAAAGCCGAUGUGAUCCAUCUCUAUCUCGAAAAAUCCAUGUAAGGAGGUCCUGAUAUAAUUAAUCUCCGAAAGCUCCAAAUUAAUCUCAAUCUAAAACCAAGCUGGCCACUGUCUCGAUCUCAAGGAUACUCAAAGAAAAUGGGGAAAUAUGCCCCAGUAUAAGAUUCAGUAUCAAAAUCAUGAGGUAAACAUCCGACACUAAUCACCCAUCCUCAUACCACUGCCCAAACAAAUCUCGCAAAGGAGAGGGGAAUAUGCCCCAGUAUGGAUAUCUGAUGUCGAAGUUAUGAGAUAAACAACCAACAAUGAUCAUUCAUCUAUGUACUGCUGCCCGAACAUAAUCUCAUCAUGGAGUAUGUUCACAUCAUUUGUUUGCUAUGAAUCUAAUAUGGUUAAUGUAAACACCAACACAUGGUGGAUUGAUUCUGGAUCUACAAUCCACAUUUCAAAUUCCUUGCAGGGUAUGUAAAACCUAAGGAAGCCAGUGAAAAAUGAGCAAUUCAUCUUAUCCGGAAACAAGAUGGGCUCGCAUGUGGAAGCAAUAGGGACAUGUUAUUUAACUUUAUAUGGUGGUUUUAUUUUGGAAUUACAAAAGACCUUUUAUGUACCAAGUUUCUCACGAAACUUGAUUUUAGUUUCUAGACUUGUACCGUUUGGAUAUUCCUUUCAUUUUUCAGAAACAUCUUUCAGUUUGAUUUAUAAAUCUGAUUGUGUUGGGAAUGGUAUCUUGUCUGAUGGUCUUUAUUGUAUAUUCUUACAAAAUGAUACCGCUCAUAAUUCAUUACAUGCCCAAACUGGCAUUAAGAGAUGUGUUGUAAAAGAGGAUUCCUCUAUAUUGUGGCACCGGAGAUUAGGUCAUAUCUCCAUAGAUAGAAUCAAAAGAUUGGUGAAUGAUGGGGUACUUAGUACUCUAGAUUUUACUGACUUUGAGACUUGUGUGGACUGCAUUAAGGGUAAGCAGACCAAUAAGUCAAAGAGAGGUGCUACUAGGAGUUCCACCAUACUAAAGAUCAUACAUACUGAUAUAUGUAGUCUUGACAUGGACUCUCAUGGUCAGAAAUACUUCAUCUCUUUCAUAGAUGAUUUCUCACGAUACAUGUAUCUCUACAUACUUCAUAAUAAACAUGAAGCUUUAGAUGCCUUUAAAGUCUUCAAGGCAGAAGUAGAGAAACAAUAUGGUAAACAAAUUAAGAUUGUGAGAUCAGAUAGAGGUGGAGAAUAUUAUGGUAGAUACUUGGAAGAUGGACAAUCACCUGGGCCAUUUGUGAAGUUUCUUCCACCAUGUCUGGUUCUCCAGACCAAAAUGGUGUAGCAGAAAGAAGAAAUCGAACUUUAUUGGACAUGGUGAGGAGUAUGCUUAGUAGCUCAAAACUUCCUAAAUUCUUGUGGACUGAAGCACUUAAGACAGCUGUGUAUAUAUUAAAUCGAGUUCCAACACAGGCUGUUCUAAAAACACCAUUUGAGUUAUUGAAAGGUUGGAAACCGAGUUUGCGACAUAUGCGCGUUUGGGGAUGCUCGUCUGAAGUGAGAAUUUAUAAUCCACAAAAGAAGAAACUGGACCCAAGGACUAUUAGUGGGUAUUUCAUUGGAUAUGCUGAAAAAUCCAAGGGGUACAGAUUUUAUUGUCCAUCUCAAAACACUAGGAUUGUGGAAUCAAGAAAUGCUAAAUUUCUUGAAUAUGACUUGGUCGGUGGGAGCGAUCAAUUUAGAAACAUAGUUUCUGAUAUUGAUCAUACAGAGUCUUAACCUUCCACUUCAAGCGAUAGAUUGUUUAUUGUUCAUAACACCCCUCAAGUACAAACGGGUGUUGAACGAACAAUCGAUGAAGUUCAACCAGUCAUUGAAGUUUCCACAAGUUGUUGACAACAUUCCAAUAGACCAAGUUGAUUAGGAGUUGCCUAACACUUCUGAACAACAAGUUGAACCUCAUACUUCCUCGGAAGAUAUUGGUGCAACCUUAAGAAGGUCUGCUCGAACUAAGAGGUCAGCAAUUCCUAGUGAUUAUGUAGUGUAUCUACAAGAAUCUGAUUACAAUAUAGGAGCCAAAAAUGAUCUAGAAUCAUUUUCACAAGCCAUGAGUUGCAAAGAAUCAGAAUUGUGGUACAAUGCCAUGAAGGAUGAGAUGAGUUCCAUGAGGUGCAACGAUGUUUGGGACCUUGUUGAGUUGCCUAAUGGUGUAAAAACCAUUAAUUGUAAAUGAAUGUUGAGAGAUACAAGGCCAGACUUGUUGCAAAGGGGUUCACUAAAAAAGAAGGAAUCGAUUACACGGAAACCUUUUCUCCUGUAUCUAAAAAGGAUUCCUUGCGCAUUAUAUUGGCAUUAGUAGCCCACUUUGAUUUAGAAUUGCAACAAAUGGAUGUGAAAACAACAUUUCUUAAUGGAGAGCUAGAGGAGGAGGUUUACAUGAAACAACCUGAAGGAUUCCCCUCUAGUGAUGGUGAGCAAUUGAUUUGUAAGCUUAAGAAAUCCAUAUACGGUUUGAAACAAGCAUCUCGCCAAUGGUAUUUAAAAUUCCAUAACAUAAUUUCUUCAUUUGGUUUUGUUGAAAAUGUUAUGGAUCAAUGCAUAUACCUUAAGGUUAGUGGGAGUAAAGUUUGUUUUCUUGUUUUAUACGUGGAUGACAUCUUACUUGCAACCAAUGAUAAGGGUUUACUUCAUGAGGUGAAAAAAUUCCUCUCUAAAAAUUUUGACAUGAAGGAUAUGGGUGAGACAUCUUAUGUCAUUGGCAUUAAGAUCCAUAGAGACAGAUUUAAAGGUAUCUUAGGUUUGUCUCAAGAAACCUAUAUCAAUAAAGUUUUAGAGAGAUUUCGGAUGAAGAAUUGUUCACCUAGUGUUUCCCCUAUAGUGAAGGGUGAUAAGUUCAAUUUGAACCAAUACCCGAAAAAUGAUCUUGAGAGGGAACAGAUGAAGAACAUUCCAUAUGCUUCUGCAGUCAGAAGUUUGAUGUAUGCUUAGGUCUGCACAAGGCCUGACAUUGCAUUUGCUGUUGGAAUGUUAGGACGAUAUCAGAGUAACCUAGGUAUAGACCACUGGAAAGCUGCAAAGAAAGUGAUGAGAUAUCUUCAAGGAACCAAAGAUUACAAGCUUAUGUACAGACGAACAAGCAAUUUAAAGGUAGUUGGCUACUCAGAUUCAGACUUUGCUGGCUGUGUUGAUUCACGUAGAUUAAUAUCUGGAUACAUUUUUAUAUUGGCCGGUGGAGCUAUAUCUUGGAGGAGCGUUAAGCAGACCAUGACUGCUACUUCUACUAUGGAAGCUGAGUUCAUAUCUUGUUUUGAGGCUACUUCAAAUGGUGUAUGACUUAAGAGUUUCAUUUCUGGACUUAGAGUUAUGGAUUCAAUAUCUAGGCCAUUGAGUAUAUAUUGUGACAAUUCAGCUGCAGUCUUUAUGGCAAAGAACAAUAAAAGUGGAAGUCGAAGCAAGCACAUCGACAUUAAGUAUCUAGCCAUAAGAGAACGUGUUAAAGAAAAGAAAGUGGUCAUUGAGCACAUUAGCACUGAAUUGAUGUUUGUUGAUCCUUUGACUAAGGGCAUACCGCCGUUGAAAUUCAAGGAUCAUGUAAUGAACAUGGGACUUAGUUCCCUUAUUUAGUUUUUAUUGUACAAACUCUUAUUAUGAUGUUUUCUCAUAUUGAUGUGCACCUUUAUUUAAUUUUGAGAAAAUUCAACUUCAUUGGACCAAGAAUGAACAUAGGGUUUAUUCAUUAAGUAAUAUUAAUAUUGCCACAUAAAGUAAAAUGUUAAGAAAUGAAUGCACUGUAAUACAUGGAAGAUAACACUCGUUAUAUAAAGGACUUAUCGCCAUGAUUCAUGUAUUUGUUACUUAAUAUGGAUAAUUGAUGGAUUAAGAUAGGACAUAAGUUAAAGGUGUGGACCAAGUGGGAGAAUGUUAUCACCACCCCAUGUCGUCUCCACGUUCACCACCAUGAAAAGGUGAUUCUGAAGUGGUCAGACCCACGUCCUCCACCAUAAUCACACUUUUUCUAUUGCGUUAAAGGAGGGUGUGGCAAAUCUGCAGAGACGUGGUAUGAUGGGAAGCCAUGCAUAUAUAUUUCACAUAUGGUCCCGAACUCGUGAUCUACCAUUUUUCUUUCUUCAGUAAUACACCAUUCAUAGGAGAUCAUCAGAGUUUGGAAACCGAUUACAGCAACUUGAAUCAAUGGUUGGAGGUAAGUAGACUAUGCCUAGUCUUUUACAGAUUCAGUUCAUCUUGCAAGUAUUAAUUUUGAAUUGAAUGUAUCAUAUGAAUUUCUCACAUAUCAUACCAUUUUAGUUCAUAAAAUUAUUGAAGGAGCUUAAUUUGUCAUAAAAGGAACCAACAGAUAUUUACAUGGACGAUAAAUGAGCGAUUACAUUAUAAAAAAAAAUUCCAACUUUCCAAGAUUGAAGUCAAUACAUCAAGAUAUCAUUUUAUUUGAAAGUAUUAUAAAGAAGGAAAAACAAUUAAAAUUUGUAAAAUCUUGAGAUCAAAUUACAAAUAUUUUGAUCAAAUUUAUCCGAUUUAAAGAUUUUAGAAGGUUAAAGAUAUUAUUGAGAUAUACAAAUCAAGUUGUAGUUUUUAUAUUUGAGUAAUCAAAUCGCAAAAAAUGUCUAUAUUUUACUUUGAGCAAUUUUAUUUGAUGAAGUUUAAGUAAUUAUAAAUGAGAAAUUUUGUAAUAUUCGAAUAAGAGAUGAUAUAAUAAAUUUUUAAUUCUUUCCGCUUGUAAUCCUUUUCUAUAAUUAUUUGUAUUCCACUUUCAAUCUCAUCACUUGAACACAAAUUAGGGUUAGCCAGGAGAGAGAUUUUUUGGUAGGAUGAGUUAUUGAAUAUAAAUUGGUGAUGUGUCAGCAUCUUGGAGGGUCCAUACAUGGUUUCGAUAUCAUUAUUUACGGUUCUUUUUAAUAAGAAUAAUGUUUAAACUUUGUAGUCAUCGAUCUUGGCCUACAUGCUUACCAAAAAGUAUUGAAUUAUUGCAGCUACUCAUCAAUUCCAGGAGGGCCAGCUUAAUUAAACAACACAUCCCAACAUUUUCCAUGAAAGGACAAUAAUUGCAUUUGAUUACAUAUAUAUCCUGGAAUCCAUCUCCACAUUUUCCACAUGUACUAAUCUAUUUUAAGAGUAUGAGUCCGUUUGAUAGUGAUUUUAGGAAGCACUUUUAACUUUUUUAACACUAUAAAAUUUUUAUAUUUCAAGUAUUAAAAAAAGGUAAAAACAUUUCCUAGAAUUAUUGUCAAACACACUCUAUAUUUGCCUUCGGAAACCACAAAAAAAGGAAGGAAAAUGCUAAAAAAAUAUUUCUUUAUAUUUGAUUUUGUUACAAAAAAUGUCAAAGAAAGUCUUAAUAUAAUUAAAAUUAUUAAAUUUUUUUGUAUAUUUUUAAAAUUAUUAAUCCUUAUAAAAAAGAGUUAAAUACGUUAAAAAAGUUUAAGGUAGUAUAUAUCAUUGAUUUUAAUUUUUAAUUUUAUUAUUAUAUUUUUUUGCAUUUUUUUCCUUUUACCUUUUUUCUCUAUUUUCUUUCCCUUGUAAUUUCCUUCAAACUUUUCGGGAACCAAAUAUAGCCUAAAUAAUCUACUAAUUUGGUGUUUGUUGUUGUUGUUUUUUUUUUUUUUUUACUUAAAUCUAAAUAGAACUUAAUUUAACUUAAUUCUAAUAAGUUGUUUACUUUUUAUUAUUUUAUUUUUAUUAAGUUUUUGUAUUUUACAUUAGAGAUCUCAUUCCUUUCUUAAUUCGCCCAUUUUGGGUCUUUUCAUUUCUAAUUUUCUUUUCUUUUCAUUUUUUUGCCCUCAUUCUCAUUUCCAUUUCAUAUAACAAGUUCUCUACUUUUCUUUCUAUACAACCAUGGAUGCAAAAUGAAUCCGAUAUAAUAUUAUUGUGUAAUCCAAACUCAAAUGAUAAUACCCAGUAAUAUAAAACAAUUAUUUUAAACCUAUAACAAUACUAAAAUUUUUUUACAAAUAAUUACCCUUAUUUUCAACAUUGAUAUAUUACUAACAAGAAAUUACCUUGAUCUCAUUGGUAUGUGUUUUAGAACGUAAAAGGAAUCCUUGGGUUUACCCAAGUCCUUACAAUAAGGAAUUAAUAAAAGAAAAGGAAUAUGCCACUUUUUCCUCCAUGUUCCAAGUAAAUAUGGGAAAAGACUUAUAUAAAGAAAUUAAUACGUGUUCCAAGUAAAUUUCGGAAAAGAUUUGUAAUAAGAAAUUAAUAAAUGUUCCAAGUAAAUGUGGGAAAACACUUACAACAAGAAAUUAAUAAAUGUUCCAAGUAAAUGUGGGAAAACACUUACAACAAGAAAUUAAUAAGAGAAAAGGACCAUACCACUAUUCUAUGGGAAAAAACUUACAACAAGAAAUUAAUAAAAGGAAAGGACCAUACCACUAUUUCCUUGACAGAUGUUAGGAUGGAUUUAAGAUACAUUUAUAAUUAAUGGUGGAAAAUGUCAAGAUGCAAAAUAUCCUUUGAUCAAGGUAAGAUUGAAUAAAUCGUUUGGUAAGGGCUAGGUUUACAGUACUCAAAUAUGUUUUUUUUCAAUAGGUAUGAGAAAGACAUCAUCAAUUAACUAGUGUCAAGUAUAUAUUUUUAAGUCUUAUUAUUGUACCCCAAUCUUAUUUGUUUGUACUCUUAUACGUUAAUAUCAUUAAUAUGUAUCCUCAUUGUAAGUAAAAAAAGGGUAUUUUACUUUAGUUUUAUUUAUUUGUAUUUCAAAAUCUAAUAGAUUUCGUUAGGUUUAUAUAAGCUCUUACAAUGAGGAAUUAAUAAAAGAAAAGGAUCAUACCACUUUUUCCUUGAUGGAGGUCAGGAUAGAUUCAAGAUACAUUUAUAAUCAAACGAAAUUAUUGUGUGUUGAUGGAAAAUAUCAUGAUGUGGAAAAUGUCCUUUGAUCAAGGUGACCCUCUUGUAAUUGAUAUCGGAUUCAAUUGUUGUUUGUCAAUGGAAAUUGAAUUCCAAACCAUAUAAAAUUAAAUUAAUACAAAUGGUCCAUUUUUUUGUUUUAAUUAUUUAUAUUAUGUCAAAUAUUUCUAAUUUUAUUGUACAAAAUAAAUAAAUUAUUUUAUUCUCUAAUUAUAGAUUUAAACAUAUAAUUGAUAUCAUUCAAUCAAUUGAUACAUAAAUCAUUCUUCCAAAUUUAAACAUAAUGUAAAUGCAUACACACAAUUAAGCGGUGCAAUAUUGUUCUUAGGUUUUCACUGAAGAAUACACGUGUAUACCAAAAUACACUUCUCAUUUGGAGUGUUCUCGGGGUAAGUUUUUGUAUUUUAUAUUAGAGAUCUCAUUCAUUUCUUAAUUCGCCCUCUUUGGGUCCUUUCAUUUCUUAUUUUCUUUUCUUUUCAUUUUUUUGCUCUCAUUCUCGUUUCCAUUUCAUAUACAAGUUCUUUACUUUUCUUUCUAUACAACCAUGGAUGCAAUAUGAAUCCGAUAUAAUAUUAUUGUGUAAUCAAAACUCAAAUUAUAAUACCAAAUAAUAUAAAACAAUUAUUUUAAACCUAUAACAAUACUAACAUUUUUUUUACUAAUAAUUUCCCUUAUUUUUAACAUUGAUGUAUUACUAACAAGAAAUUACCUUGAUCUCAUUGGUUUGUUUUUUAGAAUGUAAAAGAAAUCCUCGGGUUUAUCCAAGUUCUUACAAUAAGGAAUCAAUAAAGAGAAGACCAUGCCACUUUUUCCUCCAUGUUCCAAGUAAAUAUGGGAAANNNNNNNNNNNNNNNNNNNNNNNNNNNNNNNNNNNNNNNNNNNNNNNNNNNNNNNNNNNNNNNNNNNNNNNNNNNNNNNNNNNNNNNNNNNNNNNNNNNNAAGACUUACAACAAGAAAUUAAUAAGAGAAAAGGACCAUACCACUAUUCCAUCUGUGUAUUUGUGUUCCAACUAAAAGUGGGAAAAAACUUACAACAAGAAAUUAAUAAAAGGAAAGGACCAUACCACUAUUUCCUUGACAGAUGUCAGGAUGGAUUUAAGAUACAUUUAUAAUUAAUGGUGGAAAAUGUCAAGAUGCAAAAUAUCCUUUGAUCAAGGUAAGAUUGAAUAAAUCGUUUGGUAAGGGCUAGAUUUACAGUACUCAAAUAUGUUUUUUCAAUAGGUAUGAGAAAGACAUCAUCAAUUAACUGGUGUCAAGUAUAUAUUUUUAAGUCUCAUUAUUGUACCUCAAUCUCAUUUGUUUGUACUCUUAUACCUUAAUAUCAUUAAUAUGUAUCCUCAUUGUAAGUAAAAAAAGGGUAUUUUACUUUAGUUUUAUUUAUUUGUAUUUCAAAAUCUAAAAGAUUUUGUUAGGUUUAUAUAAGCUCUUACAAUGAGGAAUUAAUAAAAGGAUCAUACCACUUUUUCCUUGAUGGAGGUCAGGAUAGAUUCAAGAUACAUUUAUAAUCAAACGAAAUUAUUGUGUGUUGAUGGAAUAUAUCAUGACGUGGAAAAUGUCCUUUGAUCAAGGUGACCCUGUCGUAAUUGAUAUCGGAUUCAAUUGUUGUCCGUCAAUGGAAAUAGAAUUCCCAACCAUAUAAGAUUAAAUUAAUAUAAAUGCUCCCUUUUUUUGUUUCAAUUUUUUAUAUUAUGUCAAAUAUUUCUAAUUUUAUUGUACAAAAUAAAUAAAUUAUUUUAUUCUCUAAUUAUAGAUUUAAACAUAUAAUUGAUAUCAUUCAAUCAAUUGAUACAUAAAUCAUUCUUCCAAAUUUAAACAUAAUGUAAAUGCAUACACACAAUUGAGCGGUGCAAUAUUGUUCCUACGUUUUCACUGAAGAAUACACGUCUAUACCAAAAUACACUUCUCAGUUGGAGUGUUCUCGGGGUAAGUUUUUGUAUUUUAUAUUAGAGAUCUCAUUCAUUUCUUAAUUCGCCCUCUUUGGGUCCUUUCAUUUCUUAUUUUCUUUUCUUUUCAUUUUUUUGCCCUCAUUCUCGUUUCCAUUUCAUAUACAAGUUCUUUACUUUUCUUUCUAUACAACCAUGGAUGCAAAAUGAAUCCGAUAUAAUAUUAUUGUGUAAUCAAAACUCAAAUUAUAAUACCAAAUAAUAUAAAACAAUUAUUUUAAACCUAUAACAAUACUAACAUUUUUUUUACUAAUAAUUUCCCUUAUUUUUAACAUUGAUGUAUUACUAACAAGAAAUUACCUUGAUCUCAUUGGUUUGUUUUUUAGAAUGUAAAAGAAAUCCUCGGGUUUAUCCAAGUUCUUACAAUAAGGAAUCAAUAAAAGAGAAGGACCAUGCCACUUUUUCCUCCAUGUUCCAAGUAAAUAUGGGAAAAGACUUAUAACAAGAAAUUAAUAAAUGUUCCAAGUAAAUGUGGGAAAAGACUUACAACAAGAAAUUAAUAAGAGAAAAGGACCAUACCACUAUUCCAUCUGUGUAUUUGUGUUCCAACUAAAAGUGGGAAAAAACUUACAACAAGAAAUUAAUAAAAGGAAAGGACCAUACCACUAUUUCCUUGACAGAUGUCAGGAUGGAUUUAAGAUACAUUUAUAAUUAAUGGUGUAAAAUGUCAAGAUGCAAAAUAUCCUUUGAUCAAGGUAAGAUUGAAUAAAUCGUUUGGUAAGGGCUAGGUUUACAGUACUCAAAUAUGUUUUUUUUCAAUAGGUAUGAGAAAGACAUCAUCAAUUAACUAGUGUCAUGUAUAUAUUUUUAAGUCUCAUUAUUGUACCCCAAUCUCAUUUGUUUGUACUCUUAUACCUUAAUAUCAUUAAUAUGUAUCCUCAUUGUAAGUAAAAAAAGGGUAUUUUACUUUAGUUUUAUUUAUUUUUAUUUCAAAAUCUAAAAGAUUUCGUUAGGUUUAUAUAAGCUCUUACAAUGAGGAAUUAAUAAAAGAAAAGGAUCAUACCACUUUUUCCUUGAUGGAGGUCAGGAUAGAUUCAAGAUACAUUUAUAAUCAAACGAAAUUAUUGUGUGUUGAUGGAAAAUAUCAUGACGUGGAAAAUGUCCUUUGAUCAAGUUGACCCUCUCGUAAUUGAUAUCGGAUUCAAUUGUUGUUUGUCAAUGGAAAUUGAAUUCCCAACCAUAUAAAAUUAAAUUAAUACAAAUGGUCCCUUUUUUUGUUUUAAUUAUUUAUAUUAUGUCAAAUAUUUCUAAUUUUAUUGUACAAAAUAAAUAAAUUAUUUUAUUCUCUAAUUAUAGAUUUAAACGUAUAAUUGAUAUCAUUCAAUCAAUUGAUACAUAAAUCAUUGUUCCAAAUUUAAACAUAAUGUAAAUGCAUACACACAAUUAAGCGGUGCAAUAUUGUUCCUAGGUUUUCAUUGAAGAAUACAAGUCUAUACCAAAAUACACUUCUCAUUUGGAGUGUUCUUGGGGUAAGUUUUUGUAUUUUAUAUUAGAGAUCUCAUUCAUUUCUUAAUUCGCCCUCUUUGGGUCCUUUCAUUUCUUAUUUUCUUUUCUUUUCAUUUUUUUUGCCCUCAUUCUCGUUUCCAUUUCAUAUACAAGUUCUUUACUUUUCUUUCUAUACAACCAUGGAUGCAAAAUGAAUCCGAUAUAAUAUUAUUGUGUAAUCAAAACUCAAAUUAUAAUACCAAAUAAUAUAAAACAAUUAUUUUAAACCUAUAACAAUACUAAAAUUUUUUUACUAAUAAUUUCCCUUAUUUUUAACAUUGAUGUAUUACUAACAAGAAAUUACCUUGAUCUCAUUGGUUUGUGUUUUAGAAUGUAAAAGAAAUCCUCGGGUUUAUCCAAGUUCUUACAAUAAGGAAUCAAUAAAAGAGAAGGACCAUGCCACUUUUUCCUCCAUGUUCCAAGUAAAUAUGGGAAAAGACUUAUAACAAGAAAUUAAUAAAUGUUCCAAGUAAAUGUGGGAAAAGACUUACAACAAGAAAUUAAUAAGAGAAAAGGACUAUACCACUAUUCCAUCUGUGUAUUUGUGUUCCAAGUAAAAAUGGGAAAAAACUUACAACAAGAAAUUAAUAAAAGGAAAGGACCAUUCCACUAUUUCCUUGACAGAUGUCAGGAUGGAUUUAAGAAAAAUUUAUAAUUAAUGGUGGAAAAUGUCAAGAUGCAAAAUAUCCUUUGAUCAAGGUAAGAUUGAAUAAAUCGUUUGGUUAGGGCUAGAUUUACAGUACUCAAAUAUGUUUUUUCAAUAGGUAUGAGAAAGACAUCAUCAAUUAACUAGUGGCAAGUAUAUAUUUUUAAGUCUCAUUAUUGUACCCCAAUCUCAUUUGUUUGUACUAUUAUAUCUUAAUAUCAUUAAUAUUUAUCCUCAUUGUAAGUAAAAAAAAAGUAUUUUACUUUAGUUUUAUUUAUUUGUAUAUCAAAAUCUAAAAGAGUUCAUUAGGUUUAUAUAAGCCCUUACAAUGAGGAAUUAAUAAAAGAAAAGCAUCAUACCAUUUUUUCCUUGAUGGAGGUUAGGAUAGAUUCAAGAUACAUUUAUAAUCAAACACAAUUAUUGUGUGUUGAUGGAAAAUAUCAUGACGUGGAAAAUGUCCUUUGAUCAAGGUUACCCUCUCGUAAUUGAUAUCGGAUUCAAUUGUUGUCCGUCAAUGGAAAUUGAAUUCCCAACCAUAUAAAAUUAAAUUAAUAAAAAUGGUCCUUUUUUUGUUUCAAUUAUUUAUAUAAUAUAAAAUAUUUCUAAUUUUCUUGCACAAAAUAAGUAAAUUAUUUUAUUCUCUAAUUAUAGAUUCAAACAUAUAAUCGAUGUCAUUCAAUCAAUUAAUACAUAAAUCCUUUUUCCAAAUUUAAACAUAAUGUAAAUGCAUACACACAAUUAAGCGGUGCAAUAUUGUUCCUAGAUUUUCACCUAAGGAUACACAUCUAUAUCAAUACACUCCCCAUUCUGAGUGCUCUUGGGUUUUGUAUUUUACAUUAGACAUCUUACUCCCUUGUUAAGUCGUCCUCUUUGGUCUUUUCAUUUCCUUUUCAUUUUUUUUUUCCCUCAUUCUCAUUUCCAUUUCAUAUAACAAGUUCUUCACUUUUCUUUCUCUACAACAAUGGAUGUAAAAUGAAUGCGAUCUAAUAUUGUUGUGCAAUCCUAACUCAAAUGAUAAUACCGACUAAUAUAAAAUAAUUAUUUUAAACCCAUAACAAUACUCAAAAUUUUCGACAAAUUAUUUCCAUUAUUUUCAACAUUGAUAUAUUACUAAUAAAUUUUAAUUUUAUCUUCCUAACACAAUCCAAAUAAUUAUAACACUUCACACAAAUAUUUAUCUUUGAUUCACAUGAAUUGAAUUUUCUCCAAUAUAAUUUCCCCUAAAAAUCAAUAAAAAAUUCAUAUCAUCAUUCAAAAAAUAAAAUAACUACAUAACUAGAAUCACUUGCAAAAAAAUAUUAUAUUAAAAGUUAGUUUGAUAGUGAUUUUAAAAAAUGUUUCUAACAUUUUUAACACUUAAAUUUUUUUAUUAAAAUAAUCAUGUUGAAAUAUUAAAAAGGUUAAAAAUGUUUACAAAAAUCACUAUUAAACAAGCUAAAAAAAUUUGUUCUACAAUGAUUUUAGGAAGCCCUUUUAGUCAUCCCAACAUUUGAAAUUUUUUAGUAGAAUAGUUGUAACCUUUCUAUCCUUCCAUUUGGUAGGAAGCGUUGGUAGUGAUUAUUAGUAUUAAGGUCGAAUGGGAAGGUGUUGUUCAUGAUGUGUGGGUCUUUUUAGAGGCAUUAAGAAGGCCAGAAUUGGGUUUUCCUCAUCCACCUAGAGGUUUGUGAAUAACAAUAUCAAACUUGUUUUUGUGAUUGAAUUUUUAUUAUCUAAUAUAUAUUUUUGUUUUUGUUUUGUUGGUAAAUAUUAUUUGGUCGAUGUUGGUUAUCCUCAAAUGAAUGGAUAUUUAGGCAGUUAUAAACGCGAGUGUUACUAUCUUCUAGAUUUUUGAUGAGGUAGUUCACUUUGAGGUAAAAAGGAAAUAUUUAAUCAUAGGCAUUCAUCAUUGAGGUGCACAAUUGAAAGAACGUUUUGUCAUUUUGAAGAAUAGAUGGAGAAUGCUACGAGAAAUGCAUAGUUUUUCUCUUGAAAAACAAGUAAAGAUUGUUAUUGCUUCCAUGACUCUUCAAAACUUCAUAAGGAUUAAUGCUAGAAUGGAUAUGGAAUGUAAACCUUAUGAUGAUGAUCAAGGGUUGCUUCCACUUAAUGAAGAAGAGAGUAGAAUAGAUUCACUUGUUGAGGAAGAUGGUUCACAUCAUGCAAGAGAGAUGGAAAAAAAAUGUGAUCGAAUUGCAAAUCUUCUUAUAUUUCAUUGAUGUUUGAUUAUGACUCUAAUAUGUAAUAAUAUAAUUUUCCCUCUAUGAAAACAUUUGUCUUCCAAUUUACUUUUAAUUAGAAAAGUUUAUGUUCUGCAAAAUAGAUUUCAUUGUUGUGAGAAACAAAAUGUUUGGAAAUUGUUUUCUAAAAUAAUUUUUAAUAACAGUUUUUGAAAACCGUUCUUUAAUAUUUUAUAAAAUAAAAGUCUAUUUAAAAACUUAAAAUAUUUUUAACUUAUUUUUAAUAAUUUUAAAUAUGUUUAAAUUUUUUUUAUGUAUAAUGUUUUAUUUUUAGAAUUCAUUUGAAUGAGAAAUAUUUCUACAUUUUCUAAUACUUGAAAAAUAAAGAAUUUUAAAUGUUAAAAAGACUAAAAACACUUUCUAAAAUCAUUGUUAAAUACACUUUUAAAAUAUGUUUGAUAGUAAUUUUAAAAAACGUUUUUGCUCUUUCUAAUAUUUGAAUGAUAUAAAUUUUUAAGUGUUAAGAAGGUUAGAAACACUUUUUAAAAUCGACAUGAAUAAAAACAACAUAAGCCAACUAAAAAGAUGUUAUAUGAAAAUACUCUAUUUUAUAUUAUUAAGAAUAGAAAACAAAAAACAAUUUUGGUUGCCAUAUGCGUUUUUAUAUUUUUUUUUUUUGAAAAACAAAAAAUUAUUCUCGAAAAAACAUAUUCCACAGUAACUCAAAUUAGUUUUCUAUGUUUAUUCCCUAUAAAAGAUAUAUAUAUUUUUUUAUGUAUAAUGCAAAAAAUAUAUAUUUAUUUUUACAUUAUUAAUUAUUGUUCAAAAACACCUAAAAUCAUUUUUAAAAAACAACCUGAUUUCAAAAUAAAUUCUUAAAAAAUUAUUUUCUAAAAAAAAAAUUAUCAAAUGCUUUUUCUGAAUCAGGAAAUUGUUUUUCGUUCUAAAAACAGAAAAAUAUUUUUAAUAACAAUUUUCAAAAGAAGACCCAAUCGAAUAAGGGUUCAAUUUAGGAAUUCCACAACUUAAAGCUCUAUUUACUGGAUGGGUGUUUUUUACUACAAUUUCAUCCGCAGCACAGAAGACGGCAGCACAAUCAAUUUGAGUAACGUUCUUAGAUGUCACCAAAUUUAUUUUGUGGGGCUGGACUUGUUCUUGCUGGAGAACCAACUUCCCUUCGGACUCCUCAAGUUGAUUUUUGAGGAAGCAAAAUUCAAGGGUGGUUCAUUAAUGCAAGAGAAGAUAAAAAAGUUGGUCACUCUUGACACCAGAAGGCCAGAUGGGUCGACAUAAAAAAGUAAUGAAUUAUUGCAUACAAGGCACGAAGACAACCUUUCAAUGCUGCUACUACUCAUCAAUUCCUGGAGGGACAACUUAAGGGGUUGAAGGGCGAUAACUGCACAUCCUGACAUUUUCCAUGAAGGUACAAUCAUUGCAUAUGUAUUUUGGAAUCCAGUCUGACAUUUUCCAUGAAAGAACAAUAAUUGCAUCUGAAUAUAAAUGUAUUUUGGAAUCCAUCCUGACAUUUUCCUCGUGAACCAACCUUUUUCAUACUAUGUUUGGCUCGGAAGUACCAAAAAAAGAUACAUUUGCCAGUGGAAAAAAAAAAAAGAUGCAUUCGUUCCAUGGAGAGAAUGUGUGGUCUGUAAAGAUUGAAGAGAUGGAUUGCAGGCGAAGACGGGGUGUUGUAGUGGCCUUGCACUUCAUAAGGAUUAAACAAUAAAUAAUGGGUGUGGAGACUUGGGUGAAAUACAAAGUAACAUGAUACUAUAAUGAUAAAAUAAUAAUAAUAAUAAUAAUAAUAAUAAUAAUAAUAAUAAUGUUAGAUGCUAAGUUAAUAAAUGAAAUAAAAUUAUAGUUUAAUUAAAUUAGCUAUAUAUUCUUAGAAACAUUAUAAAUUAGAAACUUAUUAAUUUUAAUUGAAUAAGGAAUAAAUGAAUUAAAUUAAUAUUAAUAAUUAGGAAUAAUAAUAUUAAUAAAUAAAAUUAUUAGGAUCAUCGAAUCUAUAUAAUUUUAGUUAAUUGUCUAUAGUAAGAAACUUAUUGAUUUUAGUUAAAUAAGGAAUAAAUUAAUUGAGUUAAUAUUGAUAAUUAAGAAUAAUAAUAUUAAUAAAUAAAAUUAUUAAGAUAGUGGAAUCUAUAAUUUUAGUUAAGCUUCUAUUUUUUUUUUUUCAAAUAUAUUAACUUUAGAUAAUAAGCUAUCCAUUAACCAUUUAUUAUUUAAUCAUUCAAUCCUUCAAAAUGACAUUAAUUUAACCCACUUCCUUAACCAAUUAUACAUUGAUUAAAUUCACCUUUCAAAAAUUAAAUAUACUAAAUGAUAAUAUUCAUAUUUAAUCAAUUUACCUUUUUGUAUAAAUUCUUAAAUUCAUAUUUAAUUUCAUUUUGAUUCAAAUUUAUUUCAUGUUUUAUAAUUUUAUAAGGUUGAAUUUCAAUUAUAAAAAUUAAAUUGAUUCAUAUGGUAAUAUUAAAUUAAAUAUCUUUUGAAAAAUUUAUUAUAACCAGUUAAUAUAAUACAAAUUUCAUCAAGUUUUUCUAAUUAAGGUUUUCUGAUAAUUACUUUAUAAUAAUAAAAUUAAUUCUUCUAAUACAUAUAAUAUUCAAAUUUCAAAAAUCCAAUCUCAAAUAAUUUAAUUGCUAAAUUUAUAUUUAAUUUUUGAAGUUCCAAAUUUCGAAAUGUGAAGAAUUUAAACUAUUGACCUUCCACUAGGCACUAACUUCUCAAAAGUUUCGCCUAAUUAAAGAAAAUAUCGACACGUCAAUGUUCACUAACAUCGUUCAUUUAUUUAGACCAUUCAUUUUGGUUGAUUUUGAGGAUAGUCAUCGGCAGUAGACUUGUAUCUUCUAGACCAAUUAGCAUGCCAACAGUGAUUAGGCUAAGGUGGUGAUCCAAUUCCAUGGAAGAGCAUCAAGAAAGGAGGAACGGUGGAGAGAAAGAAGGCGGCCAACCAAGCAGGAACAGUGGCCAAACUGGCCUCGAGCCUGAGGAGUAUAGGAUUGACAUUUUUGAAAUCAGUCAUAGGAAUUGGAUUGAGUCUCUCAGAACGGCAGAAGAAAGCACUCGAUCUCAGAGUCAAUGGCCAAGGAUACCAAAGGUUCCUCAGAUGCUGAGGGGGACCCAGGAUUUCAAGAAAUUCUACGAACCGGGGUUAAUUUCAAUCGGUCCUUAUCACCAUGGCAAGCCCCACCUUCACGCAGGGGAAAUAAUCAAGCGUCUAUGUGCCCGAAAAUUCCUUGCUGAUAGUGAGCAGGACAUGGACGCUUUGUACACAAAAAUUCAAAGUAAUAUCGAGGCAGUGAGGACGUGCUAUGAUAUGAUACCGACGAACAAGUAUGAUGAUGAGAAACUCGCCCGGAUGAUGCUUCUGGAUGGGUGUUUUUUACUACAAUUUUUCUGCGGGCAGGGUAAUGAAAACUUUCUUAGAUGUCACCAAUUAUUUUUUGCGGAGCUGGACUCGUUCAUGCUGGAGAACCAACUUCCUUUUAGAGUCCUCAAGUUGAUUUUUGAGGGAGCAAAUUUUAAGGGACCAGUGGAAAAGAAAAUAAAAAAAUUCGUUACUAGCACCCUAUGGCCAGAAAGGUCGACAUCAGAAACAGAGCUGGAAGAGGACGAAGAGCCCUCUCAUCUCCUCGCCCUUUUGCGAAGUACUCUCCUAGGCCGGCAACCUGAGAAAAAAGAAAAGUCGUCGUCGUGUCAAGGAGGAGAUGGGAGGUCCUGUUGCCCAUGGAAGAAAGGCCAAAAACGAGGCUUUUCAAGGUCUUUUCGAAACGUCAAGGAGCUUAAAGUUGCCGGGAUCCAUCUCCAACCGAGUGGAACGAGUUUCUUGAGAGACGUUUCUUUCAAUUCCUACUUCUUCUAUGGCUGCAUGAAUCUUCCCCCAAUAAUCGUUGAUGACUUCACGAAGCCCAAGUUCUUGAACAUUGUAGCCUAUGAAAUGUGUCCAGAUGCCCCAGAUGACUAUGCGGUCACUUCUUAUGUAUGCUUCCUUUACGAGCUCAUUGAUCAUGCAGACGAUGUCAAGGAGCUGAGAUCUAAGCACAUUCUCUACAACUGUCUUGGAAGCGAUGAAGAUGUGGCCAAAAUUUUCAACGAGAUCGGCAAUGGCUUGGUAGAUCCCGAUGCUUAUAAAGAAGUGAAAACUAGUAUUCAGAAACACUACGACAAGAGAGGGAAUACUUGGAUAGCUGAAGGCCUUCACGAGCAUUUCAGGUCUCCAUGGACUAUCAUCGCUUUCAUUGCUGCUGUUUUGAUACUACUUCUUACCGGGUUUCAGACCUACUUCGCUCUUCCCGCUAAACCCAAAUGAGUCAUGGUAAUAUAUGUUGAAGACUGAUUCAAAGUGGCUGUUGGUAUAUUCCUAUUCUUAUGGUUGAGUUAGUCAAAUAAGGAGCUUGUUGCUAAAAUCGAGUUAGUGGGUGUAGUGGGUCAAGUGUUAGUGGUGUAGUGGGGCAGAUUGUGUCCUCUUUGUUUUUUUUUAUAAAUAGACAUGUUUGCUGUAGUGGAAAAAUGACUGCAAUAAAAUAUCCAGAAGCAUUUUCUUUGGUCUGGUGAAGCUCUGUUUUUUAGAGUUAAAGAGCUCUAUUUUUUUCCUUGCUAUUGUUUUGUCUUGUUUUUGUCCAACAAUUUUUGGUAUCAGAGCAACCAGGUUCCUUCUGAACUGGGCGAAUAAUGGCAACAACCAACGGCAGUAUGGUGAGUGUGUCUCAACCAGCAAUUCCCAUUUUCAAAGGUGAGUGCUAUGAGUUUUGGAGCAUCAAAAUGAAGACUUUAUUCAAGUCUCAAGAUCUGUGGGACUUGGUUGAAAAUGGCUAUCCUUAUCCGGACGAAGAAGCUAGGUUGAAAGAAAAUACGAAGAAGAACUCCAAGGCAUUGUUCUUUAUUCAACAGGCUAUACAUGAAUCAAUCUUCUCAAAGAUUGCAGCAGCAACCACAGCAAAAGAGGCGUGGACAACCUUGAAAACUGCAUUUCAGGGUUCCUCUAAAGUGAUCACGGUGAAGCUCCAGUCCUUGCGCCGUGACUUUGAAACCUUGCACAUGAAAAAUGGAGAGUCAGUGCAAGAUUUUUUGUCAAGAGUUGCUGCUAUAGUUAAUCAAAUGAGGUCGUAUGGUGAAGAUAUUCUUGAUCAAACUGUCGUAGCAAAGGUGUUAAGGAGUUUAACGCCUAAGUUUGAUCAUGUAGUUGCAGCCAUUGAGGAGUCUAAGGAUCUGUCAACCUAUUCAUUUGAUGAGCUCAUGGGAUCCUUGCAAUCUCAUGAAGUGAGGCUGUCCAGAACAGAGGAGAAGAAUGAAGAAAAGGCAUUUUACACGAAGGGGGAGACAUCAGAUCAGAAGAAUGGAGGCAGAGAAGCUACUGGUAGAGGACGUGGCAAAGGAGGUGCUCAUGGAAGAGGUGGUCGUGGCAGAGGCCGAGGUGAUGCACAAGGUGACCAAAGGCAGUCAACUGAGAAGAGCAGAAACAAGAGUAAUAUCCAGUGCUACUACUGCAAGCGGUUUGGACAUGUUCAAGCUGAAUGUUGGAAGAAAGAAAGGCAAGAAAAACAAGCUAACUAUGUCGAGCAAGAGGAAGAUCAAGUCAAGUUGUUCAUGGCCUAUAAUGAAGAGGUAGUAUCUUCCAACAAUAUUUGGUUUUUGGAUAGUGGAUGUUCUAACCACAUGACAGGGAUAAAGUCACUCUUUAAGGAGCUGGAUGAAUCACACAAGUUGAAGGUGAAACUUGGUGAUGACAGACAAGUGCAAGUGGAAGGCAAGGGGACCGUGGCAGUAAACAAUGGUCAUGGUAAUGUAAAGCUCCUUUACAAUGUGUACUUUAUUCCUAGUUUGACUCAAAACUUGUUAAGUGUGGGGCAACUUAUGGUUAGUGGAUACUCCAUUUUGUUUGAUGGUGCUACUUGUGUGAUCAAAGAUAAAAAGUCUGAUCAAAUAAUAGUUGAUGUUCGUAUGGCCGCAAACAAGUUGUUUCCUCUUGAAGUGUCAAGUAUAGAAAAGCAUGCUCUUGUUGUUAAAGAGACUAGUGAGUCUAAUCUGUGGCACUUAAGGUAUGGUCAUCUAAAUGUCGAAGGGUUGAAGUUACUAAGUAAAAAGGAAAUGGUGUUUGGACUACCUAAAAUUGACUUGGUGAAUGUGUGUGAGGGCUGUAUUUAUGGGAAACAAAGCAAGAAACCAUUCCCUAAGGGAAGGUCAAGGAGGGCAUCUAGUUGUCUUGAGAUUAUACAUGCUGAUCUAUGUGGUCUUAUGCAAACUGCUUCAUUUGGUGGCAGUAGAUAUUUUUUGUUGUUUACAGAUGAUCAUAGCAGGAUGAGUUGGGUGUAUUUUCUUCAAUCAAAGGCAGAGACUUUUGAGACCUUCAAGAAGUUCAAAGCAUUUGUAGAGAAGCAGAAUGGCAAGUGCAUUAAGGUGUUGCGGACUGACAGAGGUGGAGAGUUCUUAUCAAAUGAUUUUAAAGUAUUUUGUGAAGAGGAAGGCUUGCAUAGAGAGCUGACUACUCCUUAUUCACCAGAGCAAAACGGUGUGGCUGAGAGGAAGAAUAGAACGGUGGUUGAGAUGGCUAGAAGCAUGAUGAAGGCCAAGAACCUUUCAAACCAUUUUUGGGCAGAAGGAGUUGCUACAGCUGUAUACUUGUUGAAUAUUUCUCCAACCAAGGCAGUGUUGAAUAGAACUCCAUAUGAAGCUUGGUAUGGGAGGAAACCUUGGGUAAGCCAUUUAAAGGUUUUUGGUAGUGUUGCCUAUACGUUGAUUGACUCACAUAACCGUAGUAAGCUUGAUGAAAAAUCAGUAAAGUGCAUCUUUAUUGGUUAUUGCUCUCAAUCAAAAGGAUAUAAGCUAUAUAACCCUGUUAGUGGUAAGAUAAUUGUUAGCAGGAAUGUGGUGUUUGAUGAAAAAGCUAGCUGGACUUGGCGUGUAAGUGAAGACGGUGCUCUUGUGGAGAUUUCAAGUGAAAGUGAAGUGGCACAGAGUGAAGAUCAGCAGCCUUCUGUUCAGAUUCCAGCAAGUCCAACUCUCUCGCAUUCACCUAGUUCCCCAAAUUUGAGUAGCAGCAGUUCUUCACAAUCUUUAGAGGAAACCCCUCUAAGGAAAUUCAGAUCUUUAAGGGACAUCUAUGAGACUACACAAGUCUUGUUUGUAGCUGAUCCAACAACCUUUGAAGAAGCAGUGGAGAAGGAAGAAUGGUGCAGUGCUAUGAAAGAAGAGAUAGCUGCCAUUGAGAAGAAUGAGACUUGGAACUGGUGGAGCUUCCUGAAGACAAGAAUGUGAUAGGUGUUAAAUGGGUUUUCAGAACCAAGUACUUAGCAGAUGGUAGUAUACAAAAGCACAAGGCACGGUUAGUGGCAAAGGGCUAUGCACAGCAACAUGGAGUUGAUUAUGAUGACACCUUCUCACCAGUUGCACGGUUUGAAACAGUAAGGACCUUAUUAGCCUUAGCUACUCAUAUGCAUUGGUGUGUUUAUCAGUUUGAUGUCAAGUCUGCUUUUCUUAAUGGAGAGCUAGUAGAGGAGGUGUAUGUAUCUCAGCCUGAAGGCUUCAUAGUUCCUGGUAAAGAAGAGCACGUGUAUAGACUAAAGAAGGCCCUUUAUGGGUUGAAACAAGCCCCACGAGCAUGGUACAGUAAGAUAGAUUCUUACUUUGUUGAGAAUGGCUUGGAAAGGAGCAAGAGUGAGCCAAAUCUUUACCUGAAAAGGCAAGGUAAAAAUGAUCUUCUUAUUAUUUGUCUUUAUGUAGAUGACAUGAUCUAUAUGGGUUCAUCCUCUUUUCUUAUUAAUGAGUUUAAAGCCUGUAUGAAGAAGAAGUUUGAGAUGUCAGACCUAGGGCUGUUGCAUUCUUUCUUGGUUUAGAGGUAAAACAAGUAGAGGAUGGAGUCUUUGUUUCACAAAGAAAGUAUGCUGUUGAUUUGCUUAAGAAGUUCAAUAUGUUAAAUUGCAAAGUAGUAGCUACUCCUAUGAAUUCAAAUGAGAAGUUGCAGGCUGAAGAUGGCACUGAAAGAGCUGAUGCUAGGAGGUUUAGAAGUCUGGUUGGAGGCCUCAUUUAUCUGACACAUACACAGCCAGAUAUAGCUUUUGCAGUUGGGGUGAUCUCCAGAUUUAUGCAUUGUCCUUCGAAGCAACAUCUUGGAGCUGCAAAGAGAUUGUUGCGAUACAUUGCUGGAACAUAUGAUUUCGGGAUAUGGUAUGGUCAUGUUCAAGAGUUCAAAUUGGUUGGCUACACUGAUAGUGAUUGGGCAGGGUGCUUAGAGGAUAGAAAAAGCACUUCAGGCUAUAUGUUUUCUCUUGGGUCAGGUGCAGUCUGUUGGAGUUCAAAGAAGCAAGCAGUGACAGCCUUGUCCUUUUCUGAAGCUGAGUAUACAGCUGCAACCUCAUCCGCAUGCCAGGCAGUGUGGUUGAGGCGAAUUCUUGCUGAUAUUAAUCAAGAACAUGAGGAGCCAACUGUAAUUUACUGUGACAACAAAGCUGCCAUAGCAAUGACCAAGAAUCCAGCCUACCAUGGAAGGACAAAACAUGUUGAUAUUCGGGUUCAUUUCAUAAGAGAUCUUGUGGUUGAAGGUAAAGUUGUUUUGCAGUAUUGUAACACAAAUGAGCAGGUAGCGGAUGUGCUGACAAAAGCUUUAUCUAGAGACAAGCAUGUCUACUUCAGAAGCAAGCUUGGAGUUUGCAACUUUGAAUCAAGGGGGAGUGUUGAAGACUGAUUCAAAGUGGCUGUUGGCAUAUUCCUAUUCUUAUGGUUGAGUUAGUCAAAUAAGGAGCUUGUUGCUAAAAUCGAGUUAGUGGGUGUAGUGGGGCAGAUUGUGUCCUCUUUGUUUUUUUUUUAUAAAUAGACAUGUUUGCUGUAGUGGAAAAAUGACUGCAAUAAAAUAUCCAGAAGCAUUUUCUUUGGUCUGGUGAAGCUCUGUUUUUUAGAGUUAAAAAGCUCUAUUUUUUUCCUUGCUAUUGUUUUGUCUUGUUUUUGUCCAACAAUAUAUAUAUAUGGGUUAAUUAUGAAUGUGAUGUGUUUUUUUCUUGUUUGGUGUGUAUGAUUCUUGUAUCACUGGAUUUCAUGGAUGCAAUAUUAUUCGUCUUUUCCUCCCAUUGAGUUUGCUAUCAUCUAUAAUAUCUGUUUCAACUCGCAAUUUCCAGCUACCUUCUUGGUAUUCUUUUUCAUAGACCAGGAUAAUAGGUUGUUAAACAUCCACAUAGAAAAUUUUCAGUCAACAAUUUGUAAUUCCGUGGAUGGGAUGGGAUUGAAUAAUAUUUUUCAAAUGAGAAAAAAGUGGAUAAAAUCAUAAUUUUUAUAUAUUUAUAAAUUGAGGGAAGAAUCUCAUAUAUGUGCUCUAAUAUUUUUUUUUUUAAUAAAAGACGGAAAUAUCAUUCUAAGCAAUUUAAUGCUUGAUUUUGGAUCAAAAGAGAUUUCAUAAAUAAAUAGUACAUUUUUAAUGAAGUCUUCCAAUCCUCGUCUAAGAAUCUUCAAGUUUUCAAUUUCUUUAAGAAAUCUUGAAUAUUCUUCAACUCUUCAAAAAAUUAUUCAAUCAAUAGUUUGUUAUUCCAUGGAUAGGAUGGGAUUGAAUAUUUUUCAAAUGAGAAAAUAGUGGAUAAAAUCAUAAUUUUUAUAUAUAUUUAUAAAUUGAGGGAAGAAUCUCAUAUAUUCUCUCUGAUAUAUAUAUAUAUAUUUUAAUGAAAGACAGAAAUAUCAUUUUAAGUAAUUUAAUGCUUGAUUUUGGAUCAAAAGAGAUUUCAUAAAUAAAUAGUACAUUUUUAAUGAAGUCUUCCAAUCUUCGUCUAAGAAUCUCUUCAAAAAAAUUUAAUAUUUUUUCAAUCUCUUUUAAGAGAGCUCUUGGACCUUAAAGAAAGAGCCCAUCGUGAUACUUUUAGGGGGUGUUUGGUAUACGGGAAUAGGGAGUGGGAAUAGACAUCUCAUUCCUUUUCUCCCUUAUUCCUAUGUUUGGAUAAAUGUUAAGAAGGCGGAAAUGAAAUAAAAAAUUAUUCCGUCAGAAAUCAAAUUCAACUUAUGAGUCGGAUUUGCAUUCAUUAAAAGUAGGUGGUAUUCUGAUUCAUUAAACCUAUUUGAUAAUAUAAAAUAACCUAAAUUACUAUUUUACCCUCUUAUCUUGUUCUUCAAACCCGAUGUUUAUCUUCUUUGCAAAGGUAGAGAUCCAUUCAUCAUCCACUUCUUAUCUUCUUUGCAAAGUUAGAGACCCACUCAUCUUCCAAUUCUCUGCAACAAGUGAUUCUUCCAAAUUGAAUCAAUUAAACCUUCCACGAUAUUUAAAAAAAAAAAAUCAAUUUCUAAUUUAUAGGGUUUUGGAUGUUCAUUUUGAUUGUUGGAUCUAGGAUUCGUCAUUGUUUGCUGUAACUAGGUUCUGAAAACUCCCUUCUACAUCUUCGAUCAGGUUUACCUUAUUUUCUCUUUCUUCUUCUACUUCUUUAUAUGUGUUUCUUCUUCUCUAUAAAUCGAUUAAAUUUUUUUUAUUAAUUUAUGUUUGGAAUCUUUGAUGUUUCUUUAUCUUGUAUUAAUGGAAACUGGAGAGAAAAAUUGAAAUGGUUGGAAAAAGAUUUUUCGAUUUCACGUGUUUACAAUAUUGAAAAUUUUUAAUGGUUAGGAAAAAAAUAAAAAGAAAAAAACAAACAAAAACAAAACUUUUGGUUUUUUUUCCCCUUUGUUUAUUAUUACCGGCAUCUUCCUUUCCUAGUUGAAAAUAGGAAAAACAUUUGCUAGCUUUGAGAAUUUAAAUAUUAUAAUAAAUAAUUUUUUUUUAAAAAUAUAAUUUUAUAACUACUUAAGCAUGACAAAUUAUUCAAAUUUUUAAUAAAAAUAAUAAUUGAAUAUUUGUGCAUUAGGGUUAUACGAUUUUUUAUGGUUAAUUUUUUAUUUAUUGAGUAUAUAUAUAUUUUUUAGUCUUAUUAUUUAAUAACAAAAAACCUCUCAAAUUUUAUUUUUUUAAAUAAAAGUAAAAAUAAAAAAAUAUUUUAAAUUAUAUGUAAGGAUAUUAUUGUAAAUUUAUUUCUUUUUCAUUUCUAUUCAUAUUAUUAUCAAACAUUGGAAUGGAAACAAAUAAUCAUUUCAAUCUUGCAUUCUUAAGUUCAUCCAAAUGCUAGAAAUGAAAUCAUCAAAUUCAUUCCAUUCCACUAAGAAAUAGGAAAGGAAACAAAAUAUUAUUUUCAUUCCCUAUUCCGACGUACCAAACACCCCCUCAAUAUUAUGUGUAUGUCAUGGAAUUUAAUUCUAAAAAUCCUUAAAAGAGUUUAAUUUACCAUAAAAGCAACCAACAGUGAUCUACAUGGACAAUAGAAAAAACAAAAAUCCAACUUUCCAUGAUUGAAGUAAUGAAUUGUACAGACUUUAUGCUGCUACUCAUCAGGAAGGCCAACUUAAUCAAAGGGCCAUAAGUACUGCACAUCCUGACAUUUUCCUCGUGAACCAAUUUUUUUUUUUUUAUGCUACGUUAUGACAUUUUCGUCGAGAACCAAUCUUUUUCGAUACUAUGUUUGGUUCAGAAAUUCUUAGAAAAAAAAAAAAAGAAAUAAAAAAGGAAAAUGCUAAAAAAAAAAAUUAUAUUUAAUUUCAACAUGAAAAAUGUGAAAGAAAGUCUCACUAUAAUUAAAAUCAUUAAAAAACUUUAUAUAAUUUUAAAUUAUUCAAUCACCACAUUAAAGAGUUAAAUAUAUGAAAAAAGUUGGAGACAAUACAUAAAACUAAUUCAAUGAUUUUAAAUUUAUUUUUUUUCUUCAUUUUUUCUUUUCUUUUGUUUUUCUUUUUCUAGUAUUUUCCUUUAAUUCUUUCAAGAAUCAAACAUAACCUAAAUAACCUACUAAUUUGGUGUUUGUUUUUGUUUUUUUUUUACUUAAAUCUAAAUAUAAUUUAAUUAUAAAUACAAUUUAAUAGUAUUAAAUAUUAAGUUAUUUAUUUUUUAUUAUUUUAUUUUUAUUAAAUAUUAAUAAGAUAAGAGUUAUGUUGAAGUUAUAUUUUGGUUAUUUUAAAAAAUUAUUUCUAACAUUAAAGCAAAAAAUAAAAUAUUUUGAUUUUUUUAUUUAGUCAAAAAGUUUAAAAAAUAAUUAAUAAGUAAAAAGAAUUUAAAAAAUUAUUUAUAGUUUGAAAGCAAAUUACAUUCAACAUUAAAUAAAAAAAUCAAACGUCACGUUAAGAUUCAAAAUGAUUAUAAAUGUGUGACACUAAGCUUAAUAUAAACUUUUGUAUAUUUCACAUUAAGACUUCUUAAUUUAUUCUCUUUAGUUAUUUCAUUUUUUUUCCUGACAUUUUUUGAGGUCUUUUUAUUCUCAUUUCUGUUUCAUAUAACAACUUCUUUAGUUUUCUUUCCAUAUAACCAUAGAGGCAAAAUGAGUGUAAUAUAAUACAAUUGUCCAAUAAUAAUAUCUAAUAAUAUAAAACAAUUAUUUUAAAUAUAUAACAAUAUUUAAAAUUUUAGACAAAAAAUAAUAAUAUAUGUAUGGUAUAGUUUAUUAUAUUUGAAAAUAAUAUUAUAUGCGUUGAUAAAAAAAUAUUAAUUUUGUAAGUGUAUAUUUAUUAUUAAAUUACAUCAAAUAUUGUCCGAUAAUAAUAUUAUGAUAUUUGAUUAUAAUAUAUUUAAUAUUAAAAUUAUGAUACAUUUAAUUCAAUUAUAUUAAAUGAUAUAAAAUAAAUAAUAAUAUAUGUAUAAUUUUUUAAUAUUUAAUUAAUAAUAUUAAAAACACUAAAAAAAAGUUCUCAUGAUAAUUUUUAUAUUUUUAGUAAUUAAUUAAAUAAAAAAAAUUAUUUAAUUAUAAAAUACCUAUAAUUAAUUUGUUCUUCAAAAUAUAUCACGGUGGAAUAUAUUUAUGAAGGGUGAGCUUGCCCUAGUGGUUGGCAAAGUUUAUUUCGAACCUUUUGUUUGAGUCCCCUCAUCUGCAACACAAAAUUAAGAUAUUUUGAUCUUUGACCGUCCCUACCUCGCGUUGCAGCCUAUUUGAGCGCGCCCCCCAACCUGCAUUGCAACCUGUUUGAUCGCCCACGACCCGCGUUACAGCCCGCAGUUGGCAGACCGUCGUUGCAGUGGGUCGACUUUCUUUGCUGAAAUUUCAUCGAAAUUUGCCAAAUUUUCAUCGAAAAAUGCCAGUAGCUGGAGAUAUUUUUUCUAUUUUGUCAAUUAAUCAGCAAAUUCUGAAAUUUCGAAACUUGCCCGUGUGUGUUUUUUUUUUUAAAAAAAAAUCACCUCAUGGAUUUUGAGCUUUUAUUUUUUCAAAUAUAUCAACUUUAGGGGCUAACCAUCAAUUAUUUAAUCAUUCAACGUACAAUAAUGAGAUUCUCAAUCCUUCGUAAUGACAUUAAUUUAAUCCACUUCUGUUGUUAAUUAUACUUCAAUUAAAUCAGCCUUUCAAAAAUUAAAUUAAAUCUAUUAAAUGAUAAUAUUCAAAUUAAUUAAUCAAUUUACCUUUUUAUAUAAAUUCUUAAAUUUAUAUAACAUAAUGUAAUCUUGAUUUCAUUUCGAAAGAAUUUUGCUUCAUGUUUUGUAAUUUUAUAAGGUUGAAUUCCAAUUAUAAUUAAAAAAUAAAUUGAUCUAUUAUAAUAUUAAAUUAAAUAUCUUUUAAAAAAUUUACUAUAACGAUUUGAUAUAAUAUGAAUCUCAAGUAUUUGUAAUUAAAGUUCUUUGAUAAUUAGCUUAUAAGAAUAUAAUUAAUUUUUAUAAUACAUGCAAUAUUCAAAUUUCAAAAAUCCAAUCUCAAAUAACUUUUAAGUUUAAUUUUUGAAAUGUGACUUGGCAAGAAUUUAAAUUAAUGACGGCUUGGCCUAAUUAAAUAAAAUAUUUACACGUGAAUGUUCACUAACAUCAUCAUGAAUGGUCUAAAUAAAUGAAUGUUCUAGACCCUUCAUUCUGGAUGCUGUUGAGGAUAGUCAUCGGCAGUAGAAACAUCUUCUGAACCGAUUAAAAUACCAACAGUCACCAUUCAUUUAUUUAGACCAUUCAUUUUGGUUGAUGUUGAGGAUAGUCAUCGGCAGUAGACCUACAUCUUCUGGACCAAUUAGCAUACCAACAGUGAUUAGGCUAAGGUGGUGAUCCAAUUCCAUGGAUGAGCAGCAAGGAAGGAGGAACGUUGGAGAGAUAGAACCAGUUGGCGGCCAACCAAGCAGGAACAGUGGCCAAACUGGCCUCGAGCCUGAGGAGCAUAGGAUUGACAUUGUUGAAAUCAGUCAUAGGGAUUGGAUUGAGUCUCUCAGAACGGCAGAAGAAAGCACUCAAUGGCGAAGGAUACCAAAGGUUCCUCAGAAGCUGAGGGGGACCCAGGAUUUCAAGAAAUUCUACGAACCGAGGGUAAUUUCAAUCGGUCCUUACCACCAUGGCGAACCCAACCUUGGCCCAGUGGAAAUGAUCAAGCUUCCAUGUGCCCAAAAAUUCCUGGCUCAUAGUAACCAGGACAUUGAAGCUUUGUACACAAAAAUUCGAAGUAAAAUCGAGGCAGUGAAAAAGUGCUAUGAUUAGAGUAGUACAGAAAAGUAUGAUGAUGAGAAACUCGCCAGGAUGAUGCUUCUGGAUGGGUGUUUUGUACUACAAUUCAUCCGCUGGAAAGGUAUGAGAAAAUUUCUUAGAAAUCACCAAAUAAAUUUUGUGAUGCAGGACUUGUUCUUGCUGGAGAACCAACUUCCCUUUGGAGUCCUCAAGUUGAUUUUUGAGGGAGCAAAUUUCCAGGGUGGUCUACCAAUGGAAAAGAAUAUAAAAAAUUUCAUCACUUACUUCGGAAUGCCAGAAGGGUUGUCAUCAGAAAUACAGCUGUAAGAGGUGAACGAAGAGCCCUCUCAUCUACUCGACCUUUUGCAAAGUGCUCUCCUAGGCCAGAGUCAGCCCGAACAAGAGCAGCAACCUGAGAAAAAAGGAAAGUCGUCGUCGUCGUCUCAAGGAGGAAAGUGGGGGUUCUGUUGCCGAUGGAAAAAAAGCAUACAACGGGGCAUUUGGCAGUCUUUUCGACACAUCAAGGAGCUUAAAGCUGCCGGGAUCUAUCUCAAACCGAGUAGAACGUGUUUCUUGAGAGACAUUUCUUUCAAAUCCUACUUCUUCUUUGGCUACCUGAAACUUCCCCCAAUAACCAUUGAUGACUUCACGAAGACCAAGUUCUUGAACAUGGUAGCCUAUGAAAUGUGUCCAGAUGCCCCAGAUGACUAUGCGGUCACUUCUUACAUAUGCUUCCUUUACGACCUCAUUGAUCAUGCAGACGAUGUCAAGGAGCUGAGAUCUAAGCACAUUCUCCACAACCUUCUUGGCAGCGAUGACGAUGUGGCCCAAAUUUUCAACGAGAUCGGCAAUGACUUGGUAGAUCCCGAUGCUUAUAAAGAUGUAAAAGAUUGUAUUCAGAAGCACUACAAGAAGAGAGUGAAUACUUGGAUAGCUCAAGCCCUUCACAACCAUUUCAGGUCUCCAUGGACUGUCAUGGCUUUCAUUGCUGCUGUUUUGAUACUAUUUCAGGUCUCCAUGGAUUAAUUAUGACUGUGAUGUGUUUUUAUCCUGUUUGGUGUGUGUGAUUAGAGAAAUAAAGAUGUGUAGAUUGUUAAGUUGUAUCACUGGAUUUCAUGCAUGCAAUAUUAUGGGUCUUUUCCAGUUUUCCUCCCCACAUGAAUUUGCUAUACAAUCUCCAGCUUGCUUUUUUCUGUUCUUUUUCAUAGAGCAGGAUCAUAGAUAACACAACAUCAACAUAGAAAAUUUUCGGUCAACAGUAUGUGAUUCCGUGGAUGGGAUGGGAUUGAAUUUGCUCACACACUUUUUUAUCUAAGGAGAAAAUUGUGGAUAAAAUCAUAAUUUUGAUAUAUUUAUAAAUUGAGGAAGGGCUAUCUCUAAUUUAUUUUUAAUAUAAAAGAUAAAAUCAUAAUACAUAACUAAGAAAGGGGAGCGAAGACAUUUUUUAUUUCAUUGUUGAACUUGUUUCAAAAAAAAAAUCCACACACAGAGAUUGAGUUAGAAAUGAAGGUAGAGAAAAGAAUGAUAGAACUCGUUAAAAUUGUUUAUAUCUCAGGCACUAAAAUACAUCUUGUAUCACUUUUUAGGGUAAAAGUGUUUUUAAAGAGCAUUGCCAAUUGGAUUUUAAAUAAUCUAGAUUGUCACUUUUUUUUUUCAAUUAUAUAUAUUAUAUCAAAUAUUUCUAUUUUUUUUGUACAAAGUAAAUAAAUUAUUUAAUAUAUUCAAACAUUGUCAUUCAAUCAAUUGAUAUAAAUCUUUCUUUUAAAGUAAACAUGAUGUAAAUAAUUACGUAUAAUCAAGCAAUCAACUAUCGUUCUUAAUUUAUUUUCUUUGGUUAUUUCAUUUUUUUUUUUUUUUUUUUGCCCUUUUAUUCUCAUUUCUGUUUCAUAUAACAUUUUCUUUACUUUUCUUUCCAUAUAAAAUGAGUGUGAUAUAAUACUAUUGUCCAAUAAUAAUAUCUAAUAAUAUAAAACAAUUAUUUUAAAUAUAUAACAACAUUUAAAAUUUUAGACAAAUAAUUUUCGUUAUUUUCAAUAUUGAUGACACUAAUAAAUUUCAAUUUUAUCUUCAUACAAGCCAAAUAACUCUUAACACUUCACACAAUUUAUCUUUCAUUCACUUGAAUUGAAUUUUUCUCCAACAUCAUUUCCACUAAAAAUCAAUUAUUGCAAAAAAAUAAAAUAAAAUGACAACUAUACACGUAGAAUCCCUUACAAGUAGAAUCACUUGCAAAAAAACACCAUGAUAAGUAAAUCUAAAUCCAAAAAAUAAUAAUCACAAAUUUUUUUAUUAAAAUAUAUUUAUGGACCCCGCAUUUCGGCUUAUACGCCUCCACUCGACGGCGAGCUCGAUUUUUAUUUGAAAAUGACUUGGAGUCGCCACUCAUUUUUGUUUUAUUUUAAAAAGGGUAAGCGAAAUAAAAAAGAAAACCCUAAGUGUGACUCCUUAUUUUGGAAAAGAUGGUUUGUGAAAAACUGGAUCGGGCUUAGGGGUCAGGUUACUUAUCAGGAAGGUACGACAUAAACCGUAGCACCCCUCAAAGUCCCUAAAGUCGGGUCUCUACUAAUACAAUGAAACUGACGUAGCAAUCGACGAGAAAGUCAAUGGAUACUCACCUCAAACACGCACAAUAGGUGAAUCGGAACAUGAAUAGAGAAUGAUCAGAAUGAAAGUGUAUGCGUACCUGGGCCACGGACCAUAAUGCGCUAUCCAAAAAUGGGAUUAGCACACAAUUAAUGAAUACGGAAUAUGGCUCAUGCAUAUUGGAGUGCAAAUCGAAGAUCAAACGAAAUACACUAAGUACGACAGUUAUCAAUCAAAAGGGAUCAAACAUCGGGCCCCCACUAAAGCCCAAUUUAUUGUUCAUGAAUUAGUCUUACAAAUUCCGUGUUUAAAAUUAUGAAGACUUCACUUCUUGCUUAUGUAGAAUCAAGAAGAUCAGAAGAUUAUUUAAUAACCGAAAUGGAAUUAAAACUAUUCGAGUGAAAACUGGAUUCUUGGAGUUUAUUUGAAAAUUAGGAUCUCAAAAAUUACUUGGAAAUUGGAGCCUGGGGAACUGAAUUUAAGAAUGGGAAUUUUGGAAGUUAAGUUUCAAAAAUUGGAAUCCUGAAGAAUUAUUUAAAGAUUGAGUUUCAAAAAUAAACAAAUAAAUAAAAUAAUAAUGAUUAAAUAAAUCAAUAUGGGAAUUAAAUAUUUUGGAAAUUGGAAUCUAAAUUUAGAAAUCGGGAUUUUGAAGAAUUGUUUGAAGAUUGAAUUUUAAAAAUAAAUAAAUAAAUAAAAUAAUGAGGAUUUAAAUAAAUUGACAUGAGAAUUAAAAUUUCGGAAAUUGGAAUUUAAUUUAGAAGCCAGAAAAUUGGAACUGUUUUAAAGAAGGAAAUUUUGAAAUGGAUAGCUGGAAUAAUAAUAGUGAUGAUAAUAAUAAUUGUUUUGAAAGCUAAAUUUUAAAUAUUAAAACUUUGGUAAUUAGAUUGAAAUUCGUAUUUUUGACAAUUAACUCUGGAAGUUGAGAAUUUAAAAAUUAUUCCAAAAUGAAGACCUUGAUAAUGAGAUUUAAGAAAUGAACCCUAGGAAAUUAAACUGCGAGAAUAUGGAUUUUGAAAGUUGAAUUUGAAGAUUUAAGUAGUAGUAGUAAUAAUAAUAAUAAUAAUAACAAUAACAGUAAUAAUAAUAUUAAACUGCGAGAAUAUGGAUUUUGAAAGUUGAAUUUGAAGAUUUAAGUAAUAAUAAUAAUAAUAAUAAUAAUAAUAAUAAUAAUAAUAAUAAUAAUAACAACAACAAUAAUAAUAAUAAUAAUAUUAAACUGCGAGAAUAUGAAUUUUGAAAGUUGAAUUUGAAGAUUAAAAUAGUAAUAAUAAUAAUAAACUACGAGAAUAUAGAUUUUGAAAGUUGAAUUAGAAGAUUUAAGUAAUAAUAAUAAUAGUAAUAAUAAUAAUAUUGAACUUGAAUAUUUAAGUAAUAAUAAUAAUAGAAAUGGGCUUAAGACAAUGGCUAGAAAUGGGCUUAGGACAAUGGCUACUCAAAUUGAGCCCUUUAAUGGGCCUAGGGUGGGAAGAUUGAAUUUGAAGAUUUAAGUAAUAACAAUAGAAAUGGGCUUAGGACAAAAUGGGCUUAGGACAAUGGCUACGACUUGAGCCCUUUAAUGGGCCUAGGGUGGAAAAAUUGAAGAUUUAAGUAAUAACAAUAGAAAUGGGCUUAUGACAAUGGCUACAAAUUGAGCCCUUUAAUGGGCGGGAAAAUUGAAGUUGAAGAUUUAAGUAAUAAUAAUAGAAAUGGGCUUAGGACAAUGGCUACAAAUUGAGCCCUCUAAUGGGCUUAAGGUGGGAAGAUUAAAUCUCAAAGAAAGAUAGUGGGCCUUGGGCAUCUUGGUGGUGCAUGGAUUCUCUAUAUUGUAGCCAUAGUUUCAAGGUGAACAAGAGGGAACGACGGCACGAACCAGCUCCAGGGGUAUAACCGAAAGUGUAGAGAUGGCGCGGAGGUUGGGGCUUGAUGAACAGCAUGGGAUAGGUUGAUGGUGAUGAGCUUGUGGUACGAGAGAUAAGAUGAGCUUGGUGAUGGAAACGAGUGAGCAUGCAACUUGGAGAGGUGAGGAGAGUAGGAUAUGCGACUUGGAGCAUUAGUGGGUAUGAUUGUGGUGUAGAGAGGGAAGAGGUGGUGGGACGAAGUGCGCAUAAGAGAUUUGACACAAAGAGGCGAUAUGGGAAGAGUGGAGAUGGGUGGUAUGAAAAGUGAGUACAUGCGGAUAUGAGUGUGAAGAGGUUGGUGAGAAGCGGAGAUGUCCAUGCAUGCUUGAAAUGGGUGACAAAAUAAUGAUAUAAGGGGUAGUGGAAGGUGAUGACGGGAAGUGGGUUCAAUGAAACUGUUAGAGAGAGAAAGGGGUGCUAUUGGUAGUGAGAAGAGUGGAAGCACGAGCGUGAGUGAUGGUGAGUUUGAGUGGGUUUGGGUGAUGAUGUAGAUAUAGAAAGUGAAUAAAUAGAAGAGGUGGGUGAAGAAUAGGGCAUGAAACGUAUGAGGUGUGUAGAUGGUAUGAAAAGGUGGACAUGGUCUCCAUGGACUAUCAUGGCUUUCAUUUCAGCUGUUUUGUAGUCCACUUUCAAUCUCAUCACUUCAACACAAAUUGGGGCCAGCCAGGAGAGAGAUUUUUUGGUAGGAUGAGUUAUUGAAUAUAAAUUGGUGACGUGUCAGCAUCUUAGAGGGUCCAUGCAUGGUUUCAAUAUCAUUAUUUACGGUUCUUUUUAAUAAGAAUAAUGUUUAAACUUUGUACUCAUCCAAAAAGUAUUGAAUUAUUGGUACUAAACCGCACAUCCCAACAUUUUCCAUGAAAGGACAAUAAUUGCAUCUAAUUACAAAUAUAUCCUGGAAUCCAUCCCAUAUUUUUCUCGUGAACUAAUCUGUUUGGUUCGGAAACCACUGAAAAAAGAGAUGGAAAAUGCUAAAAAUAUAUUUUUUUAUAUUUGAUUUUGUUACAAAAAAAAAAAAAUUAACCAUGAAAGUCUGAAUAUAAUUAAAAUUAUUUAAAUUUUGUAUAUUUUUAAAAUUAUUAAUCCUUAUGUAAAAGAGUUAAAUACUUAAAAAUAAUAUUUAUCAUUGAUUUUAACUUUAAUUUUUUUUUCCUUUUACCUUUUCUCUCUAUUUUCUUUCCCUCACAAUUUCCUUCAAAAUAUUCCCUCAAUAACCUACUAAUUUAGUGUUUGUUGUUAUACUUUUUUUUUUUUUUAAACUUAAAUUUAAAUAAAAUUUAAUUUAACUUAAUUAUAAUAAAAGAAAAGGAUCAUACCACUUUUUUUUUUUUUUUUUUUUUUUUUUUUUUUUAUGGAUGUCAAGAUGGAUUUAAGAUACAUUUAUAAUAAGAUGAAAUUAUAGUCUGUUGAUGGAAAAUAUCAUUAUAAAAAAUGUCAUUUGAUCAGUGUGACCCUCUCGUAAUUGAUAACAAAUUCAAUUAUUGUCUGUCGAUGGAAACUGAAUUUCCAACCACACAAAAUUAAAUUCAUAUAAACAAUGACUUUUCUUGUUUCAAUUAUUUAUAUUAUAUCAAAUAUUUCUAAUUUUUUUGUAUAAAUAAAUUAUUUUAUUCUCUAAUUAUAGAUUCAAACAUACAAUGUCAUCCAAUCAAUAGAUACAUAAAUCUUUUUUUCAAAUAUAAACAUAAUGCAAAUAUAUACACACAAUCAAGUGGUGCGAUAUCGUUCCUAAGUUUUUACUGAAGAAUACACGUUUAUACCUAAAUACACUUCUCAUUUGGAGUGUUCUCGGGGUAAGUUUUUGUAAUUUAUAUAAGAGAUCUCACUUAUUUCUCAAUUCGCCCUCUUUGAAUCUUUUCAUUUCGAUCUUAUUUUCUUUUCUUUUAAUCUUUUUGCCCUCAUUCUCAUUUCCAUUUCAUAUAACAAGUUCUUCACUUUUCUUUGUCUACAACCAUGGAUGUAAAAUGAGUGCGGUAUAAUAUUGUUGUGCAAUCCUAACUCAAAUGAUAAUACCAACUAAUAUAAAAUAAUUAUUUUAAACCAAUAGUCAUCGGCAGUAGACUUAUAUCUUCUGGACCAAUUAGUAUACCAACAGUGAUCAGGCUAAGGUGAUGAUCCAAUUCCAUGGAAGAGCAUCAAGAAAGGAGGAGGAACGUUGGAGAGAAAGAAGGCGGCCAACCAAGCAGGAACAGUGGCCAAACUGGCCUCGAGCCUGAGGAGCAUAUGAUUGACAGUGUUGAAAUCAGUCCUAGGGUGAAAAAUUGGAUUAAGUCUCUCAAAAACGCAGAAGAAAGCACUCAAUCUCAAAGUUCAUGGCCAAGGAUACCAAAGGUUCCUCAGUUGCUGAGGGGGACCCAUGAUUUCGAGAGAUUGUACGAACCGAGGGUAAUUUCAAUCGGUCCUUACCACCAUGGCAAACCCCACCUUCAACCAGUGGAGACGAUCAAGCUUCAAUAUGCCCAAAAAUUCCUGGCUGAUAGUGACCAGGACAUCGAAGCUUUGUACACAAAAAUUGGAAGUAAUAUCGAGGCGUUGAGGAAGUGCUAUGAUAAGAUACCGACGGAUGAUGAGAAACUCGCCUGGAUGAUGCUUCUGGAUGGGUGUUUUUUACUACAAUUCAUCCGCAGCAGAAAGGACGGCAGCACAGUCGAUUUGAGUAACGUUCUUAGAAUUCACCAAAUAAAUUUUGUGGAGCGGGACUUGUUCUUGCUGGAGAACCAACUGCCCUUUGGAGUCCUCCAGUUGAUUUUUGAGGGAGCAAAAUUCAAUGAUGGUUCAACAAUGGAACAGAUGAUAAAAAAUUUCGUCACUCGCAUCGCAAGUCUACAACCGUCAUCAGAAAAACCGCUGGAUGAGCGCUCUCAUCUCCUCGACCUUUUGCGAAGUGCUAUCCUAGGCAAGAGUGCGCCCAAACAAGAGCGGCAACCUGAUAAAAAAGGAAAGUCGUCGUCGUCUUCAGGAGGAGAUGGGCGGUUCUGUUGCCCAUGGAAAAAAGGCAAACAACGAGGCAUUCGGCAGCCUUUUCGAAACAUCAAGGAGCUUAAAGCUUCCGGGAUCCAUCUCCGACAGAGUAGAACGAGUUUCUUGACAGACAUUUCUUUCAAUUCCUACUUCUUCCGUGGCUACCUGAAUCUUCCCCCAAUAAUCGUUGAUGACUCCACGAAGUCCAGGUUCUUGAACAUUGUAGCCUAUGAAAUGUGUCCAGAUGCCCCUGAUGACUAUACGGUCACUUCUUAUUUAUGCUUCCUUCACGGGCUCAUUCAUCAUGCGGACGAUGUCAAGGAGCUGAGAUCUAGGCACAUUCUCAUCAACCAUCUUGGCAGCGAUGAAGAUGUGGCCCGACUUUUCAACGAGAUCGCCAACGACGUGGUAGAUACCGGAGUUUAUGGAGAUGUGAAAGCUCGUAUUCAGAAAGACUACGACAAGAGGGUGAAUACUUGCAUAGCAGCCAUUAACGGAUUGGCACUGCUUUUACGGCUGUACAAUUGAUACUAUUUCUUACUGGUGUCCAAACCUACUACGCUCUUCCAGGUAAUUAAUGUAUGUGUGUAUGUAUGUGAUUAAUUAUCAUUGUGAUGUGCUUUUUUUUUCUUGUUUGGUGUGUUUAUGUUUGAAAAAAAUCCAACUUUCCAUGAUUGAAGUAAAUAUAUCAAUACAAGAUAUCAUUUUAUUAGAGAGUAUUAUGUAGAAGGAAAAACAAUUAAAAUUUGUAAAAUCUCUAGAUCAAAUUACCAAUAUUUGUAUCAAACCUAUCAAGUUUAAAGAUUUUAAAAAUUAAAGGAUGUUAUUCAAGAUAUACAAAUCAAGUUUUGAGUAGUCAAAUCAUAAAAAAAGUUUGAGGUAACAUAUAAAAAUAAUUUAUUAAUUAAAAUUUUUUUUCUUUCUCUAUUUUCUUUUUCUUAUAUUUUCUUUCAAACUUUUUAGGAACCAAACAUAACCUACUAAUUUAGUGUUUUUCUUUUACUUAAAUCUAAAUAGAACUUAAUUUUACUUAAUUCUAAAUACAACUUAAUAAUAUUAAGUAUUAAGUUGUUUAUUUUUAUUAUUUCAUUUCUUUUAAGUAUUAAGCAUUAAUAGGUGGGAGUUGCAUUGAGGUUGUGUUUUGGUUAUUUUAAAAGGUUACUUCUAGCAUUAAGUAAAAAAAAUUAAAUAUUUUGACUUUUUUCAUUCAAUCAAUUUUUUUUAAAAAAAAUAAGUAAUAAGUAAAAAAUAAGUAAAUCAUCUCAAGUCUGAAAGCAAAUUAUAUUCAAUAUUAAAAGAAAAAAAAAUCAAAACAACCGUAGAACCCCAUCUAGUUGCAGCUCGUUUCUUAUCAGGUGCAGCAUUUCUGAGGUUUUAUGCGUGUCAACUCGAGAAAGGCUGGGGCGGGGACCGUUUUCUGGAAACAUCAGCUGCAUGAAACGUGUGGGGAGCAACUGACCACAGCCAUAGUGGUGGUUGGGGCUCCAGACAUGCUGAGCGGGGGAACAGGGGAGUGGAUAUUGGCUUGUGAGAGGAGAAAAAAAGAAAGAGUUGCUUAUCUUCCCACCCAUUCACCUAUCCCACAUUCUCUCACGUCCGUGCAGCCCACAUGCUCCCCUCAUGACAUUCCCUUGCUCAUCCUAUCAUGCAUUUUUCACUCCCAUGUUCAUGCCAUACUCACCGCCAUCUUUUCUCUCUCUACACCGUGUCAUGCACCCAUUUGUUUUCCUAAAAAGACCACAACCCCUGUUUUGUGCUCCAUCACAGCCCAUGCUUGUGCCACCACAUAACCCUCGUUUUCACCCCCACUUUCAUACCCAUGCAACCAAUCUUUCUCACCCUCUCAUCACCCACUGAAGUGUAUGGAAGUCGUGGUGAUUUCCCUCCAUCUCGCGUUGCCUAGGCUGUCCUCAGUCCGCGUGUUUUCCUGCGCGCUUGCUUCAGAUUAAACUUCGUUCGUCGGCUUCUUUAAAACCCUUUCAACUCGUGUUGUAGUUUAAUGGAUCAAAGCCCAAAUCAGAGAGGAAGGCAAACCUGGGUUCUUGGGUGCAAGUGUAUGCCAAAGGGGAGGUGUAGGAGGGUGAAUUUCACGAGUGGUGGUGUUCAGGAAGUGGGGUUUAUUAUUAUCAUAGGAGUGGGAGGAUAUGUGGGCAUGGAUCAACCUACAGGUAUGGGCAUAAAAGUGGGCCUGAGCAUGGGCCUGAGCCUGGGGGUGAAUGUGGGCCUGAGCAUGGGUUUGAAUAUUGAAAUGUGGCAAGUAGCCCGGAUGCAACAACCAACUUUGCCUCCUGGAGGUUAUAACCUCAUGAUGGGCUCAGGUGGUUAUACUCUUUAGCAACCAACCAUAUGGUAAUGGCUACCAUUAGGAAUGCUAUACACGUAAUGGAUGCCUAUUAUUUCAAGUGAUUCCUAUAUUCCCAAUUUACGCAAUUUAAUUCUUAAAGCCCUAAUUUCUCGAUAUUCUUUCAAAUUUCGAUUUUCACACUAAUAUAUUUGAUCACUAUUACCAUUAUUUCAUUAUUAUUUGUUUAUUUCUAAAAUUCGAUCUUUAAACACAUCUUCAAAAAUUCCAUUUUUUUAAAAUUUAAUUUCUAAUCCUGAUAAUUCCCAUACUCGCUUUAAUUUAUUUAAUCAUAAAUAUUUUAUUCAUUUAUUUUAAAACUCUAUUUUUAAUCUAUUCUUUAAAAUUCCCGAUUACCGAAUUAAAUUCCGAAAAUUCCCAUACUCACUUUAAUUUAUUUAAUCACUAAUAUUUCAAUCAUUUAUUUUAAAAUUCCAUUUUUAAUCUAUUCUUUAAAACUUCCGAUUUCAAAAAUUCCAAAAUUCACGUUUAUUUAUUUAAUCAUUAUUUUCGUUCCGUUUUAAACAAUUCAUUAAAAUUUUCGACUUCCAAUUUUAAUUCCGAAAAUUCCAAUAUUCACAUUAAUUUAUUUAAUUAUUAUUAUUUUAUUUAUUUAUUCUAAAAUUCCAUUUUUAAACAAUUCAUUAAAAUUUCCACUUUUGCUAAUUCCAAAAUUCCAACAUUCACAUUAAUCUAUUUAAUUAUUAUUAUUUUAUUUAUUUAUUCUAAAAUUUCAUUUUAAACAAUUCCAACAUUCACAUUAAUCUAUUUAAUUAUUAUUAUUUUAGUUAUUUAUUUUGAAAUUCCAUUUUAAACAAUCCUUCAAAAUUCCAAUUUCUGAACUUAAUUUCCAAUUUCCAAAAUUCUAAUUUCUUUCAAAUUUAAUAUCUAAAAUUCCAAUUCUUAAAUUUAAUUUUCAAGACUCCAAUCUUCAAAUAAUUUUCGAGACUCUAAUUUUCAAAUAAAUUUGAAAAAUCCAGUUUUCUCUCGAAUAGCUUUAAUUCCACUCCGAUUUUUAAAUAAUGUUCUAUUUCUUUUGAUUUUUUUACACAAGCAAGAAUGAUGAAUCUUCAUAAUUCCGAAAUAAUGGGAUUCGCGAGAUUAAUUCAGGCAAGAUCAAUCGGGCUUUGGUGAGGGCCCCACAUAUGUGAUUUUAUGACUGACUGAUUGAUUAAUUAAUUUAUUUACCAUGCUUGUUUGAUUUAUUCUGUUACUUGACAUGCGCAUAAUUUUAUCUAUUCGUCAUUCACUAAUCCUGUUUCAUGAUAGCGCAUUCGUGACUUGAGGACCAGGUACGCAUCCACUCAUAUUUUGUUCGUUCUUUAUACAUGCUCUGCUUCCCACGUCGUGCAUGAUUAAGGUGAGUAUUCAUUGGCUUUCUCAUUGAUUGCCGCGUUAGCUUCAUUCUAUUAGUAGAGACCCGAUUUCAGGGACUUAGAGGGGUGCUACGGUUCAUGUCAUACCUUCUCGAUAAGUAACCUGACCCCCGAACUCGAUCCGGUUUUUCGUAGAUCACCUUUUCCAAAUAAGGAGUCACACUUAGGAUUUUUCUUUCUUAUUUUGUUUACCCUUUUAAAAAUAAAACAAAAAUAAGUGGCGACUCCAAGUCAUUUUCUUAAUCAAAUAAAAUCAUUUUUCAAAUAAAAAUCGAGCUCGCCAUCGAGUGGGAAAUACAUGAGCCGAAAUGUGGGGUCCACAACAACAUAAGAUUUAAAAUUCAAAAUGAUUAUAAAUGUGUGACACUAAGCUUAAUGCACGCGUGCUAAAGGUCACUAAUGUUAUUCGUAGUUUUCCCAUGGCAAUUGGUAUGUUUCACAAUCUUUCUUGGACGUGGGAGGGGCUUGGGUUUUUGAAUGAGAAUGAAGCUUUUUGAAAGGUUUGUAAUAAUAAAAUAUAACAUCAAAAAUAAAAUGAGGUAUUUAUGUAAAAUAAAAAGAAAAUUGUCUAAAAAAAUUCAUUAAGGCUGUGUCUCUCUGGUUUAAAAAAUUUGAGGGAAAGAAAAUAGAUAAAAAAAAGUGGAAGGAAAAAAAAUGAAGGAAAAUAAAAAAUAAAUUAAAAGUCAAUAAAUUAUUUUUAUAUUCUUCUUCAAAUUUAUUUCACUUGCUCUUCUUCAUUAUAUAAAGAUUAUAUAAUUUUAAAAUGCAUAUAUUUUUAACUAAUUUGAAUUAUAUUUGAUUUUUUUUUGUAUUUUUUUUAUAGUAAAACCAAAUAUAAGAAAAUCAUUUUCCUUAAUAUUUUUUCAUUUUCUUAGUACUUUUUGAAAACCAAAUAUAACCUAAUUCUUAAUUAAUUUAAAUUAUAUUUGAUAUUAAAUAUUUAAUUAUGUAAAUAUUAAAAAUAAAUAAAAUCUAAUAAUUGUACUAAUAUUUUAUAUUUUCAUUUUCUAAUUUUUACUUUAUUUUAAUAGAUACUAAACAUGAUUUUUAAAUUUUAAAAAAUUUUUUAAUUAUAAAAAUAAGAAUGGAAAAAUAAAUAUCGGAUAGCUAAUUUUGACAGACAUGUAAUUUUGAUAGUGAGUGGUGUGAGGAGGGCUUUUUUGCCCAAAUUUUUGUGUUUUCCAAAUCUAAGCCAUUUCCUUGCCUACUUUUUUUCUCCAUGUUCCAAGUAAACAAGGGUAAAUACUUACAAUAAAAAAUUAAUGAAAGACAAAAACCAUACAACUAUUUCCUCCAUAGAUACCAACAUGGAUUCGAGAUUUAAGAUACAUUUAUAAUUAGACGAAAAAUGGCACGAUGAAAAAUAUCAUUUGAUUAAGGUAAGGUGGAAAAAUAAGGGCUACAUUUAAAGUACUCGAGUAUAUUAUAUAUGCUCCCUUUAGGGUGAUUCCCAUAUCAUUUAUAUAUUUCUUUUUAAUUCAAUUUGAAAUUUGAAUUCAAUUUUAUAUUUAUAUUGUAUAUAUUUAUAAUAAUAUAUAUUAUAUAUAAUUAUUUAUAAUAAAAUAAUAAAAAUUAUAAUAUUAAUUAAUUUAAUAGGAUUAAAAAGGACUAAUUUUUUUUAAAUUAUUAUAUAUAUAGGUCUGAAUGGAAAAAAUAUCAUCCAUUUAUUUAUACUCUUAUAUGUUGAUAUCAUUAGUUUGUACCCUCAUUCUAAACAAGGGUACCUUAUCUUGAUCUCAUGCAUUGGUUUGUGUUUUGGAAUUUGAAAGGUUUCCUUAGGUUUAUUUAAGUUUUGACAAUAAAUAAUUAGUAAAAGAAAAGGACCAUACCACUUUUUCCUCCAUAUUCCAAGUAAAUAUGGGAAAAGACUUACCACAAGAAAUUAAAGAAAGGAAAAGAACCACACCACUAUUUCCUCAAUAAAUGUCAAGAGGAUACAUUUGUAAUCAAUGUUGGGAAAUGUCAACAUGGAAAAUAUCCUUUGAUCAAUGUAAGAUGGAAAAGAUCAUUUGACAAGGGCUACAUUUACAGGACUCAAAUAUAUUUUUUUCAAUAGGUAUGAAAAAAACAUCAUCAAUCAAGUGGUGUUAAAUAUAUAUUUUUUAAUCUCAUUAUUUGUACCACAAUCCUAUUUAUUUAUACUCUUAUACCUUGAUAUUAUUAGUUUGUAUCUUCAUUCUAUCUUACCUUGAUCUCAUUAGUUUGUUUUUCAAAAUAUGAAAGGCUUCCUUAUGUUCAUCCAAGUCCUUAGACUCCUUACAAUAAGGAAUUAAUAUAUGAAAAUGAUCGUACCAUUUUUUUCUUGAUGGAUGUCAGGAUGGAUUCAAGAUACAUUUAUAAUAAGAUGUAAUUAUUAUUUAUAUAUUGAGAUUGAAUAUUAAGAUUAUUUUAAUUUUUUAAUUAUAAAAACAAGAAUUGAAAAAUUAAAAUUGGAUAGUGUCAACCCCUUAGCCUUUUGACCCAAUUUUGGAGAAAAGGGUCUCAUGGGUAGGCCUUGCACCCAUGGGAGCCUAGAUAGAGAGCAAGAAUGGCCUGGAGGUUUGGCGGUUCAAACCCCAAGAGUUAUAAUGAGAAGGCCAUGUUUGAGCCAAACGUGCACCACAUGCGAGCUAGAUGCGUACCGCGUGCACACUACAGACAAGCUAAACAGGCACCGCACGCGCACCUCGAGUGAGCCAAACAGGUACCGCGCAUACACCAGGCAUAUGUUGGCUAUGGAGUUGGUGUAGUUGGAGGGCGAGGUUUAUUUUGAAAUAUAAUUUAUAAUUAUUUAAAUGUUUCAUUAUGUCUCCUCCAGACAUCUUGAUAACGAUCCGUAUUGCUCUUUAAGGGGGAAAGGGGAUAGGUAAUUCGAGGGGGCACCAAGGGAAGGCCUUGAUCGCACCAAGGGAGCACCAUGGCACGACUCGUGGCGUGCCUAGGACACACAGAUAGACACUCAAGCACACACACAUGGGUUCCACAAUAUGUGUGGCGUGCACCCUGUGGCUGCAACAGCCCGGGGUCUGGUACAACCUACCUCCUCCCCGCACAGGCAUGAAGGGGCCUAAGCCUUGUGCAACUAGCUAACUGAGGAAGCCAUGGUUUGAUGAGGCACUAGACAGACAGUUGGCUUGUACCCAUAAUGCUUACGCACGACACAGGAGCGCAAUGCCAUAGUUCAUUGCUAUAGAGCUUGACCUGACAGUGGGAGAUAGACAUAGGCCCAUACCAUGGGCACCUUGACAUGGCAUGGACUGACACGUCAGUGUGGGGAAGACACACUGAUGCACCAAGCACCUGGUCAGUUGGUUGGUGCAUGUUGCUAGUUCAGAUGACAGCUAGCUAGUGGUAGCAAGUGUGUGAUCCGGACAAUAGUCAGUUUCAAGGGAUUGACAGAUGGUUGGUGCGAAGAGACGCCUUGGACUAAGGGAGUGUCUCCAGCUAGGUGGUUACAUGAGCAGUUCACCAGUUGGGUGGUUAUGCAAGCAGUUUAUGGGCGAUUGUGGCAGUUGCAAAACCACCAGAUUGGCUCCUUGGUUUUGAAUUUUGAAAUUUGAAAUUGUAACUUGCAGGCUGGUCAUUUAAAAAGGGGCCUCUUCCAUCUUUGAGAUAGAGGAUGAGAGCAUGGGAUAUGUCUUUGAAUGCUUAAGGGUUCUAAGCAUUGUACUCUGACUUAGACCAAGUGUUGAGACACUUUGGAAAACGAUUUUAUAUCUUGUAGUGACUGAAAUAAUACAAGUUAGGAAGGGUUCCCGUAAUUGUUGUGUCAUGUUACUUUGUUUUUCUAAGGGUUGGGAAGAAAGGUUAGCUAAGGAAAGGUCCUUAGUACUGCACACUCGAUGAAAAAAUUAAUGCAAUUAUCAGGGGUGUGAUAGAUAGCUAGUAUUUACAGGCAUAUGUAAUUUUGAUAGAGAUGAGAAGAGAAGAAUGAGUGGUAUGAGGAGUGCAUUUUUGCCCAAAUUUUUGUGUUUUAGGAAUCCAAAGCAUUUCCUUUCCCACUUUUUUCUCCAUGUUCUAGGUAAUCAUGGGAAAAAAGUUGCAAAAAAAAAUUAAUUAAAGAAAAGGAAUAUACCACUAUUUCCUUGAUAGAUAUUAGGAUGUAUUUAAGAUUUAAGAUACAUUUAUAAUCCGCAGUGGAAAAUAUCAAGAUAGAAAAUAUCAUUUGAUAAGGACUACAUUUUUAGUACUCAAAUAUACUUCUUUUUAUAGGUAUGAAUGGAUGAAAAGAUAUCAUCAAUCAAUCAAGUGGUGUCAAAUUUAUAUUUUUAAGUAUUAUUAUUUGUGCUCAAAUCCCAUUUAUUUAUACUCUUCUACCUUGAUAUUCUUAGUUUGUACCCUCAUUAUGUGGAAACAAGGGUACUUUACCUUGAUCUCAUUGGUUUUAGUUUGAAAAUUUAAAAGGUUUCCUAAGGUUUAUCUAAGUCCAUACAAUAAGGAAUUAAUAAUAAAAAAAAGGACCAUGCCACUUUUUCCUCCAUGUUCCAAGUAAAUAUGGGAAAAGACCUACAACAAGAAAUUAAUAAAAGAAAAGGACCAUACCACUAUUUCCUUAAUAGAUGUUAAGAUGGAUUCAAGAUACAUUUAUAAGUAAUGGUGAAAAAUGUCAAGAUGGAAAAUAUCCUUUGAUUAAGGUAAGAUCGAAUAAAUCCUUUGCUAAGGGCUAUAUUUAUAGUACUCAAAUAAGCUCUUUUUUGAUACGUAUGGAAAAGACAUUAUCAAUUAAUUGGUGUCAAGUAUAUAUUUUUAAGUCUCAUUAUUAAUGGACCCCAAUUCCAUUUAUUUAUACUCUUAUACCUUGAUAUCAUUAAUAUGUAUCCUCAUUAUAAGUGAAAAAGGGUACCUUACCUUAGUCUUAUUUAUUUGUAUUUCAUAAUCUAAAAGAUUUCCUUAGGUUUAUAUAAACCCUUACAAUAACGAAUUAAUAAAAGAAAAAGACCAUACCACUUUUUCCUUGAUGGAUGUCAAGAUGGAUUCAAGAUAUAUUUAUAAUUAGAUGUAAAUAUUGUCUGUUGCUGGAAAAUAUCAUUAUGGAAAAUGUCCCAUGAUCAAGAUAACCCUCUUGUAAUUGAUGUCGAAUUCAAUUAUUGUCAAUCGAUGGGAAUUGAAUUCCCAACCAUACAAAAUUAAAUUAAUAUAAAUGGUCACUUCACUUUUCUUAUUUCAAUUAUUUAUACCAUAUCAAAUACUUCUAAUUUUUUUGUACAAAAUAAAUAAAUUAUUUGUUAUCUAAUUAUAGAUUCAAAUAUACAAUUGAUGUCAUUGAAUCAAUUGAUACAUAAAUCCUUCUUCCAAAUAUUAACAUAAUGAAAAUGCAAACACACAAUCAAGUAAUGCAAUAUUGUUCCUGAGUGUUCAUAUAAGGAUACACGUGUAUAUCUAAAUACACUCCCCAUUUGGAGUGUUCUUGAGGUAAGUUUUUGUAUCUUAUAUGAAAAAUCUCACUCCCUUCUUAAUUCAAUUUCUUUGGGUCCUUUCAUUUCUCAUUUUAUUUUCUUUUAUUUUUUUUGCCCUCAUUCUCAUUUCCAUUUCAUAUAAGAAGUUCUUAACUUUGCUUUCUAUACCACCAUGGAUGCAAAAUGAAUGAGAUAUAAUAUUAUUGUGCAAACGAAACUCAAAUGAUAUAUAAUACUCAAUAAUAUAAAAUAAUUAUUUUAAACCUAUAAAAAUACUCAAAAUUUUCAAUAAAUAAUUUCCAUUAUUUUCAACGUUGAUAUAUCAUUAAUAAAUUUCAAUUUUAUCUUCCUAACACAGUCCAAAUAAUUAUAACACUUCACACAAAUAUUUAUCUUUGAUUAAUAUGAAUUGAAUUUUUCUCCAACAUAAUUUCCACUAAAAAUCAAUUAAAAUUUCAUAUAAUCGUAAAAAUAAUUAAAAUAACAACUAUAUACUUAGAAUCACUUGCAAAAUAUUAUCAUAAUAAGAGUUUGUUUGAUAGUGAUCAUAAAAGAUGCUUUUAAUAUUUUUAACAUUUAAAAUUUUUUACCAAAAGAAUUGUUUUAAGUACUAGAAAAACUAAACACGUUUUCAAAAAUCACUAUCAAACAAGUUGAAAGAACAUGUUUGAUAUUAUGAAACCCUUUUAACCUUCCCCACAUUUGAAAAUUUUUAGCCAAGUAUUUGUAACCUUUCUAACCUUCCGUUUGGUAGGAAGCGGUGGCAGUGAUUGUUAGUAUUAGUAAUAAUCACUAGACGAAGUCAUGGGCAGUAGACCAAGUCAUCCCUCUUGGUAGGAAGCGCUUUUAACACCAAGCCAUCGGCAGUAGACUUACCUCUUCUGAACCAACAUAUUAACAGUGAUUAGGCCAAAGUGGUGACCCAAUUCCAUGGAAGAGCAGCAAGAAAGGAGGAACGUUGGAGAGAUAGAACUAGAAGGCGGACAACCAAUCAGGAACAGUGGCCAAACCGGCCCCGAGCUUAGGGAGCAUAGGAUGGACAUUGUUGAAAUCAGUCCUAGGGUGAAAAAUUGGAUUGGGUCUUUCAAAAAAGCAGAAGAAAGUACUCAAUCUCAAACUCAAUGGCCAAGGAUACCAAAGGUUCCUCAGAUGCUGAGGGGGACCCAGAAUAUCAAGAAAAUCUACGAACCGAGGGUAAUUUCAAUCGGUCCUUACCACCAUGGCGAGCCCGACCUUGGCCCAGUGGAAAUGAUCAAGCCUCCAUGUGCCCAAUAAUUCCUGGCUGAUAGUAACCAGGACAUCGAAGCUUUGUACACAAAAAUUGGAAGAAAUAUCGAGGCAGUGAAAAAGUGCUAUGGUUGGAGUAGUACAAAAAAGGAUGAUGGUGAGGAACUUGCCUGGAUGAUGCUUCUGGAUGGGUGUUUUUUACUACAAUUCAUCCGCUGGAAAGGUAUGAGAAAGUUUCGUAGAAAUCACCAAAUAAAUUUUGUGGUGCAGGACUUGUUCUUGCUGGAGAACCAACUUCCCUUUGGAGUCCUCAAGUUGAUUUUUGAGGGAACAAAUUUCCAGGGUGGUCUACCAAUGGAAAAGAAUAUAAAAAUAUUCAUCACUUACUUCGGAAUGCCAGAAGGGUUGUCAUCAGAAAUACAGCUGGAAGAGGUGAACGAAGAGCCCUCUCAUCUCCUCGACCUUUUGCGAAGUGCUCUCCUAGGCCAGAGUCAACCCGAACAAGAGCAGCAACCUGAGAAAAAAGGAAAGUCGUCGUCGUCUCAAGGAGGAAAGUGGGGGGUCUGUUGCCGAUGGAAAAAAUGCAAACAACGGGGCAUUUGGCAGUUUUUUCGACACAUCAAGGAGCUUAAAGCUGCCGGGAUCUAUCUCAAACCGAGUAGAACGUGUUUCUUGAGAGACAUUUCUUUCAAAUCCUACUUCUUCUUUGGCUACCUGAAACUUCCCCCAAUAACCAUUGAUGACUUCACGAAGACCAAGUUCUUGAACAUGGUAGCCCUAUGAAAUGUGUCCAGAUGCCCCAGAUGACUAUGCGGUCACUUCUUAUAUAUGCUUCCUUUACGACCUCAUUGAUCAUGCAGACGAUGUCAAGGAGCUGAGAUCUAAGCACAUUCUCCACAACCUUCUUGGCAGCGAUGACGAUGUGGCCAAAAUUUUCAACGAGAUCAGCAAUGACUUGGUAAAUCCCGAAGCUUAUAAAGAUGUGAAAGAUUGUAUUCAGAAACACUACGACAAGAGAGUGAAUACUUGGACAGCUCAAGCCCUUCACAACCAUUUCAGGUCUCCAUGGACCAGGGUUCAAAGUCGCAGUAUCGGUCAUUGACUCGGGAGGUCCUGAGACACAUCGGUCUCGAUAUCUCGGAUCGGUAUCGGGUGAUACGCAAAAAAUUUUAAUUUAAGAGCUCAAAAUAAUUUUCAAAAAUUAUGAAAAUUAUUAAAAAAAUAAAAUACAAAUAAGAAGAGUAAAAAAAUUAAUAAAAUAAACUUCUAUUAUAUUAAAAUUAUUCAAAUUAUAAUAAAAGCAUAUUUUUGGGAUGAUUUAUAAUAAUAUUAAAAAUCUUUAAAAAUAUUUUAAUUUAAUUACUUGAUGAUAAAUAUUUCUUAUUGAAGAUGAAAAUAAUAAAAAGUAAAUUUUUUUAAUAAAAAAUUAUUUAAAUUAAAUAUUUUGAAUUUUUUUAAAAAUGUUUUCAAUUAUUAAAAAAAUAAAACCAUGAUUCAUCUUUAAAAAAAUAAAUAUAAUUUUUCUUAUAAAAUGUAUUCAUUAAUUUUAAUUUUUAUAUAAAUAUUUAUUUGAUAUAAGUCUAAUAUUUAUUAUUUAUUUUUUAUCAUUAUAAUUUUUAUCAAAUUAUUUAAAAUCCAUAUCCCAUCAAAUACUCAUAAUCUAAUUAAAAAAUAAAUACAAAUUAUUUAAACCUAAAUCCUCCAAAUAUCCAUAACCCUCCGGCGUGAAAUGGUUUUGGAAAGCGAUUUGAGAGUGAGUUAGGACAGCAUGCCUUCGGUGAAAAGCUUGGCCUCUGCCCCUCUGGAUUGUGGUGCCUCAACAGGUGAUUGUAGAAGUGGGAUGUCAGCCUACAUGAUCACCGGAGGCAAAUCCUUGCAGAAGUUCCAUAACACAGUCUGUCCCGACUGCAAACCCAUCAGGACCGUUGAUGAUAACAGCGGUGCCGAAGUCCGGCGACUCUACUCCUCAUGUCGCUCAAAUCCAUCUCCGGCGGGAACUUGGGCGAUCCGAACAAGCAGGCGUGCUUCUUCAACCUCGCCGGCGACUCCAAGAUGCAAGGUUCUAACUCUGUAUUUUUCAUUUUCGUGGGUUUUGAUCCUCUCAUCUGAUCUUCUCCACAAUUUCUACUCCAACUCGGGUAUCGGUCCGGUACCGACCAUGGUCGAGGCGGAUACGACUCGGCCGAGUCGUACCGGUCUCGACCGAGAUUUUGAACCAUGCCAUGGACUGUCAUGGCUUUCAUUGCUGCUCUUUUGAUACUAUUUCUUACUGGGUUCAGACCUACUACGCUCUUCCCGGUAAUUAAUAUAUAUAUAUACAUAUAUAUAUAUAUAUAUAUAUAUAUAUAUAUAUAUAUAUAUAUAUAUAUAUAUAUAUAUAUAUAUAUAUAUAUAUCUGGAUUAAUUAUGACUGUGAUGUGUUUUUAUCCUGUUUGGUGUGUGUGAUUAGAAACAAAGAUGUAUAGAUUGUUAAGUUGUAUCACUGGAUUUCAUGCAUGCAAUAUUAUGGGUCUUUUCCAGUUUUCCUCCCCACAUGAAUUUGCUAUACAAUUUCCAGCUUGCUUUUUUCUAUUCUUUUUCAUAGACCAGGAUAAUAGAUAACACAACAUCAACAUAGAAAAUUUUCAGUCAACAGUAUGUGAUUCCGUGGAUGGGAUGGGAUUGAAUUUGCUCACACACUUUUUUAUCUAAGGAGAAAAUUGUGGAUAAAAUCAUAAUUUUGAUAUAUUUAUAAAUUGAGGAAGGGCUCUCUCUAAUUUUUAUUUUUUAUUUUUUAUUUUUUUUAUAAAAGAUAAAAUCAUAAUACAUCACCCAAGGAAGGGGAGUGAAGGCAUUUUUUAUUUCAUCGUUGAACUUGUUUGAAAAAAAAAAAACCCCACUGUAGACCCCCCCGAGGAGCUGAGAGUUUUUUUUUUAUGAUUAUUCUUUUUGCUAUUUUUCUGACUCCUCUGAAGUGGGCUGCUCUCGGGCGGCAGAUGGGACGGGGGUAAGGAGAUGGCUUGGAGGAGAAGCUAAAAAAGAAAAGAGGAAAAGGAAAGAAAAGAAGGGGAAUCCAGAGAGAGAGGGAGAGAGCUCGGAGGGAACAACAGAGUAAGCUGAAGAGUAUUCUCAGGUAUGAAUGUAACAGGUUCAUUGUUAGAUUUAGAUCCUUGCUAUCCCUCCGCAUUUUUUUCUUGUUGAUAUUUUGGAUAUUUGUUGUUUUGCUUGGGGUGGAUUGUUGCUUGUUGAGAUAUAACCUUGAAUUCAUGCUUGCCAUCAUCCAUCUUAAUAUGCUCUGUUUCUAUUGUGAUUGCGGAAUGCCCGAGAAACCCCUCCAAUAUUUACACUUGAUGCUGUUUUUCUCACCUAAUGAGAAGAUUCACUGAUGAUUCAUGAUGUGAAGCUUCCUUUGAGAACCUUACUAUUUGUUUUCUGCUAUGCUCUGUUCCAUGUUUUUUUUUUCUUUUUUUUUCUUCUUUGUUUUGACUACUCUUUGUCCUUGGACCGUGUUCAAUGCAUAGAUGGUGGGAGAGGAGCAACUCUUGGCUUGAGGAGAGCUUCCCAGAAAAACGGGCAGAGAAAACUUUUCGGGGAUGGUCCGAAACAAAGAAGAAAGGAGAAAUGAGCUUUUCUGACGCUUAAGAGGAUUCCGAAAAUUUUUCGAGGCUGGUGCUGGUGCUGGCUGGUGCUGGUGCUGGUGCUGGCUGGUGCUGGUGCUGGUGCUGGCUGCUGGCUGGUGCUGGCUGGUGCUGGUGCUGGCUGGUGCUGGUGCUGGCUGCUGGCUGGUGUUGGCUGGCGUCGCCGCUGCCGCCGCGGGGAGGUGGUGAUCGUGCUGGAGCCAGGCGGGAGGAGGAGCUGUGGAGAAGAUGAAGUUUGGGCUUGGGCUUGAGUUGGGGUACUAGGCCCAAUUUUGUGAUGAAGCCCAGGCCCAAGUGGAAAGAUAUAAAAAAAAGAAGAGAACGAAAGAAGGUCUAAGGCUUAAGUGUUUUUGCUAUUGGCUUUGGGCUUGAUGGAAAUGGGCUCUUUUUAAUAAAAUGGACAUGGGCUUAGGCUUAUAGAUUUGGGCUUGAUGGAGAUGGGCUCUUUUUAAUAAAAUGGACGUGGGCUUUAGGCUUAUAGACUUGGGCUUAAUGAUAUGGAUAUUAUUAUUAUUAUUACUAUUAUUAUCAUGGUUAUUAUUAUUAUUAUCAUUCUUAUUAUCAUUAUUAUUAUUAUUAUUAUUAUUAUUAUUAAUUCAACUUUUAAAAUCCUAUUAUUAUUAUUACUAACCCAACUUUCAAAAAUCUCAUUACUAUUAUUAUUAUUAACCCAACUUUCAAAAUCUCAUUAUUAUCAUUAUUAUUAAUUCACACUUUCAACAUCUAUUUAUUAUUAUUAUUAUCAUCAUUAACCCAAACUUUCAAAAAUCUCAUUAUUAUCAUUAUUAUUAUUUCACACUUUCGACAUCUAUUUAUUAUUAUUAUUAUUAUUAUCAUUAAUCCAAACUCUCAAAAUCUCAUUAUUAUUAUUAUUAAUUCACACUUUCAAAAUCUUUUUAUUAUCAUUAUUAUUAAUUCAACUUUCAAAAUCCUACUAUUAUUAUUAUUAACCCAACUCUCAAAAUAUUAUUAUUAUUAUUAUCAUUAAUUCAACUUUUAAAACCUUAUUAUUAUUAUUAUUAUUAUUACUAUUAUUAUUAUUAUUAAUUUGAUUCUCAAAAUCUUAUUAUUAUUAUUAUUAUUAAUUCACAUUUUCAAAAUAUUAUUAUUAUUAUUAUUAUUAUUAUUAAUUCACACUUUCAAAAUAUCAUUAUUAUUAUUAUUAUUAUUAAUUCACGCUUUCAAAAUAUCAUUAUCAUUAUUAUUAUUAUUAUUACCUCAACUUUCAAAAUAUUAUUAUUAUUAUUAUUAUCAUUAAUUCAGACUUUUGAAAUCAUAUUAUUAUUAUUAUUAUUAAUUCAAACUCUCAAGACCUUAUUACUAUCAUUAUUAUGAAUUCAACUUUCAAAAAUCUAGGGUCUCGCAAUUCAAUUUCCUAAAGUCCGUUUCUCAUUUUCUUUAACAAAUUUCAAUUUAAUCAUCGGAGCUGUAAUCUUCAAAAUUUAAUUCCAAAUACUCCAAUUUUCAAAUAAGCUCCAAUAAUUCGAUUUUCACUCGAAUAGUUUUUAAUCACAUUUCAGUUCCUAAAUAAUCUUUGGAUCUUCUUGAUUUUACAUGAGCAAUAGCGAUUCCUUCAUAAUUCUAAAACGCGGGAUUUGUGAGUUUAGCUCAUGAAUAAUAAAUCGGGUUUUGUUGGAGGCCCUGUGUUUGACCCCUUUUGACUGUCAAUUAUCGUGCUUACUGUAUUUUGCUUGAGUUUCAUUUUGCACUCCGAUAUGUAUGAGCUAUGUUUUGUAUUCAUUAAUUGUGCACUAAUCUCGUUUCUUGAUAGCGCAUUGUGGCUCGUGGCCGAGGUACGCAUCCACUCCCUUUUCUAGUCAAUCUCUAUUGCGUGUUUUGAUUCCCAUAUUGUGCAUGAUUUAGGUGAAUAUCCACUGACUUUCUCGUUUGAUUAUCACGUCAACUUCAUUUUAUUAGUAGAGACCCGACUUUAGGGGCUUAGAGGGUUGCUACGGUCUUUAUCGUACCUUCCCGAUGAGUAACCUGACCCCCGAACCCGAUCCGGUUUUCACAGACCACCUUUUCCAAAACAAGGAGUCACACUUAGGGUUUUUCUUUCUUAUUUUGUUUACCCUUUAAAAAUAAAACAAAAAUAAGUGGCGACUCCAAGUCAUUUUUUUAAUCAACAAAUCAAUUUUUCAAAUAAAAAUCGAGCUCGCCAUUGAGUGGGAAACGCAUGAGCCGAAAUGCGGGGUUCACACCCAUGCACAGAGAUUGAGUUAGAAAUGAAAGUGGAGAAAAGAAUGAUAGAAAACAUGUCAUUCAAUCAAUUGAUAUAAAUCUUUCUUUUAAAGUAAACAUGAUGCAAAUAAUUACAUAUAAUCAAGCAAUGAACUAUCAUUAUUAAUUUAUUUUCUUCGGUCAUUUCAUUUUUUUUUUUGGCCCUUUUAUUCUCAUUUCUGUUUCAUAUAACAUUUUCUUUACUUUUCUUUCCAUAUAAAAUGAGUGUGAUAUAAUAUGAUUGUCCAAUAAUAAUAUCUAAUAAUAUAAAACAAUUAUUUUAAAUAUAUAACAACAUUUAAAAUUUUAGACAAAUAAUUUCCGUUAUUUUCAAUAUUGAUGACACUAAUAAAUUUCAAUUUUAUCAUCAUAACACUUCACACAAAUAUUUAUCUUUCAUUCACAUGUAUUGAAUUAUUCUCCAACAUCAUUUCCACUAAAAAAAUCAAUUAUUGCAAAAGAAAAUAAAUCCAAAAAAUAAUAAUCACUUGCAAAAAGACACCAUGAUAAGUAAAUCUAAAUCCAAAAAAUAAUAAUCACAAUUUUUUUAUUAAAAUAUAUUAUAUGAAAGUUUUGGGGAACAAACUAUUCUAUCAAAAAUCGAGAAUCUAAUCGAUAAUUUUGAAAUUAGACUUCAUGAUAUUUCUCACAUAAAAUAAAACAUUCUCCUAAAAUUUCAUACAAAAAAUCAAAUUUAUUUGCUUCAUCAAACAGCCUUCUGAAGAUCUAUGAUACUGAAUGCUCAGUCUUUUUUUUUUUUUUUUCCUUUUAAUUCAUUCUACACCUCUCUUUCUCUCUCCUAAUACUAGACUUUUUCUUUCUGUUUAUUAUUAUUAUUUCCCUUAGUUGAUUUUUAUCGUUUCUCAUUCAGGAUUUCACACCACUUUCAUAUCAUAAUAAAACUGUAUUUUACCAUAUUCCCAUUUUAAGCUUUUAUUUUUUCAAAUAUAUCAACUUUAGCUAAUAAUAUAAUAAUCCACUAACCUUCGUUCAAUUUACAAUAAUAAGAUUCUUAAUCCUUUGAAAUGACAUUAGUUUAAUUUACUUCUUUUAUUAAAUAUACUUCAAUUAAAUCAACCUUUUAAAAAUUAAAUCUACUAAAUGAUAAUAUUCAUAUUUAAUUAAUUUACCUUUUUAUAUAAAUUCAUAAAUUUACAUAACAUAAUUCAAUUUUAAUUUCAUUUUAUUCAAUUUUGUUUUGUGUUUUUAUAAUUUAUAAGGUUGAAUUCCCAUUAUAAUUAAAAAUUAAAUUGUUUUAUUAUAAUAUUAAAUUAAAUUAAAUAUCUUUUGAAAAAAUUAUUAUAACCAUACAACAUAAUACAAAUUUCACCAAGUUUUUCUAUCAAGGGUUUUCGGAUCAUUACCUUAUAAUAAUAAAAUUAAUUUUUACCAUAUAUGUAAUAUUUGAAUUUCAAAAAUCCAACCACAAAUAAUUUAAUAGUUAAAUUUAAAUUUAAUUUUUGAAAUUCUUAAUUUCGAAAUGUGACUUGGCAAGAAUAUAAACUUUCUAUUAGCUUUGCAAAAAUUACACACAAUUAAAUAAAACGUUGACACGUGAAUGCUUAGUAACAUCAUGGCAGUAGAUUGACAAAUAUAUGAAUUUUGGAUGAUCACGAGGGAUAGUCAUCGGUAGUAACAUCAUGGCAGUAGACUGACAAAAAGCCCAACAUUUUCCAUGAAAGGACAAUAAUUGCAUCUGAUUAUAAAUAGGGAGAAUUACCCUUAAGGGUAGGCUGGGGAAAAAAAUUACUGAAAAGGGUGGGUAGAUUUGAUAAUUCUUAUAAAGGCCUUAUAUUUUUAUUAGACCAAUUUACCCUGAUUUCUCAAGUCCAUUUACCUAUUGAAAAGUACAUCUUCUUUCUUGAUAAUCAUAAAGUAUAAGUACAAUACAAAUGCAAUAAAGUUACAAUGAAAAAAUAUUAACAUUACAAUACAUUACAAUAUACCAAAAUGACAAAUUAUUGAAUUCGUUUUUUUUACUGAACUAGUAUUUCUAGGCUAUCAUGUUAUAUUCCUAUCAUAAAGCAUCCUUGCAAGCCAAAAUUAUAAAAAGACAAUAAAAAUACAUUAUUAUAAUUUUAAUACAUAAAGUUAUUCAUGGUAAUCCAAUGAUAUAUAUAAAAAAAAUCUAUAAAAUUAAUUUUUUAUAUAAAAAUAUAAAUGUACAAUAAAAAUACACUACGAUUAUAAUAUAAAUACAAUAACAUUACGAUAAGGUAAAAUUUUGAAAAUUUCAAAUUUCUUAUGAAAUUGGGCAGUUGUCUAAUAUACAUGUCUAAUAUACAACAAAUAUUGUUCUUUAUUAUAUAAAAUAUGUUUCAAUUGAUUAUAAUUUUUAGUUUUCAAUGAAAAUCCGAAUAUGUUAAUAAAUACCCAAAUAAGCAUGAAACAACUGAGAAAUUUUUUUAUUCUGCCAUGCCAAACAAGUCUCAACAACAAAAUUAAAGUGCAAACCUUUUCAAUGGAAAUCAAUAAUAAUCAUAUCAAACAACCCACCCAGAAAAUAAAUUAAAAAUAAAAACACAUCUUCAAUAUGACCAAAAUAAUAUAAAAAAAUUCAAAAAAAAAAAUUUAAUAACAUUUUACACAAAAAAAAAAUGUAAUUUCUUUCUCAAAACCUCCUUCAAUAUUUCAGAUCUACAUUGUUAAAAUUAUUAAUAGUUCUUUCCUUCAAUCCAAAUUUUAAAUUAUUUAUUUAUUUGCAUAAACUAACGUAUUUUUUUUUUUGGCAUUUUUUUUUUAAAAAUCUUACAUUUAAUGGAUUUCUUGCUAGAUUCACACAAAAAUACAAGCUUUGUGGAGACGGUUCAGAUCAUAACCUGAAGUGCUGGAGUUUUUUCCUCUUUCCCUUUUCUUCUUCAAUACCGAUAAGCUACAGUUGGAUUAAAAGAAGAUUUUUUUUUUUAUGCAUAUUUUUUUUAAAUCUUACCUUUAAUGGAUUUCUUGCUAGAUUCACACAAAAAUACAAGCUUUGUGGAGACAGUUCAGAUCAUAACCUGAAGUGCUGGAAUUUUUUCCUCUUUUCCUUUUCUUCUUCAACAUCGAUAAACUACAGCCGGGUUAAAAGAAGAUUUUUUUUUUGUUUGCUGGCUUUUCACUUGUUAAGGGUAGUCUUGGCAUUUAAACAAAAUAAAGCCUUUGAAAGAAUUAUCAUAAUUCCACCCUACCCUUCAUAAGAAUUAUUAAAUAUACCCACCCUUUUGGAUCAUAUGUUUUCCCAGUCCACCCUUAACAGGAAUUCUCCCUUACAAAUAUAUCCUGGAAUCCAAUCCCCAUAUUUUUCCCGUGAACUAAUCUGUUUGGUUCCAGAAACCACUAAAAAAAAAAAAGGAAAAUGCUAAAAUUAUAUUUCUUUAUACUUGAUUUUGUUACAAAAAAAAAAAAAAAAAAAAAAUCAAAGAAAGUCUGAAUAUAAAUAAAAUUAUUAAAAUUUUUGUAUAUUUUUUAAAUUAUUAAUCCUUAUAUAAAAGAGUUAAAUAAUUGAAAAAAAGUUUAAGGUACUAUAUACUAUUGAUUUUAAUUUUUAAAAUUUUGAUUUUAAUUUUUAAAAGUUUAACUUUUUUUUUUUUAAUCUUUUCUUUUUAUUUUCUUUCUCCCGUGAUUUUCUUCAAACUUUUUUGGAACUAAAUAUAACCUAAACAACCUAUUAAUUUGAGGUUUGUUGUUGUUGAGUUUUUUUUUUACUUAAAUUUAAAUAAUAUUUAAUUUAAUUUAAUUCUAAAUAUAACUUAAUACUAUUAAGUUGUUUAUUUUUAUUAAAUAUUAAGUAUUAAUAGGUGGAGUUGGGUUGAGGUUGUGUUUUAGUUAUUUUAAAAAGUGGUGAUCCAAUUCCAUGGGAGAGGGGCAAGAAAGGAGGAACGUUGGAGAGAAAGAAGGCGGUCAACCAAGCUGGAACAGUGGCGAAACUGGCCCCGAGCCUAAGGAGCAUAGGAUUGACAUUGUUGAAAUCAAUCCUACGGUGAAAAAUUGGAAUCGGUUCAUCCAAAAAGCAAAAGAAAGGAUUCAAUCUCAAAGUCAAUGGCCAAGGAUACCAAAGGUUCCUCAGAUGCUGAGGGGGACCCAGGAUUUCAAGAAAUUCUACGAACCGAGGGUAAUUUCAUUGGGUCCUUACCACCAUGGCAAUCCCCACCUUCGCCCAGGGGAAAUGAUCAAGCCCCUAUUUGCCCAAAAAUUCCUGGCUGAUAGGAACCAGGACAUCGAUGCUUUGUACACAAAAAUUGAAAGUAAUAUCGAGGCAGUGAAGAAGUGCUAUGAUUGGAGUAGUACAAGCGAGUAUGAUGAUGAAGCACUCGCCUGGAUGAUGCUUCUGGAUGGGUGUUUUUUACUACAAUUCAUUUGCGGUACAGGUAUGAAAAACUUUCUUAGAUAUCACCAAAUAGGUUUUGUGGAGCUGGACUUGUUCCUGCUUGAGAACCAACUUCCUUUUGGAGUCCUCAAGUUGAUUUUUGAGGGAACAAGUUUACCAGUGGAAGAGACGAUUAAAGAAUUCGUCACUAACACCAUAAGGCCAGAAGGGUCGACAUCAGAAAUACAACUUAAAGAGGAGUACAAAGAGCCCUCUCAUCUCCUCGACCUCUUGCGAAGUGCUCGCCUAGGUAGGUAUAAAAAGAUUAGCAAGCAAGAACUAGGGAGUCAACCGGAACAAGAGCAGGAAGCUGGAAAAAAGGGAGAGUCGUCGUCGUCUCGAGGAAGAGAUGGAGGGUUCUGUUGCCCAUGGAAAAAAGGCAAACAACAAGGCAAUUGGCCGUCUUUUCGACACAUCAAGGAGCUUAAAGCUGCCGGGAUCCAUCUCCAACCGAGUGCAACGAGUUCCUUGACAGACAUUUAUUUCAAUUCCUACUUCUUCUAUGGCUACCUGAAACUUCCCCAAAUAAUCGUUGAUGACUCUACGAAGCCCAAGUUCUUGAACAUUGUAGCCUAUGAAAUGUGUCCAGAUGCCCCAGAUGACUAUGCGGUCACUUCUUAUGUAUGCUUCCUUUACGAGCUCAUUGAUCAUGCAGACGAUGUGAAGGAGCUGAGAUCUAAGCACAUUCUCUACAACUGUCUUGGCUGCGAUGAAGAUGUGGCCAAAAUUUUCAACGAGAUCGGCAAUGACUUGGUAGAUCCCGAUGCUUAUAAAGAAGUGAAAACUAGUAUUCAGAAACACUACGACAAGAGAGUGAAUAUUUGGAUAGCUAAAGGCCUUCACGAACAUUUCAGGUCUCCAUGGACUAUCAUCGCUUUCAUUGCUGCUGUUUUGAUACUACUUUUUACUGGGGUUUCGACCUACUACGCUCUUCCCGAUAAAUCUUCUUAUCGGGUUUCAGACCUACUUCGCUCUUCCCGCUAAAUCCAAGUGAGUCAUGGUAAUAUAUAUCUUCAAAUUGAUAAAUGGUAGUUUUUUCUAUUCAUUCUUUCAUUCGUUCAUGUACAGAGAAUAUAUAGAGGGUAAUCACCAUUCUAAGAAUGGGAAAGAAUGAUACAAGGAAAGAAUGAUAUAGGAAAUAACAAUUAAUAUUCUAAUAUCUCAACUUUCCUAAUAUCUCAAUAUUCUUAAUAUCUCAACUUUCCUAAUAUUUAAACAUUCCUAAUAUCUCAACACUAAAUAAUAUAAGGAAAGAAUGAUAUACGGAAAACAUUCCUAAUAUCUCAACACUUCCCCUCAAGUUGGUGCAUAGAUGUCACACAUGCCCAACUUGUCUAAAAAUUUUGAGAACACUUGACUUGAGACAACUUUGGUGAGGAUAUCGGCCAAUUGAUCUUCUGAUCGAAUCUUAGGCAAUUCCACAAUCUUAUCAUCCAAAUUUUCCUUAAUGAAGAAUCUAUCCACCUCGACAUGCUUUGUACGAUCAUGUUGUACUGGAUUAUGAGCAACGUCACAUGCGACUUUAUUGUCACAAAACAAUCGAAUUGGUCGCCUAGAUAAGUAACCUAAAUCCUGUAAGAGAAGUCUUAGCCAUAAUGCCUCACAAAGUCCUAGAGUCAUACCUCUAAAUUCUACUUCUGCACUUGAACGAGCGACGACAUUCUGCUUCUUACUUUUCCAUGUCACAAGAUUACCACCUACAAAGGUAAAGUAACCAGAUGUAGAUUGCCUAUCAUCCACUGCACCGGCCCAAUCAGCAUCAGUAUAUACUUCUAUACUCUGAUGAUUAACAUUUUUAGCGAACAAAAUUCCCUUCCCAGGAGCAUUCUUCAAAUACCUCAAAAUACGCAUAACUGCAUUCAUAUGUUGCUCUUCAGGAUUAUGCAUGUAUUGACUCACUACACUCAAUGCAUAAGCAAGAUCUAGUCUUGUAUGAGCUAAGUACAUUAAUCUCCCUACAAGUCUCUGGUAUCUUCCCUUAUCCGUUGAUACUUGAUUAGGCUCAACACACAAUUUCAGACCUUCUUCUAUUGGUGUAUUAACAGGUUGACAUCCCGACAUUCCAGUCUCCUGUAAAAGAUCUAAGGCAUACUUUCUUUGAGACAGAAAAAUUCCUUCACUUGAUCGAUAAACUUCAAUCCCAAGAAAGUAUUUCAGAGGACCUAGAUCUUUCAUUUCGAAUUCUUUAGAUAGAUAAUUUUGGAGAGCUUUUAUUUCUUUAGGAUCAUUUCCUGUAACUACCAUGUCAUCCACAUAUACGAUGAGUGCGAUAAUCUUACCAUGUUGCUUUUUCAGGAACAAAGUAUGAUCUGAAUUACUUUGAUGAUAGCCAAAAGCUCUCAUUGACUUUGUGAACCUUCCAAACCAUGCUCUCGGGGAUUGCUUCAACCCAUACAAUGACUUCUUCAAUUUGCACACCUUCUGACAUUGCUUUUCUGACACCAUGCAUCCUGGUGGAAGAUCCAUAUAUACUUCUUCAGAUAACUCGCCAUGCAGAAAGGCAUUUUUCACAUCGAAUUGUUGUAAUGGCCAAUCUAGUUUUGCAGCUAAAGACAGUAAUACUCGAACUGUGUUGAUCUUAGCUACAGGUGCAAAUGUCUCUGUGUAGUCAAUUCCAUAAGUUUGAGUGUACCCUUUUGCUACCAGUCUUGCUUUAAAUCGUUGAAUACUACCUUCUGCCUUGUACUUCACAGUAUAGAUCCAACGACACCCAACUGGCUUCUUUCCUGGUGGACAUUCUACGAGUUCCCAUGUUUCAUUCUUCUGCAAUGAUUUCAUCUUUUCAUUCAUGGCUGCUUUCCACCUUGGAACAGCUAAGGCUUCCUGCACACUGUUAGGAAUAGCUACAGUAGAUAAUUGAUUUACAAAUGACUUAUUUGAUUCAGACAAACGAUGGUUAGACACAUAGUUGCUCAUUGGAUAUUUGACUUUGGUAGACAAUUCAGGUUCAUAUGUAGGUUUAGGAAUACCUCUAUUAUGACGGUGUGGUAACUGUUUCAUGAAUGGAUCAGGUUCCAAAUUAAGAACACCUUCAACAGACGACGAUUGGUUUGGUAUUUCAGUAAAGACAUUUUCGAACCCAAAUUGUUGACCACUCAUAUCCAACUCACCCGCUUCUUGGUUCACUAGUUUAGAUUGUCCAGAUUCAUUCUCCUUAGAGAUAUGAUAAUCAUAAUCGAGAGUCUGAAUUUCCUUAUGGUACUCCCCCUGAAGUUCAGACUCAGAUGAAAAAUACAUCGAAUCUUCAUGAAACACCACAUCCAUUGUAAUAUACAUUUGUCGAGUUGGAGGAUGGUAACAUCGAUAUCCCUUUUUGUGCAAUGCAUAUCCAACAAACACACAUUGCAAUGCAUGGGAAGUUAAUUUGGUGCGUUGGUGUUUGUGUAGAUGCACAAAUGCCACACAACCAAAAACACGAGGAGGUAGAUUUGGGACAGUUGGGGCAACUACGAUAUUAGUAAGAGCUUAGAGAGGUGUUUGGAAGUUAAUUGAGUUAGAAGGUACCCGAUUAAUCAAGUAUGCGGCAGAUGUGAUUGCUUCUCCCCAAUAAGAUAUCGGUGUUUUUGCUGCUAUCAAGGAAGCACGAACAACCUCUAACAAGUGCCGAUUUUUUCAUUCAGCGACUCCAUUUUGCUGGGGUGUAUUGGAACAAGUAGUCUGAUGAAUGAUGCCAUGUCCUUCCAAAUACUUUUGAAGAUCAAAACUUUGAUAUUCUCCACCAUUAUCACUAUGCAGAACCCGAACCUUUGCAUUGUACUGAGUUUCAAUCAUUUUAUGAAAAUUUUGAAACAACAAGUUCACUUCAUCUUUGGUCUUCAUCAAGCAUAGCCAUGUCAUUCUGGUACAAUCAUCAAUAAAAGUAACAAACCAACGUGAGCCACUCAAAGUUGGGACUUUGGAUGGGCGGCCCCAAACAUUAGAAUGUAUAACCAUAAAAGGAAACGGACUUUUGUUCAAAAUUAACGGAAACGAAACACGAUGGCUUUUAGCCAAUUCACAAAUAUCACAAUGGAAACCAGAAAUAUCACUCUUUGCAAACAAACUAGGAAACAAUUUUUUUAAAUAACCAAAGGAAGCAUGUCCCAGACGUCGAUGCCACAACCAAAUUUCAGACUUUUUCUUCUCCCCCUCAGAUCCAUCUGCCAUCAAGGCUUGUUGCAACUUAUUUGAAUCCUUUGACUGCAAGUCCAAGUAAUAGAGUUUUCCCCGCUUAAUACCCCAACCAAUCGUCUGUCUUGUUUGGAUGUCCUUAAUCACACAAAAUUCAGGCCAAAAAAUGACAAUACAAGAUAAGGCUGCGGUGAUUUGAGAAACUGACAAAAGAUUGUAAUUUAAAGAUGGAACAACUAAGACAGAAUCCAAAUUCAAAGUAUCAGUAAGAGUUAAGGAUCAUUCCCCAAUGACUGGGGUUAUGUUACCUUUGGCUGUGGAAACAAUUUUUUGUGAGGAAGGUCUAAGGGGUGAAACCUGUCUAGAAUCAAAAGUCAUAUGAUCUGUAGCACCAGAAUCAAUUAUCCUUGCACUAUUAAUAACAGGUGUAAAAGUAUUUAAAAACUUACCACCAUGAUUUGUAGCGGCUACCAAUGUAGAGGCUUUCUCAGCAACAUUAGCCUCUGUUUUUAUUUCGGCAACAGUUGCAAUCGAGGUUUUCUUGGAAUCCUUCUUCCGUUGAUCAAGAUUAUUAUCAUUAAUAACAAAGUGUUGAUAGCCUAAACAUGAUCUAAAGGUCCAUAGUUCAAACCCUCGGUUCCUCAUUGUUUUCCUGGUCAUACCAAGAGUCGUUGCUUUGAAAUUGUGGCAUAUCCAGAUUGGUGGGAUCAAUCUUAUUGUAGUGAGUGCAUUUGAAGGUUGACUUAUCAACAUUAGGGCUUGUCUUAGGAUGGAUGAUCGCUGUCGGACUACCAUAGCGACAAAAUAUCUAGGAUUUCAGUUCCAUGGCUCUGAUACCAUCUUCAAAUUGAUAAAUGGUAGUUUUUUCCAUUCAUUCUUUCAUUCGUUCAUGUACAGAGAAUAUAUAGAGGGUAAUCACCAUUCUAAGAAUGAGAAGGAAUGAUACAAGGAAAGAAUGAUAUAGGAAAUAACAAUUAAUAUCCUAAUAUCUCAACUUUCCUAAUAUCUCAAUAUUCCUAAUAUUUCAAUAUUCUUAAUAUCUCAACUUUCCUAAUAUUUAAACAUUCCUAAUAUCUCAACACUAAAUAAUAUAAGGAAAGAAUGAUAUACUGAAAGCAUUCCUAAUAUCUCAACAAUAUAUAUGGGUUAAUUAUGAAUGUGAUGUGUUUUUUUCUUGUUUGGUGUGUAUGAUUGUUGUAUCACUGGAUUUCAUGGACGCAAUAUUAUUAGUCUUUUCCUCCCCAUGAGUUUGCUAUAAUCUAUAUAAUAUAUGUUUGAACUCACAAUUUCCAGCUACCUUCUUUGUAUUCUUUUUCAUAGACCAGCAUCAUAGAUAACAAACUAUCCACAUAGAAAAUUUUCAGUUAACGGUGUGUAAUUCCGUGGAUGGGAUUGAAUAUUCAACACACAAUUGUUUUUUCGAAUAAGAAAAUUAUGGAUAUAUUAAAAUCAUAAUUUUGAUAUAUCUAUAUAUAUAUAUAUAUAUAUAUAUAUAUAUAUAUAUAUAUAUUUAGAAAAGCAAUUAAAAACUGCAUUUUUUAAUGAAGUCUUCUGAUUUUUAUUGAUUUUUUUUUUUCAAAUUUCCAACUUUUUUAAGAAAUCUUCUAAUACUCUUGAAUUCUUCAAGAGAUUUUUAAUCUUCUAUCUCUUUAAGGCUCUAGGACAUUUCUUUAUAAAAAUACGUACAUUCAUUUGGAGAUCAACUAGGGCUCCAUUAGACCCUAUGUUGGUCUAAAUAUUCAUUUUGCGAACCUUGGGAAUGGAUUUGAGGCAUUUGCCUACCUUGAAAUGUGAUUUACAAUCCCCACACAUUAUCCUUAAGAAAAAUAUAUACAUUCUUCACAAAAAUACAUACACUUUUUUGGAGGCUAACCUUGAUCCCAUUAGAUUCUAUUUAGAUCUAAAUAUUUAUUUGGGGAUCUUUGGAAUGAAGUUAAGUCAUUUUUCUAUCUUGAAAUGUGAUUUAGAACCCCAUGUACAUCUUUAAGAAAAAUAAGUAUAUUCCUCACAAAAAUACGUAUGUUUUUUUAAAAGCCAAUCGUGACCUCAUAGGCCUUAUUUGAGUCUAAACAUUCAUUUGGGGAACCUUGGGAAUGGAUUUAAGCUCUUCGUCCACCCUAAAAUGUGAUUUGCAAUCGCACGUAUAUCUUUAAGAAAAAUAUAUACUUCUUUUAAAAAAAAAGUGUGUACAUUCUUCACAAAUAUAUAUAUAUAUAUAUAUAUAUAUAUAUAUAUAUAUAUAUAUAUAUAUAUAUAUAUAUUUGAUAGCCAACCAAGGCUCCAAUAAUCCCUGAUAAAAAUAUAUGUAUUUUUUAAAAUGAUGUAUGUAGUUUAACAAAUAUAAGAAAAAUUAAUUAAGGGGAAAUUAAUGUAAAAUAUUAAAUACAAUUUUUUUUUUUAUGAAAAAUAUAUUUUCUUUUAUAUUUUAUGUUAAUAAAAAAUUAAAGGUUUUAACAAAGCAAAAGGUUAGAACCAGAAAUUAAGUUAAAACCAUAAGAAAAAAAAAAAUAAAAGCACCAUCACUUACUAAUAUUUGAUUUGAAAAAAUAAAAAUAAAAAUAAUAAAAAUAAUAAAAUAGUGUUACAAAGAUAUUCUUACUUUCACAUGUAAUAAGAUUUAAAAAAUAAAUAAAUAUUUUAUUUGACAUUAAUAUAAAAAAUCUUAUAUCAUAAACCUCUAAAUAAUAAAAUAAAUUUUCUAAAUUUAAACCUUAAACCAUUAAAUGUAUUAUUAUAAUUAAUAUUUAAAAUCAUCAAGUAUAUUACUUUUGGGAUAAUAUUUUCAUUUUUGUUCAUUAUAUAUUUAUGUUUUUAUUUAAUUUCUUAUUAUUAGCUAUUUAUUAUAUAUUAUUAUUUUAAGUUUAAUAUAUCCAAAAAAUAAUUAAAAUCAAUAAAUACGGAGAGUGAAAAAAUUUGAAAUUAAAGAGGUUUUAUAAGAGAAUACAUGAGCAUAUUAAGAGAAAUGGUAAAAGAAAGAAAGAAAAAUAACAAUAUUUUUAAAUGUGAUAGGUGGCAAUUGAUAGGAUGGUUAAGGAUGGUAAUGAGACAGGUUUUUUCGGAUACUCGUCCUGUCCAGGCCCUAAUGGGACGGAUUUGAAAUUUAAAUAAACGGGUUUGAGAUAUUUUUAAAGCUUGAGAUAAGUUUGGGGCAAGUUCGGGUAUUAUCUUGUCCCAUCCCGUCACACCUUGAUUAUAUAUAAAAUUAAUUUUAAAAAUUAAAUUAAAUUAAUUUUUAUUUUCUUAUUUUUAAUAUAUAGAUAAUAAUAAUAAUAAAUUUUCAAUAAAUAAGUUUUAAAAAAAUUAUAAUAAUUCAAUUAUUUAUAAAAUAUAUUUAUUUUAAUGUUUUUUAGAAAUUAAAAUAAUUUUUUUAAAAGAAUUAAAAUUUUUUCAAAAAAGGGUUAAAUGGGUAAGGCGGAACGGGUAUGAGAAUUUCUCAUACCCGCCCGCAUUAUUUAAUUUUUUUAAUGGGACAACGAUGAAAGUUAUUUUGAAUAAACGAGACAAGGUUGGGAUGAGAGCUACUCAUCUUAAACAUGCCUUGUUGCCUUUCCUAGUGAAAGAGGAAAAAAAAAAAAAAAAACAAAAGCCAAAAAACAAAAAAAGGAAAAAAGUAGGAACAUGUUUUUUUCCCAAAUAGAAAACGUAAAAGUAAAGUCCAACAAUUUUUUUUUUUUUGGUUAUAUAUAUAGCAUGGUGGGGAGGGUAUAUUCCAUAUUACAUGAGACUUCCAUGGCGGGGAAGGUAUAUUUCAUAUCACAAACUUACUCAAUUGUGUUUUUCCUUUUAGGAUAUGGAAGGGCUUUCCUUAUGCCCAAGAAAUGCAUAGAUUCAAUUGAAGAAAUUGAGGAAUAUGGUUGUUCUUUUUUUUUUUUUUUUUUUUUUUUUUUUUUUUUUUUCUUUUUUUCCUUUUUUCCUUUUUUAAAAAAAGAUGAGCCAAGGUGGAACUCAGGUGGAACACAUUGGUUCCAGUCAUUUUCUUGGGCAAAGAUAUGUCCAGGAUAUGGGAAAGGGGCAUUAAAUUAAAUAUCUUUUGAAAAGUUUAUUAUAAUCAUUUCACACAAUAUAAAUUUCACUAAAUUUUUCGAACUAAGGUUCUCUGAUAAUUACUUUAUAAUAAUAAAAUUAAUUCUUACAUUACAUGUAAUAUUCAAAUUUAAAAAAUCCAAUCUCAAAUAAUUUAAUAGCUAAAUUUAAAUUUAAUUUUUGAAACUCCAAGUUUCGAAAUGUGACUUGGCAAGAAUUUAAAGUACUGAUUUUCGACUAACUUUUCACAAAUUUUGCCUAAUUAAAUAAAAUAUUAGCAUGUGAAUGUUCACUAACAUCACGUAAUUCAUUGAUUUAGAGGAUUCAAUUUGGUUGAUGUUGAGGAUAGUCAUCGGCAGUAGACUAACAUCUUCUCGACCAAUUAACAUACCAACAGUGAUUAGGCCAAAUGUGGUGAUCGAAUUCCAUGGAAAAGCAGCAAAAAGGGAGGUGCGUUGGAGAGAAGGAAGGCGGUCAACCAAGCAGGAACAGUGGAGAAAUUGGCCUCGAGCCUAAGGAGCAUAGGAAUGAAAUUAAUGAAAUCAGUCCUAGGAUGAAAAUUUGGAUUGGGUCUGUCCAAAAAGCAGAAGAAAAGACGAAACCUCACUAUCAAUGGCCAAGGAUACCGAAGGUUCCUCUGAUGCUGAGGGGGACCUGGGAUUUCGAGAAAUUCUAUGAACCAAGGGUAAUAUCAUUCGGUCCUUACCACCAUGGCAAGCCCCAACUUCACCCAGUGGAAAUGAUCAAGCCUCUUAUGUGCCAAAAAAUUCCUGGAUGACAGUAACCAGGACAUCGAAGCUUUGUACACAAAAAAUGGAAGGAAAAUCAAGGAAGUGAGGAACUGCUAUGAUUGGAGUGGUACAAACGAGUAUGAUGAUGAGGCACUCGCCUGGAUGAUGCUUCUGGAUGGGUGUUUUUUACUAUAUUUCAUUCACUGUGUAGUGAGAAGAAAUCAGAGUAAGUUGCAUGGUUUGAAUGUUAAAGAUUAUAUGAUUACUUUUGUGCACCAGGACUUGUUCUUGCUUGAGAACCAACUUCCCUUUGGAGUCCUCAAGUUGAUUUUUGAGGAAUCAGAAUUCAAUAUUGAUGGUUCACCAAUGCAAGAGAUGAUAAAAAAAUUCGUCAUUGACACCGGUAGGCCAGAAGGGUCGACAUCAGAAAUACAGAUGGAAGAGCCCUCUCAUCUCCUCGACCUCUUGCGAAGUGCUCUCCUAGGCGGGUCUAAAAAGAGUAGCAAGCAAGAAGCUCAGGGGUUCUGUUGCCCAUGGAAAAAAGGCAAACAACAGGGCAAUCGGCUGUCUUUUUGACACAUCAAGGAGCUUAAAGCUACCGGGAUCUAUCUCAAACCGAGUAGAACGAGUUCCUUGACAGACAUUUCUUUCAAUUCCAACUUCUUCUAUGGUUACAAGGAACUUCCCCCAAUAAUCAUUGAUGGCUCCACGAAGCCCACGUUCUUGAACAUGGUAGCCUAUGAAAUGAGUCCAGAUGGUCCAGAUGGCCCAGGUGGCUAUGCGGUCAGUUCUUAUAUAUGCUUCCUUGACAACCUCAUUGAUCAUGCAGACGAUGUCAAGGAGCUGAGAUCUAAGCACAUUCUCUACAACUAUCUUGGCAGCGAUAUAGAUGUGGCCCAAAUUUUCAACGAGAUUGCCAAUGACUUGGUAGACACCGAAGCUUAUGAAAGUGUGAAAGCCCGUAUUCAGGAACACUACGGCAAGAGCGUGAAUACUUGGAUAGCUGAAGCCCUUCACAACCAUUUCAGCUCUCCAUGGAUUCUCAUGGCUUUCAUUGCUGCUGUUUUGAUACUACUAGUUCCUAUGCAUUUGAUUUCAGAAUUUAAAUUGUUUUUUUCUUUUUACUUUUUCAUGAAUUAUUAUAAACUUUUGAUCGAAUAGAAAAAACCAAAAUAUUUGACUUUUUCUAAAUGGAAAAAGUAACAUAUUGGUUUUUCUUUACUAUUUUAAUGUUUGAUAGAUGAUCUGCACCCAUCGAGUUAAUCAAUUCAAAAAGUGUUGUUCAACAGUGUUGGAAAAUCAUCUAAUCCUGUCUCCUUGUAGAACAACUUGAACAAAAAUUUAUUGCUUACAGUUAGCAACCAUUGUGGGGCAUCCUGGCUGCCCAAACACACAUUUUCUGUUGGAAUGUGAUGCAUCAGAGACAACACUUCUUUAAUUCCUUCCCAAUCAUGGGAGUCUCUAAUAAAAUUAGGAUUCCGAAGCUCUGCAUCCUCGUCCUGUACAGAAUGGUCUGCCACACAUGCCUCCUCAUUCACCAGAAUUAUAAACUAAUUUAGGAACCUCAUCUUAAGAGAUCCACCCAUAGACCAAACAUCUUAACCAUAAAUCACAUUUGAGUCCUUUCUAUGAUUUUAUUGGAAACUUUAUAGCCUCAACAACACAUAACCAUUUGUAAAUCAAGCCCUUCACUAUUGCCCCAGUCAACAUCUUAUUCAGCCUCAACAUUAUGCUAAUAGCACCUUCAACUACAAUUUCGACAAUGCCACUCCUUACUGGUGUGGUUGUAGUCUUUUGUGCACAUGACCAGUUGUAACUUUUCUCUAACUACUGAGCAUUUCUAUCACAAAGGAUUUAUUGAUUUAACAUCCUGUUGAAAAAACUUCUCCUUCAGUCGAGGUAUGCAUAGAUCAUACAUAAUCCCACAUUCCACAAACACCUUUCCACUUCAUUCCUUCCAUUCUAAUAUUAAUGCACAAAGAAGUUGCAUGCAGAACAGAGAAUCUAAAUGUCAGAGGGUCUACCUGAUCAUCAACCUUCAUAUGCUUUUAGAACAGAUUGGCAUCAGGGCAUUCUCUAGUCAAUGGUCGUAAGCCCCUACCAUAGCACAAAGUAUUUUUAAGCGGCAAGGUACUCAAGAGAAAGUAAAGAAAAAGAAAAGGAGAAAAGAAAAAGGACAGAACAAUAGGUUCCUUAUUAUUUGUACACUUCCAUUAUUAUAUAUCACAAUGUUGCUUGGUGUUUAGCAAUAGUAUUCCCACCAGCAUCUUGAGUCUGCCAGGGAGAAAUAAACGUACUCGGGUCUAGAACUUACAAAGCUCCCAACUUGCUAGUGGAAACUGGUAUAGAACCAACCAAAUUAUUUCUGUAUCCUAUGAAGAUUUGAAAAUUAUAUAAUCUUCCUAUGUCAGAAGGGAUGACACCAUUGUGAUUGUUGUCAACAAUGCCCAGCAUCAGCAAGCCAGUGCAGUUACAAAUGCUUUCAGGAAUGACACCUUCCAAAAAGUUAAGUCCAGAACCUAGAAAUGCAAGAUUUCCAAGGAAUGUUGAACAAUUCUACAUGGAAUGGUACAACACUAGUUGCUUCAUAGUGCCAAGAUUAUGGGGGAUGCCCUCAUUGGAGCCAACUAUUGGAACAAAUUAGCAUGCUAUUGACAACUACUCCACUGUGUUGCCUGCAAAUUAAAUUUUCCAUUGGUGGUCUUCUUCCACAUAUCUGGUGCCACACAGCUCUUGAUAUAGCAAGGAUUGCUCUAGACUUGAUGAGUACCUCAAAAAAUGCCAAGGAAAGUACAGUGAUUAAUCUAACAUGCUUUAAGUCAGAGGCUCUUCCUCCCAUCCAUGACCAGGGAGUCUCUUUGAUUUCAACCUUUUUAACACUCAAUAUUAGUUUUCAAUAUUUGUUUCAUCUUAUAGUAUAGAGUUACUGAAACAGAGUAACUUGCUUCAAACAUAUUCUUAAGAGACUCACAGGCGAAGACGGCACAAACCUAGAUUACCUCAAAGUGUUGGAUCCCUGCCUGUAUGCAAACACCCCUUCAUAAUAUAAGAUCUAUCCAACUAAGCACCAAAAAUCCAUAUUCCUAUACAUGACCAAAAUAGUAAAGCUAAUCCAUACAUUUUUAGGCACAUAUAUCAGGUAAAUAAGAACUAAGAAUCAAAAGAAUAAACCUAAACUAGAUGAUUCAACAGGACGUAAUUCAGAAGUGAUAUUUCACGAAAUGUGAUUUAGAGAAUUAAUACCCUGAAGGUGGUAGGCCAAACUUAGGUUCUGCAUAAAGGGAUACACCAAAAGACAUUCUGUUGGUCUUGUGUCUGGAAAGCUGCAUCUCCACCAGGACUUUCAUAAUCUAUUAAUUGUUUCACUGCAACUUUGGUGUUAUUUGCAAGCACUCCCUUAUGAACUUUUCCAAAGCAUCCCUGUCCAUGAACAUUUUUCUCACUAAAAUUGUCUAUAGCUAGCUGUAACUCCCUCCAUGCAAAUCUUCUCAAUUGGCCAAAUGCAAUUCUUUGGUCAACUUCACCUGAAAACAGAUGGAAAGAUGUCUAGAAAGAAAAUUUCCAAGAGAAUCAAAUUUUGCAUCAAAUCCUUAAAAUCUGUCCAAGUAUUUAAAAGAGAUAAAAGCAUAGUUCUUUUCAAUACAGAACUAUGGCAUGAUCUGUAAAUCUCUUCAAACUUUUUGUACUUGUAGGCAUCCCAAGAUAACAUCCAAUUGAGAACAAGCCUUUGAAAAUCUAACAAAAACUUGCUUUGAUGCUAUUAUCACCUAAAAAAGAAGAAGAAGAAAGCAUUGUAGCCAUUGCACAGAACCAGUCCCAUUCAUAAGGGUGGACGGGUGACACACCCAACCUUCACCAUUUUUUGCAUGAUUUGGUCAUACAUAAAGCAAUCAAUAUAUACUUGGUUAAACAUCAAGCUUAAUUUUAGCCUAAUCAAUUGACUAAAGCUGCAAUUACACUUAAGUUUAAACUACCAAAAGUUCACCCAUUUUCACAACAUUAAAAUUAAGCUAAAAUUACAGUGAAAGUGAUAGAACUUCAAGCCAAAAUUUAGGUGGAGAAAUGAAUUUAAUUUGUCUCAAGAGCUGAAUUACAAUGAAGUCAAUAAAUAAUAUUAUCUUCUUCGGUUCAUGAACACCAAACUGAAAUUACAACAAAAUUGAAAUCAACAUUUUGCAUCAAAUUAACCUAAUUUCACUCAUCUUUUAUCUUAAACUAAAAUACAUCUUGUAGCACUCAGUGAUCAAAGCCUGUUUUUCUUCCCCCUUACUUCCUGUUUAGACAUGGAGAGGUGAAACAAACUUUGAGAUAUUCAAUGAUUCAACAAAGCUUUAAUCAAAUACUAAACUGCUUGCUUUGAUGGAAGAGUUAGUUUCAUGAGGGAUGUGCCCAUCUUCCUUGAAGCUUGUACCUAUGCACUUACGAUUGGUAAAAGCCAGGCACCAUAAACAUAAGAGUUUUUGAAUUUUUAAGGGAAAAUCAUGCUUUCAAACACUAAUAAAAAAAGUACAUCUGUUCCUAGGGGAACUAGAACCCCUAUAUCCCCAAUCAUGAUCUAUAUAUUCCUUUGGGAACCCUCAAUAAGUGAUUACAGGUCCUCCUUAUUCCCAAAAUGAACUUUGGAACCUCAAGUACAUCCUUAAAAAAAAUAAGUACAUCUGUUUCUAAGGAAACCGAGACUCCUAUCCCCCUUAUAAUGGUCUAUCUAUUCCUUUGAGGACUCUCGAGAAUUGAUUAUAGGUCAUCCCCAUACCAAAACGGACUUUGGAACCCCAAAUACAUCUUUAAGAAAAAUAAGUACAUUUGUUUUUAGGGGAACCAAGACCCCUAUCUCUUUUAUCCUGGUCUAUAUAUUCCUUUGGGAGCCUUCUAGAAGUGAUUGGAAGCCCUCCCCUUCCCCAAAAUGGAAUUUGGAAUUUUAAGUACAUCAUUAAAACAAAUAAGUACAUCCUUAAGAAAAUUAAGUACAUCUAUUCCUAGGCAAACUAGGGUCCUAUCUCCCUUAUCAUGCUCUAUAUAUUCCUUUGGGUACUCUUUGGAAGUGAUCGGAGGUUCUCCCUAUCCUUAAAAUGGAAUUUGGAACCCCAAGUACAUCCUUAAGAAAAAUAAGUACAUUUGUUCCUAUGGGAAUCGAGACCCCUAUCUCUUUUAUCAUGGUCUAUAUAUUCCUUUGAGGACCCUUAGGAAUUGAUUGGAGGUCCUUCCUAUCCUUGAAAUGAACUUUGGAACCCUAAGUACAUCCUUAAGAAAAGUAAGUACCUCUAUUCCUAGGAAAAUCAAGACCUUUGUCUCAUUUAUCAUGGUUUCCAUAGAUUUCUUUGGGGACCCUUGGGAACUAAUUGGAGGUCCUCUCCAUUCUUGAAACGGACUUUAGAACCCCAGAUAUAUCCUUAAGAAAAAUAAGUACAUUUAUUCCUAAGAGAAUUGAGAUUCUUAUCUCCCUCAUCAUGGUUCAUAUAUUCUUUUAAUGACCCUCUAGAAGUGAUUUGAAGUCGUCUCUCACCCUGAAAUGGAUUUUGGAACCCUAAGUACACCCUUAAAAAAAAUAAGUACAUCCUUAAGGUUAAGGAAAUGCAUAUUGUUAGGAUAUGUAGAUGGAGUGAAAAUGUACAAGUUAUGGUGCUUAGAUUCAAAAUUCUCUAAUUUAUAAUUAACAGGGAUGUGGCUUUUAACGAGUAUGAAAUGUUGAGUCCAAGAAAGGAGCAACUUCAUGUAGAAAACAACCCUAGUAUGAGAGAAAAUGUGGAGUUUGUGCCUAACAUAGAAAAAACGAUUUCAAAAAAGCCAAAUGAGGAAGAAGUGCAACAUCUUGAUGAUAAAGAAAAGACAUCACAAUAGCAACAAUAUUAUUUGGCUAGAGAUAGAACGAGGAGGCAAAUUAAACCACCACAAAGGUAUGCUUAUGUAGAUUUGGUUACUUAUGCACUUGGUGUGGCAAAGAACAUUGAAAAAGAGGAAUUUCAAACUUAUCACUAGUAGAGAGUCUACACAAUAGAUUGUUGCCAUGAAUGAGGAAAUUGAAUCUCUUCAAAAGAAUCAUACUUGGAAACUAGUUGAGAAGCCUAAAAAUCAAAAGAUUGUUGGUUGCAAAUAGGUCUUCAAAAGAAAUUAAGGGAAGGAAUUUCAAGAGUAAGGAUGACAAGUUUAAAGCAUGCUUAGUGGCAAAGGGUUACACACAAAAGAAAGGAGUGGACUUCAAUAAAGUUGUCUCCAGUUGUGAAGCAUAGCUCAAUCAAAGUGUUACUUGCUAUGGUUGCUUUAUUUAAUUUAGAUUUAGAGCAACUUUAUGUCAUGACUGUUUUUCUACAUGGUAAGUUGGAAGAAUAGAUUUAUAUGAAUUAACCCGAGGAAUUCAUUAUUUCAAAAAAGACCAUGUUUGUUUGUUGAAGAAAUCUCUUUAUGGCUUGAAGCAAUCUCUUAAGCAAUGGUAUAAAAGGUUUGAUACUUUUAUUAUUGGCAAUGGCAACCAUAAGAGUGAGUAUGAUAAUUAUGUUUAUCACAAGGAAUUGUUUGAUGGUUCUUUCAUUUAUUUAUUGUUAUAUGUUAAUGACAUGUUAAUUUCCUGCAAGAAUAUGUUUGAUAUUAACAAGUUGAAAACUCAACUCUAAGGAGAGUUUGAAAUGAAAGACCUUAGAGUUGUGAAGAAAAUAUUAGGUAUGGAUAUUCAUAGAGACCAAAAAGUAGGGGAAUUGUACUUUUCACAAAAAAGUACAUUGAGAAAGUGUUAAAAUGCUUUGGAAUGCAAGGGUCAAAACCUAUGAAUACUCCAUUAGCAACUCCAAACUUUCAAGUGCUUUUGUUGGGAACCCUAUAUUACUUCGUUCCCAUGCCCUAGAUCUCAUAGGGUGCAUGCAUUUAUCCCUAGACAUCUCUAAACCUACUGUAGCGAAAAACUAAGUAUUCAAAAACCAAUAUUGAUACCAUAGAAAUCUUAGAUCUAGAGAAAAAAAAUCACAUACCUUUGAUUCAAAUGUUCUUGAAUUGAUUCCUAUUGAUGUAGAUAAGUCCAAAGUCAUAAUGGAUCUUGUAACACCAUGAUCUUCCGCCCGAUAACUCUUUAUUGUGUCUAGGCACUGAAAUGGUUGACAUCUUAAGGGUGGAGGUUAGACUUCUCUCUUUGGACUAUAUGGAGAAAAUGGCAAGACAUGGAAACCCUAACCCUUAACGGGUAUUUAUAGGCUUCUUAGUAAGCUUAAGUGACUUAAGCCCACCCAAAAAGGUUGCUAAUUAAUUAAUUAGUUAACAAUACAAGAUCCUAAUUAACCAAUUAGCUUAGUUAAGAGAUAUCACUAACUUAUCACCAUGCAACCUUGCAUAAUCACUAAAAUAUCCUUAUGCACAAAAAUGAACUAAAAACCUUUCCAACCCUCAUAAACUAUACCAUCAAGGAAUAUGAGCUCAAAGUAGGGACCACUAGGACCCAUAGGAGUACUAGCUCCCUUAGAAUAAAAUUCUAAAAUUGACUCAACAUCUCACUAUAGAAAGUCAACUGCACUCUAGUACCUUAUGUGUAUUACAACGAGACACCAAGUGCUCGGGUUCGUGACCUACAAUCUACUACAUGCAAACUCUCCAUGAACUGGUGUUUGUAGUCUAACAAAGUAGUGCUAUCACUUAUUAAGAUUAUCUCUCAAAUCCUUAAGUUAUAGAUUCCAUUUUUUUUAUGUGAUCAAAUGACAUACUCUAGCUCAAAGAAGGAUUUGUCAAAUUCCACUAAAUGAAUUAUUGUGGCCACAUAUUUCAUGAUUACAUAUCCUUUAGAUCACCCAAGGAGACGCGCUGUCUCAAUCCCAUGAGAUAUCAUGGUGCCUCUAUUGAGAAUACUUGUUGCCACCAACCUCCAUCAACAAUGACCCAAUCCAUGGGGAUAUGUGACCACUUUAGGGUCUCAUCCAUAAGUUAAAGUCUCUUAUUGAUUUCAACAUAUGCUUAAUAUUCUCUCAAGGUUGAGAGUCCAUGUAGUAUAGUCACUUAGUUAAUCAUAAAAUUUGAUAGUCUUGCAUCAUGAUUCAUCGUAGGUCCUAUCCAGUGUGCACCACAUAUACUAGCGUACUCACCAUAGGAAUCCCAUCCUAACGACCUAGAUAAGCAAUCCCUCCGAUUAGGAGGUGGUGCACUAUAGUCUCUACUAGAUUGUCCAAAUCCAUGAACCAAUUGUGGACAACUUAUCUAUUUAUAAGAAACCCAUGACUUGUAACUUUUGUGCAACUCCUAAUAUACCAAAGUCAUGUACAAUGUAAGAGACAUGUGUUGAAUGUUCAAAUCAAUAUUAAUACACCAAAAGGAUAGCAAGAGGAUGGUUAAGUCUGACUUUGUUACAUUAUGUUAUGCUUUUAAGGGCUCAAUCCCAACAACUUUAUCACCAUAGAUCAAAGAAGAAAUGGAGCACAUGUCACAUGUUCCUUAUGCUAGUGUAGUUGGGAACAUUAUGUAUGUCAUGGUUUGCACUAGGCUAGACAUUUCACAUGUAGUUAGUGUGGUGAGUAGAUAUAUGGAUCACUCUCGAAAGAUCCAUUGGCAAGCAGUGAACAAAUAUUUCGAUAUUUGAGAGAAACAUCACAUGUUGGCUUAACAUAUGAUAAAAGUAGUGACAUCUCUGAGAAAAUUGUUGGUUAUGUUGAUUCUAAUUAUGCUAGAGAUUUGGGGAAAAGAAGAUCUCAAACAAUUUGUGGUAGUGUUAUUAGUUGGAAAGAACCUUUGCAAUUUAUAGUUGCUUUAUCAACCACUGAAGUAGAAUACAUGGCGGUCAUAGAAGCGGUGAAAGAAGUUAUUUGCCUUAAGGGCUUGGUUGGAGAUUUAAGCUUACAAUAGGAGUUGAUUGUUGUGUAUUAUGAUAGCCAAAGUACCAUACAUUUGACUAAAAAUCAAAUGUUCCAUAAGAGGAGCAAACAUAUUGAUGUCAAUGCAUUUUAUUAUGGAUGUGAUCGCAAAGGGUGCUAUUGCAAUGAAAAAAAAAUCCCUAUAGUGGAGAAUCUUGCAGAUAUGAUGACUAAGUUCGUUUUUACAGUUAAAUUCAGGUAUUACUUGGACUUAAUUGAUGUUAAUAGUAUCUAAAGACUCCUUUAGGGUGUGGGAGUGAAGAAACAUGGAAGACUUUCGAGUUUGUUUGAAUCUUGAGAAUUUGAGCCAAGGUGGAGAUUAUUGAAAAGUGUCUCAGAUUCUAUUUUUGAGUCAAUUGGAAAGUUAUAGAUAGUUUCCUAAUAAAAAAAUAUUCUUGUAAGUGGGUUUCCUAUUAUUAUAGAGGAAAUAUUCUUUUAGGAAAAAACAUUUUUGAUAAUUAUACACUUAGUUUCCUAUAUAGAAUCUUUCUAUGUAAUUAGAGAAAUAUGUAUAAAAAGAUAUUUUGACCAAAAUAGUGGAAGUUUUUUUUUUGGGUAUAAUUGGGACUUUGGGAUUUGAAAGCUCUAAGAUUGUAAUAUCCUUCAAUAAUAAUGGAAAUUAUUUUUUAUCUUCACCUGUGGAUGUAGGUUUGAGGUCGAACCACAUAAAUUGUUAUGUACUUUGUGUGUUUUGUUUUUGUUAGGAAUUUGAGGCUAAUCCAAACUAUGGUAAUCACCUUGGGGGGGGGGGGGGGGGGAUAAAUAGGGUGAUGGUCUCUUUUUCACAAAUUUAAACUAUGCAAAAAUAAGAGUCAAUUAUAUGCAAAUAUAUAAUAAACAAAAUAAACACAAUUGCAUAUAAUUUAAAAGAGUUAGGGAAGAGAGAGUGCAAACAUGAGAGUUUAUAGUGGUUCGGUACUUCCUUGCCUACAUCCACUCUCCUCAACCUCCUAAUCGAGUGAGGGUUCCACUAUCUUGAAGCUUCAACCAAGUUUCCAAUCUCUUUACAAUUGGAUUAUGGUUCCAAUUCACCCUCUUGGACUUUUGGCUCCAAGCACCCUUUACACUUCUUCAAGAGAUAUCCCUCUCUUGAAUAACCUCUCAAGUGAUACCCCUCACUUGAGAAAAUCCCUCACAAAGAUAUACAAAUAAUGAUCUCACAAAAAUCCUAGUAAUAGAACUUUAGGCUCAAAGAUACAAGAAAAACUAGGAUUGAAUGGUGCACUAAAGAUAUGCAAGUUAUGAAACAAUGGUGCACUCAAAAACACUCUUCCAAGGCUCAAAUAUAAUCAAGAAUGAUUUGGAAAGGUUAAGCUCUUGAAACAAUGAAGAUUGGAGCCUUUUUAUAGAAGAGAAAAUCCAAACUAGCCGUUUGGGGGUUCGUCCGGUCGAGCUAUGGGUCGACUGGUUGACUAGCCAUUAGCAUUAAAUGCUUGGCAGGUGACCGUUGGGCCUUAGCCGGACCUCGACCGGGAAGAGAGUUACCUUGAUCGGGAAAAGAAGGCCACUAGGAGAGAGAGAAACUUUUGGCCUCCCUCGACCGGUACUCGACCGGACGAGCACAACUGGUUGACCGGUUCCUCGACCAGUUGAACUGGUUGAGCCAUUUUUUGGCUCAACACCCAACCCUUUUCAACUUAAAACCUCUUAACACAAGUUUGAAAAUUAUUUAACACAAGGUUUUAGUUGAAAACAUGAAAUCAUCCAAUUUUAAAGAUAUUUAAAACAAUAUUACUCUUGGAUGAUUUUGGUGCAUAAAUAAAGAAUGAAAUGCAUGAAAGUCCUAGUGCACCAACAACCUUACAAAGAGAUCUUAAGAAGUUUUGGUCUUGAAAAACUCUUCUCUUUGAGGUGGUCUUCUUCUUCGUGAUUUCUCCUUGGCUUGAUUUGUCUUUGGAUUGACACUUUGGAAGUCGUCUUGCCUAAUCACACUUGAAAUAUAAUCAUUAGUUCUAAACCUUGUUUUGUUAUCAUCAAAAUCAAGAUUAACCAAACCUUGGUUUCACAGUUUUCAUUUUUUUUUUCUCCCUAUUAUUAUUACUAUUAUUAUUAUAUAUACACCCAUGUGACUUGCAUGGUGGAAAGAGAAUAUUUCAUAUUCCAGGCAAGAAGCAAAGGUUACUCAAUUGUGUUUUUCCUUUUAGAAUGCAGAAGGGGUUUCCUUAUACUGAAGAAAUGCAUAGAUUCAAUUGAAAAAAUUGAGAAAUAUGGUUGUUCUUUUUCUUUUUCUUUUUCUAAAUCAUAGAUGAGCCAAGAUGAAACCCAUGUGGAACACAUUGGUUCCAGGCAUUUUCUUGGACAAAGAUAUGUCCAAAAUAUGGGAAAAUGACAUUUUAAAAUUAAAAAUGAUUUUAAAUUUUAAAUUUCUUUUUUUAUAUGUUUAAAAGCUUUUCAACUAGUAGAUUCGAAUUAUAACUUCCAAUUUAAUCGAAGAUUAAAAAUUACAAUAAUGAGAUUCUCAAUUCUUCAAAAUGAAAUUAAUUUAAUCCAUUUCCUUUGUAAAUUAUACCUCAAUUCAAUCAACCUUUCAAAAAUUAAAUUUACUUAAUGAUAAUAUUCAUAUUUAAUCAAUUUACCUUUUUGUGUAAAUUCCUAAAUUUAUAUAACAUAAUUUAAUCUUAAUUUUAUUUUGAUUCAAUUUUGUUUCACGUUUUAUAAUUUUAUAAGGUUGAAUUCUAAUAAUAAUUAAAAAUUAAAUUGAUUUGUUAUAAUAUUAAAUUAAAUAUCUUUUGAAAAUUUUAUUAUAACUAUUUGACAUAAUACAAAUUUCACCAAAAUUUUUAAUUAACUUUCUCUAAUGAUUACUUUAUAAUAAUAAAAUUAAUUAUUACAAUACAUGUAAUAUUCAAAUUUCAAAAAUUCAAGCUCAAAUAAUUUAAAUUUAAUUUUGAAGUUCCUAAUUUCCAAAUGUGACUCUCGACAAGAAUUUAAACUAACUUUCGACUAUUUUUUCACAAAUUUCACCUAAUUAAAUAAUAUAUUGACACGUGAAUGUUCACUAACGACACGUGAUCACGAUUCAUUUUGGUUGAUGUUCAGGAUGGUCAUCGGCAGUAGACUAACAUCUUCUGGACCAAUUAACAUACCAGCAGUGAUUAGGCCAAGGUGGUGAUCCAAUUCCAUGGAAGGGCAGCAAGAAAGGAGGAACGUUGGAGAGAAAGAAGGCGGCCAACCAAGCAGGAACAGUGGUCAAACUGGCCCCGAGUCGAAGGAGCGUAGGAUUGACAUUGUUGAAAUCAGUCAUAAGGUGAAAAAUUGGAUUGAGUCUCUCAAAAAAUGCAGAAGAAAAGACUCAAUCUCAAAGUCAAUGGCCAAGGACACCAAAGGUUCCUCACAUGCUGAGGGGGACCCAGGAUUUCAACAAAUCUACGAACCGAGGGUAAUUUCAAUCAGCCCUUACCACCAUGGCAAGCCCCACCUUCACCCAGGGGAAAUGAUCAAGCCUCUAUGUGCCCCAAACUUCCUGGAUGAUAGUAAGCAGGACAUCGAAGCUUUGUACACAAAAUUGAAAGUAAUAUGAGGCAGUGAAAAAGUGCUAUGAUUGGAGUAGUACAAACGAGUAUGAUGAUGAGGCGCUCGCCUGGAUGAUGCUUCUGGAUGGGUGUUUUUUACUACAGUUCAUCCGCAGCAAAGAAUACGACAGUAAAGUCGAUAUGAGUAACGUUCAUAGAAAUCACCAAAUAAAUUUUGUGGUGCAGGACUUGUUCUUGCUGGAGAACCAACUUCCCUGUGGAAUCCUCAAGUUGAUUUUUGAGGGAGCAAAAUUCAAUGAUGGUUCACCAAUGAAAAAAAAGAUAAAAAAAAUUCGUCACUAACACCGCAAGGCCAGAAGGGACAUCAGAAAAAGAGGUGGAAGAGUUGGACGAAGAGCCCUCUCAUCUCCUCGACCUUUUGCGAAGUGCUCUCCUAGGCGGGUCUAAAUAGAUUAGAAAGCAAGAAGCUCAGGGGUUCUGUUGCCCCGAUUGGCCGUCUUUUCGACACAUCAAGGAGCUUAAAGCUGCCGGGAUCCAUCUCAAACGGAGUAGAACCAGUUUCUUGAGAGACGUUUCUUUCAAUUCCUACUUCUUCUAUGGCUGCCUGAAUCUUCCCCCAAUAAUCGUUGAUGACUUCACGAAGCCCAUGUUCUUGAACAUUGUAGCCUACGAAAUGUGUCCAGAUGCCCCAGAUGACUAUGCGGUCACUUCUUAUAUAUGCUUCCUUUACGACAUCAUUGAUCAUGCAGACGAUGUCAAGGAGCUGAGAUCUAAGCACAUUCUCUCCAACCUUCUUGGCAGCGAUGAAAAUGUGGCCUAACUUUUCAACGAGAUCGGCAAUGACUUGGUAGAUCCCAAAGCUUAUCAAGAUGUGAAAGAUCGUAUUCAGGAACACUACAACAAGAGAAUGAAUACUUGGAUAGCUUAAGCCCUUCACGACCAUUUCAGUACUCCAUGGACUAUCAUCGCUUUCAUUGCUGCUGUUUUGAUACUAUUUCUUACUGGGGUUCAGACCUACUACGCAAUUCCCGGUAAUUAAUAUAUAUAUAUAUAUUGGGUUAAUUAUGUCUGUUGUGUGUUUUUUUCUUGUUUGGUGUGUAUGAUUAGAGAAAUAAAGAUGUAUAGAUUGUUAAGUUGUAUGACUGGAUUUCAUGGAUGCAAUAUUAUUAGUCUUUUCCUUCCCAUGAGUUUGCUAUCUAUAAUAUCUGUUUGAACUCACAAUUUCCAGCUACCUUCUUUGUAUUCUUUUUCAUAGACCAGGAUCAUACAUAACACAACCACAUAGAAAAUUUUGCGAUUGAAUAUUGCACACAAUUUUUUUUUGAACGAGAAAAUUGUGGAUAAAAUCAUAAUUUUCAUAUAUUUAUAGAUUGAGGGAACAAUCUUAAUUAUGCCCUUUGAUUUUUUAUUUUUUAUUUAUAAAAGAUAAAAAUAUCUUUUUAGGCAAUUUAAAUGCUUAAUUUUGAAUCAAACGAGAUUUCAUUAAUAAAUAUGACAUUUUUAAAUGAAGUCUUCCAAUCUUCAUUGAAAGAAUCUUCAAGUUUUCAACUUCUUUAAGAAAUCUUCAAAUACUUUUCAACUCUUCAAGAUAUUUUUAAUCUUCUUGAAUUCUUUUUAAGAGCUCUAGGGCUUUUCUUUAGUCUUCUGCCAAAAUACAUCACUGAAUGAAGGAGAGAACAAAGGCAUUUUUCAUUCAUCACUGAACUUGUUUGAAAAGAAAAACACACACACACAGAUGGAGUUAGAAAUGAAAGUGGAGAAAAGCACUCGACAGUUUUGCAUACUGCAUGAUAGAACUCGUUGAAAUUGUUUAUAUCCCUGGCACUAAAAUACAUCUUGUAGCACUUAGUGAUCAAAGCCUGUUUUUCCUCCUCACUUCCUGUUCAGACAUGGAGAAGUGAAACAAACUUUGAGAUAUUCAUUGAUUCAACAAAGCUUUAAUCAAAUACUAAACUGCUUGCUUUGAUGGAAGGGCAGAGAUGAUGGUACCAGGAAUUAGUUUCAUGAGAGAUGCGCCCAUCUUCCUCCAAGCUUGUACCUAUGCGCUUGCGAUUGGUAAAAGCCAGGCACCAUAAACAUAAGAGUUUUUGAAUUUUUAUGGGAAAAUCAUGCUUUCAUACACUAAUUAAUAAUAAUAAAAAAAUUCUCCAUAUUUAAAAAAAAUAUAUAUAUAUCAAGACCACUGUAGUUUUCCUUUUAAAACUUUUUUAAUUUCAAUUUUUUAAUGUUUUAUCUUUUCAUAUUUAUUGGUUUCAAUCAUUAUAUUGAACACAUUAAACACAAAAUGAUAACAUUAUUGAGAACAAAUAAAAUAUAACCUAAAAUACAAUAGACAAACAAUUGAAGUUUCUUAGUAAUAUCUAAUUUAUAAUUUUCAAGAAUAGAAGAGCGAGUAUAUGAAUACUCUUGAGAAAAAAAUUAUUAUUUUAUUAAAAAAAACAAGUACUUUUAUUGUUCUUUAUGAUUAAAAAAUAAUAUUUUAUUUUCCUCCAUUUUUUUUAAUAUAAUCUAUUAAAUUAUAUUUGUUGUUGUCAAAUUUCUUUGUAUUAUUAUUAUUUUAAAAUUUGCAAGUCAUGCAAAUUUGUCAUAAUCUCAUAACAAUAAUUAACAUACAUGUUAGAUAUAAUUUCUAAGUUUUUUAUGUUCGAUAUAGAAAUUUUUUUAUGUUGCAUAAUAUAUUUUUAUUUAAUAUAAUAAAUUUAGAAGUAAUAUAUUAAUAAAGUUGAUCAUACACCUUCAUGAAAUAAAAUAUUCAAAGAAUAUUAAAAUUUAGAUGAUCCUGUCACUAUAUCCAAUUAUGUAGGAAAAAUGUGUACAAUCUUCAUCAAAAUAUAUAGGUACAUUCUUUUAGGGGGAAUCGGGACACUCACACUUGUUAUGUCCUAAAUAGUCAUUUGGGAGACCUCGAGGAAUGAUUUAUGACCUUACCCCAACUAGAAAUCAAAUUUUGAACCUUAUACACAUCUAAAAGAAAACUACAUACAUUCUUUUUAGGGUGAAUUGGGACCCCAACCACUCUUAUUACAUCCUAAAUAGUCAUUUGGGGGACCUCGAGAAGCGAUUUGAUUCCCCCACCCCAAAAUUAAAUUUGGAACCCCAUAUAUAUCCUUAAUAUAUGUAUACACACACACACACACAUAAUUAAAAAAAUACGUAUAUGUUUUAUAAAAAUAUAUGCAUUUUUUGAAGGGUGAACCGGGACCCCAAUCACACUUACUAUGUCCUAAAUAGUAAUUUAGGGACCUCGAGGAGUCAUUUGUAACCUUCUCUCACCUCGAAAUCAGAUUUGGAAUGUCACAUAUAUUCUUCACAAAAAUACAUACAUUUUUUUAGAGUGAAUCCCAAUCACCCUUAUUAUGACCUAUAUAUUCCUUUAGGGACCAUCAGGAAGUGAUUUGAGGUAUUCCCCCACCCCAAAAAGGAUAUUGCAACCCCAUAUACAUCCUUAAGAAAAAUAAGUACAUUUGUUCCUAAGGGAACUAGGACUCCUAUGUCCCUUAUCAAUGUCUAUAUAUUCUUUUGAAAACCCUCGAGAACUGAUUGAAGGUCCACCCCAUCCCCGAAACGGACUUUGGAACCUUAAGUACAUCCUUAAUAAAAAUAAGUACAUAUGCUCCUAGGGAUAUUGAGACCCUUAUCUCCAUUAUCAUGGUCUAUAUAUUCUUUUAGGGACCUUUGGAAAGUGAUUGGAUAUCUCAUAAACUCGUAUACCUCUUAAGAAAAAGAGGUGUUACAUAGUCUAUAGGACAUAUCCCCAAAAGAAUAUGAGAAAAGAUGAAAAACCUUUCCACGAUCUCACUUAGUCCUUCAAAGUUUGAUAUCUUUUUUCCAUCUUUCCAUUUUGCAAUGGAGACUCUAGUGCACAUAACUAGGAAAUAAUCUCAUGCUCCAACAAAGAGAAUCAAACUUACUAGACAUAUCACCCUGAUAUAAUCAAAGUGCCUUGAUAUCCGACUCCACCUUAAAUUCAAUGAAUUUAUCCCAGUUAUCAAAUUCUUAUACACAUAUUCAAACCUAGACUAAUCAUCACUAAAAAGUGAUGAAGUACACAUACCCUCCCCAUGCAUGAAUACUAAAAGAUCCAUGCAUGUUAGUAUGCACUAACUCCAAACAUUCCUUGGCUCUAAUCCUCUUGGCCAUUUUACCAUCUAUAUAAAAUUCACAAACUAGAAGAUCCUUUGAAUAAAAAAGUCCAAACCUAACUAGUCUUUAAAUCCUACUCAAAUUGAUAUGACCUAGGUCUUUAUACCAAAUGUUUGAUUAGUGCUAAGUUCAAUCUUAAGAUCUAACUAUUCUCAUCAUUUGCCAAAAUGAUAAUGAAAUACAUAUAAAAAAAAAAAAAUUGGAAGAUAUUACAUUCCACUGACCUGCACAACUAACUUUGCAAUUGAAGUUAAGGUAAAUAUAAUCUCAUCAUUUAACCUUCUCACUUGUUGAAUAUCCUGUAAAGACUACAUAUUGUAGGCAUAUAAUCUAUUCACCAUAAAUGGUAAAAUCCACCACUAAAUAUUCAACAAUGAGAAAAUGAUGCAUAUUUUUUUUUCUUUUAGGUAAACUAAGCAUUUCUUUUCUAGUGUCCUAAAAGAAUACAAAGGAAUCACCUGCCCUUGAACUUGCUUUCUUAUUUCUUCUCUUGAAUUUUCUUUAUUUGGUAUUGUUGUUCUUCUUCUUGGCUAAAAAAAAUGUAAAGAACCUUUUACUUCCAUAUGAACACCCUUAUAAUCUUUAAGAUUCCCCUAAACCAUCCCAAGGGAAACUAACAAUGUCUCUAAGAUUAUAUGAACUCUACUGUUUAUAAUAGUCCUAAGGACAACUUGUUAAAGUUGACCUGCCUUUAUCACCAAAUAGCCUUUGCAAACUAGAAAGAGAACAUCAAAGUCCUUGGUAAUAGAUAUGUGUUGCUAUUGCAACACAUUAUCCAAAGAUCUAAGUACGAGACACUUGGUCUUUUGAUCCAUCUAGCACCACCUUUAAUAUACCUACUUUUUCCUUUUUUACUAGGUUGGUUCAAAAGAAAUAGCUUGUUUUGCCUAAACUAGUUUUUAUGCAAUUAGUUACUAUAUCCAAAUUAGUUCAAAUGAUUAGUUGGGUUUGGUCUAUUGUGAGAAAGAUAGUGAUAAUAAAACCAACAUGAUAUCUUAACAAAGAUUAUAACCAUGCAUAUGACAUAAUUGAGCAUUCAAGGCAAUUGGUAAUUAAUUUAGCAAAAAUGUAGUGCUCUCAAACUACAUGUCAUUUCGCAAGGUAUCUUAGUGUCAUAAGAAUCAAGCUUACAAUGGGGAGGUCAUGAUUUUAUUACUAGUUAGAGACCUUCUCAAAUUGACCUCUUUGUCUUAACCAUGAAGGUAUCUAAAGGCAAGAUUAACAUACAUUUUUAUUUGGCUCAUGAACUAUGCAAAUGGGACCACAGUGCAGGCGUUUCAACAACUUCAAAUCCACUGAUAAGUGUAUAACCAUUGUCCUUGAACUAUCAGUGUCACCAAGUAAGGAACCCCACCAGUGGGAUGGUUUCUCCCACUACAGACAUGUCUAGUCUCAUCCUAAUGGAGAGUUCUUAUCCUUUGAUUCUUAAGACCUAACCUACCGUGGGGGUGGUGAUGAGCCCAAAUCUAGAUGGGCUCGAUAAUGGAGGCAUGGGCUUUCCUAAGGCCCUCUCCCACUUAAUUUUUUGAGAUAGAUGACCAUUUUAAAACAUUGUAAUUCCCUUGAUGAAUAAAUUAUCUACUUUGAGAAUUUUCAAAAAUAUUUAUUUCCUAAUUGGAAACUUAGUGUAAUAGGAGAAUAAAUUCUCCUUCUCUUACACAAAUCCAAUUAAUAAAUAUUUUAUUUAGGAAAUGUCUCAAAGAAAUUUAUUUCCAUCAAAUUACUAAGCCUUUUGAUAAUGAUUUUUUAAUGAAAAAUUAUCUUUAAUGAAAAUUUCCAAAAUGUUUAUUUUCCAAAUUGGAACUCUAGUGUAAUGAGGAAAUUACCAAUUUAUGAGAUUUUGAAAAUCUUAAGAGCACCUUAUCCAGGAAAUCAACUUUUGCUUCUCAUAUUCAAAAAUACUUAUAAGAUUUACUUAUUUCUUUUGCUUCUCAUAUUAAAAAAUCCUUAUAAGAUUUACUUAUUUCUUACACCUUUCCAACUUAAUAAAUAUUUCCAUGACAAUUUUAUAAUAAUUUAUUCCAUUAAAUAAUACCAAAAAUAGAACCUUUUAGUAAUUCCUUAAAGGAUAAACUAUUCUCUAUGAAAAACUCCUAAAAAUGCCUAUUUUCAAAAAAGGAAUUAAAUAAUUCAUUUUGGAAAGUAUUUUCAAAAUAUUUUAUAUCUCCAUUGAAUUACUAAAACUUUCCAAAAAUUAUUUUGAUAACCCUUCCUAUCAUAAAUUAUCCAUCAUGAGCUAAGACUCCUCUGCUAGAAAAAUUACUCUCUCAAUCCUUAUUCUUGAAUGAUCCAUAUCCAAACUGAAUGGUUUCCUUAUUUUAUUUUAUUUUUAGGGGGGAGAGCUUGGAGGAUCAUUAUAGAUGUAGUUCUCCUUCUCUCGAGAUGGGGGGUUGGGAAGCCUAGAGGACCACCUAUAUAAAACCAAGUAGAUAGUUCCAAAAAGAAUAACAUUAUUCUUAGCAACAACCAGUUUAAACAAAUAAUCUUUGGAAAAUAUCUUCUCAUGAAAAUUUACUAAGAAUACCAAAAUACUUAUUCAAAAUUAACACUUAUUUUGGUAACCUUCUUAAUUAUAAAUUAUCUAUCAUGAAUUUUCAAAAUUAACUUAUUCUCUUUAACUAAAAAACUUAUGCAAAAAGGAAAAAUAUUAUUUUAUAAAGAUUUGGAACAUCAAGAGCUUUUUCUUAAAAUAUUAUUUUUAGAGAUCUCAAAGAUUUGAGAAGAUUUUAAAUAAAAUUAAAAUCUAUAAGAAUUAAUUUUAAAAAGAAAAGAAAACUUUUAACCCUUUUUCAACUUAUCUUUUCUUAAAAUAAAAUUUCUCAACCAUUCACAUUCUAAUUUAAAUAAGUUUUCCAAUUUUGAAAAAUCCAUGAAAAUUUUUAUUCAAUUGAGAAUAUCAAAAUAAUUUAAUGUCGCAUAUGCAAUAAAUAAAGAGCAUAUAUAAACAAGGAAAUAAAUAAGCAAAAUUUCCCCAUGGCCUUUAGGGAUCCUACUGCGUAGUCUAGUAAUACAUUUCAAUAAAAUCCAAAUCACCAAUAUUAUCAAAUCAAACCUACAACAAAUAAAGGGUUAGAAAAAAGGAAAAACCCUUCAUCAGUAUGCCAAAAGUGCCAAUCUAUUGUCACUUGUGCUCGAGCGCCCAAAAAUUUGAAGAAAAUGUUAGAUACAACUUGCAUUGUGAUUACUACUCAAAAAAUACUCUUUUAUAGGUUGAAACUAACUGUUUUAAACACUUUUGAGUGGUAGUUAAUACCUUUUAACUCAAUUGGCACAUUAAGUAACCUAGCAAGGGUUACUAAUCAGUUUUGGCAAGUUUUGGUGUUUUUGGUAGCUAUUUGAUCAUUGAAACAAGCCAAGAAUGAGGGAGAAUUUUGUGAAAUCCAUGGCAAUGCAAGUUGAAGCUCAAAUACAUGAAGAAUCCGAGCUUUGGAGCACUUCAUAGCCCUUUGCCAAGCUUGGCAAUAGGUUGCCAAGCCAAUCAGAGAUGCAAGGAAGAAAACUAGAGGAAAAGUCCAACAACCAGCAUUUUCGCAUAGCAUGCGAAAUAAAGAGGAAGAGCAGCUGCAGGAAUGAGAGCAGGAUUGAGUGAAAGACAAUUUCGCACACCAUGCGAAACCACAAGAAGCAGCCAAAGAAUUUCGCACACCAUGUGAAAUUUCGCAUGGUAUGCGAAAUCCUCUUGUGUACCGACUCCGUUAGAUUUUUAUCUCCAGAUAUUUUGUAUAAUUUCCUAUUUUCUCCUUGUAAUCAAGCUAGAUAUUUUCAUGUAUAUCUUUUCUAGACAUGAAAGAAAUUCAUUCAUGAAACACUUGUAAAAUUCCCGUAGAAGAAAUAUAUAGAGAUUUUGCUCUGUCUUUCCUUCUCAUUUUGUUUUCACUUUUCUUUCUAGCCAAACAACCUCUGAGGAUGAUUUCUCAGGGGAUGAGUGGCUAGGUUUUACAUUUCUUGGAGUGAUGGAAACUAGGUGAAGGACCCGAAUGCAAAGAUGGGAGUUGUCCUUGCUUUAAAUGAAAGUAGUUGUUAACGUGAGGAAAAGAUCCAAAAUCUCCCUUUUUGCCUAAGGAACCCGAUCCUAGUGACCUAAAGCUCCAAGAGACCUUUUCUUUGUAGUUAACUUCACUAAUUAUUUUUGCUUAACUUAAAAUCAAUCUUUGCAACCAAAAUUCCAUUUUCUUUAAAAACUAAUUUUCAUAAGGAAAAACACCAUUUUAUUUCCUUCACUAAUGUGAACUGUAUGAUGAAAACCCAUCCCUAUGGAUGAUCCUAGAGCCACUAGACUAAGUUAGCUAUGCUAUCCUAGUGUGAGGUGAUUUAGGUUUGAUAAAUUUUGUUGAUAACACCUGCCUGAGCCAGAAUCAAAUGGCAUGACUGUAAUGAAGACGAAUCAAGUAUGCAUACUUGAAAGAAGACAAGCAGUGCCAUGUUGUUAUAUCUUCAGCUCUUACCAUUCAUUAGGAGGAUUGUCUACUUGAAGUCCUUAGAAGAUGUAGGAAGGAAAUAGGGUGGCAAAUUUCUGAUUUGAAAGGGAUCAACCCUUUAGUCUGCACCCAUCAUAUUUACAUGGAGGAUGAAGCUAAGCCAGUUUGUCAACCUCAGAGAAGGUUGAAUCCUCACAUGCAAAAGGUGGUGCAAACUAAAGUUCUUAAGCUACUUCAGGCCGGUAUUAUCUACCCCAUAUCAGAUAGCCCAUGGGUGAGUCCUACUCAAGUUGUGCCAAAGAAGUCUGGGAUCACGGUGGUGCAAAAUGAUAAGGGAGAAAAUGUCUCUACACGCCUCACUACAUGUUGGAGGGUGUGUAUCGAUUACAGGAGAUUGAAUGCGGUGACAAGGAAUGACCAUUUCCCGUUGCCCUUUAUUGAUCAAGUGCUUGAGAGGGUCUCUGGGCAUCCUUUUUAUUGUUUCUUGGAUGGCUACUCCGGGUACUUUCAGAUAGAAAUUGAUGUUGAAUACUAGGAGAAGACCACUUUCAUAUGCCCAUUUAGAACCUAUGCAUACAGGAGAAUGCCUUUCGGCUUAUGCAAUGCACCCGCAACUGUCUAAAGAUGCAUGUUAAGCAUUUUUAGUGAUAUAGUGGAGCGUAUUAUGGAAGUCUUUAUGGAUGAUAUCACCAUAUAUGGAAGUGCAUUUGAUGAAUGCUUGAUCAACUUAGAAGUUGUUCUGAACCGAUGCAUUGAGAAAGACUUAGUGCUUAACUGGGAGAAGUGUCAUUUCAUGGUACAACAAGGGAUUGUCCUUGGACACAUCAUCUCCAAGCAAGGCAUUGAAGUAGACAAAGCAAAUGUUAAACUCAUUGUUAAGUUACCAUCCCCAACAAAUGUCAAAGGAGUAAGGUAAUUCCUUGGCCAUGUCAGGUUCUAUAGGAGGUUUAUAAAGGAUUUCUCUAAGCUUGCAAGGCCUCUUUGUGAACUAUUGGUGAAGGAUGCUAAAUUCAUAUGGGAUGAUAGAUGCCAAAGGAGUUUUGAAGAAUUGAAGCUAUUUCUGACAACCGCACCAAUAGUGAGGGCUCCCAACUGGCAACUGCCCUUUGAGGUAAUGUGUGAUGCCAGUGACUUUGCUAUAGGAGUUGUUCUUGGCCAAAGAGAAUAUGGAAAGCCCUAUGUGAUCUACCAUGCGAGCAACACAUUGAAUGAGGCGCAAAGAAACUACACAACCACUGAGAAAGAAUUGUUAUAUGUGGUUUUUGCCUUAGAUAAGUUUCGUGCUUACUUGGUGGGGUCUUUCAUUGUGGUUUUCACUUAUCACUCUGCUUUGAAGUAUCUGUUGACUAAGCAAGAUGCGCAAGCAAGGCUGAUUAGAUGGAUUUUCUUGCUUUAAGAGUUCAAUCUCUAAAUCAAAGACAAGAAAUGAGUGGAGAAUGUGGUAGCAGACCACCUUUCAAGGCUAGCUAUAGCACAUAAUACCCAUGGUUUGCCCAUUAAUGAUGAUUUUCCAAAGGAGUCUCUCAUGUUGGUGGAAGUUGCCCCUUGGUAUGCUCACAUUGCGAACUACCUAGUCAUAGGAGAAGUUCCAAGUGAAUGGAAAACACAAGAUAAGAAACAUUUCUUUGCAAAAAUUCACGCCUAUUAUUGGGAAGAGCCAUUUCUAUUCAAGUAUUGUGUGGAUCAGGUAAUAAGGAAGUGCGUUCCUGAAGAAGAGCAACAGGGGAUCCUCAGCCAUUGCCAUGAAAAUGCAUGUGGAGGCCACUUUGCUUCUUAGAAGACAGCCAUGAGGGUGUUGCAAUCGGGUUUCUAUUGGCCAUCACUUUUCAAAGAUGCCCACACCAUGUGCAAGAGUUGUGAUCGAUGCCAGAGGCUUAGGAAAUUGACACGCAGGAACAUGAUGCCUUUGAACCCCAUUUUGAUAGUUGAUCUUUUUUAUGUUUGGGGCAUUGACUUCAUGGGACCUUUCCCUAUGUCUUUUAGCUACUCUUACAUCUUGGUAAGAGUAGAUUAUGUUUCUAAGUGGGUUGAGGCAAUCCCAUGUAAACACAAUGACCAUAAAAUGGUUCUCAAGUUUCUCAAGGAGAACAUCUUCUCAAGAUUUGGGGUGCCCAAAGCCAUAAUUAGUGAUGGGGGUACUCAUUUUUACAACAAGCCUUUUGAAACUCUCUUGGCCAAGUAUGGGGUGAAGCAUAAGGUAGCUACACCUUACCACCCUCAAACUAGUGGGCAAGUUGAGUUAGCGAACCGGGAUAUUAAAAACAUAUUGAUGAAGGUGGUGAACACAAAUAGAAAAGAUUGGCCAGUCAAGCUCCUUGAUUCACUAUGGGCAUAUAGAACAGCUUAUAAGACCAUUCUUGGAAUGUCUCUGAUUCGUGCCCAGUAGGGUAUUUUAAUCAAAAAUAUUUAUAAAUCCUAUGACCUUAUACUAGCGUAGCAAAGCUACUAUAGUACAACAGCUCUAGGGUCGAACUCUGGGAUGGGUUUUCAUUCUACCAGUGAUAGACUCAAGAUUAGAAAUUGAAUCUGAUGAUUUCCUUUGUCAAAAACUUAAAGUUUAAAAGAAAAUAAAAUUUGUUUUGAAAGUGGUGUUUGAAACUAAACUAACAUAGAACUAGGUAAAAAUGGAAGAAAGAAAGUCUCCCGGAGCUAGAGGUUGCUAGGAUCAAGUUCAGAAUGCAAAGUGGGAAAUUCCGGAUUUUUCUCCUCGUAUUAGGGACAACUGAUUACUACUCAAAAAGUGCUAUUUGAUAGCUUAUAAUUAAUCCUUUUAAACACUUUUGAGUAGUAGUUUAGGCCUUUUAACUCAAUUGGCAUGUUAAGGAUCCUUUAAAGCAAUUUUAAUCACUUUGUGCAAGUUUUGGUGUUUUUGUUAGUAUUUUGAUCACCAAAGCAAGUCAAGACUGAGGAGAGCUAUGAGGAAUCUUGGGCAAAGCUUAGAAGUCAUUUUCCAAGAGUGAAUCCGGAUUGCAAGGAGAAAAAGCAAAGAGAAUCUACCAUAGAGCAUAUUCUUGAUGACAGUCACAGAGGCCACUUUUGGAGCACUUUCUGAAGUCCAAAUAAUGCAUGCUAUAUACCAUUUCAAAGCUCAGGAAGUCAACAAUCUAAUGCUUCAAACGGUGUGCAAUUCGGAGUUGAAACGAAGAAGUUGCAGCCAUUACAAGCCAAUCACUCCGAGUUGAAGGAAGCAUUUUGCAAAGUGCUGCGAAAUCACCCUUUUGUUGCGAAGUGAUUUCGCAGCAUUUUUGUACAGUAAGUUGUUUCUCCUUCUGAUGAUGCACGAUUUAUGCCGCGAGAAGGAAGCUAGGAACCUCAAGGUGGAAGCCAACUUCGCAGCCCUGUGAAGAUAGCUUGGUGUUGCGAAAAUAUUUCGCAGCCCUCUUGAGUGUCUGCGAAAUCUCGCAGACACCAUUUUUCUCCUGCGAAAUGGUUCCUGAAGCCUCCCGAUAUUUGCUACCGACAUUGGGAGAUAUUUUCCAUUAGAUUUUUGUUGUCUAAAUCCCAAAAUACUCCUUGUAAACCUCCAAUUACAAGAUUCCUUAGCUUUUAAGUUAGUAAAAAGACUAAAUAUCUUUGUAACAAUUAGUUUUAUAUUAUGUUCAUAUAUAUACCUCUCGGGAGCCUGUUCUCGGAGAGGAGUUCCUUCUGAAAAAGUUUGGGUAAGCAAGUAAAGUCUAUUUUCUUUCUACUGCCUUACCUUAUCACUUUGUAUUUUCAUUUCAUUUCUAAGUUAUGAAUUCUCUGAGGAGUUUUCCCCAGAGAAUGAGUAACUAAACCUCUAGUUCCUUGGAGCUAAGGUUGCCGGGGAAGGUUCCAAGUGCAAGAAUGCAAAGCUUUGUGGUUUUAGCUUUUAAUGAAGAGGAAGUGAAAUCCUUUAAUGAUUUCUAUGUUUUUAGUUAACUUAAAACACCUUAGAGUCACCUGGGCCAACACUUGGUAAGGCAAGUGAUUUCCAACCAUGGAAAUGCACUAGUUUACCUCUUGCGAGCCUCUGGGAGGUGAUUUCAAGGUAGGAUUUUCUGGAAUUACCAACACUUGGUAAGCUUUUGGACUCCUAGGAGACAUCCAUUAGUUAUCUCUUGCGAGUUUGUGAAGGGAAGUCCAAGGUUAAAGAUCAUCUUGAAUGGUAAGUGCUCGUGAGAGGCAUGAACCAUUGCAAGUUGCAUCAGUGAGAGAAUUAAAGUGAAAUCUAAUUGAAGGAAUCUCUGUACAACACCGGUUAGAGAAUUGACUAUAUGUUGAAUCUCUAACGCGAGGAAAUGAACCAUCUGACCGGAGCUAUGUCUUUUGCAUGAGGAAUCACCCCAGUGAACCUAACUCUCCAGGGAAUGCUUUUCUUCCUAAAUUAUUCCAAACUUCUGUUAUGUUAGUUAGUUUAAGUAUAAACAUUUACCAAUCAAAGUUUGUGUUUUACUUCUUAAGCUAACCGUGAAAUGAAACAAGACCAAUUCACUUGGAAUUGGUAUCAUUGAUAGCUUGCUAAUCCUUCCCAGUGAACGAUCCUAGAGCCGCUAUACUAUAGUAGCUUUUUCUUUGCUACCCUAGUAUAUGGUGUAAUAGGUAUAAAUUUUGUUGAUUACUCCCUCAUCCAAGGAGCACCAGCUGGACAUGAAUCAGCUGAGACACCAAUUGGGCACGAAUCAAAUGGCGCCGUUGCCGGGGAAGAUGUCAAGUUUAUAUUGAUACCAUUUUUGAGCACUUGUGAUUUUCAUCACAAGCUGGUAACGUUUCUUUCACUUUACUAAUUUUCAUUCUUUCUUUAUGUAUUCAUAAUCUAAGUUUAUCUUAUUAAAUUUAGCCUAGUUUAAUUUUGCUGUUGUAGCCUUGUUUCUCUUGUUGUCCUCUGUUUUUUUUUUAAGUUGUAGAUAGAUACUAGUUGUGUAUGCCCAAGUGGAUACGAGACAGUGGAGGAAGGCUUGUUAAGUGUGAUACACCUCAGAGGGGAGAAUUUGAAGUAAUCUUGAAUAUCAUGGAAGCUACACCUGAAGAUCAGCAUAGUCACCAAGGUCGUCAAGACAAUCUCAAUGAAUUCAGAUCAAUGAGGGACCGUAUGCAUCCACCUCGUAUGAGUGCACCAUCAUGCAUAGUGCCCCCUACAGAGCAGCUAGUGAUCAGACCGUAUCUUGUUCCACUUCUACCAACUUUCCAUGGGAUGGAAAGUGAGAAUCCGUAUGCACACAUCAAGGAAUUUGAAGAUGUUUGUAAUACAUUCCAAGAGGGAGGAGCUUCAAUUGAUUUGAUGAGGCUUAAGUUAUUUCCUUUUACUUUAAAGGAUAAGGCCAAAAUUUGGCUUAAUUCUUUAAGGCCAAGGAGUAUCCGCUCUUGGACUGAUUUACAAGCUGAAUUCCUCAAGAAAUUUUUUCCUACUCAUAGAACAAAUGGCUUGAAAAGGCAAAUUUCAAACUUCUCAGCUAAAGAGAAUGAGAAAUUCUAUGAGUAUUGGGAGAGAUACAUGGAAGCUAUAAAUGCUUGUCCUCACCAUGACUUUGAUACUUGGCUAUUGGUGAGCUAUUUUUAUGAUGGUAUGUCUUCCUCAAUGAAGCAACUCCUCGAGACAAUGUGUGGAGGAGAUUUCAUGAGCAAAAAUCCAGAGGAAGCUAUGGAUUUCUUGAGCUAUGUAGCUGAUGUUUCAAGGGGAUGGGAUGAACCAACUAAAGGAGAAGUGGGAAAGAUGAAGUCUCAGUUGAAUGCUUACAAUGCAAAGGCUGGGAUGUAUACUUUAAAAGAAGAUGAUGACAUGAAAGCAAAGUUGGCAACUAUGACAAGAAGAUUGGAGGAGCUGGAACUGAAAAGAAUACAUGAAGUGCAAGCUGUUGCUGAAGCACCAGUGCAAGUGAAGCUGUGUCCUAAUUGUCAAUCAUUUGAACAUUUGGUGGAGGAAUGCCCUGCAAUUUCAACUGAAAGGGAGAUGUUUAGAGAUCAAGCAAAUGUUGUUGGACAAUUCAGGCCCAAUAACAAUGCGCCAUAUGGAAAUACCUACAACUCAAGUUGGAGGAAUCAUCCAAAUUUCUCAUGGAAGGCCAGAGCAACUCAAUACCAACAGCCGGAUCCACCAUCUCAACAAUCUUCAAGUAUUGAACAAGCAAUAGCCAAUCUCAGCAAGGUAAUGGGAGAUUUUAUUGAAAAGCAAGAAGCCACUAAUGCUCGAGUCGAUCAAAGAAUUGAUAGAAUGGAGAGUAUGUUGAAUAAAAGGAUGGAUGGAAUGCAAAAUGAUAUGAACCAAAAGUUUGACAACAUCCAGUAUUCAAUUUCAAGGCUUACAAAUUUGAAUACACUGCAAGAAAAGGGAAGAUUUCCUUCUCAACCUCACCAAAAUCCCAAGGGUGUCCAUGAAGUGGAAAGCCAAGAGGGAGAGUCAUCACAGAUGAAAGAUGUCAAAGCCUUGAUCACUCUAAGGAGUGGUAAGAAAAUUGAGCAGCCAAUACCCAAGCCACAUGUUGAGAAAGAAGAAGAGAUAAAGAAAGGGAAUGAAAUGGAAGAUAAAGAGUGUGAGAUCAGUGAAGAAAAGAAGGACUCUGAUUCAACAAUGAAAGCAAUUCCAGAGAAAGAGCUUCUGAAGGAAGAAAUGCUGAAGAAAUCAACUUCUCCACCUUUUCCCCAAGCAUUACAUGGGAAAAAGAGGAUUAGAAAUGCAGCUGAAAUCCUUGAAGUCUUGAGGCAAGUGAAAGUUAAUAUUCCACUGCUGGAUAUGAUUAAACAAGUUCCAACAUAUGCAAAAUUCCUAAAGGAUUUAUGUACUAUCAAAAGAGGGUUAACUGUAAACAAGAAAGCCUUCUUGACUGAGCAAGUAAGUGCAAUCUUACAGUGUAAGUCUCCUUUGAAGUACAAAGACCCUGGAAGUCCUACCAUUUCAGUCAUGAUUGGAGGAAAGGUAGUGGAGAAAGCCCUGUUAGAUUUGGGAGCAAGUGUGAAUUUGCUUCCAUAUUCCGUCUACAAGCAAUUGGGACUUGGAGAGUUGAAGCCAACAGCAAUCACUCUAUCUCUGGCAGAUAGAUCGGUGAAAAUUCCAAGAGGGGUAAUUGAGGAUGUAUUGGUUCAAGUGGAUAAUUUCUACUAUCCAGUAGAUUUUAUUGUUCUUGAUACAGAUCCUACUGUAAAGGAAGCUAAUUUAGUUCCUAUCAUCCUUGGAAGGCCAUUUCUUGCAACUUCAAAUGCAAUCAUCAACUGUAGAAAUGGGCUUAUGCAACUCACUUUUGGUAACAUGACACUGGAUCUCAAUAUUUUCUACAUGUCUAAAAAGCAAAUCACUCCGGAGGAAGAAGAAGGUCCAGAAGAGCUAUGUAUAAUUGAUACUUUGGUGGAGGAGCACUGCAAUCAACAUAUGCAAGAAAAGUUGAAUGAAAGUCUUGAGGAUAUUGAGGAAGGUUUUUCUGAAUCUCCUAUUGGGCUUGCUACUCUACAAAGUUGGAGAAAGAUAGAAGGAAUUCUACCUUUGUUCAAUAAGGAAGAGGAGGCAGCUGUUGAAAAAGAAAUUCCAAAACUCAAUCUGAAGCCUUUACCUGUGGAGCUGAAAUAUACAUAUCUUGAAGAAAAUAAUCAAUGUCCUGUUGUGAUAUCCUCAUCUCUGACCAGUCAACAAGAGAAUUGUUUAAUGGAAGUUCUCAAGAGGUGUAAGAAGGCAAUAGGAUGGCAAAUAUCUGACUUGAAAGGCAUUAGUCCUUUAGUUUGUACUCAUCAUAUAUAUAUGGAGGAGGAAGCAAAGCCAAUUCGUCAAUUUCAAAGAAGGUUGAAUCCUCAUCUACAAGAGGUGGUGCGAGCUGAAGUGCUGAAGCUACUUCAAGCAGGAAUCAUUUACCCUAUAUCUGAUAGCCCUUGGGUGAGUCCUACUCAAGUGGUACCAAAGAAGUCAGGGAUCACAGUGAUUCAAAAUGAAAAAGGGGAAGAAAUUACUACACGCCUCACUUCAGGUUGGAGGGUGUGUAUUGAUUAUAGAAAGCUGAAUGCUGUCACUAGGAAAGAUCAUUUUCCAUUGCCAUUUAUUGAUCAAGUGCUGGAGAGAGUCUCUGGACAUCCAUUCUAUUGUUUCUUGGAUGGGUAUUCAGGGUAUUUUCAGAUUGAAAUUGAUUUGGCAGAUCAAGUAAAGACCACUUUUACAUGUCCAUUUGGAACAUAUGCUUAUAGAAGAAUGCCUUUUGGUUUAUGCAAUGCACCUGCUACAUUUCAAAGAUGUAUGUUGAGUAUUUUCAGUGAUAUGGUGGAGCGAAUUAUGGAGGUUUUCAUGGAUGACAUCACCGUAUAUGGAGGUACAUUUGAGUAAUGCUUGGUUAAUUUGGAAGCAGUUCUUCAUAGAUGCAUUGAAAAAGAUCUGGUGCUCAACUGGGAGAAAUGCCAUUUUAUGGUACGUCAAGGAAUUGUCCUUGGCCAUAUCAUCUCUGAAAAAGGCAUUGAAGUUGAUAAAGCAAAGGUGGAGCUUAUUGUCAAAUUACCAUCUCCAACAACUGUAAAAGGAGUAAGGCAGUUCCUUGGCCAUGCAGGGUUCUAUAGGAGGUUUAUAAAAGGUUUUUCAAGUCUUUCAAAACCUCUUUGUGAGCUGUUAGCUAAGGAUGCUAAGUUUAUAUGGGAUGAAAGGUGUCAGAAUAGCUUUGAUCAACUGAAGAAAUUUUUAACAACUACUCCAAUAGUGAGAGCCCUUAACUGGCAAUUACCUUUUGAACUGAUGUGUGAUGCCAGUGACUUUGCUAUAGGAGCUGUGCUUGGCCAAAGAGAAGAUGGGAAGCCCUAUGUGAUUUACUAUGCAAGUAAAACACUGAAUGAAGCUCAAAGGAACUACACAACUACAGAGAAAGAAUUGUUAGCUGUGGUAUUUGCUUUGGACAAAUUUCGUGCUUAUUUAGUGGGGUCUUUCAUCAUUGUCUUCACUGACCAUUCAGCCUUGAAGUAUUUAUUGACAAAGCAAGAUGCAAAAGCAAGGUUGAUUAGAUGGAUUCUUCUGUUACAAGAAUUCGAUCUUCAAAUCAAAGAUAAGAAAGGAGUGGAGAAUGUAGUAGCUGACCACUUGUCAAGGUUAGUUAUAGCACAUAAUUCCCAUCCCUUGCCUAUCAAUGAUGAUUUUCCUGAAGAAUCACUCAUGUUUCUAGUGAAAACUCCUUGGUAUGCUCAUAUUGCCAAUUAUUUAGUAACUGGUGAAAUUCCAAGUGAGUGGAAUGCACAGGACAGGAAGCACUUCUUUGCCAAAAUUCAUUCUUAUUAUUGGGAAGAGCCCUUUCUCUUUAAGUAUUGUGCAGAUCAGAUUAUUAGGAAGUGUGUCCCCGAAGAUGAGCAGCAAGGGAUUCUAUCUCAUUGUCAUGAGAAUGCAUGUGGAGGCCACUUUGCCUCUCAGAAAACAGCCAUGAAGGUAUUGCAAUCAGGGUUUACUUGGCCAUCUCUUUUCAAAGAUGCCCACAUCAUGUGAAGAAAUUGUGAUAGAUGCCAAAGGCUUGGAAAGCUAACAAAAAGAAAUCAAAUGCCUAUGAACCCCAUUCUGAUAGUAGAGUUAUUUGAAGUAUGGGGCAUUGACUUCAUGGGACCUUUCCCAAUGUCUUUUGGUAAUCCAUAUAUCUUGGUGGGGGUAGAUUAUGUUUCUAAAUGGGUUGAGGCAAUCCCCUGUAAACAAAAUGAUCACAGGGUGGUUCUCAAGUUUCUUAAAGAGAACAUUUUCUCAAGAUUUGGGGUGCCCAAGGCCAUAAUCAGUGAUGGAGGUGCUCAUUUUUGCAACAAACCUUUUGAAGCUCUGUUAUCCAAGUAUGGAGUGAAGCAUAAGGUGGCUACACCUUAUCAUCCUCAGACUUCCGGGCAAGUUGAGCUAGCUAAUAGGGAAAUAAAGAACAUCUUGAUGAAAGUGGUGAAUUCCAACAGAAAAGAUUGGUCUAUUAGGCUUCAUGAUUCAUUGUGGGCAUAUAGAACAGCUUAUAAGACUAUUCUUGGGAUGUCUCCCUAUCGUCUUGUCUAUGGCAAAGCAUGUCAUCUCCCUGUGGAAGUUGAAUACAAAGCUUGGUGGGCAAUAAAGAAGCUGAACAUGGACUUGAUCAAGGCAGGAGAAAAGAGAUUUCUAGACCUUAAUGAGAUGGAGGAAUUAAGAAAUAAUGCUUAUAUCAAUUCCAAAGUUGUAAAACAGAGGAUGAAGAAAUGGCAUGACCAACUCAUCUCUAACAAGGAAUUUCAGGAAGGGCAAAGAGUUUUGAUGUAUGACACAAGACUCCAUAUCUUUCCUGGGAAGCACAAAUCGAGGUGGAUAGGCCCGUUUGUUAUUCACCGAGUAUGGUCCAAUGGAGUGGUGGAAUUAUUGAAUUCCAAUGGCAAGGAUAGCUUUAAAGUCAAUGGAUAUCGUCUCAAGCCAUUCAUGGAGCCAUUCAAAUCAGAAAAGGAGGCAAUCAACCUCCUUGAGCCUCAAAAAGUCUAAGCAAAGAAGGGUUUGCUAGACGUGGUUUUACCACAGUCCAAAAUUUUUGUAAAUUUUGUAAAUUUUCAAGUUGUUUCCAUAUUUUUGAUCUUAGUUUUUGAUCUUAAAUCAUGUUUUUAGGUGUGUUUUAAUUGUUUUGAAUGAUCCCAGGUGGAAGAAAUUUCAAGGAGAUUGAAAGAAAAAAAAAUCGGGUCGAAAUCAGAGCCAAAACAGAGGAAAAACAGAGGAAAAACAGGGGAAAAACAGAGCUCUGCGAAAUUUCGCAGAGUGAAGGAAACCUCUGCGAAAUCAGCACUAUGCUGCAAAUCCAUUCCGCAGCACUGUAGAAGUCUCUGCGAGGGUAUUUCGCAGCUACGAAAGCAAAUUUGGCACACGAGUGCCACUUCGCAGUACAGUAGCAUCCAUUUGGUAGCUGCGAAACACAUUGCGAAAUGGAAAAGCGUGAUUUCGCACCAAAAGUCCCAUUCCGCAGGGUAUUUCGCAAUUGCGAAAGUGGUUUUGGCACACGAGUGCCACUCCGCAGCACAGUAACAUCAAUUUCGCAGCUGCGAAACUCACUGCGAAGUUGCUGCGAAAAUGGCAUUUUGCUGCGAAAUUGGCGUUUUGUUGCGAAACUCAAACUGACACUUAGGCUUCCGUUUUUCCUAUUUAUACCGGUCAUUUGAGCUGCGAAAAGGGUUUCAAAAAUCAGAGCACCAUUCUCGCAGCCUCUUCGUCUUCUUCAGUGAGCCUCGCCGUCCAAACCCCCGGUCAUCCUCUCAGAUCAUCUACGUCAGCCAAAGUUCGGUAGCCUAAAAUGGCGCGAACACGAGGGGCUAAGUCUUCUUCUCCUUCGAACCGCAAGAAGAGUCUGCGAAAGGAGCCAAGUCCAGGUUCUGUUCCAGAACCUGCUCCAGAGCCCUCGCCGUCGAGACCAAUUCCUCCUCCGGUGAAGCCCGUGCCACCAAAGCCGCCGGCAAGACGAUAUCUAACCAGGUCAGGAGGUAGGCCAUUACAGAAGAGACCCAGGGUGGAGAGCUCAGAACCCAUCGAUUUGACUGAGCAAUCUCCAGAGCCUUCACCAAUCCCAUCACCGGUUCAAACUCCAGUGCCAUCUCCGGUUCCCUCGCCAAGUCCCCUGCCAGUUCCAUCGCCGGUACCAUCUCCAACGCCGCAAGAAAAAUCUCAGGAGCCCCAAGCGCCACUUCCCGAACCCCAAAUUCAAGCUGAAACAGCUCUGGAAGAAGUAAUUAGGAGGCCAAUGCUACCUCAGCCCCCAAUUGAAGGAAACUUGGAUUGUCGAACUCGAGCAUUCCAUUCCGAGCUUUGUUUCGACUUAGCAGCAUUCAGAGUGAGGCCGGAGCUUGCCCAAUCAUUCCAGCUGCUGAGGAGGUAUCAUAUGGAGCAUCUGCUAGCUCCAAGAGACUUUUUCUAUCCCCGAAUAGCCACGGAUUUCUACCAAUCCAUGACAACCAAAGAGGUCAGGAAUCCAACCUUGAUUCAUUUUACUAUCGAUGGGAGACAUGGUAUAUUGGGAGCACGACAUAUUGCUGAAGCCCUGCAAAUUCCCUUUGAGCCAACCCAAUUCGAUAAUUUUAGAGCUUGGGCAAAUCCUACUGAGCUAGAGAUGGUUCGCACCCUUUCUAAAGGAGCUGCAAAUCGAUCACAUCUGCUGAGGGGGGAGCUUCCUCCAGUUAUGUUUUUGAUUGAUGCCUUUUUGAGGCAUAAUAUCUAUCCAUUGCAGCAUUGGACCCAAAGAAGGGGAGUCCUCCUGGAAGCUCUUUACAAGAUGUCAGAAGGAUUUUUCUUUGGGCCUCAUCAUCUGAUCAUGGCAGCCCUUCUCUAUUUUGAAGAGAAGGUGGACAGAAAGAAGCUUCAAAGAGCUGAUUGCAUUCCCCUCCUCUUCCCAAGGCUGCUAUGCAAAAUUUUGGAGCAUAUGGGAUAUCCCUUUGAGCCUCAGCUGGAGAGAAAGCGAAUAUGCCGUGAGCCAUUCACUCUUGAUAAAUGGAACAAUAUGACGACCUACAAAAUUGAUCAGCCUGGGCAGCCUCAGCCAGCUGCAAGGAGAGCAUCCCCAAGACAUAUACCCGAAGGUAUAACAGUUGCUGCUCUUGCCAUUCCUAGAGCUCCUCCAGCUGCACCUGCUUCAUCUCAGCCAUCCACAUCAGCUGAGCCGAGGAUGGCUAUUCCUAUAUCUGAAUAUCGAGAGUUGUGCCGUGCAUUGGAGACUCUUACAGCUUCUCAGAGCAGUCUUGCUCAAGAGAUGGCAGCCAUCAGAGCAUGCCAAGAGAAGAUGUUAGCCACUCAGGCUCAACAAGCUGCCAUCUUAAGGCAGCUCUAAGUCCAUUUCGAUCUGCCACAAGCUGUAGAGCCCUCCACUGAUACUCCAGCAGAGCCACACUCUCAGCCUUCAGAAUCUCAUCCUCCAGAGCCAGAAGCCCCAGCUGAUCUACUAAAAAGGCAGCAGAUCCAUCUGCCUAAUUCUAGCCACAACCCCACUCAUCAGACUACUAUCUAUCUAAUAUUUCUAUGUAUUUCGUUUUUUUUAGUUGAAAAGAAGUCCCAGUAUUUUGGUACUAUAUAUGGGAUUCCUUGUGUUACUUGUCCUUGGCACUAUACUCGAAUGAAUUGAAAGUAAUACAAGUUGAAUAUUUCUUGUUUAAAGUUAGCAUUAAGUUAUUCUUAUUUCCUUUUCUCACAUAUUCUAUUCUUUUUGAAACAUGUGGUUUUCCCCAAUCAAUAUUCGAAUUUGAUAUCAGCAAGGAGGUACCACUUCCUCCCUUUAAUUACAGUCACUCAUAUCACAUUGAGGACAAUGCUCAGUUCGGUUGGGGGGAAUGAGGAAGGAAGUAUGCUAAAUCUUUUUGGUAUUGCAAGUAUAUUGGUUAAUUAGUUGUAGUUUUUGCUUUUUACUCUUGUUACUCUAUUCUCCAUGAAUUUUGAGGAAAAAUUUUCAAAUUAAACCAAGAGAAAUUGAACUGUUGUUUUUCACUUGACUUAGAGUAUGGAUUAUGCUUACUAAAGUGGUUCAAUUGUUGAAGCUUCUAUUGAAAUUGAAUUGAGUUCUUCCACUUUAAGCUAUCCACACAAUGUGCACAUUAGAUUCCGAUUAUAAGAUGAAAAGCUAUUUCCCUCCUGACUUAGGAUAAUUUUGGGACUUGGUAUAUUUGACCUCAUUUGAUAAAAAUUGAAACACCCUGCAAAAGGCCAAAGAGCCUUUGAAAUAAAGAAAGUUGUUUGCUUGCCUUGAAACCCGAGUAAGGUCUGAGGGGUAUAUGGUGAAAAUCUUUAAAGCCUGGUGCCCUAAGCCUUAAUUGGUUGGGAGUCACCGACCUCAAUGCUCAUUAUAAGGGUGAAUAGGUAAAGUUAGCAUAUGGUAGAUGCUUGGGUAUUAGAAAUUCAUUCUUAAAAGUCCGGGGAAAAAUCCGAGGAGUUAGUGGUUGAAAGAUCCUUAAAGCUUGGUGCCCUAAACCUUAAUUGGUUGGGAGUCAUCGAUGGACCCCCAUUACAUGGACAAGUCAGAAAGAGUACCCCAUAAAGCUACCUUGAAAAAAAAAAAAAAAAAAAAAAAAAGGUGUGUUCUUUUCUUAUUGAUUAUGGUCAGAUUAUUGCUAAAGUGUUAAAAAGAGAUAGGUUGGGGGGUGAGAUUAGUAGCAUAUUAUUCUCGGAAGCUAAGGAACUAAUACACAUAGAUUUGUGUGGAAGAUUAAAGUUUGAUUCUUAGGAAGUGGAAAUGAUUUUAAAACUUCAGUUUGCAUAAUGCACUCCCUUGAUUGAUAGUGUUUAGCAUAGUUUGUUAUGACUCUUGUUGAGAUUUGGGUUUGUAUUUCUUUAAUGCUUCAUGUGAGAAUUAGAUCAUCAUGCCACUUGAGAAUUAUUUUCUUUCAGCAUGAUGUUGUAAAUUUUAGAUUAGUUUGCUAUUUAUUUUCAUUUUUCUCUCCUAUAUUGCUAAGGGACUAGCAAUAUGUCGGUUGGGGGGAGUGAUUACUACUCAAAAAGUGCUAUUUGAUAGCCUAUAAUUAAUCCUUUUAAACACUUUUGAGUAGUAGUUUAGGCCUUUUAACUCAAUUGGCAUGUUAAGGAUCCUUUAAAGCAAUUUUAAUCACUUUGUGCAAGUUUUGGUGUUUUUGUUAGUAUUUUGAUCACCAAAGCAAGUCAAGACUGAGGAGAGCUAUGAGGAAUCUUGGGCAAAGCUUAGAAGUCAUUUUCCAAGAGUGAAUCCGGAUUGUAAGGAGAAAAAGCAAAGAGAAUCUGCCAUAGAGCAUAUUCUUGAUGACAGUCACAGAGGCCACUUUUGGAGCACUUUCUGAAGUCCAAAUGAUGCAUGCUAUAUACCAUUUCAAAGCUCAGGAAGUCAACAAUCCAAUGCUUCAAACGGUGUGCAAUUCGGAGUUGAAACGAAGAAGUUGCAGCCAUUACAAGCCAAUCACUCAGAGCUGAAGGAAGCAUUUUGCAAAGUGCUGCGAAAUCACCCUUUUGUUGCGAAGUGAUUUCGCAGCAUUUUUGUACAGUAAGUUGUUUCUCCUUCUGACGAUGCACGAUUUAUGCCGCGAGAAGGAAGCUAGGAACCUCAAGGUGGAAGCCAACUUCGCAGCCCUGUGAAGAUAGCUUGGUGUUGCGAAAAUAUUUCGCAGCCCUCUUGAGUGUCUGCGAAAUCUCGCAGACACCAUUUUUCUCCUGUGAAAUGGUUCCUGAAGCCUCCCGAUAUUUGCUACCGACAUUGGGAGAUAUUUUCCAUUAGAUUUUUGUUGUCUAAAUCCCAAAAUACUCCUUGUAAACCUCCAAUUACAAGAUUCCUUAGCUUUUAAGUUAGUAAAAAGACUAAAUAUCUUUGUAACAAUUAGUUUUAUAUUAUGUUCAUAUAUAUACCUCUCGGGAGCCUGUUCUCGGAGAGGAGUUCCUUCUGAAAAAGUUUGGGUAAGCAAGUAAAGUCUAUUUUCUUUCUACUGCCUUACCUUAUCACUUUGUAUUUUCAUUUCAUUUCUAAGUUAUGAAUUCUCUGAGGAGUUUUCCCCAGAGAAUGAGUAACUAAACCUCUAGUUCCUUGGAGCUAAGGUUGCCGGGGAAGGUUCCAAGUGCACGAAUGCAAAGCUUUGUGGUUUUAGCUUUUAAUGAAGAGGAAGUGAAAUCCUUUAAUGAUUUCUAUGUUUUUAGUUAACUUAAAACACCUUAGAGUCACCUGGGCCAACACUUGGUAAGGCAAGUGAUUUCCAACCAUGGAAAUGCACUAGUUUACCUCUUGCGAGCCUCUGGGAGGUGAUUUCAAGGUAGGAUUUUCUGGAAUUACCAACACUUGGUAAGCUUUUGGACUCCUAGGAGACAUCCAUUAGUUAUCUCUUGCGAGUUUGUGAAGGGAAGUCCAAGAUUAAAGAUCAUCUUGAAUGGUAAGUGCUCGUGAGAGGCAUGAACCAUUGCAAGUUGCAUCAGUGAGAGAAUUAAAGUGAAAUCUAAUUGAAGGAGUCUCUGUACAACACCGGUUAGAGAAUUGACUAUAUGUUGAAUCUCUAACGCGAGGAAAUGAACCAUCUGACCGGAGCUAUGUCUUUUGCAUGAGGAAUCACCCCAGUGAACCUAACUCUCCAGGGAAUGCUUUUCUUCCUAAAUUAUUCCAAACUUCUGUUAUGUUAGUUAGUUUAAGUAUAAACCUUUACCAAUCAAAGUUUGUGUUUUACUUCUUAAGCUAACCGUGAAAUGAAACAAGACCAAUUCACUUGGAAUUGGUAUCAUUGAUAGCUUGCUAAUCCUUCCCAGUGAACGAUCCUAGAGCCGCUAUACUAUAGUAGCUUUUUCUUUGCUACCCUAGUAUAUGGUGUAAUAGGUAUAAAUUUUGUUGAUUACUCCCUCAUCCAAGGAGCACCAGCUGGACAUGAAUCAGUUGAGACACCAAUUGGGCACGAAUCAACAACAACAUAAAGGAUGGUUGUUUCUUGAACCGGUAUAGAUUUAACAAUGAAGAUUUAAUCCAUAAAAAGUCAAUAGAAAUGGUAGUCAAGUUCCAUUAAUGGCUUUAGACACUAUGGGUCUUCACCUUGAGCCACUUUCCAAUGGCUCGUACAUGAUAACUAAUGGUCUUAUGUGGAUCUAGCAAUAAGUAUCCACAGAGACCUAAAAGCUUAUCAUGUAUUGGCCAUUCAAAGUGAUUCAAAGGGAUUUAAAGCAAAACUUUAGAUUUUAAAAACCAUUUAUGAACUCCAACUACCUGUAUUUAAAGCACUAGAAUUUUCCACUUUUGCAUCUGGACUUUUCACCUAGCUUCCUUCACUCCAAGAAACUAAAGGUUUAGCCUCUCAUCCUCUGGGAAAACAUCCUCAGAGGUUGUUUGGCUUCCAAGAAAAAGAAAAUACAAUAAAAAAGAGAAGGUAAAAGCAGAGCAAAGCUCUGUAUUUUUCUUCAUUUCAAAACUAUACAAAAGAUGUGUCGUCCUCCUUCCCCUGAGAACAGGCUCCCAAGAGAUAUUUAUAUAGAAAAUUACAAAACAAAAUAUCUUUUGGAUAUUCAUCCUUUUUCCAAACUUAAUAACUAAGGAAUCCUAUAAUUGGUGGAUUACAAGGAGAGUUUGGGAAUUUAGACAUCAAAUAUCUAAAGCAAAAUAUCUCACAAUGUCGGUCGCAAAGAUGGGAAGCUUUAGGAGAAAACCACGGCACUGCAAGAUGGCCGCAAAACUCUCCGGGUAAGCGUUAUCCUCGGAUCCGAAUAUGUAUAUCCGGAUAGUUGAAACGCCUUCUCUCCCAUCCGGAUAUGUCUACCGAAUAUGAGACAUCCGGAGAAGGUAGAACUUCGAUCGGACUGUGAUACAUCCGGGUAAGUGCUAUUAGAAAAGAGGAUCCGGAUAUGUCUGCUAGAGGAAGUUGAAACGCCUCUUUUCCCAUCCGGCUCCUGAAUUCCGGAUGUCAUCCGGAAUGAUGGCGGCGCUGGAUGUAAGUGGCAGUAGCCGGAUUCCGGAUGUGAUACAUCCUGGUGGUAAGUGGCGGUAGCCGGAUGGAAUUCUUACCCGGAUGGAAUGAGCUGGAUCCCAUACUCCUUGUAUUCUGGAUUUGCUUAAGGAUUCCAAAGAACUCUCCUCAAUCUCAUAUUGCUUUGGUGAUAAAAAAGCUAUCAAAACACCAAAACUUAACACAAUUUGAUUAGAAUUGAUUGCAAGGGUCCUUAACAUGCCAAAUGGGUUAAAAGGUAAUAACUACUACUCAAAAGUGUUUAAAAGAGUUAAUUACCAGUUAUGAAAUAACACUUUUUGAGUAGUAAUCACUCCCCCCAACCGACAUAUUGCUAGUCCCUUAGCAAUGAAGGAGAGAAAAAUAAAAAUAAACAAUACUAUAAUUUACAACAUCAUGCUGAUCAAAAAACAAUUUCCAAGUGGCAUGAUGAUCUAACUCUCACAUGGAACAUUAAAGAAAUAAAACUCAAACUUCAACAAGAGUUAUCAAAUAACUUGUCUAAUCACUAUUCUUAAAGAGAAGACAUUAUGCAAACUUAAGCUUUAAAAUCAUUUCCACUUCCAUAGGAUCAAACCUUACUCUUCCACAAAAAUCUAAGUGUUAUUUAUUAGCUUCUGAAUAUAGUAUGUUGAACUAAUCUCUCCCCCAAACCUAGUUCUUUUUCAAAGCUUCGCAAACUGGUCAACCUCCAAUAGGCUAAGAACGCACCUCUUUUUUUCACAAUUUUUUUCUUGUAGGAGUACAAGGCUAAAGGUAUUUUUUUUCUAAAUUGUCCAUGUAACGGGGGUCCAUCGAUGACUCCCAACCAAUUAAGGCUUAGGGCAUCAAGUUUUAAGGAUCUUUCAACUACUAACUCCUUGGAUUUUACCCCGGACUUUUAAGAAUGAAUUUUUAAUACCCAAGCACCUACAGUAUGUUAAACUCCACCUAUCCACCCUUGUAACGAGCAUUGAGGUCGGUGACUCCCAACCAAUGAAGGCUUAGGGCACCAGGUUUUAAAGAUUUUCACCAUAUACCCCUUAGACCUUGCUCGGGUUUCAAGGCAAGUAAACAUUUUUUCUUUCUUUUUUUUUUUUUUUCAAAGACUCAUUGGCCUUUUAUAAGGUGUCCCAACACUAUUAAAUGAGGUCAAAGGUACCAAGUCUAAAUUUUCCUAAGUUAAGAGGGAAAUAGUUUUUCAUCUUAUACUCGGAACCUAUUGUGCACAGUGUGUGAAUAGCUUAAAGUGGAAGAACUGAGGUUGAAUUCACUAAAAGUUUCAACAAUUCAUCAACUUUAGUAAGCAUAAUACAAAAUCUAAGUCAAGUAAAAAGACAAAAAUUCAAUUUCUCCCAUUUCAUUUUGAAAAUUUUUCCUUAAUAACCAUGGAGAGUAGAAAAAAACUUUAAAAAUUUUAAAAAUUAAGCAAAAAACAACUAAAUUACCAAAAUACUUAGCAUUAUUAACAAAAACUUCCUUCCUCAACUCUCCUCCCAACCAAGCUGAACAUUGUCCUCAAUGUGACAACAACGAUUGAACAAUAGGGAGGAAGUGGUGCCUCCUGAGUGGUAUGAAGUUCAAGUAGAAUAGGAGAACCCACAUGUUUCAAAAAACAAUAAAAGAUAUGAGUAGAGGAAUUAAAAAAAUAUAAUGCUAAGUGCUCACAAAUGAUAGAGAUUUGUAUUACUUGAUGGCAACACAAUUUUAUAUAAAAAACAAGCAAUACAACCAAUCCCACUAUAUAAUACCAAAAAUAUGGGAUUUCAUAAAGGAAAUACAUAAAGUAAAGUAUGUAAAUGAUCAGAAAUAGGGAGGAUGAUGAUGGUAAGCUGAUGGCUCAGGUAGAUGUCUCUGCAUCUUCAGUAGCCGGCUCAGGAGGGGCAUGGGGCUCCGUGGCCUCUGAGUGGGGCACUGCAGUGGUAGGGGUAAGAUGCUCAGUAGCUGAUGGAAGACCCAGAUGGUGCUGAAGCUGCCUCAGGAUGGCAGUGUGUUGAGUCUAGGUGGUCAAAAUCUGCUCCUAGUGAGCACGAAUAGCUGACAUCUCUUGAGCAAGGCUACUCUGAGUCGCAGUCAGUGUCUGCAAUGUGUGGCAUAGAUCUCUAUACUCUGAAACGGGUAUGGUCAUCCUAGGCUCGGCUGAAGUAGAGGGCUCUGAUGCAGUUGGAAUAACUAGAGGGGUACUAUGGGUGGCAGGAAAAGCAAAGGGUAUACCCUCAGGUAUGGGCUCUGGAGAUGCUCUCCUGGCAGCUGGUAUCUCAGCUGGCUGUGGGUCCUCUGGCUGCUGUGGCUGUGGAAGCUCUGGAUGCUCUGCUCUAUAUGCUGUCAUAUUGGUCCACUUGUCGAGAGUGAAUACCUCUUGGCAUAUACGUCUGCGCUCCAGCUGAGGGUCUGAUGGAUACCCCAGAUGCUCCAAAAUUUGACAUAGCAAUUGUGGGAAAAGAAGUGGAAUAGCAUCUGCUCUUAGCAGCUUCUUCCUAUGCACCUUCUCUUCAAAGUAGAGAAGGGCAGCCAUAAUCAGAUGGUGAGGGCCAAAGAAAUAUCCCUCUGAUAUCCUAAACAGGGCCUCUAGCAGAACUCCUCUCCUCUGCACCCAAUGCUGAAGUGGAUAAAUGUUGUGGCGCAGGAGUGCAUCAAUGAAGAACAUGCUCGGAGGAAGUUCCUUCCUCAACAGAUAUGGAUUUGUGGAUGUUCCUCUGGACAAAAUAUGAACCAUUUCAAGCUGGGAAGGAUUAGUCCAUACUCGGUAAUCCUUUAGACGGGCUGGCUCAUAUGGAAUAUGCAGGGCCUUUGCUAUGUGGCGAGCUCCUAAAAUACCAUGACGUCAUUCAAUGGUGAAGUGGAUAAGAGUAGGAUCUUUGAUCUGAUUAAUAGUCAUGGACUGAUAGAAGUCCAUUGCUACUCGGGGAUAGAAAAAAUCCCUGGGGGUCAGCAAUUGCUCCAUGUGAAAUCUGUGUAGUAGAUGGAAUGAGUCUGCGAGCUUCGGCUGAAACCUGAAGGUGGCUGUGUCAAAACACAGCUCAGAGUGAAAUGGUCGAGCCCGACAAUCUAAAUUCCCCUCAAUGGGCGGCUGAGCGACCAUCGGACGCUUGAUCAGCACCUCAGGAGCUAUCCCUGAGGGAAUUUGAGACUUUGCAAAUGGCGGUUGCGACGGCUGAGGCUCCACUGGAUUCUCUGAAGAUAGCGCCGGAGACAGCUCUGUAGAUGGGUCCGGAGAGGGCUCUGGAGAGGAGUCCAGAGACUGCUCCGUUAAGUCUAUUGGCUCUGAAUCUACUACCCUAGCUUUCUUUUGUGGGGGAUGCCCCCUUGACCUGGUCUGAUAACGCUUCACCUAAGGACUCAACGGCGCGGGUUCCGCCGGAGGUGGUGCGGCUACUUAUCGCGGAGGCUCUGAUGUGGAGCCUUGAACAGGCGCCUCUCGCUCGACUCUCUUGCGGCCGGACGAAAAUGAUGACUUUGCUCCUCUGGUUCGCGCCAUGGCGGACCGAAGAGAAUGGUCAGAGGUGAUGGCCGGUGGCUCGCUCGGCUUCGGGCUCAGGUGAGAGAGCGAACGAACGGUUGCUCUGGUGUUUUUUCUUUCUGAAACCUUUUGGCAGCUCAAAUGACCGGUUUUUAUAAAAAAUAAAGGAAUAUAAAGGGUCAUUUUGAUUUUCGCAGAGGAAGGCUGAUUUCGCAGCAAAAGGUUGUUUUCGCAACAAAAGGCCAUUUUCGUAGCCCAUUUCGCAGCUGCGAAAUGGGGGGAACUAUGCUGCGAAAUGGCACUCGUGUGCUUAAGUGUGGUUUCGCAGCUGCGAAAAUUUUCGCAGAGAGGGGCUUGAGGCUGCGAAAUGAUUUCGCAGCAAAAUAGCGAUUUUGCAGCGAAGUGGCGAUUUCGCAGAGGCUUUUUUUAGGCUGCGAAAUCUCGCAGACCCUUGUUUUUCCCCUGUUUUACACUCUUUCUUGCUCCAAACGACUUUCCUUCAAUUUCUUUGCAAUGACUCCUGAUUUUGAUCAUCCAAAAACCUAUAUUACAUCAAAACAAAUUAGAAUGAAAUUAAGGUCAAAAAUAAAAAUCAAAACAUGCAUAUACACAAGAAAAAACACUAGAUUAAACUAAAAUCAACGCAAAAGGAAACAAAAAGAGGGUGAACUUUUUAGUCUUUGAAGAGACUAAAUUCAACCACGAACUGAGUGUUUUCAUGUUAGAGGUGGAUCAAGGAGGAUGAAUUCCUCCUUGUCUCGGGAAAAUGAUUCCAUAUAGGGCUUGAGACGAUGCCCAUUCACUUUGAAAGUUCGAGUGCUCUUGAAGUUGAGUAGUUCCACUACUCCAUUUGAUUGCACGUCAUGAAUUAUAAAAGGACCCGUCCACCUUGAUUUCAAUUUUCCCGGAAAAAGAUGAAGUUUAGAGUCAUAAAGCAAGACUCUUUGUCCCUUAGUAAAAUUCUUCUGAUUUACCAACUGAUCAUGCCAUUUCUUCAGCCUCUCUUUUGCAAUUUUUGAAUUGAGGUAAGCAUCAUUCCUCAUUUCCUCCAAUUCGUUCAAAUCCAAACAUCUCUUUAACCCGGCUCUUGUCAAAUCCAUGUUGAGCUUCUUGAUUUCCCACCAUGCUUUAUAUUCAACCUCCACUGGGAGAUGGCAUGCUUUGCCAUAAACAAGGCGAUAAGGAGACAUUCCAAGAAUGGUCUUAUAAGCGGUCCUAUAAGCCCAUAAUGAAUCCAGGAGCUUAAUAGACCAAUCCUUCCUAUUCACAUUCACCACCUUCAUCAAUAUAUUCUUGAUCUCCCGGUUGGCUAACUCAACUUGGCCACUUGUUUGAGGGUGAUAAGGUGUAGCUACCUUGUGCUUGACCCCAUAUUUGGCUAGAAGAGUCUUAAAAGGCUUGUUGCAAAAGUGGUUUCCUCCAUCACUGAUAAUGGCCUUAGGCACUCCAAACCUUGAAAAGAUGUUCUCCUUGAGAAAUUUGAGAACCACCUUAUGAUCAUUGCUCCUACAUGGGACUGCUUCUACCCACUUAGAGACAUAAUCCACUCCCACCAAAAUGUAGGAGUGUCCAAAUGACAUUGGAAAUGGUCCCAUGAAGUCUAUCCCCCAAACAUCAAAGACAUCCACUAUCAAGAUGGGGUUCAAGGGCAUCAUAUUUCGGCGUGUUAGCUUCCCAAGCCUUUGACACCGAUCACAUCCCUUGCACAUAGAGUGGGCAUCCUUGAAAAGAGAGGGCCAUCAAAAACCUGAUUGGACCACUCUCAUGGCUGUUUUCUAGGAAGCAAAAUGACCUCCACAUGCACUAUCAUGACAAUGGGAUAGAAUUCCUGAUUGCUCUGGUUCAGGAACACAUUUCCUUAUGAUUUGAUCCGCACAAUAUUUGAAGAGAAAAGGCUCCUCCCAAUAAUAGGCAUGGAUCUUAGCAAAGAAAUGCUUCUUGUCUUGGGCACUUCACUCACUUGGAACUUUUCCAGUAACCAAGUAAUUUGCAAUGUGAGAAUACCAUGGAGCUACCUCUAUUGACAUGAGAGACUCCUCAGGGAAGUCAUCAUUAAUAGGUAGGCCAUGUGAGUCAUGUGCUAUCACAAGUCUUGACAAGUGGUCAGCUACCACAUUUUCUACUCCCUUUUUAUCCCGGAUUUGGAGAUUGAAUUCUUGAAGCAAAAGGAUCCAUCUUAUCAAUCUUGCCUUGGCAUCUUGCUUGGUUAGCAAGUACUUCAAAGCAGAAUGGUCAGUGAACACCACUAUACAGGACCCUACUAAAUAGGCACGAAACUUAUCCAAGGCAAAAACUACUGCCAACAACUCCUUCUCAGUAGUUGUGUAGUUCCUUUGAGCCUCAUUCAAAGUUUUGCUUGCAUAAUAAAUCACAUAGGGCUUUCCAUCUUCUCUUUGCCCCAAAACAGCCCCCAUAGCAAGAUCACUUGCAUCACACAUUACCUCAAAAGGUAAUUUCCAAUUUGAGGCUCUCACUAUUGGUGCAGUUGUGAGGAAUUGCUUCAGUUCCUCAAAACUCUUCUGACAUUUCUCAUCCCACACAAACUUGGCAUCCUUUACCAAGAGUUCACAAAGAGGUUUUGAGAUUUUUGAGAAAUCCUUAAUGAACCUCCUAUAGAACCCGGCAUGUCCUAGGAAUUGCCUAAUUCCUUUAACAUUUGUGGGAGGUGGCAACUUAACAAUUAGCUCCACCUUUGCCUUAUCUACCUCAAUGCCAUUCUUGGAGAUUAUAUGUCCUAAGACAAUUCCUUGUUGUACCAUAAAAUAGCACUUCUCCCAAUUUAGCACUAGGUCUUUCUCAAUACAUCUUUGGAGAACAGCUUCUAAAUGCAACAAACACUCCUUAUAAGAACCUCCAUAUACAGUGAUGUCAUCCAUGAAGACUUCCAUGAUGCGCUCCACCAUAUCACUGAAGAUGCUUAGCAUACAUCUUUGGAAAGUUGCAGGUGCAUUACAUAGACCAAAGGGCAUCCUCCUAUAGGUAAAAGUACCAAAGGGGCAAGUGAAGGUUGUCUUUUCUUGAUCUUCCAAAUCAAUCUCUAUUUGGAAGUACCCCGAGUAACCAUCCAAAAAACAGUAGAAAGGAUGCCCUGAGACUCUUUCAAGGACUUGGUCCAUGAAAGGCAAUGGGAAAUGGUCUUUCCCAGUCACUGAAUUCAACCUCCUGUAGUCUAUACACACCCUCCAUCCUGAGGUAAGACGUGUAGAGACUUCCUCCCCUUUCUCAUUUUGGAUCACAGUAAUUCCAGAUUUCUUUGGGACUACUUGGGUUGGGCUCACCCACAAGCUAUCUGAAAUGGGAUAUAUGAUCCCUGCUUGAAGUAGCUUCAGAACUUCACCCCUUACCACCUCUUGCAUGUGAGGAUUCAACCUCCUCUGGGGCUGCCUCACUGGUUUAGCAUCUUCCUCCAUGAAGAUAUGGUGGGUGCAUACCAAAGGGCUAAUCCCUUUCAAAUCAGAAAUGUGUCAUCCAAUGGCCUUUUGCAUUUUUUGAGGACUCCCAAAAGACUAUCCUCUUGAUCACUUGUGAGAGUUGAAGAAACCACCAUUGGACAUUUCUCAUCUUCCUCCAAAUAUGCAUACUUCAAAUCAACAGGAAGUGGCUUCAAAACUAGUUUUGGAGGGUCCUCCCUAGCUGCUCCUUGUGAGUCCUCCUUAUUGAACAAGGGUAAGAUCUCUUCCCUUCUCCUCCAAGGAGACAUGACGACUAACACAUCAGAGGGUUCAGGUAACCCUUCUUCAAGCACUCCAAGGCUUUCAUUCAAGCUCUUUUCUAAAUUCUUGUCACAAUGCUCUUCAACCAAAGUGUUGAUCAAGUACGCCUCCUCCAAUCCUUCCUCCUCUUCGGGGUGAAGAUGCCUCUUGCAUAGGUGGAAUAUGUUUAGUUCCAAGGUCAUGUUUCCAAAUGUGAACUGCAUCACCCCAUUCCUACAAUUGAUGAUGGCAUUGGAGGUAGCUAGGAAAGGUCUCCCUAGGAUGAUUGGCACAUGAUUUGUUUCCUUAAUAGUGAGAUCAGUAUCAAGCACCACAAAAUCCACGGGAUAGUAGAAUUUGUCCACUUGAACUAAAACAUCCUCUAUCACUCCCCUUGGGAUUUUGACUGACCUAUCAACUAAGGAGAGAGUGACGGUUGUGGGCUUCAAUUCUCCAAGUCCCAGUUGCUUAUACACAGAGUAUGGGAGCAAAUUCACACUUGCCCCCAAGUCUAGUAAAGCCUUCUCCACAUGUGUCCCUCCAAUGUUGACUGAAAUGGUGGGACACCCCGGAUCUUUGUACUUAACUGGAGACUUACACUGAAUGAUGGCACUUACUUGCUCAGUGAGGAAUGCCUUCUUUGUCACAAUUAACCCUCUCUUGACCGUGCACAAGUCCUUUAAAAUUUUUGCAUAUGUGAGGACUUGCUUGAUCAUAUCAAGGAAGGGUAUAUUCACCUUCACUUGUCUCAAAAUUUCAAGAAUUUCUGAUGAAUUCUUGAUUCCCUUCUUUCCAUGUAAAGCUUGAGGAAAAGGGGGAGGCAUAUGUUUCUUCAUCAUAUCCUCUUUAAUCACUAUCCUUGGCUCAUCUUCAAUGCUUGAAUCAGAUGCAUUUUUCUUCCCACUCUUCUCUUCUUGGUUAUUGCUCUCUUUAACCAAGGUUCUCCUUGACAUGAGUUCUUCAUCUUGCCUCACCUUAGGCAAGGGUUGGUCAACCUCCUUCCCACUCCUCAAGGUGAUCACAGCUUUAACCUCCCUCAACUUUGAAGACUCCCCAUCUUGGGUUUCAACUUCAUGAACACCCUUUGGAUUUUGGCUUGGUUGAGAGGGAAACUUUCCUUUCUCAAUCACUGUGUUGAGGUUGGUAAGCGUAGAGAUGGAGUAUUGAAUAUUAUCCAUCUUCUGAGAUAGAUCAUUUUGCAUCCCAUCCAUUCUCUUAAUUUGAGAACUUUCAACAUUUUCAAUCUUUUGGUGCAAUUGGGAGUUGAUUGCCUUUUGUUCACCCACAAAGUCACCCAUGACUUUACUUAGGUUCACAAUGGCUUGCUCCACUGAAGAGGUUUGUUGAGGUGCUUGGGUUUGGGCUUGUGGUUGGUAUGGAGGUGGCCUUGGUUUCCAAGAAAAAUUUGGAUGGUUUCUCCAGCUUGAAUUAUAGGUGUUUCCAUAAGGUGCAUUGUUGUUGGGCCUAAAUUGCCCCACAACAUUGGCUUGAUCACCUAACAUUUCCCUAACAGCUGGGAUGGUUGGGCACUCAUCUACCACAUGAUCACAUGAUUGGCAAAUGGUGCAUGGCAUGACAUGGGCUUGUGUCUCGGAAAUGGCUUAGACUUCAUGCAUUUUUUUCAACUCAAGUUCUUCCAACCUCCUUGCCAUUGUUGCUACCUUAGCUUUCAUGUCCAUGUCUUCACUUAACAUGUACAUUCCAACCUUUGGAUUUACAGGAGCUUUCAUCCUUCCCAUUUCUCUUGAGUUGGGUUCAUCCCAUCCUCUUGAUACCUCAGAUACAUAACUUAGAAAGUCCAUGGCUUCUUCCGGAUUCUUACUCAUAAAAUCUCCCCCACACAUGGUUUCAAAAAUUUGCUUCAUGCAGGAAGACAUCUCAUCAUAAAAAUAGCUCACCAAGAGCCAUGUAUCAAAGCCAUGAUGAGGACAAGCAUUGAUGGCCUCCAUAUACCUUUCCCAACAUUCAUAGAACUUCUCAUUUUCUUUUGCAGAAAAAUUUGAGAUUUGUCUCUUCAACCUAUUGGUCCUAUGAGUGGGGAAAAAUUUCUUCAAAAAUUCGGCCUGAAGAUCAACCCAAUUCCUUAUGCUCCUUGGCCUUAAAGAGUUAAGCCAUAUUUUUGCCUUGUCCUUCAAAGUAAAAGGGAAUAGCUUGAGUCUCAUCAAGUCUAUUGAAGCUCCUCCCCCUCCAAAAGUAUUGCACACCUCCUCAAACUCCUUGAUGUGGGCAUAUGGGUUCUCACUCUCCAUUCCAUGGAAAUUUGGUAGGAGGGGCACAAUAUGAGGCCUUAUAAUCAGCUGCUCAAGAGGAGGUACGAUGCAUGAGGGUGCACUCAUCCUUGGUGGGUGCAUUCUAUCCCUCAUGGAUAGAUAUGCAUUUGGAUUAUCCCCUUGAACGUGUUGAGAAUUCUGAUCCUAUUGUGGAGGGUCCAUGAUGUUUACACAGAUAUCCAACUCUGUGUCUUGAGGAUUCUCAAUCCUUACUAGUCUUCCCUCUUGGUUCCGAAUCCAAUAGGGCAUGCACAAGUUACAACUUCCCUGAAAACAAAACAAAGACAACAAAAACAAAAGAAAACUAGAAGAAAAUUAAGGUUAGAAAGAAAAUGAAAGUAAACUUAACAAAAGGAAUUCUACAAUAAAAAAAAAAUGAAGUUAGUGAAAAAGGAAUUCACCAAACUUGUGAUGGAAAUCACAAGUAGCCUCUAAAAAGUUGUAUCACUAUAUCGUGGCACCAUCCCCGGCAACGGCGCCAUUUUGAUUGUGCCCAGUAGGGUAUUUUAAUCAAAAAUAUUUAUAAAUCCUAUGACCUUAUACUAGCGUAGCAAAGCUACUAUAGUAUAGCAUCUAUAGGGUCGAACUCUGGGAUGGGUUUUCAUUCUACCAGUGAUAAACUCAAGAUUAGAAAUUGAAUCUGAUGAUUUCCUUUGUCAAAAACUUAAAGUUUAAAAGAAAAUAAAAUUUGUUUUGAAAGUGGUGUUUGAAACUAAACUAACAUAGAACUAGGUAAAAAUGGAAGAAAGAAAGUCUCCCGGAGCUAGAGGUUGCUAGAAUCAAGUUCAGAAUGCAAAGUGGGAAAUUCCGGAUUUUUCUCCUCGUAUUAGGGACAACAACAUAAAGGAUGGUUGUUUCCCGAACCGGUAUAGAUUUAACAAUGAAGAUUUAAUCCAUAAAAAGUCAAUAGAAAUGGUAGUCAAGUUCCAUUAAUGGCUUUAGACACUAUGGGUCUUCACCUUGAGCCGCUUUCCAAUGGCUCGUACAUGAUAACUAAUGGUCUUAUGUGGAUCUAGCAAUAAGUAUCCACAGAGACCUAAAAGCUUAUCAUGUAUUGGCCAUUCAAAGUGAUUCAAAGGGACUUAAAGCAAAACUUUAGAUUUUAAAAACCAUUUGUGAACUCCAACUACCUGUAUUUAAAGCACUAGAAUUUUCCACUUUUGCAUCUGGACUUUUCACCUAGCUUCUCUCACUCCAAGAAACUAAAGGUUUAGCCUCUCAUCCUCUGGGAAAACAUCCUCAGAGGUUGUUUGGCUUCCAAGAAAAAGAAAAUACAAUAAAAAAGAGAAGGUAAAAGCAGAGCAAAGCUCUGUAUUUUUCUUCAUUUCAAAACUAUACAAAAGAUGCGUCGUCCUCCCUCCCCUGAGAACAGGCUCCCAAGAGAUAUUUAUAUAGAAAAUUACAAAACAAAAUAUCUUUUGGAUAUUCAUCCUUUUUCCAAACUUAAUAACUAAGGAAUCCUGUAAUUGGUGGAUUACAAGGAGAGUUUGGGGAUUUAGACAUCAAAUAUCUAAAGCAAAAUAUCUCACAAUGUCGGUCGCAAAGAUGGGAAGCUUCAGGAGAAAACCACGGCACUGCAAGAUGGCUGCAAAACUCUCCGGGUAAGCGCUAUCCUCGGAUCUGGAUAUGUAUAUCCGGAUAGUUGAAACACCUCCUCUCCCAUCCGGAUAUGUUUACCGAAUGUGAGACAUCCGGAGAAGGUAGAACUUCGGUCGGACUGUGAUACAUCCGGGUAAGCGCUAUUAGAAAAGAGGAUCCGGAUAUGUCUGCUAGAGGAAGUUGAAACGCCUCUUUCCCCAUCCGGCAUGAUGACGGCGUUGGAUGUAAGUGGCGGUAGCCGGAUUCCGGAUGUGAUACAUCCUGGUGGUAAGUGGCGGCAGCCGGAUGGAAUUCUUACCUGGAUGGAAUGAGCUGGAUCCCAUACUCCUUGUAUUCUGGAUUUGCUUAAGGAUUCCAAAGAACUCUCCUCAAUCUCAGAUUGCUUUGGUGAUAAAAAAGCUAUCAAAACACCAAAACUUAACACAAUUUGAUUAGAAUUGAUUGCAAGGUCCUUAACAUGCCAAUUGGGUUAAAAGGUAAUAACUACUACUCAAAAGUGUUUAAAAGAGUUAAUUACCAGUUAUGAAAUAGCACUUUUUGAGUAGUAAUCAGUCUCUUUAUCGCUUAGUCUAUGGCAAAGCAUGCCAUCUCCCUAUGGAAUUGGAAUACAAAGCUUGGUGGGCAAUCAAGAAACUCAACAUGGAUUUGAGCAGAGUUGGGUUGAAGAGGUUCUUAGACCUCAAUGAGAUAGAGAAAUUGAGAAAUGAUGCCUACAUCAAUUCAAAAAUUGCAAAAGAGAAAUUGAAAAGGUGGCAUGAUUAGUUGAUUUCCCGUAAGGAUUUUCGAAAGGGACAAAGAGUCUUGCUCUAUGACUCUAAGCUCCACAUCUUUCCGGGUAAGCUGAAAUCAAGGUGGAUAGGUCCUUUUACCAUUCACCAAGUGCAUUCAAAUGGAGUAGUGGAACUACUCAACUCCAACAGCACCAGAAGCUUCAAAGUGAAUGGCCACCGUCUCAAGCCCUUUGUGGAGCAUUUUUCUCGCGACAAGGAGGAAUUCAUCCUCCUUGAUCCACAUCAAGCUUGACAAGACCAAUCCUUUUGAUGGACUUAGUCUUUCUAAAGACUAUCGAGUCUAUAUCUUUUUGUUUUAUUUUUUAUUUGAGAGUUUUCCUGUAUUAUUACUUAUUUUUAUUUUUAUUUCUCGUUUUUAUUUUAUCUUGGUUUGAUUUAACUUAGGUUUUUGAUGAUCAAUUGUAGGGGGACUUCAAAUAGAGGAAAAACCAAGUAAAUUCGCACACACUGCGAAAUUUUCAUAGGGCAUGCGAAAUUCAUGAAUCAUUUUGCAUGGGGUGCGAAAAUAAAAACACCUUGCGAACUCAUUUUGCACACUUCGUGAAAUUUUCAUAGAGCAUGCGAAAAAUUUCGCACACCUAACACCAUUUGGCACACUGUACGAAAACCUAAGGGGUUUGCGAAGUAAUUUCGCACCCCAUAUGCCAUUUCGCAUGCUGUGCAAAACUCAAGGGACGCUGUGCAAAAAUGAAAAGUCCCUACCAUUCCUUUUUAAACCCCUGAGCCCUAAUUUCUCCAUUUCGCAAACACCAAACACCCUAUGAAUUCCUCAUUUUCCUCUGCCACCUUGCGACCUCAUCCAUAUCCAUUCAAUAUCCUGCCCCGUGCACAUCACUUUGAAGACUCACACUCCAAGCCAUAUUGGAGCACGGACCCGAGGAGCUCUUCCCGCCCCUUCACCGAGUCGCACUUUGAGACAAAUGGCCUCCACUGCUCAGGUAUCUAGUGAUUCUCCAUCUCAGGCCAUGGAGGCCCCGCGGAUUCCACCUUCUGAGGGUGGAGCGCCCACUAGUCCUUCAUUUUCGGCUCCUCAGCGCAGAUAUGAGAUGAAGAGACCACCUACUACACCAGGGGCGACUAUUUUACGCCCUGAGAGUUCAGUACGACGCCCUCCUACCAAGAGGGCUAGGACUUUAGGCUCAGACGAGUCAUCCAAAGCUCCACAGCCUGAGCCUCCGGUAGCUACACAUGCUAGAGCUCCUGCAGAUUCUGAGCUCCUUUUUGACAUGUCACUAGAGUCUAUUAUCAGACGCCCGAUGGUCACAACACCGCCCAUUGAGGGUAACUCAAAUUGUAGAGCGAGACCGUUCCACUCGGAGUUAUAUUUUGAUCAAGAGGUCACGCAACAGUAGCCUGAGCUCUGAGACUCAUAUGGCCUACUACAAAGGUACCAUCUUGAGCACCUUAUGACUCCUCGUGAGUUCUUUUAUCCUAAAGUAGCACUAGACUUUUACCAAUCCAUGACUACUCGUGGCGUCUCAAGUCCUACCGUGAUACACUUCACCAUUGAUGGACGUCAUGGUGUCCUCGAGGCCAGACAUAUUACAGAGGCUCUAUAGAUUCCUUUCGAGCCAGUGGAUCCGUUUGUUUUCUGCCAGUGGUCCCCAAUAUCUCAAAGGGACAUGGUCCGUAUUUGAUCCAGAAAGACCUCUUCAGAUUCAAUCCUUCUACGAAAGGAGCUUCCACCUGGGAUGCUCCUCAUAGAUGUGGUGCUAUGCUCCAACCUCUUUCCCUUACAGCAUUCGGUAUAGAGGUAAGGAGAUAUUUUGGACACUUUAUUUCGUAUAUCAGAGGGCUUCUACUUUGGCCCGCACCACUUGAUCAUGGCCUUUCUUGCCCACUUUGAGGAGAAGGUCCAUAGGUGAUUCGUGCCCAGCUGGUGUACCUUGAUUUUGGUCCUCAGACGGGAGUAAUCAACAAAAUUUAUAACCUAUUAUACCAUGUACUAGGAUAGCCUCAGCUAGCAUAGCAUAGUGCCUCUAGGAUCGUUCACUGGGAUGGGUUUUCACUUUACAAUUGAUAUUAGUUCAAAGCUGAAUUUGUGCUUUUUCAUUUCAAGGUUAGCUCUAAAAGAAAACAUAAAGAUGUUUGAAAAGGUUGGUUUUUAAGUGAAACAAAAAAUAAAGUAACGGGAAUUACUUACUAAGAAAAGCGUUUCUUGGAGUUUUAGGAUCACUGGGGUCAGGCUCCUCAUGCAAAAACAGAGCUCCUGUCACUUGAGUCUUUUCCUCGUGUUGGGGAUUUAACAUAUAGUUAUUUCCCGAACUGGUGUGGUACAGAUGCUUCCCUUUAAUGGGUUCAAACACUAAAUCCCUCUCACUGAUACAUCUUGCAAUGGUUCAUACCUCUCACCUAGCAUUGGCCAUUCAAGAUGAUCCUUAACUUUGGAUUACCCGUCAAAAGCUCGCAAGAGAUAACUAAUGGAUGUCUCCUUAGAGUCCAAAAGCUUACCAAGUGUUGGCUAUUCUAGAAAAUCCUACCUUUAAACCACCUCCCAAAGGCUCGCAAGAGGUAAACUAGUGCAUCUCAAUGGACGGAGAUCACUUGCCUUACCAAGUGUUGGCCCCGGUGAUUUCAAGGCGUUUUAAGUUAACUAAAAAGAUAAAAACCAUUAACGGGUUACACUUUCUCUUCAUUAGUAGCUGAAACAACAAAACUUCCAAUUUUUGCAUUUGGAAACUUACCCGGCUUUCUUCACUCCAAGAGACAAAAAGCUUAGCCACUCAUCCUCUGAGGAAACAUCCUUAGAGUUUGAUUUGUUAGAAAUAAAAAUAACGAGAAAACAAAAAUAUGAAGGAAAAACAGAGCAAGUGCUCUGUAGAAUAUUUUUCUUACUAUCGUCGAUUACAUAUCUGAUAUAUGAUUCCUCUUCUCUUUACAUUGGUUCAAAGAUAUAUAUAGAGAAGAUAUUUUCUAAGAAAUAUCCCAAUAAUAUCUUCGACUGAUUACAAGGAGAAAAUAGAAAUUUACACAAAAUAUCUUGAGAAAAAAUCUAACUUAGUCGGUGGCAAAUAUCUAAGUUUACACAGGUGGAUUUCACAAGUUUGAAUUGUCCAUUUUGCAAGUUGAAUUUGUGAUUUCACAACUUGGAGGUGAUUCCGCAACUUGGAGAUGAUUUGCAACUUGUUUCGUAGCUUGGAGGUGAUUUCGCAACGUGGUUCGCAGCUGCGAAGAUGGAGUUUCAACUUGCGAAGUGGCACACGUGUGCUUGGAGGUGGUUUCGCAGCUGUGAAACACCUUACUAAAUUUCGCAAGUAGAUUUUAUUUCGCAGCUCAUUUCGCAGCUGCGAAAUGGGCUUUGGGCUGUGAAAUUUUCGCAUAGCUUGAUGCAGUUGUCUUCAAACGGCCAUAACUUCUUCAUUUCAACUCCAAUUGACACAUCGUUUGAAGUGUUGGACUCCUGACUUCCUGAGCUUCGAAAAGACAUAUAGUAUGAAUGAAAUGGACUCCAGGAAGUACUCGAAAUGUGUCCAACAGUUGCUGUCCUCUUAAAUUUCUUCAUGUUAGAUUUCUCUCAUUUUCCUCCUUGCAUUCUUGAUUGACUUUGGCAAAGGACUACGAAGCUCCAAAGCUUGGAUUCUUCAUGUAAAUGAGCUUCCAUUUUCUUUGCCAUGGAUUAUAUAAAGCUCUCCCUCAUCUUAGAUUGCUUUGGUGAUCAAAAAGCUAUCAAAAACACCAAAACUUAACACAAUUUGAUUAGAAAUGAUUGCAAGGGUCCUUAACAUGCCAGUUGAGUCAAAAGGUAAUAACUACUACUCAAAAGUGUUUAAAAGAGUUAAUUACAAGCUAUAAAAUAACACUUUUUGAGUAGUAAUCAAUAGGAAGAAGCUUCAGAGGGCGGACACCAUUCCAUUACUAUUCCUAAGGUUGUUGUGCCAGAUAUUGGAGUAUAUGGGCUUUCCUACUAAGCCUCGGCUCAAGCGUCGUCGCCUUUGUCGAGAGCGAUUCACUCUCGACAAAUGAAAUUAGUUGGCGGGAUAUUCUGCACCUCCAGGAGCCCGUCCCAUGGUAUCACCUCCAGUGCCCCCAUAGCCAGAGCAGGGCAAGCUUCUGGCAGAGACUACACCACCAGUGCCCACACCUGAGGCUAUUUCUGCUACUCCCCCUAUGACUCCUACUGUUCCAUCACCAGUCACUCCUACUACAUCCAAGCCUUCCAUCACCAUAUCGGCUUCGAAAUUUCACACCCUUGUGCAUACCUUUUAGACACUGACCACCACACAUGCGGCUCUCUUCCAGUAGAUGGCUGACAUGCGUGCACAUCAGGACCAACAGACUGCUAUACUUCGCCAGAUUCAGCAGCACCUCAGACUUCUACCUCUACCUCAGCCUGAUCUUCUUGCAUCAUCAAAGCCUUUAGCUCCAACUGAGGACACUACCACGGUAGAGGUCCAGAUCCCACCACCUCAAGAGCCCACCACAAAUGCCAUUGCUUCACAUGAUCCUCAGGAUAACCCUCAGACAGUUAACACAAUCACAGCUACACCUGAGAAUGCAUCAUCUCCACCUGAGGCUCCCACUACUUGAUCAUAGGACAUCUCUUUAUCUUAUUGUAUUUACAUAUUAUAUUAGUGGAGAUUUGUCAUUGUUUUGAUGCUUUAUAUUCUGAGACUGGAUGUAUUACCUGAUCAUAUCUCAUAUUGUACUUUCUCAUAUUAGUAUAUAGACAUCAUAUUUUUUAUAUUACUUGGCAUUUUUCUAUUUCCUCUACUCAUUACCUUUUUGUUUUCUGACUCAUGUGGUUUCUCUUAUACAACUUAGACUUCAUUUCACUCAGGAGGUACCACUUUCUCCCUUUAUUUUCAAUUGCUCUUGACACAUUGAGGACAAUGUUGAUCUUGGUUGGGGGAAGAGUUGAGGAAGGAAGUUUUGUUAAUAAUGCUAGGUUAAUUUGUUAAUUUAGUUACUUUUUGCUUAAUUUUAAAAGUUUUUUUACCCUACUCUCCAUGGUUAUUAAGGAAAAAUUCUCAAAAUGAAAUGGGAGAAAUUGAGUUCUUGCAUUUUUACUUGAAUCUUAGAGUUUGUAUUAUGCUUAUUGAAGUUGAUGAAUUAUUGAAAAUCCUAUUGAAUUCAACCUUAUUUCUUCCACUUUAAUCUUACCACACAUUGUGCACAUUAGGUUCCAAUUAUAAGAUGAAAAACUAUCUCACCCCCUGAACUUAGGAAAAUUUUGACUUGGUACCUUUGACCUAAUUUUAAUAGUGUUGGGACACCUUAUAAAAGGCCAAUGAGCCUUAAAAAAAAGAAGAAGAAGAACAAAGUGUUUCACUUGCCUUGAAACCCGAGCAAGGUCCAAGGGGUAUAUAGCGAAAAUCUUUAAAACCCGGUGCCCUAAGCCUUGAUUGGUUGGGAGUCACCGACCUCAAUGCUCGUUACAAGGGUGAAUAGGUGGAGUUUAACAUAUUGUAGGUGCUUAGGUAUUGAAUUUCAAUCUCAAAAGUCCGGGAAAAAAUCUGAGGAGUUAGUGGUCAAAAGAUCCUUAAAGCUUGAUGCCCUAAACUUUGAUUGGUUGGGAGUCAAUGAUAGAUCCCCGUUACAUGGACACUUUAGAAAACAAUUCCUUCAGCAUUGCACUCCUACAAGAAAAAAAUGUGAAAUAAAAGAGGUGCGUUCUUAGCCUAUUGGAGGUUGGUCAGUUUGCUAAAGUUUGAGAAAGAACUAGGUUGGGAGGAGAGAAUAGUUCGACAUACUAUAAUCGGAAACUAAUAAGCUUAACACUUAGAUUUUUGUGUGAGAGUAAGAAUUAGACCUUUGGGAGUGGAAAUUCUUUUGAUGCUUAAAUUUGCAUAAUGCCUACUCUUUAUAAAUUGUGAUUAGGCAAGAAAUUUGAUGACUCUUGUUGAAGGUUGGGUUUUGCCUCUUUGAUAUUCCAUGAGAGAGUAUAAUUCGCAUCAUGCCACUUAAAUUUUUUUUAGAGUAAUCAGCAUGAUAUUGUAAAUUAUUUCACUGUCUAUUUUUCUUUAUCUCUCCUUCAUUGCUAAGGGACUACCAAUGUGUCGGUUGGGGGGAGUGAUUACUACUCAAAAAGUACUCUUUUAUAGCUUGAAACUAACUGUUUUAAACACUUUUGAGUAGUAGUUAAUACAUUUUAACUCAAUUGGCACAUUAAGGAACCUAGCAAGGGUUACUAAUCAGUUUUGACAAGUUUUGGUGUUUUUGGUAGCUAUUUGAUCAUUGAAACAAGCCAAGAAUGAGGGAGAAUUUUGUGAAAUCCAUGGCAAUGCAAGUUGAAGCUCAAAUACAUGAAGAGUCCGAGCUUUGAAACAUUUCAUAGCCCUUUGCCAAGCUUGGCAAUAGGUUGCCAAGCCAAUCAGAGAUGCAAGGAAGAAAACUAAAGGAAAAAGUCCAACAACCAGCAUUUUAGCAUGGCUAUGCGAAAAUUUCGCAUAGCAUGCGAAAUCAAGAGAAAGAGCAGCUGCAGGACUGAGUGAAAGACAAUUUCGCACACCAUGCAAAACCACAAAAAGCAGCCAAAGAAUUUCGUACACCAUGAGAAAUUUCACAUGGUAUGCGAAAUCCUCUUGUGCACCAACUCCGUUAGAUUUUUAUUUCCAGAUAUUUUGUAUAAUUUCCUGUUUUCUCCUUAUAAUCAAGCUAGAUAUUUUCAUAUAUAUCUUUUCUAGUCAUGAAAGAAAUUUAUUCAUGAAACACUUGUAAAAUUCCCGUAGAAGAAAUAUAUAGAGCUUUUGCUCUGCCUUUCCUUCUCAUUUUGUUUUCACUUUUCUUUUUAGCCAAAUAACCUCUGAGGAUGAUUUCUCAGGGGAUGAGUGGCUAGGUUUUAUGUUUCUUGGAGUGAUGGAAGCUAGGUGAAGGACCUGAAUGCAAAGAUGGGAGUUGUCCUUGCUUUAAAUGAAAGUAGUUGUUAACCAUUAAUGGUUUUUAUUUUAAGGUUUAGCUUUAAAUCCCUUAAAAUCACCUUGAAUGGCCAAUACUUGGUAAGCUUUUCAGAUUCUAUGGAUGCUUAUUGCUAGAUCCAUGGAUGUCCAUUAGUUAUCAUUUACGAGCCAUUGGAAGGUGGUUCAAGGUGAGGGUCUUUAGUGUUUGAAGCCAUUAAUGGGAAGCAAUUACCAUUUUUCAUGAAUCCUUUCGAUCAAAUCUUAAUUGCUAAAAAACAAAACCGGUUCGGGAGAUAACCAUCCUUUAUGUUAUUGUCCCCAACGCGAGGAGAAGAUCCAGAAUCUCCCCCUUUGCCUGAGAAACCCGAUCCUAGUGACCUAAAGCUCCAAGAGACCUUUUCUUUAUAGUUAACUUCACUUAUUAUUUUUGCUUAACUUAAAAUCAAUCUUUGCAACCACAAUUCCAUUUUCUUUAAAAGCUAAUUUUCAUAAGGAAAAACACCAUUUUAUUUCCUUCACUAAAAUCAACUGUACGAUGAAAACCCAUCCCUGUGGAUGAUCCUAAAGCCACUAUACUAUGUUAGUUAUGCUACUCUAGUGUAAGGUGAUUUAGGUUUUAUAAUUUUUUUGUUGAUAACACCCGUCUGGGCCAGAAUCAAAUGGCACGACUGCAAUGGGGACAAAUCACAUUGCUGAAAGAAGUGCUUGAGCCGCUCAAGCGUAAACAUUACUUGAGCCACUCAAGCACUAACAUUGUUUGAGCAUUGCAUUUCUUACCUACACUCUCGAGGUUGCUUCUGCACUUUUUUCAACUACCUUAAGCUUUAAAAUCUUGCCUUUUUUUGGUUGAGGAAUAUCCAUUGAACCGCUAUGAUUGGCGAAAUGCUUCCAUGCUCUCUUUGGGUUACAAGAUUGAUUAAAAACCAAAAUUUUACAUAAUCACAAGUCAUAUACUCCUCAAAAUGAGAGUUUAUAGUCAAUCUAGCCAAAAGGAAAAAAACUUUUAUAUCCAAAAAGAAAAUCCUAUGCUCUUAAUCACAAAGCUUACAACCUAAACUAGAAAACAAUAGAUUAAACCAAUAACAAUCAACUAAUCUGAACAUAAUAAUGAUAUUCAUUCAUCCAUUUAGGCCAUGGGAUGAAUAACCAAACUUAAAAAAAAAAAACAAAAAAAAAAACCAUGAGCACCCUCUAGAAUAGAUCUAGCUAACAAGAACAUAACCUGAGGCUCUAAUACCAAUUACCAGGAAUACUAGAUUUCUCUAUUCCCUGUCCCUGGAUCUAGUAGGGUGCAUGCAUCUAUGCUAAGCACCUCUAAAUCUAUUACAAUGGAAACAUAUGGCUACAAAACCAUAUAAAGAUAAAAAUCUAGAGAAAACAAAGCUCAUACCGAAUCUAGAUGUUCCUAGAUCAAUUCCAGAUGGUGAAGAACAUGCUUAAAGGUCUCAUACACUCAAGAUCUUCCACCUGAUGACUCGAACCACAAUCUUGGUACUCCAAAGUGUGGGCUUUGGAAGAGAUGAAGAUAUGACUCUCUCUAUCUUUCUUUAGAGAUGAAAGAUGGAUCUCAUCAAAAAGUGGUGGAAACAUUAACCCCUAAGGGGGUAUUUAUAGGGUUCCCCUACUAAGCUUAAGUGACUUAAGCUCACCAAAGCUUGGGUCACUUAAUCUAACCUAAAACUAGUUCUAAUUGAUUAAUUAACCACAUAGAGUCAUCUAAUUAAUCAAUUAGCCCAAUCUAGAGACCUUGUUCACUAUCUCCUGUGCAACCAUGAAUCAUUACCAAAACAACCUUAUACACAAAAGUGAAUAUUGGCUCUCUUAGAAUUCAAUUCUAAAAUUGAUUCAACAUUCCACUAAAGAUAAUCAAUUGCACUCCAGUACCCUAUGUAAAUAACAACAAAAUGAAGUUUGAGUUCAUGACCUACUAUCCAUUACAUGCAGACUCCCCAUGAAUCGGUAUUUGUAAUUUAACAAGGUAGUAGUAUCACUUAUCAAGAUUACCUCUCCAAUCCUUGAGUUAAAAAUCUCAUUUGGAUCACCCAAGAAGACACAUUGUCUCCAUGAGAUGUCAUGAUGUCUCUAUUGAGAAUACUUGUUGUCACCAGCCUCCAUCAAUAGUGACCCAAUCCAUAAAGAUAUAUAACCACUUUAGGAUCUCACCCACCCACAUGUCCAAUCCUCAUGUUGAUUUUGAGACAGGCUCAAUAUGCUCUCAAGUUUGCAAGUCAAUCCAAUAUAGUAGUUUGUUGAAUCAUGACAAUUAAUAGUCUUGUGUCAUGAUUCAUCAUAGCUCUUUUCUAGUAGGCAUGACAUACACUAGUGCAAACAUCAUAGGAAACUCAUCCCAACAAUCAAGACAAGUAAUCCAUUCCAUUAGGAGAUGGUGUACUACAAUCUCUAAUGGAUUGCACAAAUCUAUGAACCAAUUAUGGACAACUUAUAUAUCUACUUACAAGAAACCCUUGACUUGUAUCUUUUGUGCAACUCCUAAGGCACUCAAGUCAUGUACAAUUUAAGAGAUAUAAACUAAAUGCUCAAAUCAAUGUCAAUACACCAAAGGGAUAACGAUGGGAUAGUCAAGUCUAAUUUUGUUACAUCAUGUCUUACUUUUAGGAUCUCAAUCCCAACAGUAUCACAUGGUAGUAGAAGAUAUAUGUUGAACUUUAUUGAUUAUUACUCUAGAAAGGUCUGGGUAUAUAUAUUCAAACACAAGAAUGAUGUCUUUGGGUAGUUCAAACAAUGGAAAGCUAUGUUCAAGAAGCAAACUAGAAAAUAAAUCAAGCACUUGAGAAUUGACAAUGGUAUGAAAUUUAUAUGGGAAGAGUUUAAUGAGUUUUGCAAGAAUGAAAGUAUUGUGAGACAUUACAUAGUUAGGCAUACUCCACAUAAAAAUGGUGUUGCAAAACAAAUGAAUGGAACUCUUUUAGAGAAAGCAUGAUGCACGCUUUCAAAUGCAGUGUUGUCAAAUGGAAUUUUAGGCUGAAGUGAUAAAUUCUACUUGUUAUCUUGUGAAUAGAUCUCCUUCAAUUCCUAUUAAUUAUAGGACUCCUGAAAAGAGAUGGUCUGGUUCUCUUUCUAAUUAUGGUAAUUUAAGAUUUUUUUUUUUCUUGUCCUACUUAUACUCAUGUAAAUGAAGGUAAGUUGGAACCAAGGAGAAGGAAGUGCAUAUUGUUAGGAUAUGCAGAUGAAGUGAAAGGGUACAAGUUAUGGUGACUAGAGUCAAAAUUCUCUAAAUUUAUAAUUAACAGGGAUGAGACUUUUAAUGAGUUUGAAAUGUUGUAUCCUAGGAAUGAGUAACUUGAUGUAGGAAACAACCCUAGUAUGAGAGAAAAUGUGGAGUUUGUGUCUAAAGCUUUAGAAACCAUAGAAAAAAAAAAUUAAAUAAGGCCAAAAGAGGAAGAAAUGCAACAUCUUAAUGAUAAAGAAAACGCACCAUAAGAGCAACAAUAUUAUUUAGCCAAAGAUAGAACAAAGAGGCAAAUUAAACCACCACAAAGGCAUGCUUAUGUAGAUUUGGUUGUUUAUGCACUUAGUAUGGUAAAGAACAUUAUUGAAAAUGAGGAACCACACACUUAUCAUGAAGUCAUCACUAGUAGAUGGUCUACACAAUGGAAUGUUGCUAUGAAUUAGGAGAUUAAAUCUCUUCAAAAGAACUAUACUUAACAACUAGUUGAGAAACCUAAAAACUCAAAAGAUUGUUGGUUGCAAAUGAUUCUUCAAAGAAAUGAAGGAAUUUCGGGAGUGGAGGAUGCUAGGUUCAAAGCACACUUAGUGGCAAAGGGUCACACACAAAAGGAGGGGGUGGGUUUCAAUGAAGUGUUUUCCCUAGUUGUGAAGCAUAACUCAAUUGGAGUGUUACUUGUUAUGGUUGUUUUAUUUAAUUUAGAAUUGGAGCAACUUGAUGUCAAGACUACUUUUUUACAUGAUAAGUUAGAAGAACAAAUUUAUAUGCAUCAACCUAAGGGAUUCAUUAUUUCGAGAAAAGAAAACCAUGUUUGUUUGCCGAAGAAAUCUCUUUAUGGUUUGAAGCAAUCUCCUAGGCAAUGGUAUAAAAGGUUUGAUACUUUUAUUAUUUGUAAUGGCCACCACAAGAGUGAGUAUGAUAAUUGUGUUCAUCAUAAGGAAUUGUUUGAUUAUUCUUUCAUUUAUUUAUUGUUAUAUGUUGAUGAUAUGUUAAUUUUCUACAAGAAUAUGUGAUAACCCGACUCUUGGUAGCUUGGCAUGUAAGGGUAUCAACAAAAUUUACACCUAAGGUCCUUACACUAAAGUAGCAAAGCUACUAUAGCAUAGUGGCUCUAGGAUCGAACACUGGGAAGGGUUUUUACUUUAACUGGUGAAGUUCGGAGGAUGGAGUGAACUUUUCUUAAUAAAAAUUAGGUUAAGAUGAAAACAUAAAAAGAUGAAGGCGUUGUAAACUAAACUAACAUGAAAAUAGGUUAAAAGAUGGAAAAAGAAGUUUCUCAAAGCUUUGGAUAGCCAUGCUUAACUCACUGUGUAAAAAUGGAGAUUUUGGGACUCUUCACCUCGAGUUGGGGAAGCAACUAAGGUGAUGCUUACUUCCCGAACCGGUAUGAGUUUAACAACUGAGUUUUAGUCCUUGAAAACUUACAAAAAGGGUAGCUGAACCUCAUAAAUGCUCUUUUAUUAGUAUAGGUCAUCUCCUCGACUUGCAAUACAAUGGCUCGUAGGAGAUAAUUAAUGAACGUCAGUGGAUCUAACAAUAAGAAUCCACUGAGACCAAAAGGUUAUCAAGUAUUGGCCAUUCAAAGCAAGUUAGAGGGAUUAAAAGCUUUACUUUGAAUGAAAACAUUUAUGACGCUUAGCUACUUACAUUUAUGGCUUGGAAAUCUUCAUCGUGACACGGGAGCUUCACAUGGCAUCCAUUACUUCAAGAAACUAAAAGGAUUUAGCCUUUCAUCCUUGGGGAUUUCAUCCUCCAAGGAUGUUUGGCUACUAAGAAAAUGAGAAAGAAAAGAGAAAAGAAGCGUAUGAACAGAAGUGCUCUUAUAACUUAUAAAGUUACAGGUUACAAGAUGAUCGUGUCUGAGGCUCUUCACCUCUAUUUAAAGACAAUAAAAAGCUAAAUUACAAGAGCUAUUACAAAAGCAACCUUUUCAUUGGUUGAUUACAAGGGUAAAAUAGAUUUUUACAAAGCUAAAAGUCAAGCAAAAUAUCUUGGAGAACCGGCAGUGGAAUAUCAUCAACAGCGUCUCAAAACAGGGGAUUUCAAAGGCAUUUCGCAAAGGGGGGGAGGGGGAGGGGAAGAUGAAAGGUCCAAAUUUUGCAAGGUGCCUAAAUCCAGCUUGCGAAAUUUCGCAAGGUGGUUUCUUCAUGGUGCGAAAUGGCCAAAUUUCGCACCAUGAGGAAAAUCCCCUUGCGAAAUUUUGGCAAGGCGAAAUUCACCUUGCGAAAUGGUGUUCCCAUUGCUUGUGCUCGUGUUUCCACUUGAAAUUCAAGCCUGUAAACGUCCAAAAUCCUUGCUUAACUCACCCAAGUAGCUCCUCCAUCAAUUGGUAUGCUUGAAUUGGUUCAUAAGCUGAUGAAAAACAUGUAAACUUGCCACUAAAAAUGGUUAGAACUAAUUACUAAGGAGCUUAAUGAAUUAAUUGGGUUAAAUGAAUAUGAUUACUACACAAAGGUGCUUAAAACCCUUAUAAUUAGGUCUACAAAAUAGCACUUUUUGGUAGUAAUCACACCCCCCAACCGACUCAUUGCUAGUCCCUUAGCAAUGGAGGAGAUAAAAACUAAGCAAACAUAAUAAUAUACAUAAAAGAGGUCAUGCAAAUCACUCCAAAAAAUAAUUGAGUGGCAUGACUGAUAUCAAAACACAUCUCACAUGGUGAACUAAAGAUAUGAAGAUUCAAAAUGCAAUAGGAGUUGUCAAAGCUAAAACUUAAACAAAAAGUACAAAGAGUGGAGAUUAUGCAAUUAAGUAUCAAAAGAAUCUCUACUCUCAAGGUUCCGAAUCAAACUCUUCCAUAAUGAGCUAAGUGUUAAUGAGAUUAGCUUCCAGAUAUAGUAUGUACAACUAUCCUCUCCCCCCAACCUAAGCUUUUCUCGAACUUUGGCAAAAUUAACCAACUCUUAAUAGGUUAGGAACGCACCUUCUUAUUCACAAUUCUUUUUAUUCACUAAACUUAACCAAUUCACCUAUGUAGCAAGCAGAGGAUCGAUGACUCCCAACCAAUCAGGGUUUAGGGCAUCGGGUUUUAAAGGCUUUCGCCACCCAUUCGGAUCAUGCUUAGGUUUCAAGGAAAGAAUAGAAGCUUAUUCUCUUUUUUUUUUUUUUUUUUUUUUUUUUUUAAGACUCAUUGGUCUUUUUGAGGUGUCCCAACACUAUUAAAAAGAGGUUAAGUAAUGAACCAAGUCAAAAUUUUCCUAAGCUUAAAGGGUGAGAAAGUUUUACAUCAUAUAUCCGAGAUCUAAUGUGCACGGUGUGUGUAAAGCUUGAAAUGGAAGAAAAAAGUUCGAAAUCAAAGAGGGUUUCAAUAGAUUAUCAACUUUGAAAGCAUAAAACAAACUCUAAGACUUAAGUAAUUAAGUUAAAACUCGACUUAUCCUAUUUUAUUUUGAGAAAUUAUCUUUAACAACCAUAGAGAAUGAAACAAAAAUUUUUGAAAAAGGUCAAAAACUACUAAAUCAACAAAAUAACUAACUAAAAUAGGAAAUACUUACUUCCUCAACUCUCCCCCCAACCGAGAUGAACAUUGUCCCCAAUGUUUCUAUCGAAAAAGACGAGGAAGGAAUGAUAUACCUUAUGGUGAUGUGGUAUUCAAGGCGUGUGAGUGCAUCCACAUGAUUCAAAAACCAUAAGAAACGUGAGAGAGGAAAUAAGAUACAAAAAAUGAUGCUUAUAUAAACUGAGAGAGUUGAGUACAAGAUAUAAGCAUGAGGUACAUACAAUCUCAGAAUAUAAAACAUGUAUCAUAUACAAAAUGGAGAUAGAAAUAUCCAAUCAUGGAUGUGGCUCCUGAGGUGGAGGAGGUGAUAUGCCCAGGUGAUGGUGGAUCUGAGAGAGCAUGGCGGAGUGCUGGUCCAGGAUAGCUGUAUGCUGAGCCUGAAUAGAUGUAUGCUGAGCCUGAUGUGUCUGUAUGGUAUCCAUCUGUCGUCUGAUGGCCUGCAUCUCACGGACUAAGGUGGCCUGAGAGGUGCUCAAUGAGUGAAAGGACGACAUGAGAGCUCUGAACUCUGUAGCGGAGACAGCAAUGGAUGGCCCGGCUGAAGACUCAGCAUAGGCUGGAGCAGGAGUGACUGGUGGUGUGGGAGUAUCAGUAGUGCAAGUCACUAGAGCAGGUACUGAAGAAGAAGGCUCUGUGGUAUGUGGGUCCUGCUCUGGUGAUGUCUGUGCUGUAGGUGCUGAGGUUGCUGGAGAAUCGGGAGGCGCUGGAGAAGCUGGAGGCGCGGGAGCUAAUGGUCUAGGGAUACCCUAGUCCAUGGGUGAGAGGUCUAAGAAAUGGGUCCAACUCUCACUGGUAAAGAGCUCUCGACAAUGAUGACGACGCUCUAGAUGGGGCUGAGAAGGGUAUCCCAUAUCCUCUAAGACCUGAGAGAUCAGCCUUGGAAAUAAGAGUGGAAUAGUACCAGCUCUGUGUAGGCGCUUCCUAUGCACCUUCUCCUCAAAAUAGGUAAGAGUAGCCAUGACUAGAUGGUGGGGUCCAAAGUAGAAUCCCUCAGAGAUGCGGUAAAGCGCAUCUAAGAUAGCACCUCUCCUCUGGACGACAUGCUGGAGGGGAAAAAGAUUGGUGCGGAGCACCAAAUCGAUAAGUAACAUCUGUGGAGGAAGCUCCCUCCUCAAAAUGGUCCUACCAGUGACUCUACCUCCUGAUAAGGUAGACACCAUGUCGGGCUCUGAAUACUGAGACCAAUGCCGGAAGGAACCAAGGUCCUCAAGGAUAGGCGGAAAAUGCAUAGCGGCGGCUAUAUCUCGGGCCUCUAAAAUACCAUGCUGGCCAUCAAUAAAAAAAUGAAUGGCUAUGGGGUCCGGACGCCUCUAGUAGUCAUAGUCUGGUAGAAAUCUAAGACUACCCUAGGGUAAUAGAAGGACCUAGGAGUCAUAAAUGGCUCGAUGUGGUACCUCUACAGAAGGCGGUAUGACUCCUCUAGCUCUGGUAAUAGGCGGAGAGUCUCAUGCUCCAUACAGAUCUCGUAGUGAAAUGGCCUAUCUCUGAUAUCCGUGUUGCCUGGGAGGGGUGGCCCUACUAUCAUAGGCCGCUUGAGGACCUCUGCUAGGUGUGAAGGGCCUGGGAUAGUAGAUAUUGGAGGUGAUGGAGGGGCUCUGGAGGACUCGCCUGGUCCUGAAAUCCUAGUCCUCUUAGGUGAAAGACUGCUCACAAGGGGUGGCAUUGGUGCCCUGGAAGACCCAGAUGAUCGUCUGGUCCCGUACCCGUGCUGAGUAGAGGGAACUGGGGUCUGGGCAGGCUGAGAUGGUGUAGAACGACCACCUCUCUGUGAGUGGGCCCCACGCUGACUAGCUGAAGAGGAUGCCCCCCGUGUCUGUGCCAUGGUAUAAAUACUGAAAUAAGACUGAAAAGCACGAAAAAUAGAGCAUCCCUGAUUACUACCAAAAAGUGCUAUUUUGUAGACCUAAUCAUAAUGGUUUUAAGCACCUUUGAGUAGUAAUCAUAUUCAUUUAACCCAAUUAAUUCAUUAAGGUCCUUAGUAAUUGGUUCUAACCAUUUUGUGGUAAGUUUUGGUGCUUUUUGAUAGCUUUUUGCUCACCAAAGCAAUCCAAGAAUGAGGGAGAGCUGUAUAUAGUUCAUGGCAAAGCUUUUGAAAGCUCAAAUUCAUGAAGAAACCAAGCUUUGGAGCUCAAUAACCCUUUUCCAAAGUCGUUCAAAGUAUGCAAGGAAAGAACAAACGGAGAGAGGAAAACAGAGUAAGGAAAAUAGGGGACAGCAACUGCAGCCUUCCUUCGCACUUUUAGAGCACUUUCCGAAGUUCAUUUUCUACAUGCUAUAUACCAUUUCAAAGCUCAGGAAGUCAAGAAUCUAAAGCUUCAAACCGUGUACGAUUUGGAGCUGAAAUGAGGAAGAUAUGGCCUUAGGAAGACAACUGCAUCAAGCUAAAGGACAAUUUCGCACCUUGCGAAAUUGGAACUCCAACGUGCGAAAUUUAAAGUGGAUGGCAGCUGUGUAGUUGCGGUGAAGCCCAGCAUGCGAAGUUGAUUUUGCAACUUGUGGACUUGGAUCUCAACAUGAGAAAGUGAAUUCUAAGUUGCGAAAUCAACUUGCGAAAUUUUCGCAAGUCACCAUGCAACGUGCGAAACUGGGAUAUUUAUGCCGACUCUUUUUCUUCUGAUAUUUUUGUGUCUAAAUUUCCAUUUUCUCCUUGUAUUCAGCCACUCAUGUAAUUCCUUAGCUAUGAAGUAUCCAAGGAAGGGUAAAUUACCUUCCUAUAUAAACUCUCUUGUAAACACUGAAAAAAGGACUCUCGGGGAGCUUUUUCCAAGAGACCAACUUAUGUAAAUUUUACACUUAGUGAAAUACAGAGAUCUCUUUUGCUUUCUUUUUCUCUCUACUAUUUUCUUUUUCUUGGAAGCCAAACAGCCUCUGAGGAUGUUUUCCCAGGGGAUGAGAGGCUAAACUUAUAGUUUCUUGGAGUGAAGGAAGCUAGGUGAAAAGUCCAGAUGAAAAGGUGGAAAGCUUCCGUGCAUUAAAUUCAGGUAGUUGGAGUUCAUAAAUGGCUUCUAAAUCCAAAGUUUUGCUUUAAAUCCCUUAGAAUCACUUUGAACGGCCAAUACAUGGUAAGCUUCAGGUCUCUGUGGAUGCUUAUUGCUAGAUCCAUAUCAGUCCAUUAGUUAUCAUGUACGAGCCAUUGGAAAGUGGUUCAAGGUGAAGACCCAUAGUGUCUUAAGCCAUUAAUGGACCUUGACUAUCAUUUCUAUUGACUUUUUAUAGAUUAAAUCUUCAUUGUUAAACCUAUACCGGUUCGGGAAAUAACUAUAGGUUAAAUCCCCAAUGCGAGGAGAAAAAUCCGGAAUUUCCACUUUGCAUUCUGAACUUGAUCCUAGCAACCCUUAGCUCCGGGAGACUUUCUUUCUUCCAUUUUUACUUAGUUCUAUGUUAGUUUAAUUUCAGUCACCACUUGCAAAACAAAUUUUAUUUUCUUUUAAACUUCAAGUUUAUGAUAAAGGAAAUCAUCAGACUCAAUUUCUAAUCUAGAGUCUGUCACUGAUAGAGUGAAAACCCAUCCCUGAGUUCGACCCUAGAGCUGCUAUACUAUAGUAGCUUUGCUACGCCAGUAUAAGGUCAUAGGAUUUAUAAAUAUUUUUUUAUUAAAAGACCCGACGGGGUAUGAAUAAAUCCCAGGGGUAAAGUGUCAAAAAUAUAGUUGAAAUGGUAACCAGUGCAAAAUUUGCAAGGCAUGAAUAGUGGUUGCUAAAUUUGGCAACGGGCACUAUUCACGCAACACUAAUCACAGGCACUAUUCAUCUUCUUUUCCAAUGCUUACUUUGAAUUUGAGUUUUCAUUUUUAACGGUUUAAAGUUCAGAAAAAGGGUAUGGUUUUAAUGGAAACAUGAUUCUAAAUGCAAUGGAGUAAGUUUGGGAGCCUAAAACACAUUGCAAGAUAGAGAUUUUUGCAAAAAUGGUGGCCGGCCAUGUGGGUCUUUGAUUUGAAAAAAUGGAUUUUUGAAAUGGUUUUAAUGGAUGAAAAUGCAUGUUUAUGGUCCCUUAAACAUUGAAAUGACAUAAACAAGCAAUUUAAGGAGCCAAAAAUGGAGAAAAAUGAAAAAUUAUUCACCUUGGAACAAUGAAGCACGCGGCCUAGAGAGGAAAUGCAAGGGGAAUAGUGUUUUAUGCAUGAAAAAUGAAGUUGAGAAGGCUUUAAAAAGGGUUUUUGGCCAUGAAUUUUUUUUUGAAAAUUUGUCUAAGUACGGGGAUGAACUGAGGAGUGUUAAAACUACAAAAUUGAAGUUUGAAAAUGAAUUUAAAAAGAAUCAAAUCCUUGGUAAGCAUGAAGAAAAAAUUUCGCAAGGUGAAAAUUCACCUUGCCAAAUUUUCGCACUGGCUACUCCCCUUAAAAACCAAUUCCGAGAGGUUGUAAAUUGCAUCUUGCCAAAAUGUGCAUUUCGCAAGGUGAAAAUUGACUUGCGAAAAUUUUCGCACUGGUUACUCCUUGCGAAAGUGCAAUCCCAGCGAAAGUGCAAUCCCGAGAGGUCGUAAAUUGCAUCUUGCCAAAAUGUGCAUUUUGCAAGGUGAAAUUCACCUUGCCAAAUUUUCGCAACUCACUUUUUGAGUUGCGAAAUGGGCUUUUAAGCUUGGACUUAGAUAUAUUUCUCCCCUAUUUCACCUUUCUCUCCACAUUUAUGAGCUUGUGAGCUUUUGUACCUGCUAUUGGACAUCAAAGCUCCAUUAAAAACAUUAAAAAAUCAAAAUCAAAACUAAGAAACCUAAACAAAAUAUGUGCAAAAGUAUUAAAAAUGCAAAGUAAACAAGAAUGUAAUACUAAAAUUAAAACAAAAAGAGAUGAGCACUUAACUUUUCAUGCUAAGCUCAUCAACUUACCACACUUUCUCAAGGAUGUGAUGGGUCAUGGAGGAUGAGUACCUCCUUGUCACGGGAAAAUGGCUCGAUGUAGGGUUUGAGUCUUUGCCCAUUUACCUUGAAGAUCUUUGCACUUUUUGAAUUGAGUAACUCAAUUACUCCAUGUGAGUGUACUUGGUGGAUGACAAAAGGCCCUACCCACCUUGAUUUGAGCUUUCCCGGAAAUAUGUGAAGCUUAGAGUCAUAUAGCAAGACUCUUUGUCCCUUGAAAAAUUCUUUCUUGGUCACCAACUGAUCAUGCCAUCUCUUUAGCUUUUCCUUAGCUAUUUUUGAGUUGAGAUAGGCAUCAUUUCUCAAUUCCUCAAGCUCAUUCAAAUCCAAACUCCUCUUUAGCCUAGCCUUUGUUAAAUCCAUGUUGAGCUUUUUAAUGGCCCACCAUGCCUUGAACUCAAUCUCAACGGGAAGAUGGCAAGCUUUGCCAUAAACAAGACAGUACGGUGACAUCCCAAGGAUAGUCUUAUAAGUCGUCCUAUACGCCCAUAGGGAAUCAAGGAGCUUAAACAAACCAAUCUUUCUUAUUGGUGUUCACCACCUUCAUCAAGAUGUUCUUAAUUUCCCGGUUGGCUAGCUCUACUUGGCCACUCGUCUGAGGAUGAUAAGGUGUAGCUACCUUAUGCUUAAUUCCGUACUUGGCCAAAAGAGCUUCAAAGGGCUUGUUGCACAAGUGAGUGCCUCCAUCACUGAUGAUUGCUUUAGGCACUCCAAACCUCGAGAAGAUGUUUUCUUUUAGGAACUUGAGAACCACUUUGUGAUCAUUGGUUCCACAGGGUAUAGCUUCAACCCACUUUGAAACAUAAUCAACUCCUACCAAGAUGUAGGAGUGGCCAAAAGACAUAGGGAAAGGUCCCAUGAAGUCUAUGCCCCAAACAUAAAAAAGAUCCACUAUCAAGAUGGGGUUCAAAGGCAUCAUGUUUCUCCUUGAAAGCUUGCCUAGUCUUUGGCACUUAUCACAUCCUUUACUUACCUCAUGGGCAUCCUUAAAAAGUGAGGGCCACCAAAAGCCCGAUUGAAGAACUCUCAUUGCCGUCUUUUGAGAGGCAAAGUGGCCUCCACAUGCAUUCCCAUGGCAAUGAGAUAGGAUCCCAUGCUUCUCUUUUUCAGGCACACACUUCCUUAUAAUUUGGUCUGCACAAUACUUGAAGAGAAAAGGCUCCUCCCAAUAAUAUGCAUGGACCUUGGCAAAGAAAUUCUUCUUGUCCUGAGAGCUCCAUUCACUUGGUAUUUCUCCCGUGACCAAGUAAUUGGCAAUGUGUGCAAACCAUGGCACUUCCUCCACAAGCAUCAAGGAUUCCUCAGGGAAAUCAUCAUUUAUGGGAAGUCCAUGGGUGUCAUGAGCGAUGUUGAGCCUUAACAAGUGGUCAGCUACCACAUUCUCAAUACCUUUCUUAUCUCUGAUCUGGAGGUUGAACUCUUGAAGCAAAAGUAUCCACCUAAUCAACCUAGCCUUGGCAUCUUGCUUGGUUAGCAAAUACUUCAAAGCUGAAUGAUCCGUGAAUACCACAAUGGAAGACCCUAUCAAAUAAGCUCUGAACUUAUCCAAAGCAUACACCACAGCAAGUAAUUCCUUCUCAGUGGUGGUGUAAUUCCUUUGAGCAUCAUUCAAAGACUUGCUUGCAUAGUAGAUCACAUAAGGUUUACCAUCUUCUCUUUGUCCCAAAACAGCCCCAAUGGCAUAAUCACUUGAGUCACACAUCACUUCAAAUGGCAACUCCCAAUUUGGUGCUCUCAUAAUGGGCGCUGAUGUCAAGAAUUGCUUAAGAAGCUCAAAACUCCUUUGACAUUUAUCAUCCCACUCAAACUUGGCAUCCUUCACCAAUAAUUCACAAAGAGGUUUGGCAAUCUUGGAAAAAUCCUUUAUAAACCUCCUAUAGAACCCGGCAUGCCCAAGGAAUUGCCUUAUUCCUUUUACAUUGGUGGGAGGUGGCAACUUCACAAUUAGUUCCGCCUUAGCUCUAUCUACCUCUAUACCCUUCUUUGAGAUUACGUGCCCAAGAACAAUACCUUGAUUUACCAUAAAAUGGCACUUCUCCCAAUUGAGUACUAGGUCUUUCUCUAUGCAUCUUUUCAAAACAUCUUCAAGAUGUGACAAACAAUCCUCAAAAGAAGUCCCAUACACAGUUAUGUCAUCCAUGAAGACUUCCAUGAUUCGUUCAACCAUGUCACUGAAGAUGCUAAGCAUGCAUCUUUUGAAGGUAGCAGGAGCGUUGCAUAAUCCAAAAGGCAUCCGCCUAUAAGCAUAGGUGUCGAAUGGACAAGUGAAGGUAGUCUUCUCCUGGUCCUCCACAUCAAUCUCUAUUUGAAAAUACCCGGAAUACCCAUCCAAGAAGCAAUAAAAAGGAUGCCCAGAUACUCUCUCAAGGACUUGAUCCAUGAAAGGUAAAGGGAAGUGAUCCUUUCUCGUUACUGUGUUCAACUUCCUGUAGUCAAUGCACACCCUCCAACCAGUUGUGAGGUGUGUGGACACUUCAUCUCCAUUUUCCCCCUUGACUACGGUUAUCCCGGACUUCUUUGGAACAACUUGGGUUGGACUCACCCAAGUGCUAUCUGAAAUGGGGUAAAUGAUGCCCGCUUGAAGAAGCUUCAACACUUCAGCCCUUACUACCUCUUGCAUAUGAGGAUUCAAUCUCCUCUGUGGCUGACGAGUUGGCUUAGCUCCCUCCUCCAUAUAAAUAUGGUGCGUGCAAAUCAAUGGGCUUAUCCCCUUCAAAUCAGAAAUUUGCCAUCCGAUGGCCUUCUUGUGCUUUCUAAGGAUUCUUAGAAGAUUGUCCUCUUGUGAAACGGUUAAAGAAGAAGAAAUUACCACUGGGGCUUUAUUGCCUUCCUCCAAGUAAGCAUACUUCAACUCGGCAGGAAGGGUCUUCAAUUCAAGCUUAAGGAUUGCAUCCUUAGCUUCUUUCAUCUCUUCCUCAUCCUUGAACAAAGGGAGGAUCACUGGCUUUUGUCUCCAGUUUGACAUAACAGCAUUCAUUCCCAUGGGUUCAGCUAACCCAUCAUUAAGAUCUUCAUGGAUUUCAUCUGGAUUCUCUUCAAACUAAUCAAGCAUACUCUGAUUACAAUGCUCCUCCACCAGGGUAUCUAUCAUACACACUUCUUCUAGGCCCUCAUCUUCUUCAGGAUGGAUGUGCUUUUGACAUAGAUGGAAGAUGUUGAGUUCCAAUGUCAUAUUCCCAAAAGUGAGUUGCAUGACCCCGUUCCUACAAUUGAUGAUUGCAUUGGAUGUUGCAAGGAAUGGUCUUCCAAGGAUGAUUGGAACAUAGUUGAUCCCUUUGACAAUGGGAUCCGUAUCAAGCACCACAAAAUCUACUGGAUAGUAGAAUUUGUCAACUUGAACCAAUACAUCCUCUAUUACCCCCCUGGGGAUUUUCACUGAUCGGUCAGCUAAGGAUAGGGUGAUCGAUGUUGGCUUGAGUUCUCCCAACCCCAGGUCCUUGUAUAUAGAGUAUGGAAGCAAGUUAACACUUGCCCCCAAAUCAAGCAAUGCCUUCUCCACUUGGGUUCCUCCAAUAUUGACUGAGAUUGUAGGACACCCCGGAUCUUUGUAUUUGAUUGGAGAGUUGCAUUAGAUUAUAGCACUCACUUGCUCGGUUAGGAAGGCUUGCUUUGUAACAUUGAGUCCUCUUUUCACAGUGCACAAGUCCUUCAAAAACUUUGCAUAUGUGGGUACUUGCUUGAUCAUAUCAAGUAAAGGAAUAUUCACCUUCACUUGUCUUAGCACAUCAAGAAUCUCAGAAGCAUUCUUGAUUGGUUUCUUCCCACGCAAGGCUUGAGGAAAUGGAGGAGGCAUGUGCUUCUUCAUCAUGCCUUCCUUUAAAAGAAUUUGAGGUUCCUCAUCCAUGCUAGGAAUGAUGCUUUCUUUCAUCUGAACUUCCUUACCCUUUUGUUCUUUCUUCUUUUCUUCUUUUCUAUCAGCCUUGUCUUCGUUGGCUUUCCUCUGAUCAUGCUCCGGCUGAUGCACUUCCUUACCACUUCUCAAAGUGAUAAUAGCUUGCACGUCCCUCACCUUUGAAGAAUCCUCAUCUUUAGAUUCCACUUCAUGUAUCCCCUUAGGAUUUUGGUGAGGCUGAGAGGGAAACUUCCCUUUCUCAUUGACAGUGUUCAAAUUUGUAAGCCUUGAGAUGGAAUAUUGGAUGUUGUCAAUUUUCUGAGACAACUCAUUAUGCAUCCCAUCUAUCUUCUUGUUCAAUGUACUCUCUACGUUGUCAAUCUUCUGAUUUAGUUGAGAGUUGAUGGAUUUUUGGUCACUCACAAAGUCACCCAUAACCUUGCUAAGGCUUAUGAGUGCUUGCUCAACUGAGGAUUGACCUUGACUCUGUUGGCUUGAUUGGGCUGGUGACUGAUAUGGGUUUGGCCUUGGCUUCCAUGCAAAUUUUGGGUGGUUCCUCCAGCUAGAGUUGUACGUGUUGCCAUAGGGAGCAUUUGAAUUUGGCUUCCAUUGGCCAAUCAGGUUAGCUUGUUCCUCGAACAUUUCUCUUGCUGCUGGAAUGGUGGGACAUUCUUCCACCAUAUGUUCAAAUGACUAACAGAUGGAGCAAGGAUUGGCUUGUUGUUGAGGUUCUGAAAUAGCUUGGACUUCGUGAACUUUUCUCAACUCCAUUUCCUCCAUUUUUCUAGCCAUGGCAGCUACCUUGGCUUUCAUCUCCAUGUCUUCACUCAGAUUGUACAUCCCCCCUCUUGACAUUUGCUGAACUGGCCUCUUCCCCAUUUCUCUGUUAUUGGGCUCAUCCCAUCCACGGGAAACCUCUGAGACAUAACUUAGGAAAUCCAUAGCCUCCUCAGGGUUCUUGCUCAUGAAAUCACCCCCACACAUUGUCUCCAAUAUCUGCUUCAUUGAAGAUGACAUGCCAUCAUAAAAAUAGCUCACCAACAGCCAUGUAUCAAAGCCGUGGUGAGGACAUGCAUUGAUGGCCUCCAUAUACCUCUCCCAGUAUUCAUAAAAUUUUUCAUUCUCACGUGCUGAGAAGUUGGAGAUUUGUCUCUUCAAUCCAUUUGUUCUAUGAGUAGGGAAAAACUUCUUCAAAAAAUCAGCUUGAAGUUCUGUCCAUGUUCUUAUGCUUCUCGGCCUCAAGGAAUUGAGCCAUAUCUGGGCUUUGUCCUUUAAUGUGAAUGGAAAGAGCUUCAACCUCAUAAGCUCAAUAGCUGUUCCCCCUUCUUGAAAAGUAUUGCACACAUCUUCGAAUUCCUUUAUGUGCGCAUAUGGAUUUUCACUUUCCAUCCCAUGGAAAGUAGGAAGCAGAGGCACGAUGUGUGGCCUGAUAAUCAAUUGCUUUGUAGGAGGAAUGAUGCAAGAUGGUGCACUCAUCCUCGGAGGGUGCAUCCUGUCCCUCAUGGACCUAUACAAGUUCGGAUCAUUCUACUGCCCGUGUUGUGAAUGUUGAUCCUCUGGCUGAUUCUCCAUGACUUCCAAAAUAAUCUCUAAUUCAGUAGCUCGUGGAGUCUCUAUCCGCACUAACCUUCCCUCUUGGUCUCUAAUCCAAUAGGGCAUGCACGGAUUCAGCUGGAACAAAACAAAUAAACAAAACAAAGAAAAAGAAAAAAAAAACAGAGCAUGCGGAAGGAAAAACAAAGUAUGAAAAAUAAACUAAAAAUGAAAGUUAAAAGCUAAAAGAAACUUAUCUAAACUAAGUUAAAAAUGUUCUAAAACUAAAAUAAAAAGUUAGUAAAUGAAAAAUGAGAUAGAAUUCACCUCACUCAUGAGAAGUCUCACAAGUUACCUCCGGCUGAUCUAUUCACAGUGAAGUAGCACCCCUCCUCGGCAACGGCGCUAUUUGAUAACCCGACUCUUGGUAGCUUGGCAUGUAAGGGUAUCAACAAAAUUUAUACCUAAGGUCCUUACACUAAAGUAGCAAAGCUAUUAUAGCAUAGUGGCUCUAGGAUCGAACACUGGGAAGGGUUUUUACUUUAACUGGUGAAGUUCGGAGGAUGGAGUGAACUUUUCUUAAUAAAAAUUAGGUUAAGAUGAAAACAUAAAAAGAUGAAGGCGUUGUAAACUAAACUAACAUGAAACUAGGUUAAAAGAUGGAAAAAGAAGUUUCUCAGAGCUUUGGAUAGCCAUGCUUAACUCAUUGUGUAAAAAUGGAGAUUUUGGGACUCUUCACCUUGAGUUGGGGAAGCAACUAAGGUGAUGCUUACUUCCCGAACCGGUAUGAGUUUAACAACUGAGUUUUAGUCCUUGAAAACUUACAAAAAGGGUAGCUGAACCUCAUAAAUGCUCUUUUAUUGGUAUAGGUCAUCUCCUCGACUUGCAAUACAAUGGCUUGUAGGAGAUAAUUAAUGAACGUCAGUGGAUCUAACAAUAAGAAUCCACUGAGACCAAAAGGUUAUCAAGUAUUGGCCAUUCAAAGCAAGUCAGAGGGAUUAAAAGCUUUACUUUGAAUGAAACAUUUAUGACGCUCAGCUACUUACAUUUAUGGCUUGGAAAUCUCCAUCCUGACACGGGAGCUUCACAUGGCAUCCAUUACUUCAAGAAACUAAAAGGUUUUAGCCUUUCAUCCUUGGGGAUUUCAUCCUCCAAGGAUGUUUGGCUACUAAGAAAAUGAGAAAGAAAAGAGAAAAGAAGCGUAUGAACAAAAGUGCUCUUAUAACUUAUAAAGUUACAGGUUACAAGAUGAUCGUGUCUGAGGCUCUUCACCUCUAUUUAAAGACAAUAAAAAGCUAAAUUACAAGAGCUAUUACAAAAACAACCUUUUCAUUGGUUGAUUACAAGGGUAAAAUAGGUAUUUACAAAGCUAAAAGUCAAGCAAAAUAUCUUGGAGAACCGACAGUGGAAUAUCAUCAACAGCGUCUCAAAACAAGGGAUUUCAAAGGCAUUUCGCAAAGGGGGGGAAGAUGAAAGGUCCAAAUUUCGCAAGGUGCCUAAGUCCACCUUGCGAAAUUUCGCAAGGUAGUUCUUCAUGGUGCGAAAUGGCCAAAUUUCGCACCAUGAGGAAAAUCCCCUUGCGAAAUUUUGGCAAGGCGAAAUUCACCUUGCGAAAUGGUGUUCCCAUUGCUUGUGCUCGUGUUUCCACUUGAAAUUCAAGCCUGUAAACGUCCAAAAUCCUUGCUUGACUCGCCCAAGUAGCUCCUCCAUCAAUUGGUAUGCUUGAAUUGGUUCAUAAGCUGAUGAAAAACAUGUAAACUUGCCACUAAAAAUGGUUAGAACUAAUUACUAAGCAGCUUAAUGAAUUAAUUGGGUUAAAUGAAUGUGAUUACUACACAAAGGUGCUUAAAACCCUUAUAAUUAGGUCUACAAAAUAGCACUUUUCGGUAGUAAUCAAUAUGUCUGAGAUUAACAAGUUGAAAACUCAACUUCAAGGAGAGUUUGAAAUAAAAGACCUUGGAGUUGGGAAGAAAAUAUUAGGUAUGAAGAUUCAUAGAGACCGAGAAGUAUGGCAAUUGUACUUAUCAUAGAAAAAGUAUAUUGAGAUAGUGUUGGAACAGUUUGGAAUGCAAGGGUAAAAACCAAUGAGUACUCAACCAGCAACUCACUUCAAACUUUCAAGUUCUUUAUUACCAUAGACCAAAGAAGAAAUGGAGUACAUGUCACAUGUUCCAUAUGCUAGUGCAAUUGAUAGCAUUAUGUAUGUCAUGGUUUGCACUAGGCCAAACAUUUCACAUGUAGUUAGUGUGGUAAGUAGAUAUAUGGAUCACCUUAGAAAGAUCCAUUGGGAAGCAAUGAAUGGAUACCUUGGUACUUGAGAGGAACAUCACAUAUUGACUUAGUAUAUGAUAAAAGUAGUGACAUCUCUGAGGAAAUCGGUGGUUAUGUUGAUUCUGAUUAUUCUAGAGAUUUGGAUAGAAGAAGAUUUUUAAUAGGGUAUGUAUUCACUUUAUGUGGUAGUGUUAGUAGUUGUAAAGCAACUUUGUAAUCUACAAUUGUUUUAUCAACCACUAACGUAGAAUACAUGGUGGUCACAGAAGCAGUGAAAGAAAUUAUUUGCCUUAAGGGUUUGGUUGGUGAUUUAAGCUUACAAUAGGAGUUGAUUGUUAUGUAUUGUGAUAACCAAAGUACCAUAUUUGACUAAAAAUCAAAUGUUCCAUGAGAUGAGCAACCAUAUUGAUGUCAAUGCAUUUUAUUAUGGAUGUGAUCGCAUAGGGUGCUAUUAUAGUGAAAAAAAAAUCCUUAUAGUGGAUAAUCUCAUAGAUAUGAUGACUAAGUCCAUUUCUAUAGUUAAGUUUAUGCAUUGCUUAGACUUGGUGUUAAUAGUAUCUAAAGGCCCUUUUCAGGUGUGAGGUCGAAGUAACAUGGAAGACUUUUGAGUUUUUUUUUUUUUUUUUUUUUUUUUAAUCUUGAGAAUUUGAGCCAAGGUGGAGAUUGUUGAAAAAUAUUUCAAAUUCUAUUUUUGAGUCAAUUGGACAAUUGUAGAUAGUUUUCUAAUAGAAAAUAUUCUUGUAAGUGAGUUUCCUAUUAUUAUAAAAGAAAUAUUCUUUUAGUAAAAGACAUCUUUGACAAUUAUACACUUAGUGUUUUAUAUGGAAUAUUUCUAUGUAAUUAGGAAAAUAUAUGUAUAGGAAGAGAUUUUGACCAAAAUAGUGGAAGUCUCUUUUUAGGUGUAAUUGGGACUUUGGGAUUUGAAAGCUCUAAGGUUGUAAUCUCCUUCAACAAUAGUGGAAAUUCUUCUUUGUCAUCACCUAUGGAUGUAGGCUUGAGGCUAAACCACAUAAAUUGUUAUGUACUUUGUGUGUUUUGUUUUCAUUUUCUUAUUCUUUUAUCCCUAUUAUUAUUCUUUGUCAUGAUUUUUCCCAAUAGAAGUAUAUAUAUACCAUGAGACUUGCAUGGUGGGAAGGGUAUAUUUCAUAUUAGUGACAAGAAGCAGAGCUUACUCAAUUGUGCUUUUUCUUUCAGAAUAUGGAAGGGGUUUCCUUAUGCUCAAGAAAUGCAUAGAUUCAAUUGAAUAAAUUGAGGAAUGCUUUACUCAAUUGUGUUUUUCCUUUCAGAAUAUGGAAUGGGUUUCUUUAUGCUCAAGAAAUGCAUAGAUUCAAUUGAAUAAAUUGAGAAAUGCUUACUCAAUUGUAUUUUUCCUUUCAAAAUAUGGAAGGUGUUUCCUUAUGCCCAAGAAAUGCAUAGAUUCAAUUGAAUAAAUUGAGGAAUAUGAUUGUUCUUUUUCUUUUUCUUUUUAUUUUUUAAAUAAUAGAUGAGCCAAGAUGGAACUUACGUGGAACACAUUGAUUCCAGUCAUUUUCUUGGACAAAGAUAUGCCCAAAAUAUGGGAAAAAGGCAUUUUAAAAUUAAAAAUGAUUUUAAAUUUAAGAGUUUCUUUUUUAUAUGUUUAAAAACUUUUUAAUGGGUAGAUUUGAAUUGUAACUUGCAAUUUAAUCUAAAGAACAUUCGAAAAUUAAAAAUUACAAUAAUGAGAUUCUCAAUCCUUCAAAAUGAAAUUAAUUUAAUCCUCUUUCUUUGUAAAUUAUCCCUCAAUUAAAUCAAUCUUUUAAAAAUUGAAUCUACUAAAUGAUAAUAUUCAUAUUUAAUCAAUUUAUUGUUGGAAUUUAUAUAGGUGAAUGGAAAUUAGGACUUCUUUUUUUUUUUCCCCCUUGGAAAACAUGCUAUUUCUUAACAGACACAACUUGUUUUAAAGAAUAUGUCUUGUAUUUAAAAGACAUCUUAAGAUACAAUCCUUCAAAGGAUACUAGACACAUCUUUUCUAAUAAGUCACCUUCAAAUCUUUAAAUAGGGACCCCACAUAGCAUUUUCAUUCAUUCAUCCAUUCUCUCCACUCUUUCUCAUUUCUUGUCAUUCAAGUUCUCUUUAACUUCUAGUCUAGUCAUUUAUCUUUUCUACCAAAUAUUUGGUAUACAAGAGAGUACAAAUCACCAAGUGAUUCAUUGUUUCUUGUGAUUUGAAGUACUACUAUCACAAGAAAGUGAUCGUUGUAUCCUGGGAGACGAUUGUCAAUAAACCGUAAGCACCUAAGCGGGACAAAUUCGUCUUAAGAACACAGAGUCAAACUCUUGUUUCGAUCAACCUUAUUUGUAAGUUCCAAUUUUCUAAUUACUUCAUUUUAUUUGAAUAUUUAUUACACACACUUAUUAUCCAUAUAUUUUGAGUGAUAUGGAUAACAUUUAUCUUUUUGUAUAAAUUCCUAAAUUUAUAUAACAUAAUUUAAACUUAAUUUCAUUUUGAUUCAAUUUUGUUUCAUGUUUUAUAAUUCUAUAAGGUUGAAUUUAGGGAUGGCAAUGGGCGGGUUUUUUCGGGUACCCACCCCGUCCCGCCCCUAAUGAGACGGGGUUUAAAUUUAAUAAACGGGUUUGGGACGGGUAUGAGAUUUUUUUUUAAACCCGGGGCGGGUUCGGGUAUUGCUCCAUCCCACCCCGCCCCACCCCGUUUACAUAUAAAAUUAAUUUUAAUUCAACGAGCUUAAUUCCACCCAAGAAUCCCUCUUCCCAAACCCAGAAACCCCACCAUUUUUCCUUCACGAAAGCUCUCAAAACUCCACCUAAUCAGAUCUGUUCAAGAACAAUUUGAUCACCAGCCUCUUACUCGGUCAACACCCAGAUGGGAAAACAUGCUUUCCACUGCAGCAAGCUUGUACCCUCUCUAUGUCACUGCUGGAGGGGUUGUUGCAUGUGUGAAGCCAUCUGUUUUUGCUUGGUUUGUGGCGAGAGGCCCAGCUUCUUAUAGCUUAUCACUUGGGUUAAUCAUGUUGUCCAUGGGUAUCACAUUGAAGCUCAGGGACUUCUUCAAUUUAUUGAUCCAGAGGCCUUUUUCUGUGAGUUUUUUAUGGUUUGGAGUUUUUGGGUGUUUUGGUAUUUGAUUGUUUUUGAGACAUGGNNNNNNNNNNNNNNNNNNNNNNNNNNNNNNNNNNNNNNNNNNNNNNNNNNNNNNNNNNNNNNNNNNNNNNNNNNNNNNNNNNNNNNNNNNNNNNNNNNNNGUUGAAUUCCAAUCAUAAUUAAAAAUUAAAUUGAUUUGUUAUAAUAUUAAAUAAGAUAUCUUUUGAAAAAAUUAUUAUAAUCAUUUAACAUAAUACAAAUUUCACCAAGUUUUUCUAACUAUGGUUCUCUAAUAAUUACCUUGUAAUAAUAAAAUUAAUUCUAACAAUAUAUGUCAUAAUCAAAUUUCAAAAAUCCAAUCUCAAAUAAUUUAAUAGCUGAGUUUAAAUUUAAUUUUUGAAAUUCUUAAUUUCCAAAUGUGACUUGACAAGAAUUUAAACUAUUGACUUUCGACUAAGGUUUUACACAUUUUGCCUAAUUAAAUAAAAUAUUGACACGUGAAUGUUCACUAACAUCACGUGAUUCAUUGAUUUAGACGAUUCAUUUUGGUUGAUGUUGAGGAUAGUCAUCGGCAGUAGACUAACAUCUUCUGGACCAAUUAACAUACCAGUAGUGAUUAGGCCAAGGUGGUGAUCCAAUUCCAUGGAAGAGCAGCAAGAAAGGAGGAACGUUGGAGAGAUAGAACCAGAAGGCGGCCAACCAAGCAGGAACAGUGGCCAAACUGGCCUCGAGCCUGAGGAGCAUAGGAUUGACAUUGUUGAAAUCAGUCAUAGGGAUUGGAUUGAGUCUCUCAGAACGGCAGAAGAAAGAACUCAAUCUCAAAGUCAAUGGCCAAGGAUACCAAAGGUUCCUCAGAUGCUGAGGGGGACCCAGGAUUUCAAGAAAUUCUACGAACCGAGGGUAAUUUCGAUCGGUCCUUACCACCAUGGCAGGCCCCACCUUUACCCAGGGGAAAUGAUCAAGCCUCUAUGCGCCCGAAACUUCCUGGCUGAUAGUAAGCAGGACAUCGAAGCUUUGUACACAAAAAUUGUAAGUAAUAUCGAGGCAGUGGAAAAGUGCUAUGAUUGGAGUAGUACAAAAAAGUAUGAUGAUGAGAAACUCGCCAGGAUGAUGCUUCUGGAUGGGUGUUUUUUACUAUAUUUCAUCUGCAGGGAAGGUAUGAUAAACGUUCUUAAAGUUCACGAAAUAGAUUUUGUGGAGCAGGACUUGUUCUUGCUGGAGAACCAACUUCCCUUUGGAGUCCUCAAGUUGAUUUUUGAGGGAGCAAAUUUCAAGGUUGAUCUACCAAUGGAAAAGAAUAUAAUAAAAUUCGUCACUGUCAUCGGAAUGCCAGAAGGGUUGUCAUCAGAAAUACAGCUGAAAGAGGUGAACUAAGAGCCCUCUCAUCUCCUCGACCUUUUGCGAAGUGCUCUCCUAGGCAGGUUCCACAUGAUUAGGAGUCAGCCCGAAAAAGAGCAGCAACCUAAGAAAAAAGGAAAGUCGUCGUCGUCGUCUCAAGGAGGAAAGUGGGGGCUCCGUUGGCCAUGGAAAAAAGGCAAACAACGGGGCAUUAGGAAGUCUUUUCGACACAUCAAGGAGCUUAAAGCUGCCGGCAUCUACCUCAAACCGAGUAGAACGUGUUUCUUGAGAGACGUUUCUUUCAAAUCCUACUUCUUCUUUGGCUACCUGAAACUUCCCCCAAUAACCAUUGAUGACUUCACGAAGACCAAGUUCUUGAACAUGGUAGCCUAUGAAAUGUAUCCAGAUGCCCCAGAUGACUAUGCGGUCACUUCUUAUGUAUGCUUCCUUUACGACUUCAUUGAUGAUGCAGACGAUGUCAAGCAGCUGAGAUCUAAGCACAUUCUCCACAACCUUCUUGGCAGCGAUGAAGAUGUGGCCCACAUUUUCAACGAGAUCGGCAAUGGCUUGGUAGAUCCCGAAAUUUAUGGAGAUGUGAAAGCUCGUAUUCAGAAACACUACGACAAGAGAGUGAAUACUUGGAUAGCUGAAGCCCUUCACGGCCAUUUCAGGUCUCCCUGGACUUUCAUGGCUCUCAUUGCAGCUGUUUUAAUACUAAUUCUUACUGGGGUUCAGACCAACUACGCUCAUCCCGAUAACUAUAUAAAAUAUUUAUAUAUAUCGUCAAUUAUAAUUGGGAUUUGUUUUUUUCUUGUUCGGCAUGUUUGUGAUUAGACAAAUAAAGAUGUAUAAAUUAUUAAGUUGUAUCACUGGAUUUCAUGCAUGCAAUAUUAUGAGUCUUUUCCUCUCCACAUGAAUUUGCUAUAAUCUAUAAUGUCUGUUUGAAUUCAUAAUUUCCAGCUUGCUUUUUUCCGUUCUUUUUCAUAGACCAGGAUCAUACAUAACACAACAUUCACAUAGAAAAUUUUCGGUCAACAAUAUGUGAUUCCGUGGAUGGGAUGGGAUUGGAUUUACUCACACACUUUUUUAUCAAAGGAGAAAAUUAUGGAUAAAAUUAUAAUUUUGAUAUAUUUAUAAAUUGAGGGCUCUCUAAUUUUUAUUUUUUAUUUUUUAUAAAAGACAAAAAUAUCCAUUUUUAGGUAAUUUAAUGUUUAAUUUUGGAUUAAAAAAAUUUCAUAAAUAAAUACUACAUUUUUUAAUGAAGUCUUCCGAGCUUCAUUGAAAAAAUCUUCAAAUUUUCAACUUCUUUGAGAAAUCUUCGAAUACUCUCCAACUCUUCCAUAAAUUUUUUAUCUUCUUGGAAUCUCUUUUAAGAGCUUUAGGGCUUUUCUUUAGUUUUGAAAAAAAAACACACACACACAGAUUGAGUUAGAAAUGAAAGUGGAGAAAAGAAAAGUACUCGACAGUUUUGCAUACUGCUUGAUAGAACUCGUUAAAAUUGUUUAUAUCUCUGGCACUAAAAUACAUCUUGUAGCACUUAGUGAUCAAAGCCUGUUUUUCCUCCUUACUUCCAAUUUAGACAUGGAGAGGUGACACAAACUUUGAGAUAUUCAAUGAUUCAACAAAGCAUUCAUCAAAUAUUAUACUGUUUGCUUUGAUGGAGGGGCAAAGAAGAUGAUACCAGAAGUUAGCUUCAUGAGGGAUGCGCCUACCUUUUGAAUGGUUGGAUAUGAUGAUAUUGUUGGAAAGUGUCUCAAAAAUUAUUUUUGAGUCAAUUGUAAAAUUAUAGAUAAUCUCCUAAUACAAAAUAUUAUUGUAUUUAAGUUUCCUAUUAUUAUAGUGGGAAUAUUAUAUUAUAAAAUUUUUUUUUUUUUUUUUUUUAGGGAAAGAUAUCUUUGAAAAUUAAUAUACAUUUAGUUUUCUGUAUGCAAUCUUCCUAUAUAUGUAAUUAGGAAAAAAUACAUAGGAAGACAUUUUGAUCAGAAUAGUAGAAGUCUUUUUUUUUUUUUCGGUGUAAUUGAGACUUUGGGAUUUGAGAGUUAUAUGAUUGUAAUCUCCUUUAAUAAUAGUGAAAGUUCUUCUUUGUCUUCAUGGGUAGAUGUAAGUUUGAGGUCGAACCACGUAAAUCAUUGUGUACUUUGUGUGUUUUAUUUUCAUUUUUUUUCCUAAUAUUUUUUCUUUGUCAUGUUUUUUCACUAUAAAUUGGUAUAAGAGCAUAGGUUCUUAGACAUGGAAUGAUAAUAGAGUUUGAGGUUGAGAAGUUUGAUGGAAGAAAUAAUUGAAGUUUGUGGCGCGUUAAGAUGCUAGCCUUAUUAGUUCGACAAGGAUUGUCCAAAGCACUGAAAGGUGGAGAGACUCUACCAACAACAAUGUCUAAUGAAUAAGAGGAUGAACUUAUGGAGAAAGCGCACAAUGCUAUUCUAUUAUGCUUCGAUAAUGGGGUAUUUCGUGAGGUUGCAAAAGAGGAUACGACUACUGAGUUAUGGUUGAAGUUAAAAAGUUUGUGUAUGGCGAAGUCUCUUAUAAAUCACUUGUAUUUAAAAAAGCGAUCAUUUACUCUCUAAAUGACCCUUAAUUGUUAGGUUAUUUAAAUUGUGUUUUCUAAAAGUUUCAUGGUAUAAAUGGUAAACUUUUACAAAGUGAAAAGUAGCGAUGAUGUUUGUUAAAAAAAUGAUUUAAUUAACUUGGUAGUUUAUGAUGUUCACUAAUUUUGUUUUCAAACAUACACCAUAUUUUAUUAAUUACAUAAAAUUUGCUUAAGCUUGAAUAAGAACAGCCCCUUUUAAUCACUACUUUAAAAUUAAUGAAAUCAAAGUUCUUAAUUAAGAAAUAAUUGAUCUUAAUUUAUUUCUAUAAUUAUGAAAGAUUAGGGUGACCCCAAUCACAUUAAGUACUUUUUCAAAUGCAUUAUGAUAAGUGAUAACCACUAUGGAGGCAAUAAUUUAAUUAAUUUAUUUGUAUGCCCUAUCAUGCAAAAUGAGAGUGACCCUAAUUAAUAUAUGUAUAUAAAUGGGCACUUGAUCAAUUGAGAAAUAUCUAUUGAAAUAACUUCUUUUUUUUCCAAAAAAUUAUUUUUUAUUUUUAUUUUUUAUUGGGUAGGUAGACUUAAAGGGUCAGUAACCAAAUGGGUUGGCAAAAAAAUUUAAAAUUUAGUUAAAUGUAUAUUUCAGUUAAUUAAUUAUCUUAUAGCUGUCCAAUUAAUUCAUUAUUGAUUAAUUAUAUUAAACAUAAAUAAAAGUCACUUUCUUAAAGUGGAGAGUCCAACAUGCAUGAACGCCUUUUUUUAUUUUCUAAUUUUAUUGUUUAUUUUUGGAUAGAAAGAUAGCUUUUGACUGUUGCUCUUUCUUUUAUUGUUAUUAUUGUUAUUAUUAUUAUUAUUAUUAUUAUUAUUAUUUUGGCUCAGAUGCAGUGGGCUAAGACAAAUCUCCAUUCAAAAUUGAACAAAAUCCUCCAUUUCAACAUUUUCUUAAGCCCUUUAUUCAUUUUCAUUUUUUUUUCUCUAUAAUUUAUAACAUGCUAUAUAUAAUUAUAAUCGAUUUUUUUUUGGGUUAAAAUAUGACAAAAUUUCUAGAUCCCUUUUAAGUUAGUUAAUGAAAACUUCGUAGAAAGACAAAUAUACUCAGUGUCAUGAAAAUCAUUUUUUAACUUAUUUGAGAAAUUGUUUUAUAUUUAAUAAAAAAAUCUUUUCUAAUUUACUUGAGAAUUUAUUUGAGGAUUUAUUUAAUAUUUAAAGUGUGUUUGAUAAUAUUUUUACUUAAAAUAUUAUUAAUAAAAGUGUUUUUUUUAUUAAAGUGUUUUUUAGAAUAAUCACUUAUCAAAUGUUUCUUCAAAAUACAUUAAGUAAUUUUUCAAUAUUGCAAAUGAUUUUUCAAAAUUUUGAAAAUAUUUCCUAAAUUUUACCACAUAUCUAUUUUUAAAAAAAUAUUUUUUAGACUAAAACCAUUUUCUAAAAUCAUUAUCAAACGAUUAACUUCCACAUCAACAAAAAUUACCCAUUAACAUCAUACUUUAAACUUUGACUUUAAUUACUUAAUACACUCAAAAAUAAGAAGUUAUCUAAAUAUAAAACAAAAUUAAAAAAUUAUUAAAUUUCAACCACCCUACAUACUAUCAAACCAAAGUGGACACAAAAAUUUUGCUCACACUUUUAUCAUAUCAUGGAAUUAAAUUUAUAAGCUAUGGAUGUGAAAUAUGGGUCUACCAUGGUAUAAAUUAUAAAAAUAUUAAAAAAAAAAUUAGGGUAGGGGUGAAGCCCAAUUCAAAUUGAAGUACAAAAAUAUCAUACAUGGUGAGACAACUACAAUUCACAGCUAAGAUCCAUUUAUUUGUCUUGUAUGGAAGGUUAAGGGUCACUAUCUUUCUGGUCACCCAAUGGAUAUAUAGACCAUCACAGCUAAGGUCCCAGCCCCACCAAUCCACCAUGGACAACAUUCUCUUAUCAUAGUACUGUUUGAAUGCCUAGAUCACAUGCCAUUGUAUGCCUUGAUAGAUAAAAGAAAAUUUAUGAUAAUUUGUAUAAGAAACUUAAAUUUAUUAUUUUUAUUUUUAUUUUUACUAUUUACUAGUAUUACUAUUAUUUAGGUUCAGGUGUAAAUAGAUCUUUGAUUUUAUAAAAAAAUUAUUGAACGUUAUUUUAUCAUGUAAUUUAGUUUUAGAAAGCAAUUCGAAAACAUUAAGAUUUUUCUUGGUUAAACAUCUAUAUUGGCUAGAUAGUGAUUAUAAUGUUUACAAUAAUAUUUAUUAUAAGUUUAAUGCUAUGACAUGGAAUCGUAUUGUGCAUGGCAGGUUAUUUAACCUUGAUGUUACUAAUUUAGACUAAUAAAUAAAUAAAAGAUUGGUUAAUAUUGGUCUUAAUAUUAUUUAAAUUGAAAAUUAUUUAAUUUGUUUAUAUCAAUAAAGGUAUCUUUGAUUGCUUAAUCUCAAAUCCUCAUUUCAAUCACUAAUUUUGGGUUAUGUGAAUAUCAAAUUAAUGUAUUUUUGUAUUUUAUCGAUCUUCUAACUAACGUACUUAGCAUAUGUGUUUAAUAAUGUAAAUCAUAAAUAACUUGGUUUAUGAGAUAGACAUUUUGAUAUUGAUGUGUUAAUUAAAAAGUCAAACAACAAGUAUCUCUUUGUCGUGUUGUCUCUCAUGGAAAUGACCCUAACAUUAUCUUUAAGCUAGGUUUAUUUCUAAGCUCAUCAAGCAUUAUUAUUUGUUUAAUUAUUCCCUUUAAUAUGAAAUAAAUAAAUGAAGAUUGAAUCCAUUAAUAUAUUUUUUAUCACUUGAUUAUUAAUUGAUUGAGACACUUAAACCAAUCUUACUAUGCCCAAUAGUAAGAGAAUUGAUUUCAUAAAGAUACACUAAAUUUUUAUUAAAACUUCACACUUAGCUCUUUAUUUAAGUUGACGUAUUAGUGUUAUUAGGAGACGAAAAAUAUUAACCUAUCUUAAAUAAGGAAGUGAUGACUUGAAAAUGAAGUAAAACAACUAAAAAAUAAGCAUACAUACUUCGAUUUUAUAAUAUUUUUAACACAUGGCACAUGAAUCUUAGGAUAACGAUGUAUUGUAUUUAUGUAAAUUAUAUUAAGGCUUUAGCCCUAAUUGACCCAGUACUCGUUAUUUGUAUAAUAUAUACAGGACAAUGUGAAUUUUUAGAGAAUCAAAUAACAAAUUAAAUGUCGAGUUAUUAAUCAUUUGAGUCAUACACAAAUAAGUAUAUAAAUUUUUUUGCCAAAGCAUGCAUUACCAUGCAAGAAAUACCUAGUUUGCUUACCCUAAAAAGGGGUCAAAUUUGUUAAUUGAGAAUGAGAUCUCUUUUACAAAGACUCAACACGUAUAAUCAUGGCUCUUGGGAAAACAUUGAAUCUAUGGUAUUAAUUGGUAAUGUUCCCAAUUAAUACCAAUUGGAAUAACACUUUAAAAUAGUACGAAGAAAAGGAAAAACCCUAUUUAAAAUAUUGCAUGGUACCCACCAAUACCAACUAGAUUCUUUAUCAAAAUUAUUACCACCUAACUCAAAUUCAUACACUAAAUUUUCUGAUAAUAUUCUUUGUCUAUGUAAAUAAAAAUGUUAUAUCUAUAAUUAAUUUUUAAGUAAAAGUAUGGACUUUUCAACAAGAUGUAUGUAUAUUUAUUGUAUCAUACAUCAAGAUUGAAGAUAGUCUUCAAUCAUUGCAUAAAAAAGUUUAAUUAUUAUUAGAAAUGGAUCCAUGAAUGAGCAAAAUAACUUGAAAUAACCUUACACAAUGUAAAAUAUUUAAAAGAAUAAAUUAAUAAAUAAUAAUCCAAGUGUUUAACGAUUAGGGUUUUGACGAUAUGUUAAAUCAUCGCUUAUUUUUAGAGAUUAAAUAGAAUGUGUUUGAGAGUGUUUUUACUCGAAGUAUUUUUAAUGGAAGUUUUUCCUCAUAAAGUGUUUUUAGGAGAAUAACGUAUCAAUUAUUUCUAAACAAACACUAAAAGUAUUUCCUUAAUCUUGUCAACCAACUAAUAUUUUUUCAAAAACACUUUUUGUAAAAACCCACACCCUACCGUGUGUAGAUAUUGUCCGCUUUGUCUCUAAAAAGGUUUUUAUAACUUUAAAACACGUUUACAGGGUUAAGAAGAGCUUAUACUCAUAUGGUAUAAGAAACUUUUUUUUCUAUUUGAUGUGAGAUAUCACAAACAUCCUCUUAUGCAGACAUGUUCUCGUUGUAUCUCUUGGGAUUGUGGGGUCAAAUAGAUAGACACCCCUCAUAGGGUUAGACUAACUUCCACACUAUGGUUAGAAAUUAUCUCUAAUACCAUUUGUAAUAACCUACAUCCAACCAUAUAGAUAUUGUUAAUGACAUAUACCCAAUUAUAUAGAUAUUAUCCGUUUUGGGCUCAAAAGAUCCUUAUAACUUUAAAAUACGUCUACAAAAUUAUAAAGAACUCAUACUCAUAUAGUGUCAAAAAUUUUCAAAAUCACUAUUAAACAUACUCUUGAUUUAAAACUCGGAUAUUUAUACCUCACAAUUAAGUGAUUCAUUUACCAUUUCUUCCAUCAUGAGUCUAUUUCACUAUCCAUUGAUCCCUUGUUUAUUGACAAAAUAUUAUUUUCUAACCAUUUUUAUCCCUUGACACUAUCUUCGACUAUUUCUUUUUUUAUUAAAAUUGAUUAGAUAUAUAUAUAUAUAUAUAUAAUAUUGUUUGUCGAAUUUCCAAGGAAAUUAGGUUGAUUUGCCAUUCGAAUUAGUCAAAGGUAAUGUUUUAAGGGAACAUCCCACAUCAAUAAGAAAAAAGAUUUACUGUCUUCUGGCAGAUUUACUCUUAUAUUAGCUGUUAAUUUUCUUUAAAAAUUAUUAAAUUAUCUUAAUACUUAAGCAAUGAUUAUAAAUUGGGUAGUCAUAUUUGGAUUAGUCUUACACAUCACCUCAUAAAGAGUGUAUGACUUUGUAUUUAAGCCAAUCUAUAAGUUUGAAGCCGGCCUAUUAUUUUAAUUUCUUUAGGUUGAACUUAAUUCAACUUAAAUAAUUACCACUUGCACCUCCACCCCAAUAGGAAAACUCCCCCCAAAAAAAAAAAAGAAAAAAAAAAGGGUUUUUCUACUUAGAAUUAGGAAAUCACUACUUUUUCUUACCUUAAUUUUCUAUUUAAAAAUGGGAAAUGAUAAUAAUUUUAUCAUAACAACACUACUUUGAUAACAAACUAAAGCCCUAUUUGGCCAUAUUUUCUCAAACUUUGUUUUAAAAACUAAUUUUAAAUUAAAGAAUAGAAAACGGUUUUUAAAAAUAAAUUUUUGGUCAAGGGGGCCAUAUUUUCCUUUCGUUUUUAAAAAACUGAUAAAAACAAUUUCUACUUUUUCCUAAAAAUUAUUCUAUAUUUCACUUUAUUUUUAAAAAUUAUUUCCCAAAAAUAAAUAGUAUUAGAAAAUUUUAAAAACGGGUUUCUAUUUUUAAAAACAAAAAACUGUUUUUAAAUCAUUAUACCAAACAGACUCUAAGUUUUAAAGAAUUUAAACAAAAAAUGAAUAAUAAAAUUUGAUCACUCAACGAUUCUCCAUCGAAGUCAUUAACUCUUUUCCUCUAAUUCCCCUCAUUUAAACUUACUUCCAAUAUUAAUCACAACAAAUAAGUAAAAUUUAAUAGUUCUAAACAAAUUUUAAGUUUCGUAUUACUUCAACUUAAAUAGUUAAGAACAAAUUAAACAAAAUUUGUAUCAAGUUAAUUUAAACUAUUAAGUAUUAAUUUAAUCUAUGCCUACAAUAAGAGACAUAUUUGAACUUAAAUCCUAAAAAUUAAAAAAAGAAAAAUAAAUAAAGACUAACAAUGUUGACCAUGAUUUUUAAGUGGUUUUAUCAUCAUUAUGAGAAGUUUGUAAAUGAUAUCAUUUUUUUUCUUUAAAUUUGAAAGUUUGUGAAAAAUGUUUAGGAUGUUUGUUUCCAGUGAUGAAUUCAGAGACGUAGAGAACUCCAAAAUGUGGGUCAAAUAAUUCAAAAUCAAAUUGAUGAUAAAGAUAUGGGCAAAUAAUCCAAAAUGUGGGAAGACAAUGAUGAUGAUGGCUGCCUAAUACAUACUUAAUCAUCAAGAUUUUGGGCAAAAAUCUCAAUUGGUGGGCCCAAUCAUAAAAUGGCUUUUCACUUUUUGUUUGUUUAUUUAUUGGGUGUCAUUCAAAUAAAAGAAUGCUCUACAAGGUGCCACUUUGUGUUUUGGGUCUAAUUGGGCCCAAAAAUUAAGAUAUGGUCCAUAUAUAUUCCAUAUUUAAUAGAAAAGAUAUGAGAUAUUAACUAACCAAUAUACCCUUAAAAUUUCCGGCUCAGAUUGUUGUAAAUUAAUGGGUUUGACAGGUGGUAAACUUGAAAUGCCAUGUCACUUGACUGAAAAAUCUGAAAUAAAGGGCAUAAGGGUCACCACCCUCCUACCCCUUUCUCUCCCUUCGUAAACAACAUGCUCACAGACGAUGUCAACUGUGAUUGUCCUCCUAUUGGUUUCUUCAGCAGUUGAGGAUUGUGAGCAACUUAGAAAAGCCUUUGCAUGUAUUUUAUCAUCAUCAUUCCCAAAUCCAAAUGACGGUGAGUCUGAAUUAUUUUCUCACAUUUUGAUUUGAUCAUGUUGGUUCCUUUGAUGAUGUGGUGGAUGUUUGUUUAUUGGGUUAGUACAAGGUUUGAGGAAAGACAUUUGUUUUGAUCUCGUGUUGGGGUGUUUAAAAAAAUUUUGAACUUAAUAACAUAGUGUUUUUGGGUGCAGGGUAGGGGAUAAAUGAGGCUUUGAUCAUAUCCAUCUUGGCUCAUAGGAAUGUAGAACAACCUAAGUAAAUUCAAGAAACUUACAGUGAAUAUUAUGGAAAAGAUCUCCUCAAAAAUGGCAUUUCACAAGUCUUAAAAUUUUUCACUUUAGAAUCUGCUUGUUAGGUUUAUAGUCCAGAGAAGAAAUGGGUAUCGUCUAGACGGUGAGCUUUGGGGAUGAGCUAGCCCACUUAUGAUGAAUAAGAAACUAAAUUGGGUUUCAUUUUUCCCCUUUUCACUUAGCUAUGACAUUGGAAUGUGGUUAACUCGCCCAUAUGCACUCGUUAAGUUGUAGCUAGAUCGAAUUCCUGCAACUGUACAAGGCAUUUACACAAAGUGUGUAAGGCUAAUGUACUAAAUAUACAAGGGUGUGUAUUUUAAGGGGUUUUAAGUGAUUUUAAUGAACUUACUCAUUUACUUUUUCCAAUCAUGGGGACAUUCCUAACACAUAUUGCUUGACAACACACUAAUUGUAUGCAUUUUAUUUGAUGUUUAUCAUGUUAAUUCAUUCUAUUAGCUCCCAUACUAAUGAUGAAUAUGAACCGAAAUGAGGGUAAACUUUUUCCUCCUUUUCCCUAAUCCAUGAGAAUGAAAACAUUGUUUACACACCCAUAUGUACUCGUUCGUUCGUACCUAUUUUGGAUUUCGUUAUUGUACAAGGCAUUUACACUAAGUGUACAAUGCAAAUGUGUUAAUUAUACAAGUGUGUACAAGACUUUCUAUCUUGAAAGAUUUCAACUGCUUUUGAAAAAAUUGCUUGCUCAUUUCUUUUUUCUAAGGGGUACAUUCCUCAUAGUCAUUGCUCAUAGGAUAUAUGUUUGAUAAUUUUUGUCAAAAGGAACAACAUAGCAUACUUAUUUUUAUCAGAAUUUGCACUUUAGAUAUUGGUAGUUAAGACCUUAGAAUCGGCAUUCAUGAUGAGAAAAUUAACAUGAAAAUAUCAUUAUGACACAUUAUCAAACAUAUAUCCUACAUCCACCAUUACUAUAAAAAGAAACAUUAAUAUUUUGUCUGUAACCUGAAAAACAACAUAGAGUCUAGCUGAGGGUUCUCUUCCUCUUAUGCCUCCAUUUUUCUGGAAACAAAAUCAACUCAGAAGAUAAGACUUAAGUUCAAAAUAUAUAAUUUCUUAGUUAUCUCAGCAACAAAUAGAUCUAGUAUUAUUGAUUUCUGCAAAGAACCCAAUAGAUCUAGUAAAGCCAGAAUCCCAAUUAGGAUAUCCCCACCAAAUAAUAGUACAGAAAGCAAGAUUCAAUUUU